Molecule: long non-coding RNA, 337591 nt
Filed under: Triticum aestivum (bread wheat)
Lineage: Eukaryota; Viridiplantae; Streptophyta; Magnoliopsida; Poales; Poaceae
Description: long non-coding RNA (TAES_LNC009704)
Source: RNAcentral
AUAUCUGCAACCACCUGUUUUGCGGCAGCUAUCGCUGUUGCGACUGUCUCAGAUGAUUUCUUCUCAAUCGGAAUCUAAACCUUCUGGCUGAUGUUUUCUUCAGUUAACCUCCGUCUUUCCUUUCGCUCCUCCGUGGUCUCACGGUAGUACUUCUUCCACGUGGCGCCGUCUACGACACCGUCCACGCGUCCAUACGACGGCCGAUUCUCCACCAGGAGUCCUUUCAAUAUGUUCAAUACCCGGUUGAAUGGAGUCUACCACUUGGGCCUCGCCAACGCCUCAGACGGCGAGUCACUUUCGGCUGCAAUCUUGUGCUGCUCUCUCUUCAAAAGGAACAAGGAUCGUUUACAAAUAUGACUAAACGUGCAGUCGAAUUGAUCAGAAACUAAAAUUACCAGCAGUCUCGUGAACUCCGUCGUGAUCGGGUCCGUCUUAAAAACCUUCUUGACUGAGUCCCAAUGGUGCCGUGCCCCGAGGACGUCACGCUCCUGCGGGACGGUGAAGUCCGCCAAGGGGUCUGGGAUGCCCAGACGUUCGCGUUCCGCGUCCUCCUUGGCCCAUAUGGACCUCUUCCCGCCGUAACCACGGCUUCCGAGGUGGUGGCGCCCCAUGUUCCUUUGUUGAAGCCCUUUCAUGUACUUCGACUUUUUUUUGGCAGCUUCGGCCUCGCAAGCCGCCUUGAAUUUUUCAAAGUGCUCUCCCGUGAUUGUCGGAUUAUCCUUUACAAUCUCGGAGUAUGGUUCCUUUUUGUCGACAAUCCGAUGUUUCAACCUUGUUUUCCAGGUGGCCAACGUGUCGCUAAACUUGGUCAUGGCGUGUUUGUUUAUCUUCUUCAUUGCCGGGUCCUUAUUUGGAUAUUUAUAAUCCUUUUCAUUCCGGCCCGGGAACAACAAUAUCUGGUGCAGCUUCUUUAGGAGGGAGGACCUCAUAUUAUCUAUCUUCUGUAGUUUCCCAUGGUUGAUCGUGGCAGUUAUCCGUACGAUGCAGCCUAUUUGAUUGCCGUAGCACGAUCGCGCUUCCUUGGGCGCUAUUGUCUGAAAAAUACGGUCGUCCAUCUCCGUGACCACCAGUCUAGUUGUCAUGAGCUGGUUUGGGCGCCGUGGCUUCUUAGCUUUCGGUUCUAGAUCAGCUCCGCUAGUCUCGGCGCCGGUCUCAGUCUCAUCGCCGGUCUGCAUGUCGGUAUCAGUCCCCGAUGCGACAGGUCGGCCCAGCAACAACAUUCGUUGAUCGUCGGCAAGGCUCAAAAAUUCAUCUGCCGCCAGGUAGACGUGUCGCAAUCACCAGAACCCUAUCCUUCAUCAUUGCUAGCCAUGUUUCCUACGAUUAUAUCUAGUCAAUUAAUUCUAGACCUAAUAAAAUGAAUAAUGACAUAAAACAGGCCAAUGUUUUGCAGGAUUACAACUCAACCCAUUGCAGAUUAGAAAACAAUCCCGUGUGAAUGCACAGGCUGACGACUAGUAUAUAUAAAGCUUAAUGGUGCCUAAGAAAGCUCGCACAAUUUUACAGUGGCUAUGGAAAUGUGUUGCCAAACUUUGACAUAAGAUUUUCGUUUGGCAUCCAGAGUUGCAAAACGCUUGUGUUGUCCUUAAUCCAUGGCCACUCUAAUUUUUCCGGCUGGGCCUUCCCUGUGGUAUCGCGGCAAGGCUUGCGUGUGUAUAUGUUUCCUUUAACUACCACUAGCACAUAUGCCCGUGCGUGCGUUGCAACGGGAGAGAUAAUGGCGUAUCCACCAAUAUAUCUAACAGCAUGACCCAACAAUAUCCGAAUGAUGUCACCCGAUGACGGCAGGAAGGCACGCACAGAGGUCUAGUAAAAACUCAUAUCAAUUGUAAGGGCAUGGUUAAUUCGCGUGAAUUCAGGGGUGUGAGAUUAGUUAGUGUUGGUCCCACAAUUGAAUUCGGGGGGUGAUUAGUUAGUGUGGGCCCACCCUCGAAUUCACGGGGGGAGACAAAAUAAUUAGGGUGAGGAGAGAUUUACGGGGCUUGGUCCCCAGAUGCGUUGUGGCAGUCAUUAUUCGAGCAUUGCAAUGCUCGCACGUGACGAGCUCUUUUUCCAAUUGUAUAUUAAGAAGCAUGCUACAGAUACAAUGUUUUUGAUACGUUUUUUGUACAAUGAUCCUGAUCUUAAAGGGCCACCUAAUUUUUAUAUCUUAAAGGCAUUAUUUGUAAGUUGUCGUGAAAAAAAUCUCGCUAAAAGGGUUGUGUUAGACCAUCUUCAGUACAUUAGAAAUAACGAAUUAUAAUUCCUUGGCAUUUGAAGAAACAAUCGCUACUUAUUUACACAUACAAUUCUUUUGGUACGAUUUUGAAAUCUUGAAGGCAUUAUUUGUAAGUUGAAGCAAUUUUGAAAUCUCACUAAAAGGUCUGUUAGACCCUCUAGAGCUUUAGAAAUAACUAAUUAUAAUUUUGCAAAAAAAAGAAAUAACUAAUUAUAAUUCCUUAAGCAUCUGACCGAAACGACCCCGAAUUAUUGUCUGGGUAGUAAUUCCUUUGCAACAUUAUUCUCUCCUUUUUUGAAGGAGCUCUUGCCUGGGUAGUAAUUCCUAUUUGCAAGGUUAUUCUCUCCUUCAUUUUUACAGGAGCUCUCCUUCCUUAUACUAAUUGGUCAUUAUCCUCUCCUUCCUUUUUCUUUUUGCCAAACUCUCUUUCCAUACUUAUGCCGCUAACCACGCCACUCUUUUUCCUUAUUUAUGCCCUUUGAUCACGCCACACAUCUCAUGAAAUCUAAGCCAUAUCACCCAUCUUUUUUCCUUAUUCUCAAAGGCGCUUUCCUCACAAACAGUAGUUCUCUAGGAUGCUUAACGAUUUUGAAACAGAAACAUAUAUAAAUCGGUAGAACGGGUUGUCAAGCAGCGAGGUGGUACUAGUUUAUAAAGAAACAAAUUAACCUUUUCUUUUUGUGUAAUGAUGCCUUGGUUCGGCUGGUUGCUGCCUUUGCCCUUGAUGUGCAGCGUUGGGAAAAGGAUGGGCGAAGUGGACGAACCAAAAACGGACAAAAUUACGGUAGUAAGAAGCGAUAGCCCAUUUAUUAGUAGGUAUAGAUAUAGAUGUCGAGGAUGAGGAUUUACUGCACACAAGUGCGGGGGCACUCAGGUCCUGGUGCCGGCCUUUUAUUUUGGCUUCCGAUUUUCAAACUUCUAUAUCUUUUAAACGAAAAGUUCAAUUUAAGUUACGUUUUCAUAUUCGUGCUUCUCGCGGCCAGCGCUUUCAAAUAAGAUCCAUUUUGCAUACAUUUUGGCUGCUUUUGGAAACAUUGCUAAGUUUCAUUGUUUGAAACUUAGUACGAGCGACCGAUAAAAUUUAAUUAUUUUGUGUCUACGACCAACAGGAGAAAUUGCUUAAAAUUACAUCUUUGAAACUGGUCAUUUUUUUACUGUGUCCUACUUCACGAAUCACGAGGCAAAUCAAGUAGGCGGCAUGCCCUGGCCGGUGAGUGCCAUUGCACUUACUUGCCCCAGCGAUUUUCCGCGUGCAUUGUAGAAUUCUUUCUCCGAGUCCUGUGAAUUAAAGAUGGUGCAGACAAAAGUAUAUCCUAUAUGCGUACAUGUGCAUGAUCAGAACAUGUUUUUACGUGCGUCUACUAUAAAUCAUGACCAUUUUUAACACAAAUCAUGACCAUUCAUGAUUAGUGAAUCAUACUGUCUUAACUUAUGUGAAAUCAUGUGGAGUAAUAUAAUAUAAUACAAUAGAUAGACAGAUCCAUGUUGUAUUAUUUUUUGUUUACAAAAAAAUCUGUAAUUACACAUUUUGAUUUAUGCAUUUGUUUACAAAAAAACAGUAACAUUUCAUGGUGGAAAGUUUGUAUUGUUUCAUACUGAACACCAAUGUUUUCCUGUAAAAGAAAAUAAUGCCUACGCAUAUGCUUUUAUAUUAUUAUUAUUCUUUCAAACUUAUUCAUAUAGUAUUUUUGAUUGUGCAACCAUAAUUUUUAUUAUCUCUCUCGUUCCACUACAUGCUCUUACUCAAUGAUUUUCUUUAUAAUGGGUGUUUUUAUUAACUCAAAAUAUAGCAUCAAGCGGAUACAGAACAUACUGAGCCACACCCGGUCUCUGCAUAACUAAGAUGCACACAGCCAAAAGCGGAAGUCUGACAAAAAUAAGAUAAGAAAAUCGACAUAUCGACAACAGUGAGUCAUAUAGUUCCGACACUAUGCCUCUGUCGAAGGAGGGGGUGGAGCGAUCUAGAGAUUAUGCUGCCUUCCAUGUUGAGUAAACACCUCCCUGGCCACUUGUUCCAACUGCAUAGACGCCGCCACGAAUAACGGUUGGUACUCUGUUCGGUGUAGCAUACACCAUGUAGGAAGUGAGUGCUCACUCCUAGUUACUGAAUUAUGUACACACUAGUAGAAAAAGGCCCAUUUGUCCCGGUUCGUAAGGCCCAUUUGUCCCAGUUGGGGAACCGGGACUAAAGGGUCGGUACUAAAGCCCUACACCUUUAGUCCCGGUUCUUACACCAACCGAGACAGAUGGGGCUCCACGUGGCCGUUGCGGCUUACCGUGGCAGGUGGGCCUUUUGUCCCGGUUGGUAGCACCAACCGGGACCAAUAAGCUACCACGCGUCAGCAUUUGAGGGGCUANNNNNNNNNNNNNNNNNNNNNNNNNNNNNNNNNNNNNNNNNNNNNNNNNNNNNNNNNNNNNNNNNNNNNNNNNNNNNNNNNNNNNNNNNNNNNNNNNNNNNNNNNNNNNNNNNNNNNNNNNNNNNNNNNNNNNNNNNNNNNNNNNNNNNNNNNNNNNNNNNNNNNNNNNNNNNNNNNNNNNNNNNNNNNNNNNNNNNNNNNNNNNNNNNNNNNNNNNNNNNNNNNNNNNNNNNNNNNNNNNNNNNNNNNNNNNNNNNNNNNNNNNNNNNNNNNNNNNNNNNNNNNNNNNNNNNNNNNNNNNNNNNNNNNNNNNNNNNNNNNNNNNNNNNNNNNNNNNNNNNNNNNNNNNNNNNNNNGGUUAAUUUUGGAGGGUUUCAUAUAUUGUGUUAGGUAGCUAAUUAAUUAAUACAGAGAAGUGUCAUCUCUUAUCUCCGUGCUUGGUCGACGCUACGUACUAUACGUACAGAGAGGCCCUCGACACGCUAGCCAGUAAGCAAAUGAAGGAAACCAUUAAGUACAGAAGUUCGUCAUGAACAUAUGCAUACAAACUAAGUGAUAUCGACCUCUCCUUCUCUGAGAGAUAGGUCGAACAACAAGUUUCCGUAUAUCUAUCCGGCGCUACUAGCUACAUAUAUACAAUAUUAAGAUCUCUUACAAUAUAAUCCCCUAAUUAUAUAUGAACUCAGCUUUCAGAUGGUAUUCUCCGGCUUUAUUGAUGACGUGGUCAAGAAAGAAUCCCUCCAAUUCCUCUUGAAUUGCUUUGAUGCGAUCUUCUGGUAGGAGUUCAUCCCGCAUCUGCCACAUCUAAUUUGAAGAAGGGGGUCAAUCACUAGUAGAAUAACAGCCAUUUGUCCUGGUUCGUAAGGCUCAUUCGUCCUGGUUGGGGAACCGAGACUAAAGGGUCGUUACUAAAGCCCUACACCUUUAGUCCCGGUUCUUACACCAACUGGGACAGAUGGGCCUCCACGUGGCCGCUGCGGCGAGCCCAGGCAGGAGGUCCUUUGGUCCCGGUUAGUGGCACUGAUACUUCUCCAACGUAUCUAUAAUUUUUGAUUGCUCCAUGCUAUUAUGUUAUCUAUUUUGGAUGUUAAUGGGCUUUAUUUUACACCUUUAUAUCAUUUUUGGGACUAACCUACUAAUCGGAGGCCCAGCCCAAAUUGUUGUUUUUUUGCCUAUUUUAGGUUUUCGAAGAAAAGGAAUAUCAAACGAAGUCCAAACGGAAUGAAACCUUCGGGAACGUGAUUUUCUCAACGAACAUGAUCCAGGAGACUUGAAGUGUGCGCCAAGAAAGAAGGGAGGAAGGCAAGAGGCAGGGGGCACGCCUACCCCCCUUGGGCGUGCCCUCCACCCUCGUGGGCCCUCCGCUGCUCCAUCGACGUACUUCUUCCUCCUAUAUAUAUCCACGUACCCCUCGAACAUCCAGGAGCACCACGAAAACCUAAUUCCACCGCCGCAACCUUCUGUACCCGAGAGAUCCCAUCUUGGGGCCUUUUCCGGAGGUCCACCGGAGGGGGCAUCGAUCACGGAGGUCCUCUACAUCAACUCCAUGGCCUAUCCAGUGAUGUGUGAGUAGUUCACUUCAGACCUACGGGUCCAUAGUUAUUAGCUAGAUGGCUUCUUCUCUCUCUUUGGAUCUCGAUACAAAGUUCUUUUCGAUUUUCUUGGAGAUCUAUUUGAUGUAACCUUAUUUUGCGGUGUGUUUGUCGAGAUCCGAUGAAUUAUGGGUUUAUGACCCAGAUUAUCUAUGAACAAUAUUUGAUUCUCCUCUAAAUUCUUUUAUGUAUGAUUGGUUUAUCUUUGCAAGUCUCUUCGAAUUAUCAGUUUGUUUUGGCCUACUAGAUUGAUCUUUCUUGCAAUGGGAGAAGUGCUUAGCUUUGGGUUCAAUCUUGCGGUGUUUGAUCCUAGUGACAGAAAGGGAACCGAUACGUAUUGUAUUGUUGCCAUCGAGGAUAAAAAGAUGGGGUUUAUAUCAUAUCGCAUGAGUUUAUCCCUCUACAUCAUGUCAUCUUCCUUAAAGCAUUACUCUGUUCUCUUGAACUUAAUACUCUAGAUGUGUGCUGGAUUGCGGUCGAUGUGUGGAGUAAUAGUAGUAGAUGCAGAAUCGUUUCGGUCUACUUGUCUCGGACGUGAUGCCUAUAUACAUGAUCAUACCUAGAUAUUCUCAUAACUAUGCUCAAUUCUGUACAAUAUGGUGCACGCGGUUACAUCGGCCUGCAAAGACAUUUCUGCGAUGUGAGACAUCCGAAAAGCAACGAAAACGGGAGAUUAUACAUUUAUUGAAGAGGGCCGGAGUGACAGAUACCGUGAGGGUCUCGAGCUCAGCCAAAGACAAAGGACAGAUGAGCACGGCCUAUGUCGGAGCCAGUGCGGGAGCCGGUGCGGGAGCAGGUGCAGGUGCAGGUGCUGGUGCAAUGCUAGUCGAGCUGCUCCUAAAGAAGUCAACAAUGGGAAAGUCCGCUACAUUUUUUCUGGAUUUUGCGUGCUCCAAUUGAAUACAGCUGGAACCAAGACAGUAGACAUAUCUGUUGGAAAUAUGCCCGAGAGCCAAUAAUAAAUUGGUUAUUAUUAUAUUUCCUUGUUCAUGAUAAUCGUUUAUUAUCCAUGCUAGAAUUGUAUUGAUAGGAAACUCAGAUACAUGUGUGGAUACAUAGACAACACCAUGUCCCUAGUAAGCCUCUAGUUGACUAGCUCGUUGAUCAAUAGAUGCUUACGGUUUCCUGACCAUGGACAUUGGAUGUCGUUGAUAACGGGAUCACAUCAUUAGGAGAAUGAUGUGAUGGACAAGACCCAAUCCAUAUCUAGCACAAGAUCGUGUAGUUCGUAUGCUAAAGCUUUUCUAAUGUCAAGUAUCAUUUCCUUAGACCAUGAGAUUGUGCAACUCCCGGAUACAGUAGGAGUGCUUUGGGUGUGCCAAACAUCACAACGUAACUGGGUGGCUAUAAAGGUGCACUACGGGUAUCUCUAAAAGUGUCUGUUGGGUUGGCACGAAUCGAGACUAGGAUUUGUCACUCCGUGUAAAUGGAGAGGUAUCUCUGGGCCCACUCAGUAGGACAUCAUCAUAAUGAGCACAAUGUGAUCAAGGAGUUGAUCAAGGGAUGAUGUCUUACGGAACGAGUAAAGAGACUUGCCGGUAAUGAGAUUGAACAAGGUAUCGGGAUACCGACGAUCAAAUCUCGGGCAAGUAUCGUACCGAUAGACAAAGAGAAUUGUAUACGGGAUUGAUUGAAUCCUUGACAUCGUGGUUCAUCCGAUGAGAUCAUUGUGGAGCAUGUGGGAGCCAACAUGGGUAUCCAGAUCCCGCUAUUGGUUAUUGACCGGAGAGUUGUCUUGGCCAUGUCUGCAUGACUCCUGAGCUCGUAGGGUCUACACACUUAAGGUUCGAUGACGCUAGGGUUAUAGGGAAAGUAUGUACGCGGUUACCGAAUGUUGUUCGGAGUCCCAGAUGAGAUCCCAGACAUCACGAGGAGUUCUGGAAUGGUCCGGAGGUAAAGAUUUAUAUAUGGGAAGUUCCGUUUUGGUCACCGGAAAUGUUUCGGGUGCUAUCGGUAACGUACCGGGACCACCGGGAGGGUCCCAGGGGUCCAUCAGGUGGGGCCACCAGCCCCGGAGGCCUACAUGGGCCAAUAGUGGGAAGGGACCAGCCCCUAGGUGGGCUGGGGCGCCUCCCGACAAGGCCCAAGUCGCCUCCAAGAGGGGAAGGGGGCAAACCCUAGGGCAGAUGGGCCCCAAGGCCCACCCUAGGUGCGCCUCCCCCUCUCCCCCUUGUAGCCGCCACCCUAGAUGGGAUCUAGGGCUGCCGCACCCCUUGGGGUGGGAACCCUAGAGGGGGCGCAGCCCCCUCCCCUCCCCCUAUAUAUACUUGAGGUAUGGGGGCUGCCCAACAUACGAUUUGAUCUCUCUCUUGGCGCAGCCCUACCCCUCUCCCUCCUCGUCUCUCAUAGUGCUUGGCGAAGCCCUGCUGGAGUUCCGCGCUCCUCCACCACCACUACCACGUCGUCGUGCUGCUGCUGGACGGACUCUUCCCAACCUCUCCUUCUCCCCUUGCUGGAUCAAGGCGUGGGAGACGUCACCGGGCUGCAGAUGUGUUGAACGCGGAGGCGCCGUGGUUCGGCGCUUAGAUCGGAAUCAACCGAGAUCUGAAUCGCUACGAGUACGGCUCCUUCAUCCGCGUUCUUGCAACGCUUCCGCUUAGCGAUCUACAAGGGUAUGUAGGUGCACUACCCUUCCCUUCGUUGCUAGGUUACUCCAUAGAUUGAUCUUGGUGAUGCGUAGAAAAUUUUAAAUUUCUGCUACGAUCCACAACAGUGGCAUCAUGAGCUAGGUCUAUGCGUAGUUUCUAUGCACGAGUAGAACAUAAAACAGUUGUGGGCGUCAAUAUUGUCAAUUACUUGCCGUUAGUAGUCUUAUCUUGAUUCGGCGGCAUCGUGGGAUGAAGCGGCCCGGACUGACCCUACACGUACGCUUACGUGAGACUUGUUCCACUGACUGACAUGCACUAGUUGCAUAAGGUGGCUAGUGGGUGUCUGUCUUUCCCACUUUAGUCAGAUCGGAUUCGAUGAAAAGGGUCCUUAUGAAGGGUAAAUAAAAAUUGGCAUACCACGUUGUCGUUUUGGCGUAGGUAAGAAAUGUUCUUGCUAGAAACCUAUAGGAGCCACGUAAAAACUUGCAACAACAAUUUGAGGACCUCUAACUUGUUUUUGCAGCAUGUGCCGUGUGAUGUGAUAUGGCCAAAAGGAUGUGAUGAAUGAUAUAUGUGAUGUAUGAGAUUGAUCAUGUUCUUGUAAUAGGAAUCACGACUUGCAUGUCGAUGAGUAUGACAACCGGCAGGAGCCAUAGGAGUUGUCUUUAUUUAUUUAUGACCUGCGUGUCAACAUAAACGUCAUGUAAUUACUUUACUUUAUUGCUAAAGCGUUAGCCAUAGUAAUGGAAGUAAUAGAUGACAAGACAACUUCAAGAAGACACGAUGAUGGAGAUCAUGAUGAUGGAGAUCAUGGUGUCAAGCCCGUGACAACGAUGAUCAUGGAGCCCCAAAGAUGGAGAUCAUAAGGAGCAAAAUGAUAUUGGCCAUAUCAUGUCACUAUUUGAUUGCAUGUGAUGUUUAUCAUGUUUUACCUCUUAUUUUCUUAGAACGACGGUAGCUUAAAUAAGAUGAUACCUCGCAAUAAUUUCAAGAAAGUGUUUCCCCUAACUGUGCACCGUUGCGAAGAUUCGUUGUUUUGAAGCACCACGUGAUGAUCGGGUGUGAUAUAUUCUAACGUUCAAAUACAACAGGUGUAAGCCAGAUUUACACACACAAUACACUUAGGUUGACUUGAUGAGCCUAGCAUUUACAGACAUGGCCUCGGAACACGGUAGACCGAAAGGUCGAGCAUGAGUCGUAUAGAAGAUACGAUCAACAUGAAGAUGUUCACCGAUGUUGACUAGUCCGUCUCACGUGAUGAUCGGCCACGGCCUAGUUGACUCGGAUCAUGUUUCACAUAGAUGACUAGAGGGAUGUCUAUCUGAGUGGGAGUUCAUUAAAUAAUUUGAUUAGAUGAACUUAAUUAUCAUGAACAUAGUCCAAAUUGUCUUUGCAAAUAUGUUGUGGAUAAAUAGCUCACGCUUUAGCUCCCUGUUUUAAUAUGUUCCUAGAGAAAAGACUAACUGGAAAGAUAUUGUAAGCAUUAACGCUGACUAGGUCUGUUGCCUGAGGAGUGUCCUCACUGCUACACAGAAGGCUUAUGUCUUUGAUGCACCGCUCGGUGUGCCAACCCCUCCGGCGUCGUCUGUGGAUGUUGUGAACACCCGACAGACACAUCCUGAUGACUACUUGAAAGUUUAGUGCACCAUACUUUACGGCUUAGAAUCGGGAUUCCAAUGACGUUUUGAACGCCAUAAGACAUAUGAGAUGUUCCAAGAGCUGAAAUUGGGAUUUCAGGCUCAUGCCCGUGUUGAGAGGUAUGGACCUCUGACAAGUGCUUUUGCCAACAAGAUGGAGUAGAAUAGCUCAGCUAGAGAGCAUGUGCUCGGAAUGUCUGGGUGCUACAAUCACUUAAAUCAAGUGGGAGUUAAGCUUCCAGAUAAGAUAGUGAUUGAUAGAGUUCUCUAGCCACUAUCACUAAGAUACUAGAUCUUCGUGAUGAACUAUGACAUGCAAGGGAUGGAGUUGAUCCCGGAGCUGUUCACGGUGCUUAAGAUCGCAAAAGGUAGAAAUCAAGAAGGAGCAUCAAGUGUUGAUGGUUUAACAAGACCACUAGUUUCAAGAAGGGCAAGGGCUAGAAGGGAAACUUCAUGAAUGGCAAACCAGUUACCAAUCAAGUGAAGGAACCCAAGGUUGAACCCAAACCCGAGACAAAGUGCUUCUAUUGUAAGGGGAACAGUCACUGGUAGCGGAACUACCCCAAAUACAUGGUAGAUAAGAAGGAUGGCAACUUCAACAAAGUAUAUACAUGUUAUUAAUGUGUACCUCACCAGUACUCUUGGUAGCACCUGGGUAUUGGAUACCGGUUCAGUUGCUAUUAUUGGUGACUUGAAGCAAAAGCUACGGACUAAACGGAGACUGGCUAAGGGCGAGGUGACGUUGUGUGGUGGAAGUGUUUCCAAAGUUGAUAAGAUCACCAUCGCAUGCUCCAUCUGCCUUUGGGAUUAGUAUUGAACCUAGAUAAAUGUUAUCAGGUGUCUACGUUGAGGAUGAAUAUGAUUAGAUCAUGUUCAUUGCAAUACGGUUAUUCAUUUAAGAUAGAGAAUAAUGGUUAUUCUGUUUACAUGAAUAAUACCUUUCAUGGUCAUGCACCCUAUGUGAAUGGUUCAUUGAAUCUCGGUCGUGGUAAUACAGAUGUUCACGCCAAAAGAUGUAGAGUUAACAAUGAUAGUACCACUUUCUUGUGGAACUGCCGCUUAGGUCAUAUUGGCAUAAGAUGCAUGAAGAAACUCCAUGUCGAUGGAUGUUUGGAGUCAAUUGAUUUUGAAUCGCUUGACACAUGCGAGCCAUGAUUCAUGGGCAGGAUGACUAAGACCCCGUUUUCAGGUAAAAUAAAACGGGCAAGUGACUUCUUGGAAAUCAUACAUGCUGAUGCAUGUGUUCCAAUCAGAAUUGAAGCGUGCGGUGGAUAUCGCUAUUUUCUCAUCUUCACUGACGAUUUGAGUAGAUAUAGGUAUAUUUACUUAAUGAAGCACAAGUCUGAAACAUUUGAAAAGUUCAAGCGAUUUUAGAGUGAAGUUAAGAACCAUCAUAUAUAAUAAGAAGAUCAAAUUCCUACGAUCUGAUCGAUGAGAAUUUCUGAGUUAUGAGUUGGGCAAUCACUUAAGACAUUGUGGAAUUGUUUCAUAGUUGAAGCCACCUGGAACAACACAGGGUAAUGGUGUGUCCGGACGUCGUAAUCGAACCUUAUGAGAUAUGGUGCGAUCUAUGAUGUCCCUUACCGAUCUACCAUUUUCAUUUUGAGGAUAUGCGUUAGAGAAAGCUGCAUUCACUUUUGAUAGGACACCAUCUAAGUCCGUUGAGAUGACGUCGUAUGAAUAUGGUUUGGCAAGAAACCAAAAUUGUCGUUUCUUAAUGUUUGGGGCUGCGAUGCUUAAGGCUUCAGGCGGAGAAGAUCGAACCCAAAAGAGGACAAACACAUCUUCAUAGGAUACCCAAAGGUGACAGUUUGGUAUACCUUCUAUCUCCAAUCUGAGGGCAAGUUGUUUGUCGCUAAGAAUGGUUCCUUUCUCGAGAAGGAGUUUCUCUCGAAAGAAUUGAGUGGGAAGAAGAUAGAACUUGAUGAGGUUGUCGAACCUUUGUUUCAACCAGAGAGUGAUGCAACACAGAAAGAUGUUUUCUGUGGCACCUACGUCUGUUGAAGAGGAAGUUAAUGAUAGUGAUCAUGAAGCUUCGGAUCAAGUUGCUAUCGAACCUCAUAGGUCGACCAGGAUAUGUACUACUCCUGAGUGGUACGGUAAUCCUGUCUUAGAUAUCAUGUUGUUAGACAACAAUGAACCCAUGAGCUAUGGAGAAGCGAUGGUGGGCCCGUAUUCCGACAAAUGGUUAGAAGCCAUGAAAUCCGAGAUAGGCUCCAUGUAUCAGAACAAAGUAUGGACUUUGGUGGACUUGCCCGAUGAUCGGCGAGCCAUUGAGAUAAAUGGAUCUUUAAGAAGAAGACGGACGUGGGCGGUAAUGUUACCAUCUAUGAAGCUCGACUUGUGGGAAAGAGUCUUUUCACAAGUUCAAGGAGUUGACUACGAUGAGAAUUUCUCACCCGUAGCGAUGCUUAAGUCCGUCGGAAUCAUGUUAGCAUUAGCUGUAUUUUUCGAUUAUGAAAUCUGACAGAUGGAUCUCAAAACAAGUUUUCUUACCAGUUUUCGUAAGAAAAAGUUGUAUGUGAUACAAUAAAAGGUUUUGUCGAUCCUAAGGAUGCUAAAAGGUAUGCUGGCUCCAGCAAUCCUUCUAUGGACUAGAGCAAGCAUCUCGAAGUUGGAAUAUAUGCUUUGAUGGAGUGAUCAAAGCUUUUAGGUUUAUACAAUGUUUGCUAGAAACUUGUAUUUACAAGAAAGUGAGUGGGAGAACUACAACAUUUCUGAUAAGUAUAUGUGGAUGACAUAUUGCUGAUUCAAAAUAAUGUAGAAUUUCUGGAAAGCAUAAACGGUUGUUUGAAGAGUGAUUUUCAAAGGCAGACCUGGAUAAAGCUGCUUACAAAUUGGGCAUCAAGAUCUGUAGAAAUAGAUCAAGACGCCUGAUGAUACUUUCAAAGAACGCACACCUUGACAUGUUUUUGAAGGAGUUCAAAAUAGAUCAGGCAAAGAAGGGGUUCUUACCUGUGUUGUAAGGUGUGAAGUUGAGUAAGACUUGAAAGCUUGACCACGACAGAAGAAAGAGGAAGGAUGAAGGUCAUCCCCUAUGCUUUUGUCAUAGGCUCUAUACGGUAUGCCAUGCUGAGUACCACACCAGAUGAGUGCCUUGCCACAUGUCUGGCAAGAGGGUACAAAGGUGAUCUAGGAGUGGAUCACCAGAUAGCGGUCAAAAUUGUCCUUAGAGGAAUAAGGAAAUGUUUCUCAGUUACGGAGCUGAUAAAGAGUUCGACAUAAAGAGUUACGUCGAUACAUGCUUAAACACCAAUCCGGAUAGCUCUGAGUAGAGAUACCAGAUACGUAUAAUGGAGCAACAAUUUGGAAUAGCUCCAAGUGGAACGUGGUAGCAGCAUCUACGAUAUGACAUAAAGUUUUGGGAAAUACAUAGGGAUCUGAAUAUUACAGACCCGUUGACUACAACCUCUCUCACAAGCAUAACAUGAUCAAACCCAGAACUCAUUGAGUGUUAAUCGCAUAGUGAUGUGAACUAGAUUAUUGAAUCUAGUAAACUCUUUAGAUGUUGGUCACAUGGCGAUGUGACCAGUGAGUGUUAAUCACAUGGCGAUGUGAACUAGAUUAUUGACUCUAGUGCAAGUGGGAGACUGUUGGAAAUAUGCCCUAGAGCUAAUAAUAAAUUGGUUAUUAUUAUAUUUCCUUGUUCAUGAUAAUCGUUUAUUAUCCAUGCUAGAAUUGUAUUGAUAGGAAACUCAGAUACAUGUGUGGAUACAUAGACAACACCAUGUCCCUAGUAAGCCUCUAGUUGACUAGCUCGUUGAUCAAUAGAUGGUUACGCUUUCCUGACCAUGGACAUUGGAUGUCGUUGAUAACGGGAUCACAUCAUUAGGAGAAUGACGUGAUGGACAAGACCUAAUCCUAAGCCUAGAACAAGAUCAUGUAGUUCGUAUGCUAAAGCUUUUCUAAUGUCAAGUAUCAUUUCCUUAGACCAUGAGAUUGUGCAACUCCCAGAUACAGUAGGAGUGCUUUGGGUGUGCCAAACGUGACAACGUAACGGGGUGGCUAUAAAGGUGCACUACGGGUAUCUCUGAAAGUGUCUGUUGGGUUGGCAUGAACCGAGACUGGGAUUUGUCACUCCGUGUAAACGGAGAGGUAUAUCUGGGCCCACUCGGUAGGACAUCAUCAUAAUGUGCACACUGUGAUCAAGGAGUUGAUCACGGGAUGAUGUAUUACGGAACGAGUAAAGAGACUUGCCGGUAACGAGAUUGAACAAGCUAUCGGGAUACCGACGAUCGAAUCUCGGGCAAGUAUCAUACCGAUAGACAAAGGGAAUUGUAUACGGGAUUGAUUGAAUCCUUGACAUCAUGGUUAAUCUGAUGAGAUCAUCGUGGAGCAUGUGGGAGCCAACAUGGGUAUCCAGAUCCCGCUGUUGGUUAUUGACCGGAGAGUUGUCUCGGCCAUGUCUACAUGACUCCCGAGCCCGUAGGGUCUACACACUUAAGGUUCGAUGACGCUAGGGUUAUAGGGAAAGUAUGUACACGGUUACAGAAUGUUGUUCGGAGUCUUGGAUGAGAUCCCGGACGUCACGAGGAGUUCCAGAAUGGUCCAGUGGUAAAGAUUUAUAUAUGGGAAGUCCCGUUUUGGUCACCGGAAAGGUUUCGGGUGCUAUCGGUAACGUACCGGGACCACCGGGAGGGUCCCAGGGGUCCAUCAGGUGGGGCCACCAGCCCCGGAGGCCUACAUGGGCCAAUAGUGGGAAGGGACCAGCCCCUAGGCGGGCUGGGGCGCCUCCCACCAAGGCCCAAGGCGCCUCCAAGAGGGGAAGGGGGCAAACCCUAGGGCAGAUGGGCCCCAAGGCCCACCCUAGGUGCGCCUCCCCCUCUCCCCCUUGUAGCCGCCACCCUAUAUGGGAUCUAGGGCUGCCGCACCCCUUGGGGUGGGAACCCUAGAGGGGGCGCAGCCCCCUCCCCUCCCCCUAUAUAUACUCGAGGUAUGGGGGCUGCCCAACAUAUGAUUUGAUCUCUCUCUUGGCGCAGCCCUACCUCUCUCCCUCCUCGUCUCUCAUAGUGCAUGGCGAAGCCCUGCUGGAGUUCCGCACUCCUCCACCACCACCACACCGUCGUUCUGCUGCUGGACGGAGUCUUCCCAACCUCUCCUUCUCCCCUUGCUGGAUCAAGGUGUGGGAGACGUCACCGGGCUGCACGUGUGUUGAACGCGGAGGCGUCGUGGUUCGGCGCUUAGAUCGGAAUUAACCGCGAUCUAAAUCGCUACGAGUACGGCUCCUUCAUCCGUGUUCUUGCAACGCUUCCGCUUAGAGAUCUACAAGGGUAUGUAGAUGCACUCCCCUUCCCUUUGUUGCUAGAUUACUACAUAGAUUGAUCUUGGUGAUGCGUAGAAAAUUUUAAAUUUCUGCUACGAUCCCCAACAAUAUCUGCAACCACCUGUUUUGCGGCAGCUACUGCUGUCGCGAAUGUCUUAGAUGAUUUCUUCUCAACCGCAAUCUCAACCUUCUUGUCGAUGUUUUCUUCAGUUAACCUCCAUCUUUCCUUUCUCUCCUCCGUGGUCUCACAGUAGUACUUCUUCCACGUGGCCCCGUCUCCGACACCGUGAACGCGUCCAUACGACGACCUAGUCUCCACCGGCAGUCCUUUCAAUAUGUUCAAUGCCCGGGUGAAUGGAGUGUCCCACUUGGGCCUCGCCAACGCCUCAGACGGUGAGUCGCUUUCAGCCACAAUCAUGUGCUUCUCUCUCUACAAAAGGAACAAGGAUCAUUUACAAAUAUGACUAAACGUGCAGUCGAAUUGAUCAGAAACUAAAAUUACCAGCAGUCUCAUGAACUCCGUCGUGAUCGGGUCCGUCUUGAAAACCUUCUUGACCGAGUUCGAAUGGUGUCGUGCCCUGAGGACGUCAUGCUCCUAUGGGACGGUGAAGUCCGCCAAGGGGUCUAGGAUGCCAGACUUUCGUGUUCCGUGUCCUGCUUGGCCCAUAUGGACCUCUUCCUGCCGUAACCACGGCUUCUGAGGUGGUGGCGCCCCAUGUUCCUUUGUUGAAGCCCCUUCAUGUACUUUGACUUUGUUUUGGCGGCUUCGGCCUCGCAAGCCGCCUUUAAUAUUUCAAAGUGCUCUCCCGUGAUUGUCGGAUUAUCCUUUACAAUCUCGGAGUAGGGUUGAUACGUCUCCAACGUAUCUAUUAUUUUUGAUUGCUCCAUGCUAUAUUAUCUACAGUUUUGGACAUUAUUGGGCUUUAUUAUCUACUUUUAUAUUAUUUUUGGGACUAACCUAUUAACCAGAGGUCCAGCCCAGAAUUGCUGUUUUUUUGCCUGUUUUAGGGUUUCGAAGAAAAGGAAUAUCAAACGGAGUCCAAACGGAAUGAAGCCUUCGGGAAUGAGAUUUUCUCAACGAACAAGACCCGGGAGACUUGGACCCUACGUCAAGACAAAANNNNNNNNNNNNNNNNNNNNNNNNNNNNNNNNNNNNNNNNNNNNNNNNNNNNNNNNNNNNNNNNNNNNNNNNNNNNNNNNNNNNNNNNNNNNNNNNNNNNNNNNNNNNNNNNNNNNNNNNNNNNNNNNNNNNNNNNNNNNNNNNNNNNNNNNNNNNNNNNNNNNNNNNNNNNNNNNNNNNNNNNNNNNNNNNNNNNNNNNCACCGACGUACUUCUUCCUCCUAUAUAUACCUACGUACCCCCAAACGAUCAUAUACGGAGCCAAAACCCUAAUUCCACCGCCGCAACUUUCUGUAUCCAUGAGAUCCCAUCUUGGCGCCUGUUCCGGAGCUCCGCCGGAGGGGGCAUCGAUCACGGAGGGCUUCUACAUCAACAGCAUAGCCUCUCCGAUGAAGUGUGAGUAGUUGACCUCAGACCUACGGGUCCAUAAUUAUUACCUAGAUGGCUUCUUCUCUCUUUUUGGAUCUCAAUACAAUGUUCUCCCCCUCUCUUGUGGAGAACUAUUCGAUGUAAUAUUCUUUUUGCGGUGUGUUUAUUGAGAUCGAUGAAUUGUGGGUUUAUGAUCAAGUCUAUCUAUGAAUAAUAUUUGAAUCUUCUCUGAAUUCUUUAAUGUAUGAUUGUUUAUCUUUGCAAGUCUCUUCGAAUUAUCAGUUUGGUUUGGCCUACUAGAUUGAUCUUUCUUACAAUGGGAGAAGUGCUUAGCUUUGGGUUCAAUCUUGCGGUGUCCUUUCCCAGUGACAGUAGGGGCAGCAAGGCAUGUAUUGUAUUGUUGCCAUCGAGGACAACAAGAUGGGGUUUUCAUCAUAUUGCAUUAUUCUAUCCCUCUACAUCAUGUCAUCUAGCUUAAGGCGUCACUCUGUUUUUAACUUAAUACUCUAGAUGCAUGCUGGAUAGCGGUCGAUGAGUGGAGUAAUAGUAGUAGAUGCAGGCAGGAGUCGGUCUACUUGUCUCGGACGUGAUGCCUAUAUACAUGAUCAUACCUAGAUAUUCUCAUAAAUAUGCUCAAUUCUGUCAAUUGCUCAACAGUAAUUUGUUCACCCACCAUAGAAUAAUUAUACUCUCAAGAGAAGCUACUAGUGAAACCUAUGGCCCCCGGGUCUAUCUUUAUCAUAUUAAUCUCCUACUACUUAGUUAUUUCCUUUGCUUUUUCCUUUGUAUUUCCUUUGCUUUUUUCCUUUGCCUUUAUUUUACUUUUCAUCUUUAUCACAAAAAUACCAAACAUAUUAUCUUUAUCAUAUCUAUCAGAUCUCACUCUCGUAAGUGGCCUUGUAGGGAUUGACAACCCCUAUUCGUGUUGGUUGUGAGGAUUUAUUUGUUUUGUGCAAUUACGAGGGACUCGCGCGUAGCCUCCUACUGGAUUGAUACCUUCGUUCUCAAAAACUGAGGGAAAUACUUACGCUACUUUGCUGCAUCAUCCCUUCCUCUUCGGGGAAAACCAACGCAGUGCUCAAGAGGUAGCAAGAAGGAUUUCUGGUGCCGUUGCCGGGGAGGUCUACGCAAAAGUGAACAUACCAAGUACCCAUCACAUACCCUUAUCUCCCGCAUUACAUUAUUUUCCAUUUGCCUCUCGUUUUCACCUCCCCCACUUCACCCUUGCUGUUUUAUUCGCCCUCUCUCUCUAUCCGCCCUCUCUUUCUCUAUUUGCCUCUUUUUUCCCGCUUGCUUUCUGUUUGCUUGUGUGUUAGUUGCUUGCUUGUCACGAUGGCUCAAGAUAAUACUAAAUUAUGUGACUUCACAAUGGCGAAAGCCUGGUUUUCGUCUUUGGCUAAAAAUAGUAUUGAUUCAUGGAAUAAGUGCAAAGAUGCUUUUAUCUCUAAGUAUUUUCCUCCUGCUAAGAUCAUCUCUCUUAGAAACGAUAUAAUGAAUUUUAAGCAACUUGAUCAUGAACAUGUUGCACAAGCUUGGGAGAGAAUGAAACUAAUGGUACAUAAUUGCCCUGCCCAUGAUUUAAAUUUGUGGAUGAUUAUACAAAAUCUUUAUGCCGGAUUGAAUUUUGCUUCUAGAAAUCUUUUAGAUUCAGCCGCGGGAGGCACUUUUAUGGAAAUCACUUUAGGAGAAACUCCUAGAUAAUAUUAUGGUCAAUUAUUCUCAACGGCAUACUGAAAGAUCUAAUAAUAAAAUGGUGCAUGCGAUAGAAGAAAUUAAUGUUUUGAGUGGAAAGAUGGAUGAACUUCUGAAAUUAUUUGCUAAUAAGAGUGUUUCUUCUGAUCCUAAUGAUAUGCCCUUGUCUAAUUUGAUUGGGAAUAAUAAUGAAUCUAUGGAUGUGGAUUUUGUUGGUAGGAACAAUUUUGGUGACAACGCGUAUAGAGGAAAUUUCAACCCUAGGCUUUAUCCUAGUAAUCUCUCUAAUAAUGAUGGUAAUUCCUACAACAAUUCUUAUGGAAAUUAUAAUAAGAUUCCCUCUGAUUUUGAAUCUAAUAUUAAAGAAUUUAUUACUUUGCAAAAGAAUUUCAAUGCCUAGAUUGAAGAAAAAUUGCUUAAGAUUGAUGAUUUGGCUAGGAACGUUGAUAGAAUUACUCUUGAUGUUGAUUCUUUGAAACUUAGAACUAUUCCACCUAAGCAUGAUGUCAAUGAGUCUCUCAAAGCCAUGAGAAUUUCCAUUGAUGAGUGCAAAGAAAGAACCGCUAGGAUGCGUGCUAAGAAAGAUGCCUUUAUAAGAGCGUGUUCUUCUCGUUCCUAUGAAAAUAAUGAUGAAGAUCUAACAGUUAUUGAUGUGUUCCCUAUUAAAUCUUUGUUUUGCAAUAUGAAUCUUGAUAAUGAUGGGACUGAAUAUGAUCCACCUUUACCUAUCAGGCGUUCCAAGAAUUCAGAAUUUGUUGAUCUUGAUGCUAAAAUUGAUAAAGGUGGGAUUGAAGAAAUUAAAACCCUUGAUGUUGCUAAACCCACUAUUAUGGAUUUCAAGGAAUUUAACUAUGAAAAUUGCUCUUUUAUUGAUUGUAUAUCCUUGUUACAAUCCAUGCUAAAUUCUCCUCAUGCUUAUAGUCAAAAUAAAGCGUUUACUAAACAUAUCGUUGAUGCCUUGAUGCAAUCUUAUGAAGAAAAACUUGAAUUGGAAGUUUAUAUCCCUAGAAAGCUUUAUGAUGAGUGGGAAUCAACUAUUAAAAUUAAAAUUAAAUAUCAUGAAUGCUAUGCUUUAUGUGAUUUAGGUGCUAGUGUUUCCAUGAUUCCAAAGACUUUGUGUGAUUUGUUAGGUUUCCGUGAUUUUGAUGAUUGCUCUUUAAACUUGCGCCUUGCGGAUUCCACUAUUAAGAAACCUAUGGGAAGAAUUAAUGAUGUUCUUAUUGAUGCAAAUAGGAAUUAUGUGCCUGUAGAUUUUAUUGUUCUUGACAUAGAUUGCAAUCUUUCAUGUCCUAUUAUUCUUGGUAGACCUUUCCUUAGAACGAUUGGUGCAAUUAUUGAUAUGAAGGAAGGAAAUAUUAGAUUCCAAUUUCCAUUAAGGAAAGUCAUGGAACACUUUACUAGAAAGUAAAUUAAAUUAACUUAGGAAUCUAUUAUGAUAGCCACUUAUGGAUUGCCUACCAAAGAUGGCAAUACCUAGAUCUAUCCUUGCUUGUUAUGCCUAGCUAGGGGCAUUAAACGAUAGCGCUUGUUGGGAGGCAACCCAAUUUUGUUUUUAUUCCUUGAUUUUUGCUCCUGUUUAGUAAUAAAUAAUUUAUCUAGCCUCUGUUUCGGUUGUGUUCUUUGUGUUUAAUUACUGUUUGUGCCAAGUAGAACCGUUAGGAAGACUUGGGGAAAGUCUUGUUACACUUGCUGUAAAAAACAGAAACUUCAGCGCUCACGAGAACUGCUGCCAUUUUUAUUUGGAAGUGCUAUUUAGUUAAUUAUUUCUGCAGAUGAUUAAUACAUAAAUUCCUCACGUCCAGCAAUUUAUUUUAGAAUUUUUGGAGUUCCAGCUCUUGAGCUAGCUACAGAUUACUACAGACUAUUCUGUUUUUGAAAGAUUCUGUUUUUUCGUGUGUUGUUUGCUUAUUUUGAUGAACCUAUGGCUAGUAAAAUAGUUUAUAAACCAUAGAGAAGUUGGAAUACAGUAGGUAUAACACCAAUAUAAAUAAAUAAUGAGUUCAUUAUAGUACCUUCAAGUGGUCUUUUAUUUUCUUUCGCUAACGGAGCUCACGAGAUUUUCUACUUUAAGUUUUGUGUUGUGAAGUUUUCAAGUUUUGGGUAAAGAUUUGGUGGAUUAUGGAACAAGGAGUGACAAGAGCCUAAGCUUGGGGAUGCCCAUGGCACCCCCAAGAUAAUCUAAGUACACAUAAAAGCCAAAGCUUGGGGAUGCCCCGGAAGUCAUCCCCUCUUUCGUCUACUUCUAUCGGUAACUUUACUUGGAGCUAUAUUUUUAUUUGCCACAUGAUAUGUGUUUUGCUUGGAGCGUCUUGUAUUAUUUGACUUGUCAGGACCCCGAUUCCAAGCCACAUCGAUCUAGACGGUAACACCUCAUAUCACUUUGCAGCCUCACGCACGAUAUUCCACGGGUGUCGCAUUACCAUGGCCUGGGACCGUUUGCGCCUUUUGGCUCACGUAUAUGAUAGUGUCGCUAGCAUCCAUAUGACAGAGAACCCGGGCCGACAUGGCUAGUCGUGAACCCAAAGCGGCACAGACCUAUGGAGACAGGCAUACAUGAAUCACAUCGAGCAUGUCGGUCAUCAGCGAGUGAUUCCGGGCUUUAGCACUGGGCUAACAGGACUCCGGGGAACCCGGGCUGUAGCAGGCUAGGCAGGACUCCGGAAGUCACCGCGUGACAUUUCCCCGAAGAGACAGACAUAGGAACAAAGUGAAUCACAUGCUGGCCAGUCAAGUGUCCUGAGCAGUAGUGCUAGGCUAGCAGGACUCUGGUGAACCGGGCUGUAGCGGACUACUAUGGCUCGAGGAACACUAGACUACAUUUCCCCAUAAGAAAGGCUGCCAAGGAUAAACAACUAGAUUUUCGGAUCCCACUCAUACCAAGCAUUUCAAUCAUACACACAAUAUGCCCGAUAUGAGUACAUACAACAUGGCAUCACAACAAAACUCUACAAAUCAAGUACUUUAUUUAAAGGCUCCAGAGAGCCAUACAUAACAUGUUCAUACAGAUAGGGGUCACAUGACCCGACACUCAAGUCAUACAAUCAUACAAGCACAUGCGGAAGCAACCGGUCUGAGUACGGACACUAGAAAGAAAGAAGGCUCCUCGAGGCCUGUUUAUCUACAUAGGGCCCUCCAUGGCCAGGAUCACCACCUGGGUGGCUAGUCACUCGUCGACGUCAAGGUCUACAUAGAACCCAUCGGAGGGGGCGGUGUUGUCGUCUGAAAACAGUAAUUAAGCAAACAUGAGUACAAAGGUACUCAGCAAGUCUUACAACAGAACCUACUAUACAUGCUUAUUCUCAAGAAGGUGGUGGGGAUAUUGCAGCAAGCCAGCUUUGACUCUUGGCUAAACUAUCCUAUGGAACUUCUCUAGUAAAAUAGUUUUCGCACACGAGUCCACUACUCACCAACACAAUACUCCACCGGGGAUCCUCCCUCGUCAUCCUACGAGAGGGCCAUCCUCGGUACUCACACUUAUCUUGAGUCUUUUAGUAGUAUCCAUUUACUUGUCUACGAACUGUAUAGGCAACCAAGUAGUCCUUUACCGCGGACGCGGCUAUUCGAAUAGUUUUAUACCCUGCAGGGGUGUACUUCGUCAUGCACGCUUUCACCACUUAUCGCCGUUUACACGACAUGUACUCGGCAACCUUCAAGCGGAAGCCCAGUGAGGGUGUCGGCCACGGCCUACCUAAACACUUAAGUCUCUAGUCCAGGUUUAUCGCCUAUCCAGGUUCCAUCCGCAGGGAGUCCGGCCGAGGUUUCCACAUACGGCCCGAACGAUGUGAACAGGGUCCCGAGACGCCAAUCGGGCACCCGGCAUACCCGGCCACGGUGUAUCUACCGCAACAUAGCCCACCCCUAGGGUCAGCACUACGCACGGCCGCCAACACAUAACCUACAAGCACCAGAAACUAUUUGCAACUCCUGGACAGAGUACUAGGGUGAUUAAGAAGCCGAGAGGGUCAAUUAAGGAUCCCAAUGCAUGGUAGUAGCUGAAUCUUAAAUCGCACAUACAGAUCUCAGUUCUUUGGGACGGUCUCAAUGAAACAACCCACCAUGUACUCCUACAUGGCCUCUCAUCGAUACCUUUACCAAAACAUGUUCAACACAUUCCUCAUAUUACCGACAUAAUCAUAUCACUCUAGCCCAUCACCCAGAUGAACCAGACCUGACACAACUCUAAGCAUAGCAGGCAUAGCAAGGUAGGAAUCACAGACAUGGCUCAAUCAACUCCUACACAUGCUAGUGGGUUUCAUCUAGUUACUGCGGCAAUGACAGAUCAUGUAGAGGAUAAGGGUUCAACUACCGUAGCACACAGUAGUUUGAAUCGCGUUGUCUUAAUCCAGUAAACAAGAGCAAAGGCGAGAACAUGGGUUGUAUCGGAAUGAUCAAUGGGUUGCUUGCCUGAUGGAGUGGUAGCGGGAUACUGCCCUUCAGUUGGAUACUCGUGAAUAUCCUCGGAGGCAGAACCUACCACGAAGAACACAUCGGAACACAAUCAACACAUGACGAUAUGCAACAAUAUGAUGCAUGCUAUGACAUGGCUAUGGUGUUGGCCUAAUGCAAGCUAAAAUAGAAAGGGAUGAACUCAUUUGAAUCAAAGAUUCAAAUAUUAGCUCAUUAAACAUGGCCUUAAUAGUGGAUUUCCUUAUUCUGCUUAAACAGCAAGGUAAACUUGUUUUUUCAUGCAUGAAACCAUUACAUAUGGAUAGAUUGAAUUUUUCUGAUAAAUUUUUCAUAUAUAAAUUAUUUCAUUUGGAGUUACGGUUGAAUUUCUAUGAUUUUUAGAAGUUUUAAACAUUUUCUGGAAUUUCCUGAAUAAAGAUAAAUCCAGAAAAUGCAUUACUGCAUCAGCAUUGCGUCAUGCUGACCUCAGCAGGUCAAAGGCGCCAGCCCAGGUCAAACCUGACUGGUGGGCCCCUUCUGUCAGUCUCUGAGUUAAAUAACAGGAUUAGAUUAACACUAAUUAGCUGUCAGUGGGGCCUGGGCCCACAUGUCAGUGACUGAUUAAAAUAAAAUUAGUUAAAACUAAUCCUAGAUUAGUUAGCAGACCGGCCCCACCUGUCAUAGACUCAGGGGGGUCUACCUGGGCCCACCCAGGGUCAAACUGGGUCAAACUCACCGGCGUUGAGCAGCCGGCGAGGCCCGAGACGGUGGCGCAGCUCGGAAAACGCCUAUAGGGCAUGAGGGAGGCCGUUCUUGGGCUCGUUGGAGAGCUCUUGCAAUCGCGCAUCUAGUGGUGGUGGUGGCCGAGCCUACGGUGGCCGGAGACGACGACGGCGAGCUCCAAGGCGGCGGCCGGAGUUCGGCCAUGUGCGGGGUGUGGGCUGCGGUGUGCAAACGUGGAAACUGAGGCGCUAGCGAGGCACUACGCGAUGCGGCAAGCAUGUUGCGUAGCACGGGAUGACCAAAUGGUCGCCGAAGCGGCACCGGCGACAAGCUCGAGCGGAGACGAGCUUCGGCCAUGGUGGAACUAUGGCCUAGAGGGUGCAAACGCGUGGAAAAGAAGAGGGGAAAGGUGGGGGAGCUCACAGGGAGGUCGAUGAGCAGCUCAGCGGGCUUGGGGGCGACCGGAGUGAGGCGAAUCGAUGAGCGGUGUCCGGUGGGUACCGAGGUUGAAGACGAUCCGAUGGCGGCGAUGCAGGGCCUCCGGCGAUGCGUGGCUCGGUGGGGAGGGCGAGGGCGUCACGGCAGAGCUUCUGGACAGGUCUGAGAGGCGAGAGGGUGACGGAGGGCGUGACUACGGCGGUGAGAGGGCGACGGGUGCGUCGGCCAUCGCGGGAGAGGGAGAGGGAGACGCGGUGGAGAGUGAGAGAGGAUGAGAGGGGGACGUGGGGGUCGCGUGGCAUUCCCUAGACGUCUCCCGGUGUCGGCGGAAGCAGGAGGUGGCCGGCGUGUGGCCGCGGGCGUCGGCCACGCGCUCCGCGUCCUUCUGGCACGAGGAGGACGACGACUGGCAGCGCCAGUAGGCUGGGCCGAGCCAGGUGGGCUGGCCAGCACAGGUAAGGCCCAGGUGGGCUUCUCCCUCUCUUUUUUUAAUUUGUUUCUGUUUUCUAUUUAACUGUAACUGUUGGGCUUUAUUUAAAAUACUAAAACAUUUCCAAAAAUCCUGAAAAUAAUUGUGGGCUCUAUUUGGAUUAUUUCCAACAGCAAACAUUUAUUUCCAGAAUUAUUUGAGCAUCUAAAUUAUUUAAUAGCAUUUAAAUGUCCAAAUUCAAAUACUUAUGAUUUAAAUCAAUGACCUUCUGUUGACCAAGAAAAAUUGUGCACCAAUUUUGCCAGAGGUUCUAACCCAAGACAAAGAGGGUGAACUUUUUAGAAGGGCAUUUCAGGUUCAUUGAAAAUAAUUUUAGUAAACCCUAGUUGUUUCCAGGGGGGUGUUGGGGGUUUGUGCCUUCCCCAACUCAAAUUUAAGAGGAAUUUAAACAUGAUGCACAUUCUAAUGCUUGAACUAGCUAGGGUGUGACAACUCACCCCCAGUCAAAAGAAUCUCGUCCUGAGAUUUAGGAUCCUCUGGAAAGAAGGUGGGGUACUCGAGUCGAAGACGAUCCUCCCUUUCCCAAGUGGCUUCUUUCUCGGAAUGGUGUGACCAUUGAACCUUGAGAAACUUGAUAUUAUGACGUCGAGUGGUACGCUCGGCUUGAUCAAGGAGACGAACGGGAUAUUAUCGUUAAGAGAGAUUAUCUUGUAGAUCAAGCGUUUUGUGGUCCACUCCACGAAUAGGAUCCGCGAAGCAACGCCUGAGUUGUGAAACGUGGAAGACAUCAUGAACUCUGGAAAGAUGCGGAGGUAGUUCCAAUUGGUAGGCAACUUCUCCUCGUUUGGCAAGAAUGCGAAAGGGUCCAAUGUAACGAGGAGCCAAUUUGCCUUUGAUACCGAAACGAUGGGUUCCUUUUAAUGGGGUAACCCGAAGGUAAGCCUUCUCGUCGACUUCAUAAGUCAUAGGCUUAUGUUUACGAUCAUAUUGACUCUUUUGACGAGAUUGGGCUGUUUUCAAUUUCUCACGAAUAACGCGAACCUGCUCUUCCGCUUCCUGAAUCAUAUCCGGUCCAAAGAGUUGUCUUUCCCCGGUUACUGACCAGUUAAGAGGCGUUCGACAUUUUCGUCCAUAGAGAACUUCGAAAGGAGCUUUGCCCAAGCUAGCUUGAUAACUAUUAUUAUAAGGAAACUCCGCGAAUGGGAGGCAUUUCUCCCAACUCAUUCCGAACAAGAUAACAUAAGCUCGGAGCAUAUCUUCCAGAAUUUGAUUGACUUGCUCUACUUGACAACUUGAUUGAGGAUGGAAGGCUGUACUAAAAGAGAGACGAGUUCCCAUAGCAUUUUGGAAACUUUCCCAAAAUCGAGAGGUGAAGAGACUCCCACGGUCUGAGUUAAUUUCCAAUGGGACACCAUGGAGAGACACUAUUCGGGAGAUGUAUAAAUCGGCUAGCUGGAUAGCAGUGAUAUUCUCACGAACAGGUAGGAAAUGGGCUACUUUGGAAAGACGGUCGAUCACGACGAAGAUGGCAUUAUUCCCUCUCUUGGUCCUGGGAAACCCAGUAAUGAAAUCCAUACUGAUUUUAUCCAAUUACCAUUCAGGAAUAGCCAAAGGUUGAAGGGUGCCAGCAGGCCGUUGAUGCUCUGCUUUAACACGACGACAGACGUUGCAGCUAGCAAUGUAUUGAGCGAUUUAUCUCUUCAUCCUAGUCCACCAAAACCUGUGGCGUAGGUCUUGAUACAUUUUAGUGCUACCGGGAUGAAUGGUGAGAGGGGAUUCAUGAGCUUCCUUAAGGAUCAAUUGGCGUAGAUGUUGUUUCUUGGGAACCACCAAACGAUUCUCAAAGAAGACAGCACCCCGCUUAUCCAUGAAAAAACAUUUAGCAACUCCACUAGUAAUGUUUUCCUUAAUCCGGGAUAUGCCCUUAUCAUACCACUGGGCGGUUAUGAUCUGAUCCAUAAGGUUAGGUUUCGCCACCAGGGUGGAUAGGAAUCCUCGAGGAACAAUGUGAAGAUUAAGCUUACGGAAUUCCUCAUGCAGAAGUGGUUGACUUUGUUGUAACAUCGGGUUGUUACAAUAGUAUUACGGCUUAGCGCAUCAGCCAUGACAUUGGCUUUGCAUGGGGUGUAGGUUAUUCCUAAGUCGUUAUCCAAGAUCAACUCAACCCAACGUCUUUGCCUGAGAUUCAAAUCUGGUUGGGUGAAGAUAUAUUUCAAGCUUUGGUGAUCGGUGAAGAUCUCGCAACGAUUACCGAGGAGGUAAUGUCGCCAAGUUUUAAGUGCAUGGACUACAGCUGCCAGCUCUAGAUCAUGUGUGGGAUAAUUUUCCUCAUGUGGGUGUAAUUGCCGUGAAGCGUAGGCAAUUACCUGAUGAUCUUGCAUGAGUAUGCAACCUAGUCCUUGUCGCGAGGCGUCGCAAUAGAUAAUAAAGUCCUUGGAGAAAUCCGGUGGUACCAGUACGGGAGAAGAUGUCAGGCGUCUUUUCAGUUCCUGAAAGUUGAACUCGCACUGUGGAGUCCACUCAAACUUUUUAUCUUUCUUGAGGAGUUCAGUUAGAGGUUUAGCAACCUUGGAUAAAUUCUCGACGAAGCGGCGGCAAUAGCUCGCUAAGCCAAGGAAGCUCCGAACUUGCUUGACCGUCUCAGGUGGAGUCCAAUCAAGGACGGCUUGAACUCGCUCGGGAUUGACGGCAAUACCCUUACCAGAGAUUACAUGGCCUAAAUAGGUUACUUCUGGCAACCAAAAUCGACACUUGGAGAACUUGGCAUAAAGGCGAUGCUCUCGAAGUUUCAUCAAUACCAGCCUUAGAUGUUCGGCAUGUUCCUCUUCAUUCUUGGAGUAGAUGAGUAUGUCAUCGAGGUAUACUACGACGAAUUUAUCCAAGUACUCCAUGAAAACCGAGUUCAUUAACCGGGAGAAGGUAGCCGGGGCAUUGGUUAAACCGAAGGACAUAACGGUGUACUCGUAUUGGCCAUAACGAGUAACAAAGGUCGUUUUGGGAAUGUCCCCGUUUCUGAUUUUGAUUUGAUGGUAGCCCAACCUCAAAUCCAUCUUGGAAAAGACUGAGGAUCCAGCGAGCUGAUCAUACAGAUCAUUGAUCCUGGGAAGCGUGUAUUUGUUCUUGAUGGUGACCAAGUUGACAGGUCGGUAAUCCACAACCAUUCGAUCUGUUCCAUCCUUCUUCUUGACGAAGAGGAUGGGGCAAGCCCAAGGAGAGGAACUAGGACGGAUGAAACCCUUUUUCAAGGACUCAUCGAGUUGGUUCUUAAGCUCGGCUAGUUCUAAGGGUGCCAUCUUGUAGGGUCUUCUAGAAAUUGGAACGGUUCUUGGAACAAGGUCUAUCACAAACUCGACAUCCCUGUCAGGUGGAACACCUGGCAGUUCUUCUGGAAAGACAUCCGGAAAGUCUCGGACUACCGGAACAUCCUCAAGGUCUAGAAGGGGGUUGAUAUUUAGGGAGUAAAGUUGGCGCUUGGCCACUCGAGUUAAGACAUUAACUGUCUUGCCCGAUGGGUAAGUUGAACGGUUCUAGUGGCACAGUCAAUCUUAGCAUAAUGAGCUGACUUCCAGUCCAUACCUAAGAUGAUGUUUAUGUCCGAGGACUUGAGAGCUAUUAAGGCUGCAAGGAAGACAAGUCUAUCGACAAGAAUUCGUUCCCAUGGCUUACUCUAGAAGUUUGCCAUCUAGAGCCAGGGGUUUGAAUUUCCAUGGUAGAGGGCAUGUCACAGAAUGUGGUGUUGUGCAAUCGAGCAUAGUUCUCGGAUAUGAAUGAAUGAGAUGCUCCAGUAUUGAAAAGAACAGAUGCCGGAUGGCAGUUAACAAGGAGCGUACUAAGGACGACGUUGGGAUCCUCAUGAGCCUCCUCGGCUGAAACAUAGUUGACAUGGCCACGUGCAGUGGUGGCCGGCUUGGCGUAGAAUGUUUUUCCGACGGGCUUACCACGGCCAACGGACUUUCCAGUUUGAUUGGGGUUGUUGUUCUGGGGACACUCUCGGCUAUAGUGACUCGGCUCUCCACACUUAAAGCAUGUCACCACAUUGGGGCGUGGAGCAGCAUUAGCAGCGGGGCCACCAUAGGGCUUGGGCGGUGCAAAUUGCUGGUUGGGACGUGGUACCUCAAAGGAUGGCCUCGGGAUGAACCUGGGUGGCAGUGCCGUGCUUGGAAUCCACACCCGGCGCUUCUCAGCUCCAGAGCCAGAUGAAGAGCCAAAAUCACGGGAGUGCUUGCGUGAAGCGUCAUAAUCAGUCUGGCUUGUCUCAGCACUGAUGGCUUUAUUGACCAACUUCUGAAAGGAGGUGCACUCGUGCAGAUGAAGAUCGCGGCGAAGCUCAGGGCUAAGUCCCUUGCGGAACCUUGCCUGCUUCUUAGCAUCAGUAGAUACCUCUUCGGGGGCAUAACGUGCCAGAUUCCCAAAUUCACGACUGUAAGCAUCCAUAGUCAGUCUUCCUUGGGUGAAGUUGAAUAACUCCUCCCUCUUGCGAUCCAUGAGACCUUCCAGAAUGUGAUGCUCACGGAAAACCUCACUGAAUUCAGCCCAAGUAGUGAUUUGGCCGACUGGGCGCAUAGCUUCGAAGUUUUCCCACCAAAGGCUAGCAGGGCCUUCGAGGUGAUAGGCAGCAUAAGUAACCUUCUCGGCUUCGGCUACGUUGGCAGAACGUAGCUUGUGGGUGAUGCUGCGAAGCCAGUCAUCCGCGUCGAGGGGCUCGACGGAAUGGUUAAACUUUGGUGGGUACAGCUUGAUAAAGUCAUUGAUUGACACCAAGUCAUUUUGCGGGUGGCGUGAAGUGUUUUGCUCAAUCCGCUCCAGCAGGCGGUUGGUCUCACGCUUGUUUCUUUCCGCCUCCAGCAUUACUUCAGCCAAAGAAGGCAUGUGAGGCAGAUUUUCACCUCUAGCAGCACUGGCUUCCCCCUGCUCCGGGGCUGCAGGGUUGCUGCGGGUGUUGACCAUCCUAGGAGAAAACAAGACAACGGUUUAGACAAGGAUGGCUCAAACUUAGCAAGGAAGUGCAUAAUGUAAUGGAUAACACGGAAUGCAGAGAUGUUCAUCCGUAUGUCAUGGUAAUAUAAAACUGCAAUAUAUAUACCAACGGUCAUACACAUCAUACAUAGUUUAGUACAAGCCCAGGCUACAGUACAACUAUGAUGAAAGACGUUACAUCUCAUCGGAGGCAUUCCAAGAUCCUAUACAUUAUUGUCUACACCUCCGGAAUUGAUUACACGCAAAGUCAUAUUCCACAAGUCACGCAGGACAGUGGAGAUACAACUACUACAAUACUAGUGGUACUACUAUGUCACGACCGGUUUUCCAAUAAAAAUAUUUAUUGAGAAACCAAUCUUUUGAGUCCAGUAUGAGGGAAAUCCUCCUCACUGGUAGACAAAAUUCUUGAUACAAUAAGCCAGUAGCAAAGAAUAUAUUACAAGGUUGAGCUAGGGCUGCUCAACAAUUUAUAACAAGCGCGCCAACAAUUAUAUAUAAUGGCGGAUAUACCACAAUGGUGUGGUGGCAUACUACUGACUCGGGGAUAAAGUGAUGGUGGAAUAACACAGUGGGGAGUGUGAUAACAUGACUCUCAAACUGGCAUCUCAUCGAGCGUCGAGGUGAGGCUCGAUGAAUUUUAUUCGGGUUGCGGAAGCGAAUAUAAUACAUUGACCGAAUCCAGGGUCGCACGAGACUGAUUGGGACUCCUCUAGGCGUCGGACUCGCUAUCGAACUAUUCAUCCAUGAGAUCGCCUUCGUCAGCAUCUGGCCAAAUCAACAAGCCAGUGAGUACUUUGAUAGUACUCGCAAGACAGUUUGGACUUAAGAUAUAACAAAUGCAUGCAUGAAUGCGUCAUGAUUAAUUCACCAAAUGUGCAUUCCAAAAAUUAGCAUAACAAAGCAAGUAAAAGGGAAACGGCGGUAGUCCGCCUGAAAUCCCAACAAAAGCAUAAAUGAAAACCGAUCGGGUGUCUGAAGCGAUGCCUCGAAAGGUGAACAAAUAAAUAAAGGAGAAAGUCAUGCCACAGUCGGGCGUCUUCACGACACCACAUAAAGGGCUUUGAAAGAAAUGCCACAGUCGGACGUCGGGGCGACAUCACAGAAAGGGCUUUAAAAGAAAUGCCACAGUCGGACGUCGGGGCGACAUCACAGAAAGGGCUUUAAAAAAAUGCCACAGUCAGAANNNNNNNNNNNNNNNNNNNNNNNNNNNNNNNNNNNNNNNNNNNNNNNNNNNNNNNNNNNNNNNNNNNNNNNNNNNNNNNNNNNNNNNNNNNNNNNNNNNNNNNNNNNNNNNNNNNNNNNNNNNNNNNNNNNNNNNNNNNNNNNNNNNNNNNNNNNNNNNNNNNNNNNNNNNNNNNNNNNNNNNNNNNNNNNNNNNNNNNNNNNNNNNNNNNNNNNNNNNNNNNNNNNNNNNNNNNNNNNNNNNCGGACGUCGGGGCGACAUCACAAAAAGGGCUUUAAAAGAAAUGCCACAGUCGGAUGUCGGGGCGACAUCACAAAAAGGGCUUUAAAAGAAAUGCCACAGUCGGACGUCGGGGUAACAUCACAGAAAGGGCUUUAAAAGAAAUGCCACAGUCGGACUUCGGGGCGACAUCACAGAAAGGGCUGUAAAAGAAAUGCCACAGUCGGACGUCGGAGCGACAUCGCAGAAAGGGUUUUAUUCACAAGUAAAUAAUAAUCAUAAUAAAUAUUCAAUUCAUGAUAAUAAACAGGUUAGUCCAUCCACAGGAAUAACAUUUAGCCGGGCUUAGCACUCAUGGGAUUCACCGGAGUCUCUGUCAUCAAACUGAUACUGUUAGGCCAAGAUGAUACGAAUUUGGACAUGGAAUAGAUGAUUCAAGGAAUGUAUGACUCUGCAGAGUUUGUACAAAAUUUUUUCCCACAGCCAACGGAUUUCCGUAGUCACGAGGGACUAGUUCCGUUUACGGUUUUUCGGAAGAAAACACAGCUAACCAAUACACACCCAUCCUACCUCUCGAUGCCAGGACUCACCCUAGACAUCGUCCAAGAAAAACUUUUGAGACGGGGAGAUCACAAUCUCGAAUAGCAUGGGAUCAAAUUUAUAUAUGCGCGCUCUAAGGGGUGCCCCCCUCUCGGUCCCAACCGGAAACACCCAUGCCCCCUGACCGGAUGACUGGCUUUAAUCCAGGGCCAUGGAACCAUCAUCCUGGCCUCUCCUUUUGGUGUGUACCAGGAAAGCGGUUUGCAACUUACUAAGCCAUAUUCCUUGCGAAAAACAUGUGGUAGUACAGGGAAGGAAAUGGGAGGAACUGGACUGGUACGGUUUGACCCUGAAGUCAUAUAGUCUGGCAUAAGACUGGCAUGCUACAACACUGCCAUCUUACCCAUCCUCAUGCCAACACAUGGCCAUUCAUACUCACAUCCAUCCACUUAUGGAUCAUCGAACUCACUUACCUCAACAUUUCAUAAAAAAAAUAACGUUCAUCGGUAUGCUCAUCAACAUGCCAUGAAACUAACUAAAUGCAAAACAUGCCAAGACACUCAUCAUAUCAAAAGUUCAAACAUGCUUGCCUGGUUCAGAGUAGUCGGAGCCUAGCUCGGUGAAGUUCGCGGCUCCGUCACCUCCUUCGGUAUCUAUGGUAUAAAGAAAAUAUAUGCGCUAUCGUAAAUUCCAAGAGGUGCACAGAAAGUAUUCCAAAUAUUUUUCAAAUAAAUAUGAUAAAAAACUAGACAAAAAUCUGAAGAGGACAGGAAAAGAAUCACUCAAAAAUUCCUUUCUGUUAAAAAGUUAUAAGGGUUUUAAUCCAAGGACUUAUCUGUAAUGAAACAGAAAGUUUCCAGGGGCUAGUUUAUAAAAACAGAAAACGCUUCGGCAGAAACUACGCCAGCCCAGAGGGAAGGCGCAUUUGGCAGAAGGCGUUUUCAGAAAACGAUUCGCUUAGACAGGAUAGAGAGGCUGACAGCGGGUCCCGCCCGUCAGGUUUAAACUUUCAAACGGGGGGGGGGGCAGAUUUCGCCGGUGCCCGAGAGCCGCGGUGGUCGCCGGCGGCGAUCCACGGCCAGGCAGGGUGAUCGGAGAUUACCAACGUGCUCACCGUGUCCUUCCGCAAUGGUGGGUGGUGGUGUUGGUCGCCGGUGAGCACCACGUCGACGCAGAGCUUGGUCGGGAAGGUUUAGGGAGUUGGGCGUCAUCGCGAAGUUGCACCGGUUCCAUUUAGGUGCUAAGCGAGCUUGGAUUGGGGUGCUAAGGGCGAAGUCGACGGAACGGGGCGGCGCGGGCCCGUCGGCGGCAGGGAGCAUGUUUCGUGCUUGCCGGGCCGCAGUGAUGGUGCCACGGGCGUGCGCUGGCAUGCAUGAGGACAUGCGGAGAGCCAGGGAGCUUUGGGUGGCGCCGAACGGCGUUCUGCCGUGGUGUGCCUUCUGUCGGCCGCCACAGGAGGUCCCGACGCCGCAGAAGACGCCGGCGAGGGCGGGCCAGCGCGCCACUGACGCCAGGAAAGCUCCAAGCACGCGUGUGAAGCUCCGGACAAGAGGGAGGGGCUGCGAGCAUCGAGCCAAAGGCACUGUGAGCAUAUGCCUGAAACUCUGAAGAAAACGACACUGUAAAACUGAAUUUUACUGAACUUUUCUGAAAAAUGCAAAGAACAGUGCAGCUCAGGUGAUCGACAGAAUGUUUUUGGCAUCUAGGGAUUUUUCCUUGAGCUAAAACUUGGUGGAGUGGCCUCUCAUUGCUCCAGUAGGCUGCCUGAAUUUUGGUGGAAUUUUUUUGGAGAAGUGUAGAUAUGAAUUUCACCAAAUUUGGCAAAUCUGGUCCAAACUUGCAGUGAGUGAAAUUGAAAUAUUUGAAAAGAAUAAGAGUGGAUCAAGAUGGUUCUAGGUUGUGGGUACUAAAGACAAUCCAGGGAAGUUGGUUUGGGAUAAAAACUCAAAGGCAAAGUGAUACUUGCUUUGAAAAUCACUUAAGCUCAAAAUAAAUGGCAGAAAUGUUUUGGGGGAUAAAAUAAUUGAAAUAAAAUCCAAAACUUGUUUGGACUUGUUGAGACAGAGAAUUUAGAUUGUUCAAAGGUGGAGGGAUGGAUUUUGAGAGGAUUUACUAUAGGAGACAUGGUAAAACCAUGGGUGUUUUCAAAAAGAAAGAAGUCCCAAAACUCCUAGGGUUUCCUUUUUUUUGAAAAAAAUAAGUUUGAGAGGGUAACAACCAGAAGGAAAAGCUCCCAAAAACUUCAACACCAAAUUUGAAAAGGGAAAAGAAAAUCCUUGACAAAGGAAAGGAAGUUUUUAAGAGGAAGGAUUUCUGGAAAAGAAAUUUUUAAAAAACCCUCUUUUAAAAUCCAACAAGGUUUUGAUAAAAACCAAAUUAAAAUUUUGGAGUGUCACAGCACUUACCCCCUUAGGAAAAAUCUCGUCCCCGAGAUUUCAGCUGAUCCUUAAAUAAGCGAGGAUGCUCUGUCCGAAGAAAAUCCUCUCUUUCCCAAGUUGUUUCACUGUCGGUGUGAUUGCUCCACUGGACUUUGAAAAACUUGAUGGUCUUCUGUCGGGUCCUCCUUUCAGACUCCUCUAAUAUUCUUACAGGACGUUCCCGAUAAGUGAGGUCUGGCUGCACGUCGAUGUUCUCAUGGGAUACUUGUUUCUCUGGGUUGCUUACGCACUUCCUCAAUUGCGAGACGUGGAACACGUCGUGGACAUCGGAUAAUUCCUCGGGUAAGUCUAGCUGGUAGGCUACCGUGCCUCUUCGUGCCCUUAUACAGAAAGGUCCGAUGAAUCUUGGUGCUAGCUUCCCUUCAAUCUUGAACCAUUGCAAUCCGCUCAUAGGGAUACUCUUAGGUAUACGAACUCACCGGGUUCGAAGCUGACCCCACGAUGUUUCUGAUCGUAAUAACUCUUCUGUCGACUUUGAGCAGUCUUAAGUCGGUCUCUGAUUAGUUUGACUUUUUCCUCGGCUUCUCUGAGCAUGUCUGGUCCGAAGAUGCGGCUGUCUCCGGUCUCUGACCAAUUUAACGGGGUACGACAUCUUCGUCCGUAUAAGGCCUCAAAUGGUGCCAUUUGCAGGCUGGCCUGGUAGCUAUUGUUGUACGCGAACUCGGCGUAUGGCAGGCUUUCUUCCCAACUAUUUUCAUAGGUGAGGACACAUGCUCUCAGCAUGUCUUCUAAAACCUGGUUUACGCGUUCUGUUUGCCCAUCGGUCUGUGGGUGGUAUGCGGUACUGAAGGCUAGUUGGGUUCCCAGAGCCUGUUGUAAAUGCUCCCAAAAGCUCGAGACGAACUGAGUGCCUCUGUCGGACAUUAUAGUCUUCGGGACACCGUGCAGACAAACUAUGCGGGAAAGAUAAAUCCUGGCAAGCCUCUGAGUGGUGUGGGUCGUCUUUAUUGGAAUAAAGUGUGCCACUUUGGUUAACCUAUCAGUGAUGACCCAUAUGGCAUCAUUCCCGUGUCGUGACCGAGGUAGUCCGACAAUGAAAUCCAUCCCUAUUUCAUCCCAUUUCCACUCAGGUAUUUUGUUCGGUUGCAGUAGUCCGGCUGGUCUCUGAUGCUCAGCUUUUAUGCGUUGACAUGAGUCGCAGCGCGCAAUGAAGGUGGCUAUGUCCCUCUUCAUACUGUGCCACCAAAAUCUUUCCUGAAUAUCUUUAUACGUUUUGGUUCCUCCAGGGUGGAUCGAGUACGAGGCGGUGUGGGCUUCAGCUAAAAUUUGCUAUUUAAGGUCUUCUAUGUUUGGCACGCAGAGUCUGUCUCCGUACCAUAAUAUUCCUUCAUUGUCUAUGACUAAUUCCGAGGCUUUGCCCAUACUCACCUUUCUUUUGAUGCCUUCGAUGCUGGGGUGACCGGGCUGAGCUCCUUUAAUUUCCCCCACAAGGUCGGGUUGUAUUUCCAAGUUUGAUAUGGUGCCUUCUGCUACCAUCAUCAAGUUGAGCUUGGCAAAUUCUUGUUGGAAUUCGGGCCUCAAUCUGUGCAAAUUGUUGUCGUCGGAGCUGGGAUUCCGACUAAGAGCAUCGGCCACUACAUUUGCUUUUCCUGGAUGGUAAUGGAUACCAACAUCAUAAUCCUUUACCAAUUCCAACCAACGUCGUUGCCGUAAGUUUAGUUCUGGCUGUGUGAAAAUAUAUUUGAGGCUUUUGUGAUCCGUAUAUAUUUCACAUCGAUUCCCAAGUAAGAAAUGCCUCCAUUCCUUGAGUGCAUGAAUAACUGCUGCCAUUUCUAAGUCAUGAGUGGGAUAAUUUUCCUCAUGCUUACGAAGUUGCCUUGAAGCGUAGGCGACAACCUUGCCUUCCUGCAUCAACACGCAUCCGAGGCCCUUUCUGGACGCGUCACAAUAUACUUCAAAAUUCUUGUGUAUGUUGGGUACAAUUAAUACCGGUGAUGUCGUUAAUUUCCGUUUUAGCUCUUGGAAACUUUUCUCGCAGGCUUCUUUCCAUUCAAACUUCUUGUCUUUCUUGAGUAACUGUGUCAUAGGCUUGGCUAUGGUGGAGAACACUUCAAUAAAACUGUGGUAAUAUCCUAACAUUCCCAAGAAACUUCGUAUGUCCGUUACGCUGGCUAGUGACAUCCAGCCAAGUAUGGCCUUGACUUUCUCUGGGUCCACUGCGAUACCGUCUUGGGUCAGUACGUGGCCUAGAAAGCCUACUUUUCUUAGCCAAAAUUCGCACUUGCUGAACUUGGCAUACAAUUGGUGUUUUCUGAGCUCUCCUAGCACAAUCUUGAGAUGUUCUGCGUGCUCUUCUGGUGUCUUGGAGUAUACCAGAAUAUCGUCGAUGAAUACCACGACGAACUUGUCCAUAAACUUCAUAAAUACUUUGUUCAUGAGGUGAACAAAAUAUGCGGGGGCGUUAGUUAAUCCAAAUGGCAUCACUGUGAACUCGUACAGUCCAUAUCUGGAGGUGAAGGCUGUUUUGGGAAUAUCUUCUGUUCGCACCUUUAAUUGAUGGUAUCCUGACCUUAAGUCAAUUUUUGAGAAUACCUUGGCCUGAGCGAGUUGAUCAAACAAAUCGUUUAUCCUUGGCAUCGGGUAUUUGUUCUUGACUGUGACCAUGUUAAGUGCUCGAUAGUCAAUACACAAUCUCAGUGUUCCAUCCUUCUUUUGGCAAAUAAAAUUGGUGAUCCCCAAGGUGAGGAGCUGGCUCGAAUGUAUCCUUUGUCUAGCAAUUCCCUUAUUUGUUUCUUCAACUCAACUAAUUUGGAUGGUGCCAUUCGGUACGGUUUCUUGUAUAUGGGGGUGGUUCCUAGUGCGAGCUCAAUGCUGAACUCUAUCUCUCGGUCUGGUGGCAUGCCUGGUUGCUCUUCAGGGAAUACGUCUGGAAAUUCACACACUACUGGAACCUUGUUUAGCUCAGAAAUGUCCACCUUAUUCAAUCUCGGUUGGCAGGGUAUUUUUCCUUCCUUGGCUGAUACUCUUAUUGUCUUCCCUUGGUGGUGUGUGAGAAUUACGGUCCUGUUGAAACAGUCGAUAAACCCCUUGUUGGUGGUUAGCCAAUCCAUCCCUAGGAUGACAUCCAGUCCUUUAUUUUCCAACACAAUAAGAUUUGCGUGAAACUCCAAUCCUUCGAACUCAAUGACCACAUUCUGACACUAAUUCUGAGUAACUUGCUGAAUCCCAGGGGACUUGAUGAUCAUGGAUUUCUCCAAAGGAAGCAUCGAAAAAUUAUUUUGCAAAGCAAAACUUUUCAAAAUGAAAGAGUGAGAAGCUCCAGAAUCAAACAAAACCGUUGCAGGUAUUGUGUUGACAGGAAACGUACCGAGUACGAUAUCCGGAGCAUUUUGUGCCUCCUCUUUGGUUACGUGGUUCAGAUGAUCCUUCCUGUGGUUGUUGUUGGGAUUGAAAUUGUUUCGCUUGGGCACUGAAUUACUGCCGCCGUUGUUCGGCUUUGGGGUUGAGUUCCUUGGCUUGGGGCACUGUUUGGCAUAGUGCCCUUCUUCUCCACAAGUGUAACAAGUAACGCCGGGGCGAUAUGUGAACUCCUUGUCCCUUGCAUGAAAAUUCUUGAUUGGGAGUGAGACGUUGGAUGAGGAUUUGUGCGUCCCACCCUUUUUGAAAUCUGUCUUGCUCCGGUGAUUGCGAGCAAGGUUAGUCUGGUCCCUUUUUCGCUUGCGGAUAUCUUCCAGACUGCGUCUCUCAUUCUCCAGAGUAAUGGCUUUGUCCACCAGUGUUUUAAAAUCAGGAAAAGUGUGCACGACCAGUUGGCAUUUAAGCGCGGGCACCAUACCGUCAAGGAAUUUCUCCAUCUUCUUGCUUUCAGUCAUACGCUCUUCAUUGGCGUAGCGGGACAAUAGAGUAAAUUGACUGUUGUAAUCUGACACUGUCAUGUUCCUUUGCUUGAGGUCGUCGAACUCUCUCUUCUUGAUUUUCAUAAUACUCUUAGGAAUGUGUGCACCACGGAAACCUUCCUUGAAAUCAUCCCAGGUUAUGUCAUUUUCAUUGGGAUGCAUGUGCAGAAAAUUCUCCCACCACGAUGCGGCUGCUCCUGUGAGAUAGUGCGGAGUAUACAGUGCUUUUUCGGGGUCUGAACAUUUUGCAAUAUCUCUAAGCCAGUCCUCGGCUUCAAGAGGUUUGUCAGUGUGAGAAAAUGUUUGGGGACGUGUCUUCUGAAGCUUAGAUAACUUGGAUUGCUGCUGAUACUGUCCAUGGUGAUUCCCCAUGUUGAUGACUUGGUUCAUCAUUUCACGAUGUUGUUGCUGACUUUGUUCAUAUAGGCGGCACAUUUGGGAAAGUGUCGUUUCACUGUCCUGUUGACUCGACUGCCCUUGUGUGAAAUUGUUGCCUGGUUGAGUGUCAUAAUUUUCCUCUGGUGGAGUAGGCAUGGAGCGAGUCCAAGGACGAGACAUUUUUCACUAUGGGGAUAUAAUUUGCAAAACUCAUAAGAAAAGCGAAAAUGGUCGCAAAAACAAAUCCAAAAUUGCACAAGGAUGGCAAAUAAUUUAAAUGACCAAGAUCACUUAAGAAAACAAAUCGAAUUGCGCACGGAGAAGGACUGCUCAUUACAUAUCUUACACGCGGGCGAUAAUUAUACAAUACAUCACUCAGGAUAUGUGUACAUAAUCCUGACAUGUUAUUUAGGCUAGUGCACUUCUCUAGUUCCUACAUGAUGCGCAAACAAGCUACUCCUCACAACCUAUGUACAUAUCUUACAAAGCGGUACAUCGCAUGACGGGCAAGCGCACUCAGCCGGAAAUGUUGACGAUCUCCUUGGCCCUGCCAAGGGUGAGGCGCAGUGAGGCUGGGGACUCGACCUCCUCCUCACUAAUAGGCUCCAGACGUGAAGAGCUGCGUCGGGUAGAUGGAGCGGGUGCCAGGGGCGGAGCAACACGAAUAGGAGUAGGCACAACGGGUGGUGCAGUGCGCGCUGGAGUGGGCGCAAUGGCCUGGUUGAACUCCUAAGUGGUAGGCGGGCGACGAGUAGGUGCAAAAGAUGCUGAUGACAAGACCAAAGUCAGUGGCGGUGCGGCGGGUAGGAGCUCCCUCCUAUUGGUGGCACAGCCAUGGAUUGAGUCCAUGCGGGCAGCUACGAAGUCGUCCACCAGGUUGUCGAAGGCUGCCUCCAGAGCCCGGAGAUACUCAAUAAGCAUCUCAAAAGCCUCAUCUUGUUCUCCUCUGGGGCAGGAGAAUGCGUAGUGACAGGUGUAAGGCACAUGGCAUGGAAGAUAGCGGUAGCGACGAGUCUUCAUCGCGGGAAGGACAUCCCUGAGGCGAGCUAUCGCCUCACGGGCUGCCAUCUGCAUAGCAUGCCUCUCCGUAGGCAUGGCUCUUCCCACGAACCGGAAGCGGCGUAACUCACCACGCCCUCCCCUGAACUGCACCGUGACCUGGUGCAUGGUCAGAUUGUCGCUGACCUUGUGCUGGUAGAGUGUGAAGACUAGGCGCACAGACAGCCCCAUCGCGACCUGAACGAUGAAGGAGAGAAGCUUGACGAACCCAUUGGGCACGUUGGCGAAGGUUUGAGACUCGCAGCUGUUGUCGGCCAUCUACAAAAGUAGGCAAAAUUCCUGCAUGGUCAGAUCAUAAAUUUAUGCUGACUGUCAGAAAAUGACUACCAUUGCAAAAAUAUAAAUUAGCUCUAUUAUGCUAAUAACGAAUUAGCGAUCGCACCUAGUGGCUUCCUACGGUCAGCCUGACUCUGAUACCAAGCUUGUCACGACCGGUUUUCCAAUAAAAAUAUUUAUUGAGAAACCAAUCUUUUGAGUCCAGUAUGAGGGAAAUCCUCCUCACUGGUAGACAAAAUUCUUGAUACAAUAAGCCAGUAGCAAAGAAUAUAUUACAAGGUUGAGCUAGGGCUGCUCAACAAUUUAUAACAAGCGCGCCAACAAUUAUACAUAAUGGCGGAUAUAACACAAUGGUGUGGUGGCAUACUACUGACUCGGGGAUAAAGUGAUGGUGGAAUAACACAGUGGGGAGUGUGAUAACAUGACUCUCAAACUGGCAUCUCAUCGAGCGUCGAGGUGAGGCUCGAUGAAUUUUAUUCGGGUUGCGGAAGCGAAUAUAAUACAGUGACCGAAUCCAGGGUCGCACGAGACUGAGUGGGACUCCUCUAGGCGUCGGACUCGCUAUCGAACUCUUCAUCCAUGAGAUCGCCUUCGUCAGCAUCUGGCCAAAUCAACAAGCCAGUGAGUACUUCAACAGUACUCGCAAGACAGUUCGGACGUAAUAUAUAACAAAUGCAUGCAUGAAUGCGUCAUGAUUAAUUCACCAAAUGUGCAUUCCAAAAAUUAGCAUAACGAAGCAAGUAAAAGGGAAACGGCGGUAGUCCGCCUGAAAUCCCAACAAAAGCAUAAAUGAAAACCGAUCGGGUGUCUGAAGCGACGCCUCGAAAGGGUGAACAAAUAAAUAAAGGAGAAAAUCAUGCCACAGUCGGGCGUCUUUGCGACACCACAUAAAGGGCUUUAAAAGAAAUGCCACAGUCGGACGUCGGGGCGACAUCACAGAAAGGGCUUUAAAAGAAAUGCCACAGUCGGACGUCGGGGCGACAUCACAGAAAGGGCUUUAAAAAAAUGCCACANNNNNNNNNNNNNNNNNNNNNNNNNNNNNNNNNNNNNNNNNNNNNNNNNNNNNNNNNNNNNNNNNNNNNNNNNNNNNNNNNNNNNNNNNNNNNNNNNNNNNNNNNNNNNNNNNNNNNNNNNNNNNNNNNNNNNNNNNAACCGAUCGGGUGUCUGAAGUGACGCCUCGAAAGGUGAACAAAUAAAUAAAGGAGAAAAUCAUGCCACAGUCGGGCGUCUUAGCGACACCACAUAAAGGGCUUUAAAAAAAAUGCCACAGUCGGACGUCGGGGCGACAUCACAGAAAGGGCUUUAAAAGAAAUGCCACAGUCGGACGUCGGGGCGACAUCACAGAAAGGGCUUUAAAAGAAAUGCCACAGUCGGACGUCGGGGCGACAUCACAGAAAGGGCUUUAUUCACAAGUAAAUAAUACUCAUAAUAAAUAUUCAAUUCAUGAUAAUAAACANNNNNNNNNNNNNNNNNNNNNNNNNNNNNNNNNNNNNNNNNNNNNNNNNNNNNNNNNNNNNNNNNNNNNNNNNNNNNNNNNNNNNNNNNNNNNNNNNNNNNNNNNNNNNNNNNNNNNNNNNCAGAAAGGGCUUUAAAAAAAUGCCACAGUCAGACGUCGGGGCGACAUCACAGAAAGGGCUUUAAAAGAAAUGCCACAGUCAGACGUCGGGGCGACAUCACAAAAAGGGCUUUAAAAGAAAUGCCAUAGUCGGACGUUGGGGCGACAUCACAGAAAGGGCUUUAAAAGAAAUGCCACAGUCGGACGUCGGAGCGACAUCGCAGAAAGGGCUUUUAUUCACAAGUAGAUAAUACUCAUAAUAAAUAUUCAAUUCAUGAUAAUAAACAGGUUAGUCCAUCCACAGGAAUAACAUUUAGCCGGGCUUAGCACUCAUGGGAUUCACCGGAGUCUCUGUCAUCAAACUGAUACUGUUAGGCCAAGAUGAUACGAAUUUGGACAUGGAAUAGAUGAUUCAAGGAAUGUAUGACUCUGCAGAGUUUGUACAAAUUUUUUUCCCACAGCCAACGGAUUUCUGUAGUCACGAGGGACUAGUUCCGUUUACGGUUUUUUGGAAGAAAACACAGCUAACCAGUACACACCCAUCCUACCUCUCGAUGCCAGGACUCAGCCUAGACAUCGUCCAAGAAAAACUUUUGAGAUGGGGAGAUCACAAUCUCGAAUAGCAUGGGAUCAAAUUUAUAUACGCGCGCUCUAAGGGGUGCCCCCCUCUCGGUCCCAACCGGAAACACCCAUGCCCCCUGACCGGAUGACUGGCUUUAAUCCAGGGCCAUGGAACCAUCAUCCCGGCCUCUCCUUUUGGUGUGUACCAGGAAAGCGGUUUGCAACUUACUAAGCCAUAUUCCUUGCGGAAAACAUGUGGUAGUACAGGGAAGGAAAUGGGAGGAACUGGACCGGUAGAGUUUGACCCUGAAGUCAUAUAGUCUGGCAUAAGACUGGCAUGCUACAACACUGCCAUCUUACCCAUCCUCAUGCCAACACAUGGCCAUUCAUAAUCACAUCCAUCCACUUAUGGAUCAUCGAACUCACUUACCUCAACAUUUCAUAAAAAAAUAACGUUCAUCGGUAUGCUCAUCAACAUGCCAUGAAACUAACUAAAUGCAAAACAUGCCAAGACACUCAUCAUAUCAAAAGUUCAAACAUGCUUGCGUGGUUCAGAGUAGUUGGACCCUAGCUCGGUGAAGUUCGCGGCUCUGUCACCUCCUUCGGUAUCUACGGUAUAAAGAAAAUAUAUGCGCUAUCGUAAAUACCAAGAGGUGCACAGAAAGUAUUCCAAAUAUUUUUCAAAUAAAUAUGAUAAAAAACUAGACAAAAAUCUGAAGAGGACAGGAAAAGAAUCACUCAAAAAUUCCUUUCUGUUAAAAAGUUAUAAGGGUGUGAAUCCAAGGACUUAUCUGUAAUGAAACAGAAAGUUUCCAGGGGCUAGUUUAUAAAAACAGAAAAUGCUUCGGCAGAAACUACGCCAGCCCAGAGGGAAGGCGCAUUUGGCAGAAGGCGUUUUCAGAAAACGAUUCGCUUAGACAGGAUAGAGAGGCUGAUAGCGGGUCCCGCCCGUCAGGUUUAAACUUUCAGACGGGGGUGGCAGAUAUCGCCGGUGCCCGAGAGCCGCGGUGGUCGCCGGCGGCGAUCCACGGCCAGGCAGGGUGAUCGGAGAUUACCAACGUGCUCACCGUGUCCUUCCGCAACGGUGGGUGGUGGUGUUGGUCGCCGGCGAGCACUACGUUGACGGCGGUCUUGACUCCGGCGGACGAUGGUUCGGGCGUUGAUGGAUCUCGCCGAGGAGGGCUGCAAGGAUCAAAUUGAGGUGGGGGUUAGAGCACUAGGUGUAAGAGAAGGCUACGGAUGAGGUUUGGGCGCCGGAGAUGGCCUCACCGGAGUGAAUCGAGGUGGAGGCCGAGGCGGAGCGAGGCGGCCGGAGUUGGGGAAGGAGACCUCCUCGAGGUCCUCCUGGUGGCUUGGCAGGGUCCUGGAGAGGUGCAGUGAAGGUGUGGGUCUCGUGAGCGAGCUCGGGGUCCUUUUUAUAGGCGAGCCGAGGCGGUGGCCGUGAAUGGGGAUCUCCGGCGAAGGUUACGGCGGCGCAGAGCUUGGUCGGGAAGGUUUAGGGAGUUGGGCGUCAUCGCGGAGUUCCACCAGUUCCAUUUAGGUGCUAAGUGAGCUUGGAUUGGGGUGCUAAGGGCGAGCUCGAUGGAACAUGGCGGCGCGGGCCCGUCGGCGGCAGGGAGCACGUUCCGUGCUUGCCGGGCCGCGGUGAUGGUGCCACGGGCGUGCGCUGGCAUGCAUGAGGCCACGCGGAGAGCCAAGGAGCUUUGGGCGGCACCGAACGGCGUUCUGCCGUGGUGUGCCUUCUGUCGGCCGCCACAGGAGGUCCCGACGCCGCAGAACACGCCGGCGAGGGCGGGCCAGCGCGCCACCGACGCCAGGAAAGCUCCAAGCACGCGUGUGAAGCUCCGGACAAGAGGGAGGGGCUGCGAGCAUCGAGCCAAAGGCACUGUGAGCAUGUGCCUGAAACUCUGAAGAAAACGACACUGUAAAACUGAAUUUUACUCAACUUUUCUAAAAAAUGCAAAGAACAGUGCAGCUCAGGUGUUCGACAGAAUGUUUUUGGCAUCUAGGGAUUUUUCCUUGAGCUAAAACUUGGUGGAGUGGCCUCUCAUUGCUCCAGUAGGCUGCCUGAAUUUUGGUGGAUUUUUUUUUGGAGAAGUGUAGAUAUGAAUUUCACCAAAUUUGGCAAAUCUGGUCCAACUUGCAGUGAGUGAAAUUUGAAAUAUUUGAAAAGAAGAAGAGUGGAUCAAGAUGGUUCUAGGUUGUGGGUACUAAAGACAAUCCAGGGAAGUUGGUUUGGGGUAAAAACUCAAAGGCAAAGUGAUACUUGCUUUGAAAAUCACUUAAGCUCAAAAUAAAUGGCAGAAAUGUUUUGGGGGAUAAAAUAAUUGAAAUAAAAUCCAAAACUUGUUUGGACUUGUUGAGACAGAGAAUUUAGAUUGUUCAAAGGUGGAGGGAUGGAUUUUGAGAGGAUUUACUAUAGGAGACAUGGUAAAACCAUGGGUGUUUUCAAAAAGAAAGAAGUCCCAAAACUCCUAGGGUUUCCUUUUUUUUGAAAAAAAUAAGUUUGAUAGGGUAACAACCAGAAGGAAAAGCUCCCAAAAACUUCAACACCAAAUUUGAAAAGGGAAAAGAAAAUCCUUGUCAAAGGAAAGGAAGUUUUUAAGAGGAAGGAUUUCUGGAAAAGAAAUUUUUAAAAAAACCCUCUUUUAAAAUCCAACAAGGUUUUGAUAAAAACCAAAUUAAAAUUUUGGAGUGUCACAACCUACUAACUCAGAUAGCUCCAUAGUAGUCCUCAUAGAAGUCACCUCCAUAGCCUGGAAGUUCAACGUGACCAUCCGGGAACAGACGGUCUUGAGGAGCCUGUGGACCAUAGGGGCUAGGAUGGGGUCUUGGACCAACAAACGGUGGCCUGCGGGGACCACGGGGUGGGGUGAUGCCUCCCACAUCACGCCAAUCCACCACGUCUGGCAAAGCAGACCUCACAGGAUACAGAUAUCUUGUAUACAUACAUCCAGCUUGCACCGCAGGUGCAAACCGAGUCAAUGUGGCCCAAUGAUCAGCACGGGUAUUAAAAAGCUCCAGCCUCAAGGCCCGAUUCUCUCGGUCCUUAUCUUCGAGCAUCUCGGCAGUGGUACGAGUUAAUGAAUCCUCCCGAGUGGAGUCAGCAUAGAUAGCCUGAAGAUACCGUUGCGCUCCCGGAAGUGAAGCUAGCAUGUAUCGGAAGUCGGUGUUCCGAAGCAGGCCAGUCCGGACUCGCAUGAUGGUCAUCAUGGAAUAGGCAGCAUCCUGCACAGCCAUCUCAACAGUAACCCCGACUCUCGGAAUAACUGACGGUGCAGAAAUACUGGCUUUGAUUAAAGUCUCGGAAUUGCUCUUCGACGGUGUAUUCGGGAUACCAACGGUAACCCGUCUCGAUCAUGACCCGGACUAACAUAGCAGUAUGACCGGGCACGUCGAGGCACCGGGUCAGGCGAACCACUUGGUUUUGAGCACGGUUGGGCAUUUUAAAGCACAACCACAAUGCGAAGACAUCAGAAUUUCUAGGGAAAAUUGGACCGCAUAACAGCUGUAAAUGCUCAGAAAAAGAUUUGAGACAUCCACAACAGUUCGCAAUACCACUCAACAACAUCAUAUCAAGGUUCUGAUCCAAAUAGCAACAUACUAAAAAUAGUAGAAACUGAACUGGGCUUGUAACAACAAUCCUAUAAGCUACUACGGAUUGGUAACACGUGAACCUGAUAGAAGAAGAGAGCCUAGUCCUUAACCCAUGUUGAAUGAGAAGGGAAUGACUCAGAUAAGAGGCAUAGGGUAAAGGAGUAAAAGAGCCUUAUGUUCCCUCCCACAAUCAAUUCCCCUACAUAUAACUAAAGCAUUUCUAGACUCGGCAUCGACCAGUUUGGCUCAACGAACCUACAGGCAGUCCAGCUCUGAUGCCAAAGCUGUCAGGACCCCGAUUUCAAGCCACAUCGAUCUAGCCGGUAACACCUCAUAUCACUUUGCGGCCUCACGCACGAUAUUCCACGGGUGUCGCCUUACCAUGGCCCGGGACCGUUUGUGCCUUUUGGCUCACGUAUAUGAUAGUGUCGCUAGCAUCCGUAUGACAGAGAACCCGGGCCGACAUGGCUAGUCGUGAACCCAAAGCGGCACAGACCUAUGGAGACAGGCAUACAUGAAUCACAUCGAGCAUGUCGGUCAUCAGCGAGUGAUUCCGGGCUGUAGCACUGGGCUAACAGGACUCCGGGGAACUCGGGCUGUAGCAGGCUAGGCAGGACUCCGGAAGUCACCGUGUGACAUUUCCCCGAAGGGACAGACAUAGGAACGAAGUGAAUCACAUGCCGGCCAGUCAAGUGUCCUGAGCAGUAGUGCUGGGCUAGCAGGACUCCGCUGAACCGGGCUGUAGCGGACUACUAUGGCUCGAGGAACACUAGACUACAUUUCCCCAUAAGAAAGGCUGCAAAGGAUAAACAACUAGAUUGUGGGAUCCCACUCAUACCAAGCAUUUCAAUCAUACACACAAUAUGCCCGAUAUGAGUACAUACAACAUGGCAUCACAACAAAACUCUACAACUCAAGUACUUUAUUUAAAGGCUCCAGAGAGCCAUACAUAACAUGUUCAUAUAGAUAGGGGUCACAUGACCCGACACUCAAGUCAUACAAUCAUACAAGCACAUGCGGAAGCAACGGGUCUUGAAAGUGCGUUAUAUCGGCUAGGGGGGGGGGUGAAUAGGCGAUUUUUAUGGAAGUCUUCAAAACGUGGAAGUUAUGAAGACAAACAGAGUGAACAAGCCUAUCACUAUGCAGCGGAAGUUAGAUUACACAACGCAAGCCAUGGUCAAGUAUACAAUAUAGUGAAAGCACAGUGACAAAUAGCUUCAGUGUAAUGAGGAUCAGGUUGGAAGAAGUUAUGAAGCCAAACAGAUCAUACAGUCAAGUUGUGAAGACAGAAGAUAAAGCAAGCAUGCAAUAGCUUCACAAUGUGUACUGGUAAGUAAAGGGAGGCGAAGAUGAAACCAGUGACACGUUGAAGACAAUGAUAUGUUGGACCAGUUCCAGUUGCUGUGACAACUGUACGUCUGGUUGGAGCGGCUAGGUAUUUAAACAAAAGGACACACAGUCCCGGACACCCAGUCCUGAACACGCAGCUCAGGACACCCAGUCCUCACCGUUUUCUCCUUGAGCUAAGGUCACACAGACCCCGCCCAAUCACUCUGGUAAGUCUUCAAGGUAGACUCCCAAACCUUCACAGACUUUGUUCACCGGCAAUCCACAAUUCCUCUUGGAUGCUCAGAACGCGACGCCUAACUGUCUGGAGGAUGCACAGUCCUCAAGUGUAAUAAGUCUUCAGAUCACUCAGACAAGAAGACUUAAGUGAUGCCCAAUUACUCUGGCUCUGGGUGGUUAGGGCUUUUCUCCUCACUAAGGAUUUUCUCUCAAUGGCUUCGAGGUGGGUUGCUCUCAAACGACAAAAGCCGUGCACUGAAAUCUGAGCAGCCAACCGUUUAUGGUUGUAGGGGUGGACUAUUUAUAGCCGCUUGGCAACCCUGACCUGAUUUGUCCGAAAUGACCCUGGGUCACUAAGGAACUGACACGUGUACUAACGGUCGGAUUUUGAACUCUCACGGCAACUUUACUUGGGCUGCAAGUAAAGCUGACUUUUCUGACUCUGGACAAGAUUUUCUCUCAUUGUCUUCACUCGAAGACAUAGGAUUUGAAUUAGGCAUCAUUUCAGUCAUCCUGACUGGUUCUCUUGGACCCCACUUAACAGUACGGUGGUUCCUAUGACACAACAUGAAUAAAGUAAAACUACAAAGGAUCUAAGUCUUCGAGUUCCAAAGGCUUCAUGGGGAGUCUUCAUAUGUCAUUGUCUUCGACAUGAAUGUCUUCAUGAACCACCAUUGUCUUCAAUGUCUUCGUACAUUUUUCGGGGUCAUCUCUGGUAACUAAACCGAAUCAAUGAGGGACUUCUACCUGUGUUAUCCUGCAAUUCUCACAAACACAUUAGUCCCUCAACUAGGUUUGUCGUCAAUACUCCAAAACCAACUAGGGGUGGCACUAGAUGCACUUACAAUCUCCCCCUUUUUGGUGAUUGAUGACAAACUAGUUGAAGUUUUCAACGGGGAAUAUAAUUUGUGAAAUUGUAAAGGAAUUGUCUUCAUAAGCUGCAAGGGCUCCCCCUGAGGAUGUGCAUAUAAGUGAUUUGCUUUUGGAACGCGAAUGCACAUAGCAGGUUGUAUUUGUGGGAAUCCACUUCAACUUAUGAUGACAAUCCAUCAUGCAUGUAAACAUAUAAGAAGAUAAUGAUAUGCAUAAUGAAAAAUGGACGCCUGCGAAAUGAUAUAAGUGCGGAAAUUAUCGUCGUACAUGCGGAAUUUAUCUUCGCAAAAACACAGUGGCAAACAUAGUAGCAGACGACCAUCAAGUUUAAGUGUUACAACUCAAAGAACCAAAUGUAGCAAAACGAGAGUUGUAAGCACGAAGCAAAAUAUAAUAAAGCACCAGCCCUUAUUAUUGACCCGCUUGAAGACUAUAAACAUCAUAUGCUUCUCCCCCUUUUGUCAGUGAUGACCAAAAAGGUUUGAAGGCAUAGAGUUUUCUACGUGUUCCCAGGCGCAGCAGGGUCGAUGGAGGCGUUUGGUGGAGCUGGCGAGCUUGGUGCAGUGAUGAUGCGCGCUGAAGAAGGUGGUGGUGAUGUAGCAUCGUCUUCUUCCUCAAUGAUUUUUCCAGUCACUAUGGCAGCAGAGGAAGAGAACUCUGAUUCUUCAAGCGACGGAGUUCCACGCAACACAGCUCUUCUGGGGGGUGUGGAGUCAAACUUGAAUCUCUCUUUGAAGCCAUCCUCUUGCAGUUCAGCUUCAGUGCACAUCAUUGUGAGGCCUUUCCAAGUGCGGCGACAGGUUUCAUGUGCGACAAAGGCAUUCUUGGUGGCCAGAUUCCUGAUGCGAUUGACUUCUUGCAUGAUACUGCGCAUCUGCCUUUUGAGCCAGUCGUGAUGCCUAUCUUGCUUUUGGUGCAGAGCCACAAGAAGUUCACGGUCAGUGAGUGUACGAGCGCGUUUCUUGGGUCUCUGUGCAGCUGUGCUGUCAGUGGCUUCAGUUGAUGCAGGGGCACGCGUGGUGCCAGCCAUUGGAUAGACUCUGGAAAUGGCUUCAACACCUUCAUCAUGCUGAGUGAAGCUCUGGUGUUCUACAUUCUGAAGACUUAAUGGCUGCUUGGCAGGCUCAGGAUAAAUCGCUUCAGCAGAGGUGUCCACAUCAGGUAAGAAGAUUCUGUGGUUGCGGGCAGAGUGUUGAUAGGAUAUGGUAGAGUGGAGCUUGAUGAGCCUCAUAACCCAUGGAGCAUAAAUCUUCAGACCAAAGAGAUCUGAGCCAAACGCUGCUAGUUGACGUAUAAAGAGAUCCUGGGCAUUGAAGCAUUUGCCAUGCAGGAUGCAGAAGAUGAGAGUCUUCAUGGCACCUUCAACCUUGGCAUAUCGAGAGUGCCCCUUAAUGGGCCAUAGAGUCCGCCUGAUGAUGUGAUAGAUAGUUCUAGGCAGGUACUCUAAGUCUUCAACGAAGAACUCGGUUGGGUAAGGUGCGUCAGGAGGCAAUGGCUUCAUCAUUGAGAGCAUCUGACUCAUAUUUGGCUCAGGUCGCUGAAAUAUGCUCUCAACUGCUUCAGCAUGGAGUUGGCAGCCUUCUUCGAAGAGUUCGCCUGGAGUGGGUAGGCCGGUGAGCUCAAUGAUAUCAAAUGCAUUGGCUUCAUGAUGGACGUUGCCGGUCAUCCACUCCAGGACCCAAGUCUUUGGAUCUUUGUUGUAGCCUUUGAUGUGCAGUGUGGCAUAGAACUGGAGCAGAAGCUCUUCAUUCCAGUGCUCUUCAUCCGUGACAAACGGCAGCAGGCCAACUUGCUUGAAGCAGUCCAGUGCUUCUUCCAGACCAGGCAGACCAGCAAUAGCUUCAACCUCAAGGCGCUGGUGUGGAAAGAUACGGCCUUGGUUGUAGAGGACGCAGAAGUAGUAGCUGCGCUGUGGGUAGCUCCAGAACCUAUCUAACACAAUCCGUUCCCUUGAGUAAGGGUUCUUGGAGCGGUUGAAGAAGGUGUUACCUGCCCUGAAGCUAUUGACAUUAAAGGAGCCAGGAGCGGUGGCAGGACCUGGGAACCUUGGCAGUCGUGGGAUUGGCUUCUGUACCUGGGGCCUGUGCGCAACAUGAUAGUUGAACUGUGGACCGGCAGCAGACUCAGGCACAGAAGGGUCAGAGGCAGAAGCUUCAGUAUCUCUUGAAGCUGUUGGUUGGUCGGGCUCCACAAAUGCUUCAGUAUUGGGUGUGGCAGCCGCAGUGGUGUCAGCCUCAUCACGUGUAGUGAGAGGGAUGGAUUCAGGUACGUUCUCCUUGAGAACUUCUUCUUGUUGGUGUGGGGGAGAUGGAGCUUGAGGUUCUUCAUGCUCUUCUUCAUGUUCUUCGGCUGAUGCAGCCGGAAUGUCGUCAGCAGUCUGAGCCCUUGGCCCUUUGCGAAGCCUACGGAAUGCAGGCAACGCCGGUGGAGUUGCAGUGGGCUGGGGCUCAUCCUCUUCCUCCUGCGGGCGAUCUGCCCAUGAUGCAUCUUGGGUGAUUGGCGUCAAGGGACGACCAAUGCUGAUCAUUUCACUCGUUUCGAGCUGAGGAAGGACUGCAUCACCUUGCACAUUGUCUUGGAGACCAAUGUCUUCAGCAGCGUUGGAGUCGGCUGCUGGAAUGUCUUCAGCAUGCGGAGCCUUUGUGAGAGCAGGCUCAUGCACGGUCAGCUGACGAUCUUCAUGAGGAAAGCAAACGGAGAGGGGUUCGACUAUCAAGGGCUCUGUGGGAGCAGCCCGAGACUUCUUGUUCUUGCGCUUCUUGAUGGUGGGGUCUAAAGGAGAGGCUUCAGGGUGUUUCCUCUUCCUUGCUUCAGCUUCGGCUGUCCUUGUCUUCUUAACCUAUGAAGCGGUUGAGCGGUGCUUUGGCUUCGAGCCAGGCUUGGCAGUGGGGAAGACAAUCGGAACAGCUUCUUGUCGUGGGGCCUCUUGUUCAGCCACAGUGGGCUUCUUCUUUUUCUUAGCGGCCAUCCUGGGGUCGAUGCUGGGACGCCCAAGCGCCUUUCGCUUCUCGGACUCAUUGUAGGCCUGCACACAGAGAUCAGCCAAAUUCUUCAUGCGCUCACGUGAACCCUGAGCCUCUGCACGUUUCUGCAUAAAGUUUUCCUUCAACUCGUGCAGCAUGACUUUGAAGUCUUUGACUUCUUGGACGCUGAGCGUGGCCAUGUUCUGCUUGAACUGAGCCUUUUCAAAAUCUAUCUUCUGCUUCAGUUCCACUAUGCGCUGGGCAAUUGCGAGUUCUGAAGCAAUAGCUCCUUGGAAGGCUACGCUGAGGCCAAUGGGCAGCUGCAGAUCAUGGAAGCUGAUGUUGGGUGUAUCAAACCACUCAUCAAUGAAGUUGUGGAUGAUUGCUGCAUCGAACAAAGGCAGAUUGUUGAAGAUUUCAGCCUCCUCCUUGCUCUUGAUUAGCUGCUCAAGAGCGUCAUCGGCAAGAUCGUCGUCACUUGACAGAUCAAUGGCCUCGCAGCGCAGAACGGCUGCGGCAGUGAGCUCUUUGUCAGUAUGUGGCUGAUGCUUCUUGGCUUCUUGGGGCUUGGAGACUCGUGAUAAGUCUUCAGACUGCACACUUGCUUCAGGAGGUGCAGUGGCCAAUGGCUUCGCUCUGGAGAUCUUGGGAGAAGCGGCUGGCUUGGAAGCUUUUGGCUUCUUCUUCAUCUGCUUCGGCUCCGGGGCAGCAGGAGCGUCAUCAGACUCAGUGUCUACUGGAGGGUCGUUCACGGCAGUCCCUUGGACUAGAAUGCGAGUGAUGAGGCCUUUGAGAUUGGCAUACGGCCCGAUGACAUUGGGAUUUGCAUCGCGUGUGCCAUCCGCCCUUGGCUUAGAGGGACCAGGGUUGAAGUCCAGUCCAAACUCCUUCUUGUUUUGCUUCGCAGAGUUCUGAGCAAAUUGGAAGUUGCGCUUGAAGAGAUUGUCAUCGCGACACCAGAGAAGUGAUGACGGAUGUGCCUCAGCUGGCUGUGGUCCUCUGACCAUGCAUGGAUAGAAGCCUUGAGCAAUGGCUUCGUCUCUGGACCGGGGUACGAGAUUUUUGUACAAGACAUCUCCCCAUGGCCUCUGGAUGGCGCACUUCUCUGCAUAUUCCUUGGCGACGAAGCGGUAUUGGAACCACUGCUCUGCCCAAUAUCUUCGAAUCCAUUGGAUUCGUGUCUAGCGCUGACCAUAGCUCUCUUCAGGAUCAGUUUGGUACAUUUCUGCCAAAUCUUCAGGCAGAUCUUUAGACGUUUCACCACGUCUCUGUCUGCCUCCCUUCCUUGCUGGUUUUUCUGUUGCCAUGAAGCUUAACUUGGAAGGCUUCAAGAGAUUCAAAGUCUUCAAAGGCUUCCUUUUGCUUGACCAACAGGAACUUGCUUCGGGUGAAUUGAUGUGACGCUGUAGGAACUCUGCAAAUGAAUGCAGACUAUGAGAACCAAAAGAUUCUCCCACGGACAUGUACCUGUGACAGCAUUAAGGUGCGAGGGAAGGGGAAGAGGUCAUAUGCAUUCUCAAAAGAUUUUGAAGAUAAAUCAGUUUAGAAGAUAUUGACCUCAUCAUGCGAAGACAUUCACUUUAUAGAAAAGAAGUUGGUUCCAGAUUUGUACGAACCCAUAGAUCAGUACAAGUGAGGAAUCUAACUACUUCAUGAAGAACAAGUGAAUAUACUAGGCACGUUAUGAGAUACAGAUGAGAGGGAUUAAACUUUUGUGAAUGGAAACCUCUUUUGGCAGAAAGUGAUGGAGCUAUAGGAUCAAAAGAGGCUGUAAAAAGACUUGUUAUUUACCAGACUUGGAACUGCUAGACGAGGUGAGAGUUGAGGCCGAGCAGUUCGAUCCUCCGUGCCCUAACUUGGCGACGGAAGACACCUAGGGCGACGGCGGAGAGACUGAUGUCCGCUGUCGGCGUGAGAACGGCAUCGGAGAGGUUGCGGCAGUGAAGCACUUCGUCGCCGGCGUCGUUGAGAGUUAGCGGUGGCGCUAGGGUUUGUGCGAGGGUGGAAGAAGAGAUAAUGACCGCAGUGAAACGUGUAUUUAUAGGGAUAUGGGCGGCACUGCGCUAUUACUCAGGUGCCCCUGGCGAUUCGCAUCUGAUCAGUACGUGGCCAGCAUGCGGAAUUGUGGGGGCAGUUUCACCCCACGCACGCCUGGUUUGUCGGAAGCCGUUCCUACUUCUCUGGAUUUCUUGUUGAUGAAAAAACAUUAAAAUCUGUUUUAAAGUUUGUCUCUGUGUCUUCUUCUGACAAGGAUGCAGUGAAGACAUUCGACAGUUUCAAUAGAAUGCAUAGACUUGGAGAGAUAGAGUUUGAGGUAGGAAGCAUGGAGAGGUUAGGGUCCGAUCACAUUCACUUAGUUCAAAAGAUUCAAACAAGAAGACAUAGCUAUAAGUGAAUGCUGUAGAGGACAGAACACCAGUACAUAUAUAAUCAACAUAGUGAAGAUAAUCAUGAAGACAUGUUGAGAUUGAAGCUAAACCAAAUGUGAAGACAUAGCAAAUGUAAUGCCAUGAGUGAAACACUUCAAGCAGAAAAAUUUGGUGGUGGCGCUACCCACCGUAUAGGAAGUAUUGGACCCAGACACGGCGCACAAUUAUCGUGGCGCUCCGAGGUCAAAUUCCACGUUAAUGUGUUCACACUUAGAAUGUAUGUCUUCAUUGAUUGAAGAUAUACGUUACUUCGUGUGUUGCACAUCUAAGUCAUCAUCAUGCAUAAGUGUUAGGAUGUGUGCCUGAUCACAGGACAUUUGAGGAUUCCAAGAUAUUUAGCUCACACCGUAACUUGCAAAAUCUCUUCUCAUCCAAGGGCUUGGUGAAGAUAUCUGCCAAUUGCUCUUUAGUGUUGACGUGUAUGAUAUCAAUGUCUUCCUUUGCAACAUGAUCUCUGAGAAAAUGAUGACGAAUUUCAAUGUGCUUUGUCUUCGAGUGCUGAACUGGGUUGUUGGCGAUCUUGAUGGCACUUUCGUUGUCGCAGUAAAGUGGCACUUGCUUCAGAUGAAUGCCAUAAUCCUUGAGGGUUUGCUUCAUCCAUAGAAGCUGAGCGCAGCAGGAUCCAGCAGCAAUGUAUUCAGAUUCAGCAGUGGAGAGAGAUACACAGUUCUGCUUCUUUGAAGACCAACAGACAAGUGAUCGCCCAGAAAGUGACAUGUGCCUGAUGUGGACUUCCGAUCAACCUUGUCACCAGCGUAAUCAGCGUCCGAAAAUCCAACCAGAUCAAACUCUGAGCCCUUUGGAUACCAUGACCCUAGAGUUGGGGUGUGAGCCAAAUAUCGAAGAAUUCGCUUCACAGCUAAGUGAUGCGACUCCUUUGGUGCCGCUUGAAACCGAGCACACAUGUAAACACUAAGCAUAAUAUCUGGCCUAGAUGCACAUAAAUAAAGCAAAGAACCAAUCAUGGAGCGGUAUACCUUUUGAUCGAACUCUUUACCAUUGUCGUCAGGACCCAGAUGAUGUUUGGCUGGCAUUGGUGUUGUGAAGCCUUUGCAGUCUUGCAUACCGAACUUCUUCAGGCAGUCUUUGAGAUAUUUCUCUUGAGAUAUGAAGAUGCCAUUGCGUUGUUGCCGUAUCUGAAGACCGAGGAAGAAUUUCAGCUCCCCCAUCAUAGACAUCUGAUAUUGCUCUUGCAUCAUAUAUCCGAACUCCUCACUGUACUUCUGAUUGGUGCAGCCGAAGAUAAUGUCAUCCACGUAUAUUUGGCACACAAACAGUUCACCAUCAUAUGUCUUUGUGAAGAGAGUGGGAUCCAGGGAACCAGGUAUGAAGCCUUUGCUCUUCAGGAAGUAUUUGAGUGUAUCAUACCAGGCCCGAGGGGCUUGUUUGAGGCCAUAUAGUGCCUUUUUGAGCUUGUACACCAUGUCAGGAUGUUUUGGAUCUUCAAACCCAGGUGGUUGUGCAACAUACACUUCUUCUUCAAUUUUGCCAUUGAGGAAGGCACUUUUUACAUCCAUUUGAUACAGGAUUAUGUUGUGAUGAUUUGCAUAGGCCAGCAGUAUACGGAUGGCUUCAAGUCUGGCAACAGGAGCAAAUGUUUCAUCGAAGUCAAUGCCUUCGAGUUGAGUAUAUCCUUGAGCAACGAAACGAGCCUUGUUUCUGACGACUUGGCCAUGCUCAUCUUGCUUGUUGCGGUAUAUCCAUUUGGUGCCUAUUAUGUUAUGCUUCCAUGGAUCAGGACGCUUAACCAACUCCCAUACAUUGUUCAGCUCAAAUUGUUGAAGCGCUUCUUGCAUAGCUUGAAUCCAUUCAGGUUCCAUAAAGGCUUCAUCAAUUUUCCUGGGUUCUGUCAUUGAAACGAAUGCGAAGUGUCCGCAGAAGUUUGCCAGUUGAGUUGCCCUUGAAUGAGUCAGUGGACCAGGUGCAUUGAUGCUAUCAAUUAUUCUGCAAUCUGCACUUCAUUGGCAACAUGAGGAUGUAGGGGUCGAAGACUUUGCUCUUGCUGAUCUACGUUGUCAUGGGGAGGAAUGUCUUCAGGCUGAGCGUUGUCUUCAUGUGGAUCAGGUGCUGAGAUGAUAAGUUCUUCUUCAGGACGAGCUUCAGAAGGUAUAAUUUCUCCAGUUCCCAUUAGCUUGAUUGAUUCACUGGCUGGAACUUCAUCUAGCACAUCUGGUAGUUGCUCUCUUUGUGACCCAUUGGUCUCAUCGAACCGCACAUCCACUGUUUCAACCACUUUGUAGUGGAAGAGAUUGGAGACUCUGUAGGAGUGCGAAUCCUUUCCAUAUCCAAGCAUGAAGCCCUCAUGUGCUUUUGGAGCAAAUUUUUAGGUGUGGUGAGGGUCCUUGAUCCAGCAUCUUGAUCCAAAUACUCUAAAGUACCUUACAUUUGGCUUCUUGCCAGUCAGAAGUUCAUAAGAUGUCUUGUUCAGCAGCUUGUGAAGAUAUACACGGUUGAUAGUAUGGCAUGCAGUGUCAAUGGCUUCAGUCCAGAAUUUUCUUGGUGUCUUGUACUCAUCUAACAUUGUUCUGGCCAUCUCAAUGAGUGUUCUGUUCUUGUGUUCGACGAUGCCAUUCUGUUGUGGCGUGUAUGGAGCUGAGAAUUCAUGAGUGAUGCCCAAUGUAUCAAGAUAUGUGUCAAGGCCGGUGUUCUUGAAUUCUGUGCCAUUGUCACUUCUGAUGUGCUUUAUCUUGGCGCCAUAAUUGUUCAUUGCCCGAUUUGCGAAGCGUCUGAAGACAUCCUGCACUUCAGUCUUGUAAAGGAUUAUGUGCACCCAAGUAUAUCUAGAGUAAUCAUCAACAAUGACGAAGCCAUAGAGGCAAGCAGUAGUGGAGAAAGUUGAGUAGUGAGUGGGACCGAAGAGAUCCAUGUGAAGCAGUUCGAAGGGUUGAGUAGUGGUCAUGAUUUUCUUCGAAGGAUGUUUUGCCCUUGUCAUCUUCCCAGCUUCACAGGCACCGCAUAAGUGAUCUUUCUUGAACUUGACGCCCUCGAUGCCUAUGACAUGCUUCUUCUUCGCAAGGGUGUGGAGGUUCCUCAUGCCAGCAUGCCCAAGUCUUCGAUGCCAAAGCCAGCAUUCUGAAGCCUUUGCGAGAAGACAAACUGCAAGCUGUGGCCCUGCUGAGAAAUCUACCACGUACAAAUCAUCUUUUCGAUACCCUUCAAACUCUAGAGACUUGUCAGAUUCCAUUAGUACCAGACAACGAUAUUUUCCAAAGAUUACAAUCAUGUUUAAAUCGCAAAGCAUUGAGACAGACAUUAAGUUGAAGCCAAGGGACUCAACAAACAUGACUUUAUCCAUGUGUUGAUCCUUUGAGAUUGCAACUCUACCUAGACCCAGUACCUUACUUUUACCAGUGUCAGCGAAUGUGAUGUGGCUCUUGUCAGAUGGACGUAAGGUUGAGUCCAUAAAGAGACUUCUUUUGCCAGUCAUGUGAUUUGUACACCCAUUGUCAAUAAUCCAUUCUGAAGACUCUGAAGUCACUGGUGUCGUACCCUACAGUGCAGUUAGGGGGAUAGGCUUCACGAAGAGUGUUGUGAAGCAAAAACAUUUGACGAACCAGUGGAUUAUGAAAACUUAGAUCCAGGUUAGGACAAGUAGGGAGAGUAGCAUGCGAUUCAGGUAUGAAAUACAUAGUGAUGCCAUUCGGGCAUUUGAUCUUGCGCCCACAAGAUUUUUAAGGUCCCCAGCAAUAGCAUCAGAAGAUUUUGGUUUUGUGCUGGAGACCUUUCCCUGCAAAAGAGAGUUAAGCUUUCUUAACCACCCACAUCUUCAAGGGUGGCUUAGAAGCAAACAGUCUAGCAGGUGGGCAAUAGUACUCAUAAGAAUAGGCAGAAUAGUUUUUGGUCAUAUGAGAAUGACGGUUUGAAGAACCGCUCUCAUAUGCCUGAGCAUGGUUUCCCUGCAAAACAUUUGUGUUAGUGCGACUCAAAUGAGUCCUCUGCCUGUAUGAAGCCUUUGGACCAUAUAUGAAGCCUUUGGUCCGAGGUUUGUCUUCUUCAUGUGAGGUGUCAUGAGGACAUUCACAGGAAGAUUCUCAAGACACGUUUUUGGAACCCAGAUCUUCUUCAUAGGCGGUCCAUUCCUGCAGUUAGUACCAAUGUACCUGGCAAAUACUUCACCAUUCUGAUUCCUGAACAGUUUAUAGUUUGCAUCAAAGGAUUCAUCAAUGAUAAUUGGAUUAGCACAAGUGAAGCCAGAUAGAUUGGAUGGAUCUGCUGAGGAUUCCUUUGCAGCAACCCAUGUGGUUUUGGGGUACUGCUCAGGUUUCCAGUAAGAGCCAUCUGCAUUAAUUUUCCUCACGAACCCAACACCCUCCUUCCUAGGGUUUUGGUUCAGAAUCUGCUUCUUGAGGACAUCACAUAAUGUCUGAUGUCCUUUGAGACUUUUGUACAUCCCUGUUUCAAGCAAUGUCUUCAACCUAGCAUUUUCAUCAGCAAUAGCAGUGGUAUCCUCAGUAGAGGGGUUAGUUACCACUUCAACAGUUGCAACAGCAGUAGCAGUGGAACAUUCAGCAACAGAAAUAGCAUUAUCACAAUCAAUGCAUUUAAGGCAUGGUGGUUCAAAUCCUUCCUGAACAGAACUGAUCUGUUCGGCUCGAAGUGACUCGUUUUCCUUUUGAAGAUCUUCAUGAUCCGUUUUUCAAGAUGUUGCUUCUUUUGAAGAUAAUCAUAGGAAAGCUUUUCAUGAGUAGUUGAGAGAGUCUCAAGACGAUCUUCGAGUUCCUGAUACUUAACAUGAAGAUUUUUUAUGUCUUCAAUUAAGGAUUCAGAACGAGUCAUUUCAGCACCCAACAGAUCAUCGCUUCUGUCUAACAGUUUUUGAAUAUGUUCCAUGGCCUUUUGUUGUUCAGUUGCAAUUUUAGCAAGUGUUUUGUAACUGGGUUUUGAAUCACAAUCAGAGUCAUCGUCACUAGAUGUUUGAUAGUGAGUAGUGCGUGUGUUUACCUUGGCACCACGUGCCAUGAAGCAGUAGGUAGGAGUAGAGUCGUCCUUGUCAUUUGCAUCGGUGAUGGUGAUGGAGUCAUUGUCUUCAGUGUUGAAGAUGGACUUGGCGACGUAGGCUGUAGCCAGACUCGCAAUGCCUGAAUCAGACUCCUCCUCAGACUCCACCUCUGCCUCCUCAGAAGCGGACUCCUCCUCUGAAUCCAUUUCCUUGCCAACAAACGCACGAGCCUUGCCAGAUGAACUCUUCUUGUGUGAUGAAGACUUUGAGGAAGACUUGGACGAAGACUUUGAGUAUUUCUUUGUCUUCUUAUCGUCAGAGUCAUAUUCCAUGCUCUAAUUCUUCUUUCUGUUCUCAUUGUCCCACUGUGGACACUCAGAGAUGAAGUGUCCAGUUUUCUUGCACUUGUGACAUGUUUUCUUCUUGUAGUCAUGCGCAGAAGCUUCAUCAUUCCUUGAGCUUGAUCGUGAAGACUUUCUGAAGCCUUUCUUCUUGGUGAAUUUCUGGAACUUCUUCACUAGCAUUGCAAGUUCCCUUCCAAUGUCUUCAGGAUCAUCAGAACUGCUGUCAGAUUCUUCUUCAGAUGAGGACACAGCUUUUGCCUUCAAGGCACGAGUUCGCCCAUAGUUUGGACCGUAGAUAUCUCUUUUCUCAGAAAGCUGAAACUCAUGUGUGUUGAGCCUCUCAAGUAUGUCAGACGGAUCGAGUGUCUUGAAGUCUGGAUGUCAAAUGAACUGUCAAGUGAUCUUAGCAGCGUCUUAACGAUUUCAUGUUUGGUGAUCUCAGUGGCGCCGAGGGCUUGAAGCUCAUUUGUGAUGUCAGUGAGCCGGUCAAAUGUGUGAUGGACAUUCUCAUUGUCAUUUCGCUUGAAGCGGUUGAAGAGAUUGCGAAGAACACUGAUUCUCUGAUCUCUCUGGGUUGAGAUGCCUUCAUUGACCUUGGAGAGCCAGUCCCAAACCAGCUUGGAUGUCUUCAAGGCACUCACACGGCCGUACUGUCCCUUGGUCAGAUGACCACAGAUAAUAUUCUUGGCAGUGGAGUCCAGUUGAGUGAACUUCUUGACAUCAGCCGCAGUGACACCUUCUCCAGCCUUGGGAACGCCGUUUUUGACGACAUACCAUAGGUGGACGUCAAUGGCUUCAAGAUGCAUGCGCAUCUUAUUCUUCCAGUAGGGAUAUUCAGUUCCAUCGAAGACGGGGCACGCAGCGGAGACUUUAAUUAUCCCUGCAGUCGACAUAGCUAAAACUUUAGGUGGUUAAACCAAAUCACACAGAACAAGGGAGCACCUUGCUCUGAUACCAAUUGAAAGUGCGUUAUAUCGGCUAGGGGGUGAAUAGGUGAUUUUAAUGAAAGUCUUCAAAACGUGGAAGUUAUGAAGACAAACAGAGUGAACAAGCCUAUCACUAUGCAGCGGAAGUUAGAUUACACAACGCAAGCCAUGGUCAAGUAUACAAUAUAGUGAAAGCACGGUGACAAAUAGCUUCAGUGUAAUGAGGAUCAGGUUGGAAGAAGUUAUGAAGCCAAACAGAUCAUACAGUCAAGUUGUGAGGACAGAAGAUAAAGCAAGCAUGCAAUAGCUUCACAAUGUGUACUGGUAAGUAAAGGGAGGCGAAGAUGAAACCAGUGACACGUUGAAGAGAAUGAUAUGUUGGACCAGUUCCAGUUGCUGUGACAACUAUACGUCUGGUUGGAGCGGCUAGGUAUUUAAACCAAAGGACACACAGUCCCGGACACCCAGUCCUGAACACGCAGCUCAGGACACCCAGUCCUCACCGUUUUCUCCUUGAGCUAAGGUCACACAGACCCCGCCCAAUCACUCUGGUAAGUCUUCAAGGUAGACUCCCAAACCUUCACAGACUUCGUUCACCGGCAAUCCACAAUUCCUCUUGGAUGCUCAGAACGCGACGCCUAACCGUCUGGAGGAUGCACAGUCCUCAAGUGUAAUAAGUCUUCAGAUCACUCAGACAAGAAGACUUAAGUGAUGCCCAAUUACUCUGGCUCUGGGUGGUUAGGGCUUUUCUCCUCACUAAGGAUUUUCUCUCAAAGGCUUAGAGGUGGGUUGCUCUCAAACGACAAAAGCAGUGCACUGAAAUCUGAGCAGCCAACCGUUUAUGGUUGUAGGGGUGGACUAUUUAUAGCCGCUUGGCAACCCUGACCUGAUUUGUCCGAAAUGACCCUGUGUCACUAAGGAACUGACACGUGUACUAACGGUCGGAUUUUGAACUCUCACGGCAACUUUACUUGGGCUGCAAGUAAAGCUGACUUGUCUGACUCUGGACAAGAUUUUCUCUCAUUGUCUUCACUCGAAGACAUAGGAUUUGAAUUAGGCAUCACUUCAGUCAUCCUGACUGGUUCUCUUGGACCCCACUUAACAGUACGGUGGUUCCUAUGACACAACAUGAAUAAAGUAAAACUACGAAGGAUCUAAGUCUUCGAGUUCCAAAGGCUUCAUGGGGAGUCUUCAUAUGUCAUUGUCUUCGACAUGAAUGUCUUCAUGAACCACCAUUGUCUUCAAUGUCUUCGUACAUUUUUAGGGGUCAUCUCUGGUAACUAAACCGAAUCAAUGAGGGACUUCUACUAGUGUUAUCCUGCAAUUCUCACAAACACAUUAGUCCCUCAACUAGGUUUGUCUUCAAUACUCCAAAACCAACUAGGGGUGGCACUAGAUGCACUUACAGGUCUGGGUACAGACACUAGAAAGAAAGAAGGCUCCUCGAGGCCUGUCUAUCUACAUAGGGCCCUCCAUGGCCAGGAUCACCACCUGGGUGGCUAGUCACUCAUCGAAGUCAAGGUCUACAUAGAACCCAUCGGAGGGGGCGGUGUUGUCGUCUGAAAACAGUAAUUAAGCAAACAUGAGUACAAAGGUACUCAGCAAGUCUUACAACAGAACCUACUAUACAUGCUUAUUCUCAAGAAGGCGGUGGGGAUAUUGCAGCAAGCCAGCUUUGACUCUUGGCUAAACUAUCCUACGGAACUUCUCUAGUAAAAUAGUUUUCGCACACGAGUCCACUACUCACCAACACAAUACUCCAACGGGGAUCCUCCCUCAUCAUCCUACGAGAGGGCCAUCCUCGGUACUCACACUUAUCUUGAGUCUUUUAGUAGUAUCCAUUUACUUGUCUAUGAACUGUAUAGGCAACUAAGUAGUCCUUUACCGCGGACGCGGCUAUUCGAAUAGUUUUAUACCCUGCAGGGGUGUACUUCGUCAUACACGCUUUCACCACUUAUCGCCGUUUACACGACAUGUACUCGGCAACCUUCAAGCGGAAGCCCAGCGAGGGUGUCGGCCACGGCCUACCUAAACACUUAAGUCUCUAGUCCUGCUUUAUCGCCUAUCCAAGUUCCAUCCGCAGGGAUUCCGGCCGAGGUUUCCACAUACGGCCCCGAACGAUGUGAACAGGAUCCCGAGACGCCAAACGGGUGCCCGGCAUACCCGGCCACGGUGUAUCUACCACAACAUAGCCCACCCCUAGGGUCAGCGCUACGCACGGCCGCCAACACAUAACCUACAAACACCAGAAACUAUUUGCAACUCCUGGAGAGAGUACUAGGGUGAUUAAGAAGCCGAUAGGGUCAAUUAAGGAUCCCAAUGCAUGGUAGUAGCUGAAUCUUAAAUCAUACAUACAGAUCUGAGUUCUUAGGGACGGUCUCAAUGAAACAACCCACCAUGUACUCCUACAUGGCCUCUCAUCGAUACCUUUACCAAAACAUGUUCAACACAUUCCUCAUAUUACCGACAUAAUCAUAUCACUCUAGCCCAUCACCCUGAUGAACCAGACCUGACACAACUCUAAGCAUAGCAGGCAUACCAAGGUACAAAUCACAUACAUGGCUCAAUCAACUCCUACACAUGCUAGUGGGUUUCAUCUAGUUACUGUGGCAAUGAAAGGUCAUGCAGAGGAUAAGGGUUCAACUACCGUAGCACACAGCAGUUUGAAUCGCGUUAUCUUAAUGCAGUAAACAAGAGUAGAGGCGAGAAUAUGGGUUGUAUCGGAAUGAUCAAUGGGUUGCUUGCCUGAUGGAGUGGUAGUGGGAUACUGCCCUUCAGUUGGAUACUCGUGAAUAUCCUCGGAGGCAGAACCUACCACGAAGAACACAUCGGAACACAAUCAAUACAUGACGAUAUGCAACAAUAUGAUGCAUGCUAUGACAUGGCAAUAUGAAUGUGUCUUGGCCUAAUGCAAGCUAAAAUAGAAAGGGAUGAACUCAUUUGAAUCAAAGAUACAAAUAUUAUCUCAUUAAACAUGGCCUUAAUAUUGCAUUUACUUAUUCUGCUUAAACAGAAAGGUAAACUUGUUUUGUCAUGCAUGAAACCAUUACAGGUGGAUAGAUUGAAUUUUUCUGAUAAUUUUUCAUAUAUAAAUUAUUUCAUUUGGAGUUACAGUUGAAUUUCUAUGAUUUUUAGAAUUUUUAAACAUUACUGCGUCAGCAUUGCGUCAUGCUGACCUCAGCAGGUCAAAGGCGCCAGCCCAGGUCAAACCUGACUGGAGGGCCCCUUCUGUCAGUCUCUUAAUUAAAUAACAGGACUAGAUUAACACUAAUUAGCUGUCAGUGGGGCCUGGGCCCACAUGUCAGUGACUGAUUAAAAUAAAAUUAGUUAAAACUAAUCCUAGAUUAGUUAGCAGACCAGCCCCACCUAUCAUAGACUCAGGGGGGGUCUACCUGGGCCCACCCAGGGUCAAACUAGGUCAAACUCGCCGGCGUUGAGCCGCCGGCGAGGCCCGAGACGGUGGCGCAGCUCGGAAAACGCCUAUAGGGCACGAGCGAGGCCGUUCUUGGGCUCGUUGGAGAGCUCUUGCAGUCGCGCAUCUAGUGGUGGUGGUGGCGGGCCUACGGUGGCCGGAGACGACGACGGCGAGCUCCAAGGCAGCGGCCGGAGUUCGGCCAUGUGCGGGGUGUGGGCUGCGGCGUGCAAACUUGGAAACUGAGGCGCUAGCGAGGCACUACGCGAUGCGGCAAGCACGUUGCGUAGCACGGGAUGACCAAAUGGUCGCCGGAGCGGCGCCAGCGACAAGCUCGAGCAGAGACGAGCUUCGGCCAUGGUGGAACUAUGGCCUAGAGGGUGCAAACGCAUGGAAAAGAAGAGGGGAAAGGUGGCGGACCUCACGGGGAGGUCGAUGAGUAGCUCAGUGGGCUCGGGGGUGACCGGAGCGAGGCGAAUCGAUGAGCGGCGUCCGGCGGGUACCGAGGUUGAAGACGAUCCGAUGGCGGCGAUGCAGGGCCUCCGGCGAUGCGUGGGGAGGGCGAGGGCGUCACGGCGGAGCUUCUGGACAGGUCAGAGAGGCGAGGGGGUGACAGAGGGCGCGACUACGGCGGUGAGACGGCGACGGGUGCAUCGGCCAUCGCGGGAGAGGGAGAGGGGGACGUGGGGGAGAGUGAGAGAGGAUGAGAGGGGGACAUGUGGGUCGCGUGGCAUUCCCUGGACGUCUCCCGGCGUCGGCGAAAGCAGGAGGUGGCCGACGUGUGGCCGCGGGCGCCGGCCACGCGCUCCGCGUCCUUCUGGCGCGAGGAGGACGACGACGGGCAGCGCCAGUAGGCUAGGCCGAGCCCGGUGGGCUGGCCAGCACAGGUAAGGCCCAGGUGGGCUUCUCCCUCUCUUUUUUUAAUUUGUUUCUGUUUUCUAUUUAACUGUAACUGUUGGGCUUUAUUUAAAAUACUAAAAUAUUUCCAGAAAUCCUGAAAAUAAUUGUGGGCUCUGCUUGGAUUAUGUCCAACAGCAAACAUUUAUUUCCAGAAUUAUUUGAGCAUUUAAAUUAUUUAAUAGCAUUUAAAUGCCCAAAUUCAAAUACUUAUGAUUUAAAUCAAUGACCUUCUAUUGACCUAGAAAAAUUGUGCAUCAAUUUUGCCAGAGGUUCUAACCCAAGACAAAGAGGGUGAACUUUUUAGAAGGGCAUUUCAGGUUCAUUGAAAAUAAUUUUAGUAAACCCUAGUUGUUUCCAGGGGGUGUUGGGGGUUUCUCCCUUCCCCAAUUCAAAUUUAAGAGGAAUUUAAACAUGAUGGAGAUUCUAAUGCUUGAACUAGCUAGGGUGUGACAUGACUCUUUAUUUGUUAGUUUACCAUAAUCAUCCUUGCUGUACACACCUUUUGAGAGGGCCAUACAUGAUUUGGAAUUUGUUAGAAUACUCUAUGUGCUUCGCUUAUAUCUUUUGAGUUAUAUAGUUUUGCUCUAGUACUUCACUUAUAUCUUUUAGAGCACGGUGGUGGAUUUGUUUUAUAAAAACUAUUGAUCUCUCAUGCUUCACUUACAUUAUUUUGAGAUGCUUAAUAGCAUGGUAAUUUGCUUAAAAUCUUAAUAUGCUAGGUAUUCAAAGUUAGUAAAAUUUUCUUAAGAGUGUUUUGAAUACUAAGAGAAGUUUGAUGCUUGAUGAUUGUUUUGAGAUAUGGAGGUAAUAAUAUCACAGUCAUGCUAGUUGAGUAGUUGUGAAAUUGAGAAAUACUUGUGUUGAAAUUUGCACGUAUGGUAAACGUUGUGUAACAAAUUUGAAACAUGAGGCGUUAUUUGAUUGUCUUCCUUAUGAGUGGCGGUCGGGGACGAGCGAUGGUCUUUUCCUACCAAUCCAUCCCCCUAGGAGCAUGCGCGUAGUACCUAGGUUUUUGAUGACUUGUAGAUUUUUGCAAUAAGUAUGUGAGUUCUUUAUGACUAAUGUUGAGUCCAUGAAUUAUACGCACUCUGACCCUUCCAUCCUUGCUAGCCUCUUAGGUACCAUGCAUUGCCCUUUCCCACAUUGAGUGUUGGAGCAAACUUCGCCGGUGCAUCCAAACCCCGUGAUAUGAUAUGCUCUUUCACACAUAAACCUCCUUAUAUCUUCCUCAAAACAGCCACCAUACCUACCUAUUAUGGCAUUUCCAUAGCCAUUCCGACAUAUAUUGACAUGCAACUUUCCACCAUUCCGUUCAUCAUGACACAUUCAUCAUUGUCAUAUUGCUUAGCAUAAUCAUGUAGUUGACAUAGUAUUUGUGGCAAGGCCACCGUUCAUAAUUCUUUCAUACAUGUCACUAUUGGUCCAUUGCAUAUCCCAGUACACCGCCGGAGGCAUUCAUAUAGAGUCAUACUUUGUUCUAGUAUCGAGUAGAAAUUAUUGAGUUGUAAAUAAAUAGAAGUGUGAUGAUCAUCAUUAAUAGAGCAUGGUCCCAAAAAUAUAAAAAAGGAAGGGCCAAAAAAAGGCCAAAUAAAAAAAUGUAAAAAAGGGGGGCAAUGCUACUAUCCUUUUUUCCACACUUGUGAUUCAAAGUAGCACCGUAAUCUUCAUGAUAGAGAGUAUCUUGAUUUGUCAUUUUCAUCUACUAGUGGGAAUUUUUCAUUAUAGAACUUGGCCUGUAUAUUCCAACAAUGGGCCUCCUCAAGUUCCCUAGGUCUUCGUGAGCAAGCAAGUUGGAUGCACACCCACUUAGUUUCUUUUGUUGAGCUUUCAUACAUUUAUAGCUCUAGUGCAUCUGUUGCAUGGCAAUCCCUACUCCUUGCAUUAACAUCAAUCGAUGGGCAUCUCCAUAGCCCAUUGAUUAGCCUCGUUGAUGUGAGACUUUAUCCUUUUUGUCUUCUCCACAUAACUCCAGUCAUUAUAUUCUAUUCCACCCAUAGUGUUAUGUCCAUGGCAUGCAAUCAUAUAUUGCGUGAAAGUUUAUAGGUUUGAGAUCACUAAAGUAUGAAACAAUUGCUUGGCUUCUCAUCGGGGUUGUGCAUGAUGAGAGCAUUCUUGUGUGACCAAAAUGAAGCAUGAUUAAACUAUAUGAUUUUGUAGGGAUGAACUUUCUUUGGCCAUGUUAUUUUGAGAAGACAUAAUUGCUCAGUUAGUAUGCUUGAAGUAUUAUUAUUUUUAUGUCAAUAUGAACUUUUGUCUUGAAUCUUUCGGAUCUGAAUAUUCAUACCACAAUUAAGAAGAUUUACAUUAAAAUCAUGCCAACUAGCACUCUGCAUCAAAAAUUCUGUUUUUAUCAUUUACCUACUCAAGGACGAGCAGUAAUUAAGCUUGGGGAUGCUUGAUACGUCUCCAACGUAUCUAUAAUUUUUGAUUGCUCCAUGCUAUAUUAUCUACUGUUUUGGACAAUAUUGGGCUUUGUUAUCCACUUUUAUAUUAUUUUUGGGACUAACCUAUUAACCAGAGGCCCAGCCCAGAAUUGUUGUUUUUUGCCUGUUUUAGGGUUUCGAAGAAAAGGAAUAUCAAACGGAGUCCAAACGGAAUGAAACCUUCGGGNNNNNNNNNNNNNNNNNNNNNNNNNNNNNNNNNNNNNNNNNNNNNNNNNNNNNNNNNNNNNNNNNNNNNNNNNNNNNNNNNNNNNNNNNNNNNNNNNNNNNNNNNNNNNNNNNNNNNNNNNNNNNNNNNNNNNNNNNNNNNNNNNNNNNNNNNNNNNNNNNNNNNNNNNNNNNNNNNNNNNNNNNNNNNNNNNNNNNNNNNNNNNNNNNNNNNNNNNNNNNNNNNNNNNNNNNNNNNNNNNNNNNNNNNNNNNNNNNNNNNNNNNNNNNNNNNNNNNNNNNNNNNNNNNNNNNNNNNNNNNNNNNNNNNNNNNNNNNNNNNNNNNNNNNNNNNNNNNNNNNNNNNNNNNNNNNNNNNUGUUGCUCCACCGACGUACUCCUUCCUCCUAUAUAUACCUACGUAUCCCCAAACGACCAUGUACGGAGACAAAACCCUAAUUCCACCGCCGAAACUUUCUGUAUCCACGAGAUUCCAUCUUGGCGCCUGUUCCGGAGCUCCGCCGGAGGGGGCAUCGAUUAUGGAGGGCUUCUACAUCAACACCAUAGCCUCUCCGAUGAAGUGUGCGUAGUUGACCUCAGACCUACGGGUCCAUAGUUAUUACCUAGAUGGCUUCUUCUCUCUUUUUGGAUCUCAAUACAAUGUUCUUCCCCUCUCUUGUGGAGAACUAUUCGAUGUAAUCUUCUUUUUGCGGUGUGUUUGUUGAGACCGAUGAAUUGUGGGUUUAUGAUCAAGUCUAUCUAUGAAUAAUAUUUGAAUCUUCUCUGAAAUAUUUUAUGUAUGAUUGGUUAUCUUUGCAAGUCUCUUCGAAUUAUCAGUUUGGUUUGGCCUACUAGAUUGAUCUUUCUUGCAAUGGGAGAAGUGCUUAGCUUUGGGUUCAAUCUUGCGGUGUCCUUUCCCAGUGACAGUAGGGGCAGCAAGGCACGUAUUGUAUUGUUGGCAUCGAGGACAACAAGAUGGGGUUUUCAUCAUAUUUUAUGAGUCUUUCCCACUACAUCAUGUCAUCUUACUUAAGGCGUUAAUCUGUAUUUAACUUAAUACUCUAGAUGCAUGCUGGAUAGCGGUCGAUGAGUGGAGUAGUAGUAGUAGAUGCAGGCAGGAGUCGGUCUACUUGUCUUGGACGUGAUGCCUAUAUACAUGAUCAUACCUAGAUAAUCUCAUAACUAUGCUCAAUUCUGUCAAUUGCUCAAUAGUAAUUUGUUCACCCACCGUAGAAUACUUAUGCUCUCGAGAGAAGCCACUAGUGAAACUUAUGGCCCCCGGGUCUAUCUUUAUCAUAUUAAUCUCCUACUACUUAGUUAUUUCCUAUGCUUUUUUACUUUGCCUUUAUUUUACUUUGCAUCUUUAACACAAAAAUACAAAAAAAUUAUCUUUAUCAUAUCUACCAAAUCUCACUCUCGUAAGUGGCCGUGUAGGGAUUGACAACCCCUAUUCGCGUUGGUUGCGAGGAUUUAUUUGUUUUGUGCAGGUACGAGGGACUGGCGCAUAGCCUCCUACUGGAUUGAUACCUUGGUUCUCAAAACCUGAGGGAAAUACAUACACUACUUUGCUGCAUCAUCCCUCACUCUUCGGGGAAAACCAACGCAGUGCUCAAGAGGUAGCAAGGGUUCCUUUUUGUCGACGAUCUGAUGUUUCAACCUUGUUUUCCAGGCGGCCAACGCGUCGCUAAACUUGGUCAUGGCGUGUUUUUUUAUCUUCUUCAUUGCCAGGUCCUUAUCUGGAUCUUUAUUAUCCUUUUCAUUACGGUCCGGGAACAAGAAUAUCUGGUGCAGCCUCUUUAGGAGGGAGGGCCUCAUAUUAUCUAUCUUCUGUAGUUUCCCAUCGUUGAUCGUGGCAGUUGUCCAUACAAUGCAACCUAUUUGAUUGCCGUAGCACGAUCGCGCUUCCUCAGGCGCUAUUGUCUCAAAAAUACCGUCGUCCAACUCCGUGACCACCAGUCUAGUACUCAGGAGCUGGUUUGGGCGCCGUGGCCUCUUUGCUUUCGGUUCUAGACCAACUCCGCUAGUCUCGGCGCCGGUCUCAGUCUCAUCGCCGGUCUGCAUGUCGGUAUCAGUCCCCGAUGCGACAACACAGUCGCUGCAACAUGGGUAAGGGAGACCUCCGCGCGUUUGUACAUAGGCACAGGGUGAAUCCCGGUGAGAGAUGGCCAUUGGCGCAUGCAAGUAGACGACGACGUCCCCGACGAAGAGCAGCCGGCCAGCUCGCCUCACUCUCCUUUGAUUAGAAAUGAAAGAUUGGGAAGAAGCAGACUGGAGCCUGCAGGGAAAGGAUAAGGUGACGAUGCAGUCUCCACUCGUUCGGGGCGACACACGUACUGAAUGUAUGAGAAACGUGACGUGGCAGAGACCCCAAGAUACUCCCUCCAUUUAUUUUUAGUCUGCAUAUAAAGUUUGGUCAAAGUCAAGAUUUGUAAAUUUUAACUAACUUUAUAAUAAAAAAAUAUCAACAUUCACAAUAUGAAAUCAAUAUUACCAGAUGUGUCAUGAAAUGUAUUUCCAUACUAUAUAGUUUUGGUAUUGUAGAUGUUCAUAUUUUUUAUAUAAAUGGGAAGUAGAGGCACUCUUGCAUAUAAUGAAGUUUAUAAUAUAUGUGCUUAUAUUGUACUACAAUUGUUUGAAUAGCUUAGCAUAUGUUCAGAUGUAUGAUAUCUGUAAUUUAAGCGCUUGAAUUUUACAUAUAAAUAUUUAUUAAUAAAUAUGUACCCCUAUAAUAGCUAGGCCGUGCAUUUGCACGGGUAGAUGACUAGUGAUUACAAUCUUGUUUGUGUGCAAGUCAAGCUUAUCUAGUUUACACGUAACAACUUGUAGAACGUUACAAAAUUUAUGCUUGCUAAUAACUUCUAGAACACUACAACACUUGACAUGUAAAAGGAAUUUGACGAGUCAUGGCCUACUAAAGCAAGUUACAUUACUAGUCUUAUCUAUCUUAACAGACCACACAAGAUUACAAACUAAGUACCGUGACAGCCAUGCUUAUCUAGUUUAUGCGUAACAAUUUGCAGAAAAUUACAAACUUAGUUUCAGAAAAAUAGGCAAUCUAGAUUAGUGUUUGAGCUGUAAAGUGAAUAAGAUGAGUCAUGCAUGUUAUCACACCUUUUUGGUGGUGGAAUGAUAGUGCAACAACAAGGAACUUUAAUGACCAGUCCAAGAAUACACUUGUAAGUAGUGCUACCAAACAGAACAUACCAAAUGAUGAUUUUUAGAAGCAUCCAAGCACUUUCCACACAAACAAAUGCCAAUUGUGAAAGAGAUCAUUCCAUGGCAGCUAUAAAUAGCCCCAUAGCAUGACGAUCAUCCUUCCUCAUCCAUCAUUCUUAUUAGUAGAGCGCAUCAUUUAAGCCAAGCAAGCUGUGGUCAAUACAAAUCCACCAUGAAGACCUUUCUCAUCCUUGCCCUCCUUGCUAUCGUGGCGACCACCGCCACAACUGCAGUUAGAGUUCCAGUGCCACAAUUGCAGCCACAACAUCCAUCUCAGCAACAGCCACAAGAGCAAGUUCCAUUGGUACAACAACAACAAUUUCUAGGGCAGCAACAACCAUUUCCACCACAACAACCAUAUCCACAGCCGCAACCAUUUCCAUCACAACAACCAUAUCUGCAACUACAACCAUUUCCGCAGCCGCAACUACCAUAUUCGCAGCCACAACCAUUUCGACCACAACAACCAUAUCCACAACCGCAACCACAGUAUUCGCAACCACAACAACCAAUUUCACAGCAGCAGCAGCAGCAGCAACAACAACAACAACAACAACAACAACAAAUCCUUCAACAAAUUUUGCAACAACAACUGAUUCCAUGCAUGGAUGUUGUAUUGCAGCAACACAACAUAGCGCAUGGAAGAUCACAAGUUUUGCAACAAAGUACUUACCAGCUGUUACAAGAAUUGUGUUGUCAGCACCUAUGGCAGAUCCCUGAGCAGUCGCAGUGCCAGGCCAUCCACAAUGUUGUUCAUGCUAUUAUUCUGCAUCAACAACAAAAACCACAACAACAACCAUCGAGCCAGGUCUCCUUCCAACAGCCUCUGCAACAAUAUCCAUUAGGCCAGGGCUCCUUCCGGCCAUCUCAGCAAAACCCACAGGCCCGGGGCUCUGUCCAGCCUCAACAACUGCCCCAGUUCGAGGAAAUAAGGAACCUAGCGCUACAGACGCUACCCGCAAUGUGCAAUGUCUACAUCCCUCCAUAUUGCACCAUCGCGCCAUUUGGCAUCUUCGGUACUAACUGAGAAGAAAAUAACUCUAGUACUAGAUAUAUGAAACACCGUUUUCUCAGUCCAUGGUUUGGUCGUUGUAGCGGUGAAAAAAUAAUGUGACAUGCACUAUCAGGUAAGAACCCGAACUAUACUAGUUCAAACUUGGGAAUAAAAGACAAACACAGGUCUUGUCUACAUAUUUAUGUUGCAUCUAUUUAUAUAUUAAAAGUAAUAUAAGGUGAACCAGGAGCAAGGUAAAUAUGCUAGAAAAUUGCACGUUAAUUAGAAAUUACUAGCCCUCGAUCUGAUAAAUCUUAACGAACAUAUAUAAUGCUCUGGGCCUCCAACGACUGUACGUGACACAUCUGAACGAACAUAUGUUAAAGAAAAUAUAUUUGGUAAAUGGUGGGCUUCUUUAAAAAGAGAACUCACGUACAUGCACCAACUAAGAAAAACACAUACAUGUAAACGGGAAAAGGAUGAGAUUUUCUCACGUACGUGCUCCCUGGCUCCACCCCGUUGAAAAAAUAUACAUCUGGAGGCCACUUUGUUUCCUCAUCAAAAAAACUUACGUUAAAAAGAUUGCAUGCAUCCCAGGGAAAAUAGUCAAGAAGAAGUCGGACUUUUCCUUACAAAAACAAGGAACGUGUUAAGUUGACUUCAAAGAAAAAAGGAACAUGUUAAGUUAAAAAAAAACAAGAAACCUGUUAAGUUAGAAAAAAAACAAGGAACGUGUUGUCCAAGGAAAGAGGAAGAAGAAAGUUGGUUUCAGUGAGUCAUGUGAAUUGUAGAAGAAAUAGGUAAACAAGGCUAGCUCCCCUGGGGGUUGUCAUAUUACAAUCAUUUGUAUUACUUUCCUACCAAUCCUGAACUAGCUAUGACCCUUAUAGCGAGCCUCACUUUACCGUUUCAGAUAGAAACAUAUGGCAGUACUGUACGUACUCGAGAGAAGUUGCUCCCUUCCAUGACAAGGACUAGUUAAGUUUCACUAUCUCCUUUCUCAACUCACUAUAUCCCAGCGGCGGAUUAAUAUAUAUACGUUGAAAAGCAAGGGGAUAAAUUGAACGAAAUGAAGAGCAAUCCAGAAUCCUAUUUUGUAUAUGUGUCAAAUCUUACAAAAAAAAAAGAAUACACACACGUACGUUCAUGCACUUGGAAAAUAGAAAAAAAAGGAACAUCACGUAUGUAUACACUUCGGAAACUCAUUACAUGACCAUGUCUGAUAUACUCCUCUAAUGCUUCAUAUUAGUGCCUAAUAAUUUAUAUUUAAAAUUCAAUUUACUGAUCAAAUAUCCCCACUGUUUAAAUUUUAAUUUGGCACAUUGUUUGGCUAUAGUAUGAACCUAAAUUUCCUCUUAUUAUUAUAUAUCAUGGUAAUAAUCCAAAGGCGACUAAUCUGCGCCGGCGCACCGGCGCAAUCAAUUCCGCUGGACACAGCGCGGCCGUUUGAUUAGAUUGCAUUUAACCGUCAGAUCUGGAAUCGUUUUCUUUCCAAUUAAACAGAUUCAACCAAACAGCAGAGGGGAAAACAAAGCAGCGCCGCCGCCAACACUAGCCAUGGACGACCGAUGUAGCAAAACCUUGAAGAACCGCCGCCGGUCGCCACCCUCGCUGCUGGUCGCCGCCCUCGCCGUCGGUCACCGCCGGUCGCCGCCCUCGCCGCACUCGUGGUUGCAGGCUUGCAUCUCCGCCUCCGGGGGACAUGGCCGCAUGUCCGGUAGCGCCGGCCGCCGGCCGGUGCACCUGUCGUUGUGGUCGCGCUGUACCUCGCCGUGUGCCCUCCCGUGGCUCUUGCUGGUUCCAACAAAAAACGAUACCGGUUGUAGCAAAAAAAUAUCGCUUCCAGCAAAAAAGCUUACCGCUACAGCCCGCCAUCGUCAUUGUAGCAAAAAUGUUAACCCGAUGUAGCUUCUGUGGUUGCCGACUGCAGCAAAAAAUGACAUGGUUGUAGCAAAACACAAAAGAAAAACGCCGGCCGGCCUCUGUGUAUGGUGGUAACAAACCCCAUAGCCGGUGGUAGCGAAAAACUUCAUAGUGCGCAGCAAAAAAAUGUUGUCACCCGUCGUCGAGGUUGCAUCAUCUUCAUGAAUUAUGUCGCAAAAAAACGUUGUCGCCGGUAGUAGCAAAUGAAGCCGCCGGUAGUAGCAAAACAAGACACUGGUUCCAGCCAAAAAAAAUCAGCGACAGAACCUUUGGUUGGUUCCAACAAAAAAACUUGUCGGUCGUAACAUCCCUCGCCGCCGGAUGUAGCAUCUCCCGGGGCUGGUUGCAACACUCCAUAAAAAAAAGUUGUCUAUGAGCGCAUCCAUGGUGACUGCUGCACCGUCAGCAACGAGGGGAAGAGGAGGCAAUGAAAAUCGUUCGAGUCAUAGCUCCACAGGACGCGGCUGCAGCAUGGGGAGUCCAAAAAUCUGUCACAAGCAACAUGCGCCUCGCCAUCCUCCUGCGCAGGAGAGAGAAGAAAAAGGAAUAAGAGGAAGAAGAAAGAAAACGGGAGAAAGAAAAAAGAAACGAUUGGUGGUUGGCUCAGGCAAUUAGUCAAGCGAGGGGCACGCGGGGCGCAGGAUACAGCGCAAUCGAACGAAGCGCGCGCGUCCGGCGAAGACUCGGCCGGACUGCCGGCUGGAAACGUUUCCCUAAUCCAAAGGCUUUAUCUGAAUGACAACUCGUCUGGGUUACCGGCUAACUAGAAAAAAGAUAAAUAUGCUAGAGAAUUUCAUAAUAAUUAGAAAUAUCUAGCCUUUAAUUAUGUAAAUCAGAAAAUCACAACCGUUGGAUUUACUUUAAAGGUAAAUUUCUCUAAAUUCCCACCAUUGCCAGUAUGUAGAAACAUGUGCUGCUUCAAUUCUCCCAUAAUCACCAAUCAAUCAACAACACAAAACAUACCUCAGUUAAAAAAACUGAACAAAAAAAAAGAAAAAAGAAGAAAGGACAAGAUACACGCAUGUACACGACAGCCUUGGCUUGAAACACAUCAGUAGAUCAAGUGUCCGCCUCCCUUACACAGAAUAAACUCAUAGGGAAGAAAAUAAUUGUGCAACCUAACCUUAUACGUACUAUUCUAUCCUCACGUCCCAUGAGGUUUACUAGCCUACCGCCGCCGCAUCAUGCCAUCCCCUCCUUUCAGCUCCCAUGCUUUCCAGCACCCUCAUUGCCGCGCCACUACUUGCCUAGGGAUAUUGCUGCUCAGACCGUGGAGCUUAACCUGCUUCUUCUUCAGCAAAUAUGGUACUGCUUUAGGAUCCUUCUCACAUCAGCACGUAUGGGCCUCAUUAUACUGCAGCUCCUGGACCUCCUACAAUUGGUUGGCUAUGGCCAGUUGAUCGAUGUGCCGAAGUCCAGGUCUGUUUGCUGGCACAUAUGCUUUGGAAAUAGGCCACUAUGUUUGUACUUCAAAAUUGUUUCUGUAUUCUUGAGUGGUACAUCCUUUUAAGCGCCAGUUUUUUAUGUCAAUUCAUGCUGACAACACUUAACCUAGCCUUUCAUCUUCACGUACUAAAUACAGGAGCAAGUAAAAACAACAGACCACCUAAUUGCUCUGCAUGUACUACAUAGGAAAAUUUGUCAUGUUCUACGAUCGCACCAUCCCACACUUCUCUCUUGGUAUGGGCGCCAAUUGAGGGAUUGAUAAAACUGAAACGAAGACGUCACGGGGCUGGAAGUACCGCUAGCCUGGUUUGCACUGCAACCUACUCAACGCCAUCAGAAACUAGCAACUGAGGCAGUUGUUGAUCGAUUCUCUCAAAUUGCUCUCAUGUAAGUACUACCCCUUGCAUGUGCGUACAUACCUUUGUUCCAUUCUCAAACAGAUAGAACAUUUAUGAUCGGUGCAUGGCUAUUUUUCAUCACAUGACAUCCAGAUAACAAGCAUGAAAGGACUACAUUGGAGAUCAAAAAAUAUUGGUUCCUGGCUAGAGGACCACUACCUAUGGACUUGUCUCCAUAGAAUUUGUUCCCAAGAUGUUAUUUUAAUUAACCUCUUUAGCUUUCUUCCAUUGCAAACGGUGAUGUGCAUCUUGGUAUAUACGUGACCAUCUUGCACAUGUAUACACAAGAGGCUCAGACGGAGGUGCUGGAUUCUGGACGAGGGAAUAUGAAGCAGCAGUGAGCGAAGAGUAAAUAAUGGUGGGAGUACCGAUUGGUGUUAUGAAGAAAAAUGCCAUCCAAAGAUUGAUUAGUGUCAUGGAAGAUUAAUUUCUGAAUGCGAAUAUAUAUGUUACAUUGGUUUGGAUCUUUUUGAGAUAAUUGCACAUAAAUUAGGUUCUUUCUUAUUUCAUAUGUAUACCUUAUUUCAGUAAAAGUUCACAACGAACUUAGUAGGACAAAUAUAAUUUUGUUUGUUCUUUCUGUUGUCCGCCACCAAAGCUCAAUUUGAACUCUCUAGAAAUGGACAAUGAUUUAUGCAUUCUAUAUCUUCUUGAUUCAUUAGCCAUGACAAGGAAAUAAAAGGAUUGACUGAUAUAGCAUAACUUUGGAACGAUCUGUUCGUAGAGGUUACUACAAAUUAGAGUAGUGUCUGCUGGAAUUUUGCCAGUAGGUCUUUGGCCCAAAGCCCAACUAAAAUUCUGAAAUUCUCUUGGCUCAUUUAUGCACACAUGUGAGUUGAGUGAGUGAGACUAAAGUUUAGUCCCACCCCGGAGUUGAGAGAGAGUUGCACCUCUUUAUAAGGUGAGCUCUUCUACCACUUGUAUGAGCAUGAGAAGAGGAGACCUACACGCGCGCUCCUCCUCCUCGCUCGCCACGCCUCGCCGCGCCGCGCCGCGGGUUGCGGGAUUGAGCCGAGCCGAGGACGUUGUCUAUAUUUUUGCUGCUCGGGAAAAAUUAAUGAGUCAUUAAUUAAUAAUUAAUGGACGCAUUAAUUACUGAACCGUUUCCGAUUUUUUUGGAUCGUGACGAAUCGGACGCGGGGUUUACUCCCAGGACCUACCCGGCCCGCACUAUAUAGUCAGGCAGACGUCUACCCUAGCCGCCGCCGCUUCAUAUGGUUUCUCACCAUCGUUACAGAUCAUUGCGCCACCAAGCAAGUUUUCUCCAUCCCUCCUUUCGGCGUGCACCGGGAGAAGGGAUAGCAGACCUCCGGAACCCCGCCUCUCGUGAUCCUGUACGGGAGAGGGGCGAUCAGGCUUUUGGGGAGCACACUCGCACUACUGUUGGCAGCGACGACUUCGCAAACGAGGACUUCUUCCCCGACCUCGGCAACCUCAUCCUCGACGACAUGGGCGACAACGUCAACGCCGGCGGUGCUACACCCACUGCACCGUAUGUUAUUCUCUCCUUCUUGUUCGAGGUCGUGGUAGAAUUCAAAGUAUAUGUGCCCUAGAUGUGAUCUGUUCAUCUACUAUGGUAGUUCGCAUGAUUAGUUUAAUCUCUGCUAUUGCUGUCAUGAUCUAUUUCCUAUUUAUUCGGAUUAAAUCUCGUAGUAAUUUGCUCAUUUUUCCAACAAUCCAAAAACCUGAUUAAUGGAAAUUUACUCCGAGUGGUUUUGCUGCGCAUCUGAAAGCCGCUUGCCUUUAAGGGGGCGCAAUAUAAGAGGUGGCUCACAAGAGUAGUCUACUGGUUUCAGAUCAUGGGCUGCUAUGACGCCACCAAGGGCAAGCCUGAGGGCGAUCUUAAUCCAGCACAGCUGGAUGCUAUGACAACGGCAAGAACACGUGGGCUACGCUCGAGGCCAAGUUUGGUGCCUCGGACGCCGGCAGCGAGUUGUACGUCAUGGAGCAAUUCUAUGACUCCAAGAUGACUGAUGAGCGCCCUGUUGUACAGCAGGCUCAUGAGAUACAGUUGCUCGCAAAAGAACUUGAGUACUUCAUGUUGGGGAACGUAGUAAUUUCAAAAAAAUUCCUACGCACACGCAAGAUCAUGGUGAUGCAUAGCAACGAGGGGGAGAGUCUGAUCUACGUACCCUUGUAGAUCGCAACGGAAGUGUUGACACAGCGUAGAGGAAGUAGUCGUACGUCUUCUUCCCGAUCCGACCGAUCCAAGCACCGUUACUCCGGCACCUCCGAGUUCUUAGCACACGUUCAGCUCGAUGACGAUCCCCGGGCUCCGAUCCAGCAAAGCUUCGGGGAGGAGUUCCGUCAGCACGACGGCGUGGUGACGAUCUUGAUGUUCUACCGACGCAGGGCUUCACCUAAGCACUACAACGGUAUGAUCGAGGUGGAAUAUGGUGGCAGGGGGCACCGCACACGGCUAAGGAACGAUCUCAAUGAUCAACUUGUGUGUCUAGAGGUGCCCCCUGCCCCCGUAUAUAAAGGUUGCCAGGGGGAGGGCUGGCCGGCCAAGCUAUGGAGGCGCAGGAGGAGUCCUACUCCUACCGGGAGUAGGACUCCCCCCAAUCCUAUUCCUAAUAGGACUCCCAAGUGGAAAGAGAGGGAGAGAGGUGGCCGGCCACCUCUCCUAGUCCUAAUAGGACUAGGGGAGGGGGGAGGCGUGCAGCCCACCUUGGGCUGCCCCUUUCACCUUGCCACUAAGGCCCAAUAAGGCCCAUUUGGUUCCCGGGGGGUUCCGGUAACCUCCCGGUACUCCGGUAAAAUCCCGAUUUCUCCCGAAACACUUCCGAUGUCCAAACAUAGGCUUCCAAUAUAUCAAUCUUGAUGUCUCGACCAUUUCGAGACUCCUCAUGAUGUCCGCGAUCACAUCCGGGACUCCGAACAACCUUCGGUACAUCAAAAUGCAUAAACUCAUAAUAACUGUCAUCGUAACGUUAAGCGUGCGGACCCUACGGUUCGAGAACAAUGUAGACAUGACCGAGACACGUCUCCGGUCAAUAACCAAUAGCGGGACCUGGAUGCCCAUAUUGGCUCCUACAUAUUCUACGAAGAUCUUUAUCGGUCAGACCGCAUAACAACAUACGUUGUUCCCUUUGUCAUCGGUAUGUUACUUGCCCGAGAUUCGAUCAUCGGUAUCCAAUACCUAGUUCAAUCUCGUUACCGGCAAGUCUCUUUACUCGUUCUGUAAUACAUCAUCCCGCAACUAACUCAUUAGUUGCAAUGCUUGCAAGGGUUGUAUAAUGUGCAUUACCGAGAGGGCCCAGAGGUACCUCUCCGACAAUCGGAGUGACAAAUCCUAUUCUCGAAAUACGCCAACCCAACAUCUACCAUUGGAAACACCUGUAGUACUCCUUUAUAAUCACCCAGUUACGUUGUGACGUUUGGUAGCACCCAAAGUGUUCCUCCGGCAAACGGGAGUUGCAUAAUCUCAUAGUCAUAGGAACAUGUAUAAGUCAUGAAGAAAGCAAUAGCAACAUACUAAACGAUCGGGUGCUAAGCUAAAGGAAUGGGUCAUGUCAAUCAGAUCAUUCAUCUAAUGAUGUGAUCCCAUUAAUCAAAUAACAACUCUUUGUCCAUGGUUCGGAAACAUAACCAUCUUUGAUUAACGAGCUAGUCAAGUAGAGGCAUACUAGUGACACUCUGUUUGUCUAUGUAUUCACACAUGUAUUAUGUUUCCGGUUAAUACAAUUCUAGCAUGAAUAAUAAAUAUUUAUCAUGAUAUAAGGAAAUAAAUAAUAACUUUAUUAUUGCCUCUAGGGCAUAUUUCCUUCAGUCUCCCACUUGCACUAGAGUCAAUAAUCUAGAUCACAUCACCAUGUGAUUAACAUCGAUAGUUCACAUCAUCAUGUGAUUAACACCCAUAGUUCACAUCGCCAUGUGACCAACACCCAAAGGGUUUACUAGAUUCAGUAAUCUAGUUCACAUUGCUAUGUGAUUAACACCCAAAGAGUACUAAGGUGUGAUCAUGUUUUGCUUGUGAGAGAAUCUUAGUCAACGGGUCUGCCACAUUCAGAUCCACAUGUAUUUUGCAAAUUUCUAUGUCAACAAUGCUCUGCAUGGAGCUACUUUAGCUAAUUGCUCCCACUUUCAAUAUGUAUCUAGACCGAGACUUAGAGUCAUCUAGAUUAGUGUCAAAACUUGCAUCGGCGUAACCCUUUACGACGAAUCUUUUUAUCACGUCCAUAAUCGAGAAACAUAUCCUUAUUUCACUAAGGAUAAUUCUGACCGAUGUCCAGUGAUCUACUCCUAGAUCACUAUUGUACUCCCUUGCCAAAUCAGUGCCGGGUAUACAAUAGAUUUGGUAUACAGCAUGUCAUACUUUAUAGAACCUAUGGCCAAGGCAUAGGGAAUGACUUUCAUUCUCUUUCUAUCUUCUGCCGUGGUUGGGCUUUGAGUCUUACUCAACUUCACACCUUAUAAUACAGGCAAGAACUCUUUCUUUGACUGCUCCAUUUUGAACUACUUCAAAAUCUUGUCAAGGUAUGUACUCAUUGAAAAAACUUAUCAAGCGUCUUGAUCUAUCUCUAUAGAUCUUGAAGCUCAAUAUGUAAGCAGCUUCACCGAAGUCUUUCUUUGAAAAACUCCUUUCAAACACUCCUUUAUGCUUUAUAGAAUAAUUCUACAUUAUUUCCGAUUAACAAUAUGUCAUUCACAUAUACUUAUCAGAAAUGUUGUAGUGCUACCACUCACUUUCUUGUAAAUACAGGCUUCACCGCAAGUCUGUAUAAAACUAUAUGCUUUGAUCAACUCAUCAAAGCAUAUAUUCCAACUCCGAGAUGCUUGCACCAGUCCACAGAUGGAUCGCUGGAGCUUGCACAUUUUGUUAGCACCUUUCGGAUUGACAAAACCUUCUGUUGCAUCAUGUACAACUCUUCUUUAAUAAAUCCAUUAAGGAAUGCAGUUUUGUUUAUCCCUUUGCCAGAUUUCAUAAAAUGCGGCAAUUACUAACAUGAUUCGGACAGACUCAAGCAUAGAUACGAGUGAGAAGCUCUCAUCGUAGUCAUCACCUUGAACUUGUCGAAAAACUUUUGCGACAAUUCUAGCUUUGUAGAUAGUAACACUACUAUCAGCGUCCGUCUUCCUCUUGAAGAUCCAUUUAUUCUCAAUUGCUUGCCGAUCAUCGGGCAAGUCAACCAAAGUCCAAACUUUGUUCUCAUACAUGGAUCAUAUCUCAGAUUUCAUGGCCUCAAACCAUUUCGCGGAAUCUGGGCUCAUCAUCGCUUCCUCAUAGUUCGUAGGUUCGUCAUGGUCAAGUAACAUGACCUCCAGAACAGAAUUACCGUACCACUCUGGUGCGGAUCUCACUCUAGUUUACCUACGAGAUUCCGUAGUAACUUGAUCUGAAGUUACAUGAUCAUCAUCAUUAGCUUCCUCACUAAUUUGUGUAGUAGUCACAAGAACAGAUUUUUGUGAUGAACUACUUUCCAAUAAGGUAGAAGGUACAAUUACCUUAUCAAGUUUUCUACUUUCCUCCCACUUACUUCUUUCAAGAGAAACUCCUUCUCUAGAAAGGAUCCAUUAUAAGCAACGAAUGUCUUGCCUUAGGAUCUGUGAUAGAAGGUGUACCCAACAGUCUCCUUUGGGUAUCCUAUGAAGACAUAUUUCUCCGAUUUGGGUUUGAGCUUAUCAGGAUGAAACUUUUUCUCAUAAGCAUCGCAACCCCAAACUUCAAGAAACGACAACUUUGGUUUCGUGCCAAACCAUAGUUCAUAAGGCGUCGUCUCGACGGAUAUAGAUGGUGCCCCUUUUUUUAACGUGAAUGCAGCUGUCUCUAAUGCAUGACCCCAAAAACGAUAGUGGUAAAUCGGUAAGAAACAUCAUAGAUUGCACUAUAUCCAAUAAAGUACGGUUAUGGCGUUCGGACACACCAUUAUGCUGUGGUGUUCCAGGUGGCGUGAGUAGUGAAACUAUUUCACAUUGUUUUAACUGAAGACCAAACUUGUAACUGAAAUACUCUUUUCCACGAUCAGAUCGUAGAAACUUUAUUUUCUUGUUACGAUGAUUUUCCACUUCACUCUGAAAUUCUUUGAACUUUUCAAAUGUUUCCGACUUAUGUUUUAUCAAAUAGAUAUACUCAUAUCUGCUCAAAUCAUCUGUGAAGAUCAGAAAAUAAUGAUACCUAUCGCGAGCCUCAAUAUUCAUCGGACCACAUACAUCAGUAUGUAUGAUUUCCAACAAAUCUGUUGCUCGCUCCAUUGUUCAGAAGAACAAAGUCUUAGUCAUCUUGCCCAAAAGGCAUGGUUCGCAAGCAUCAAGUGAUUCCGAAAGCCCAUCAGCAUGGAGCGCUUUAUACCAAUAUGACCUAAACGGCAGUGCCACAAAUAAGUUGCACUAUCAUUAUUAACUCUGCAUCCUUUGGUUUCAAUAUUAUGAAUAUGUGUAUCACUACGAUCGAGAUCCAACGAACUUGUUUCAUUGGGUGUAUGACCAUCGAAGGUUUUAUUCAUGUAAACAGAACAACAAUUAUUCUCUGACUUUAAUGAAUAACCGUAUUGCAAUAAAUAUGAUCAAAUCAUAUUCAUGCUCAACGCAAAAACCAAAUAACACUUAUUUAAGUUCAACACUAAUCCCGAAAGUAUAGGGGAGUGUGCGAUGAUGAUCAUAUCAAUCUUGGAACUACUUCCAACACACAUCGUCACUUCACCCUUAACUAGUCUCUAUUUAUUCUGCAACUCCUGUUUUGAGUUACUACUCUUAGCAACUGAACCAAUAUCAAAUACUAAGGGGUUGCUAUAAACACUAGUAAAGCACACAUCAAUAACAUGUAUAUCAAAUAUACUUUUGUUCACUUUGCCAUCCUUCUUAUCCGCCAAUCACUUGGGGUAGUUCCGCUUCUAGUGACCAGUCCCUUUGCAGUAGAAGCACUUAGUCUCAGGCUUAGGAUCAGACUUGGGCCUCUUCACUUGAGCAGCAACUUGCUUGCCGUUCUUCUUGAAGUUCCCCUUCUUCCCUUUGCCCUUUUCUUGAAACUAGUGGUCUUGUCAACCAUCAACACUUGAUGUUUUUCUUGAUUUCUACCUUCGUUUAUUUCAGCAUCACGAAGAGCUUGGGAGUUGUUUCUGUUAUCCCUUGCAUAUUAUAGUUCAUCACGAAGUUCUACUAACUUGGUGAUGGUGACUAGAGAAUUCUGUCAAUCACUAUCUUAUCUGGAAGAUUAACUCCCACUUGAUUCAAGCGAUUUUAGUACCCAGACAAUCUGAGCACAUGCUCACUAGUUGAGCGAUUCUCCUCCAUCUUUUAGCCAUAGAACUUGCUGGAAACUUCAUAUCUCUCAACUCGGGUAUUUGCUUGAAAUAUUAACUUCAACUCUUGGAACAUCUCAUAUGGUCUAUGACGUUCAAAACGUCUUUGAAGUCCCGAUUCUAAGCCAUUAAGCAUGGUGCACUAAACUAUCAAGUAGUCAUCAUAUUGAGCUAGCCAAACGUUCAUAACGUCUGCAUCUGCUCCUGCAAUAGGUUUGUCACCUAGCGGUGCAUCAAGGACAUAAUUCUUCUGUGCAGCAAUGAGGAUAAAACUCAGAUCACGGAUCCAAUCCGCAUCAUUGCUACUAACAUCUUUCAACACAAUUUUCUCUAGGAACAUAUCAAAAUAAACACAGGGAAGCAACAACGCGAGCUAUUGAUCUAUAACAUGAUUUACAAAAUACUACCAGGACUAAGUUCAUGAUAAAUUUAAGCUCAAUUAAUCAUGUUACUUAAGAACUCCCACUUAGAUAGACAUCCCUCUAAUCCUCUAAGUGAUCACGUGAUCCAAAUCAACUAAACCAUAACCGAUCAUCACGUGAAAUGGAUUAGUUUUCAAUGGUGAACAUCAUUAUGUUGAUGAUAUCUACUAUAUGAUUCACGCUCGACCUUUCGGUCUCCGUGUUCCGAGGCCAUAUCUUUAUAUGCUAGGCUCGUCAAGUUUAACCUGAGUAUUCUGCGUGUGCAAAACUGGCUUGCACCAGUUGUAGAUGGACGUAGAGCUUAUCACACCCGAUCAUCACGUGGUGUCUGGGCACGACGAACUUUGGCAACGGUGCAUACUCAGGGAGAACACUUCUUGAUAAUUUAGUGAGAGAUCAUCUUAUAAUGCUACCGUCAAUCAAAGCAAGAUAAGAUGCAUAAAAAGAUAAACAUCACAUGCAAUCAAUAUAAGUGAUAUGAUAUGGCCAUCAUCAUCUUGUGCUUGUGAUCUCCAUCUCCGAAGCACCGUCAUGAUCACCAUCGUCACCGGCGCGACACCUUGAUCUCCAUCGUAGCAUCGUUGUCGUCUCGCCAAUCUUAUGCUUCCACGACUAUCGCUACCGCUUAGUGAUAAAGUAAAGCAUUACAUCGCGAUUGCAUUGCAUACAAUAAAGCGACAACCAUAUGGCUCCUGCCAGUUGCCGAUAACUCGGUUACAAAACAUGAUCAUCUCAUACAAUAAAAUUUAGCAUCAUGCCUUGACCAUAUCACAUCACAACAUGCCCUGCAAAAACAAGUUAGACGUCCUCUACUUUGUUGUUGCAAGUUUUACGUGGCUGCUACGGGCUUAAGCAAGAACUCAUCUCACCUACGCAUCAAAACCACAACGAUAGUUUGUCAAAUAGAUUCCGUUUUAACCUUCUCAAGGACCGGGCGUAGCCACACUUGGUUCAACUAAAGUUGGAGAGACAGUCGCCCGCAAGCCAUCUAUGUGCAAAGCACGUCGAGGGAACCGGUCUCGCGUAAGCGUACGCGUAAGGUUGGUCCGGGUCGUCUCGUCCAACAAUACCGCCGAACCAAAGUAUGACAUGCUGGUAGGCAGUAUGACUUGUAUCGCCCACAACUCACUUGUGUUCUACUCGUGCAAAUAAUAUCAAACCAUAAAACCUAGGCUCGGAUGCCACUGUUGGGGAACGUAGUAAUUUCAAAAAAUUUCCUACGCACACGCAAGAUCAUGGUGAUGCAUAGCAACGAGGGGGAGAGUCUGAUCUACGUACCCUUGUAGAUCGCAACGGAAGCGUUGACACAACGUAGAGGAAGUAGUCGUACGUCUUCUUCCCGAUCCGACCGAUCCAUGCACCGUUACUCCGGCACCUCUGAGUUCUUAGCACACGUUCAGCUCGAUGACGAUCCCCGGGCUCCGAUCCAGCAAAGCUUCGGGGAGGAGUUCCGUCAGCAUGACAGCGUGGUGACGAUCUUGAUGUUCUACCGACGCAGGGCUUCGGCUAAGCACUACAACGGUAUGGUCGAGGUGGAAUAUGGUGGCAGGGGGCACUGGACACGGCUAAGGAACGAUCUCAAUGAUCAACUUGUGUGUCUAGAGGUGCCCCUACCCUCGUAUAUAAAGGUUGCCAGGGGAGGGCUGGCCGGCCAAGCUAUGGAGGCGCAGGAGGAGUCAAACUCCUACCGGGAGUAGGACUCCCCCCCCCCAAUCUUAUUCCUAAUAGGACUCCCAAGGGGAAAGAGAGGGAGAGAGGUGGCCGGCCACCUCUCCUAGUCCUAAUAGGACUAGGGGAGGGGGGAGGCGCGCAGGCCACCUUGGGCUGCCCCUUUCACCUUUCCACUAAGGCCCAAUAAGGCCCAUUUGGUUCCCGGGGGUUCCGGUAACCUCCCGGUACUCCGGUAAAAUCCCGAUUUCUCCCGGAACACUUCCGAUGUCCAAACAUAGGCUUCCAAUAUAUCAAUCUUUAUGUAUCGACCAUUUCGAGACUCCCCGUCAUGUCCAGGAUCACAUCCGGGACUCCGAACAACCUUCGGUACAUCAAAAUGCAUAAACUCAUAAUAACUGUCAUCGUAACGUUAAGCGUGCGGACCCUACGGUUCGAGAACAAUGUAGACAUGACCGAGACACGUCUCCGGUCAAUAACCAAUAGCGGGACCUAGAUGCCCAUAUUGGCUCCUACAUAUUCUACGAAGAUCUUUAUCGGUCAGACCGCAUAACAACAUACGUUGUUCCCUUUGUCAUCGGUAUGUUACUUGCCUGAGAUUCGAUCGUCGGUAUCCAAUACCUAGUUCAAUCUCGUUACCGGCAAGUCUCUUUACUCAUUCUGUAAUACAUCAUCUCGCAACUAACUCAUUAGUUGCAAUGCUUGCAAGGCUUGUAUAAUGUGCAUUACCGAGAGGGCCCAGAGGUACCUCUCCGACAAUCGGAGUGACAAAUCCUAUUCUCGAAAUACGCCAACCCAACAUCUACCAUUGGAAACACCUGUAGUACUCCUUUAUAAUCACCCAGUUACAUUGUGAUGUUUGGUAGCACCCAAAGUGUUCCUCCGGCAAACGGGAGUUGCAUAAUCUCAUAGUCAUAGGAACAUGUAUAAGUCAUGAAGAAAGCAAUAGCAACAUACUAAACGAUCGGGUGCUAAGCUAAUGGAAUGGGUCAUGUCAAUCAGAUCAUUCAUCUAAUGAUGUGAUCCCAUUAAUCAAAUAACAACACUUUGUCCAUGGUUAGGAAACAUAACCAUCUUUGAUUAACGAGCUAGUCAAGUAGAGGCAUACUAGUGACACUCUGUUUGUCUAUGUAUUCACACAUGUAUUAUGUUUCUGGUUAAUACAAUUCUAGCAUGAAUAAUAAAUAUUUAUCAUGAUAUAAGGAAAUAAAUAAUAACUUUAUUAUUGCCUGUAGGGCAUAUUUCCUUCACUUCAAGUGUGUGUUGCCGAACAAAUUUGUUGCCGGAGGCAUCAUUGCCAAGCUUCCACCUUCGUGGAACAAUUUUGCUACUUCCCUGAAACACAAGAGACAGGAGUUUUUCGUUGCGGAUCUCAUUGGUACUCUUGAUGUUGAAGAGAAGGCGAGAGCAAAGGAUACACGUGCUCGAGUUGCUGAGGGAGGUUCUAGUGCCCACAUGGUACAGAAGAAGAUCUUCCAGCCCAACAAGUUCAAAAACAACAAGAACAAAACUUAGGGCAAAGGCAAGUUUGAUACAAAGAACAAGCCAUCACAUUCUACCAACUUCAAGAAGAACUCUCAUAAGAAGGGGAAGGGACUUUGCCAUGUCUGCGGUGAUCCUAAUCACUGGGCUCCGAAGUGUCCUAACCGCUUUGAGGAGCGCGAACAUGAGAAGAGCGGCAAGUCUGCUAAUGUUGUCAUCGGUGAUACUGAUAUGAAGGAAUCAGGGUACGGUAUUUUUCCUACCAUCCUUUCAGUAUUCCAAAUCCCUGAUUGGUUAAUUGACAUCGGUGCCAAUGUACAUGUUUGUGCUGAUGCCUCCAUGUUUUCUUCUUACCAGGCCACUUGGACUUCUCCUGUGCUGAUGGGGAACGGGUCACAUGCCAUCGUUCGAGGUGUUGGUGCGGUCAAUCUGAAGUUUACUUCGGGGAAGACCGUGCGUCUGAAGAACGUUCAUCAUGAGCCGUCCAUCAAUAAAAAUCUCGUUAGCGGUUCCCGUUUAUGUCGAGAUGGUUUUAAGUUGGUUUUCGAAUCCAAUAAAGUUAUAAUUUCUAAGUAUGGACAAUUUGUUGGAAAAGGCUAUGAGAGCGGAGGCUUGUUUCGCCUGUCUUUGUCAGAUAUUUGCACUAAAGUUAUUAAUAAUGUUUGCCACAACAAUGAGUCUGAUAUUUGGCAUUCACGACUUUGUCACAUUAACUUUGGUUGCAUGACCCGGCUAGCCAAUAUGAAUUUAAUUCCGAAAUCUCUACUGUCAAAGGCUCUAAGUGCCAAGUAUGUGUGAAAGCUAAGCAACCUCGCAAAUCCCAUAAGACUGCAGAGGCGACAGACUUGGCGCCACUAGAGCUUAUACAUUCUGAUAUUUGUGAGAUGAAUGGCGUGUGGACAAAAGGUGGAAAGAGAUACUUCAUGACGUUGAUUGAUGACUCCACUAGAUAUUGUUAUGUGUAUCUUAUGAAAUCAAAAGAUGAGGCUUUGGCUUUCUUCAAAAACUAUAAAGCUGAGGCAGAGAACCAACUUGAUCGAAAAAUUAAACGGCUUAGGUCCGAUCAUGGUGGAGAGUAUUUUUCCAAUGAAUUUGAUCUAUUUUGUGCGGAACAUGGUAUAAUCCAUGAGAGGAUGCCUCCCUACUCACCCCAGUCAGAUGCGGUAGCCGAAAGAAAGAACCAAACUCUAACUGAUAUGGUUAACACCAUGUUAGACACUUCGGGUCUAUCCAAGGAAUGGUGGGGGGAGGCGCUAAUGACUGCGUGUCAUGUCCUAAACCGAGUUCCCACAAAGCAUAAGACCAUGACUCCAUUUGAGGAAUGUUAAAGGAAAAGGUUGAAACUCUCUUACCUACGUACUUGGGGUUGUUUGGCGAAAGUCAAUAUACCAAUUCCCAAGAAGCGCAAGCUUGGACCAAAAACCGUGGGUUGUGUUCUUCUUGGGUAUGCUUUUCAUAGCAUCGGCUAUAGAUUUUUGAUAAUAAAAUCUGAGGUAUCCGACAUGCAUGUUGGUACGAUUAUGGAGUCGAAUGAUGCAACUUUCUUUGAGGACAUAUUUCCUAUGAAGGAUAUGUUGAGUUCAUCAAAUCAGGAGACACCUACUCCACCUAGUGAGGAAUUCACUGUAAUUCCUGAACCCACCAUUGCGAUGGAACACAUAGAGAAUCCUGUUGAGGGUGACAAUGGAACUCCUGUGAGGAGUAAGAGACAUAGGACUACAAAGUCCUUUGGUGAUGAUUUCAUUGUGUACCUCGUGGAUGACACACCCAGGACUAUUUCAGAAGCCUGUGCAUCUCUUGAUGCUGACUACUGGAAGGAAGCUGUACAUAGCGAGAUGGAUUCCAUCUUAGGUAACAGAACCUGGGAGAUCACUGACCGUCCUUAUGGGUGAAAACCUGUAGGAUGUAAGUGGGUGUUCAAGAAGAAGCUUAGACCUGAUGGUACGAUUGAAAAGUACAAGGCACGGCUUGUGGCCAAGGGUUAUACCCAGAAAGAAGGUGAAGACUUCUUUGAUACUUACUCACCCGUGGCUAGAAUGACCACAAUUUGGGUGCUACUAUCACUUGUUGCCUCACAUGGUCUUCUCGUUCAUCAAAUGGACGUUAAGACAGCUUUCCUCAAUGGAGAGUUGAAGGAGGAAAUUUACAUGGAUCAGCCAGAUGGUUUUGUAGUACCUGGUUAGUAAGGAAAGUUGUGCAAGUUAUUAAAGUCUUUAUAUGGCCUUAAACAAGCUCCUAAAGAGUGGCAUGAGUAGUUUGAAAGAACAUUAACUGCUGCCGGCUUUGUAGUAAACGAUGGUGACAAGUGCGUGUACUAUCGCUAUGGUGGUGGCGAAGGAGUUAUUCUUUGUCUGUAUGUCGACGACAUAUUGAUCUUUGGAACGAAACUUGAUUUAAUCAAGGAGGUUAAGGAUUUCUUAUCUCGCUAUUUUGAGAUGAAGGAUCUAGGAGUAGUUGAUGUUAUCUUAAACAUCAAGCUGUUGAGAGAUGAGAAUGAUGGGAUCACACUGCUUCAGUCUCACUAUGUGGAAAAGGUCUUGAGUCGUUUUGGGUAUAGCGACUGCACACCUUCUCCAACUACAUAUGAUGCUAGCAUGUUGCAUCGAAAGAAUCGACGGAUUGCUAGAGAUCAACUGAGGUAUUCUCAUAUUAUUGGCUCGCUUAUGAUUUGGCGAGUGCCACGAGGCCAAACAUCUCGUUUGCUGUUAGCAAGCUGAGUCGAUUUGUGUCAAAACUAGGAGAUGAUUAUUGGCAUGCGCUUGAGAGAGUUAUGCGCUAUUUGAAAGGCACCGCGAGCUAUGGGAUUCACUACACCGGGUAUCCAAGGGUACUGGAGGGUUAUAGUGACUCAAACUGGAUAUCUGAUGCUAAUGAGAUUAAGGCCACAAGUGGUUAUGUUUUUACACUUGGUGGUGGCGCUGUUUCUUGGAAGUCCUGCAAGCAGACCAUCUUAAUGAGGUCAACUAUGGAAGCAGAACUCACAACAUUAGAAACUGCUACUGUUGAAGCAGUGUGGCUUCGUGAGCUCUUGAUGGACUUUCCUAUGGUUGAAAAACCAAUACCCCCUAUCCCAAUGAACUGUGAUAAUCAAACUGUGAUCGUCAAGAUAAACAGUUCUAAGGACAAUAUGAAGUCCUCAAGGCAUGUGAAGAGGAGACUGAAAUCUGUUAGAAAAUUGAGGAACUCCGGAGUUAUUACGUUGGAUUAUAUCCAAACGUCAAAAAAAUUGGCAGAUCCCUUCACAAAGGGUCUAUCACGUAAUGUGAUAGAUAAUGCAUCGAUGGAGAUGGGUUUGAGACCCACCGCAUGAGUUGUCCAUAGUGGUAACCCACUCUUUGUGAUCGGAGAUCCCGUGAAGUAGAAGUGGGAGACAAGCUGUUGGUCAGCUGGGAGGAGAGUAUCCCUAUAUUACCUGUCCCACUCCAUGAAGAUGCAACACUCUCCUAAUCUGCAUGGCAGGUUGAUACUUAUCUUAAUGUGUUCCAAGUGGCUUAUUCGGGUAAGCAGAGAUGUUGUCCUGCGGAACAUCUUCUGAGGAACACACCUAUAUGAAUUUGAUUGUUAACGUCGCAGUCUGUGAGAAUUGGGUGUUCUCUAAUAAAUUCAUGAAAAGGCCCUGGAGUAUGACGUAUAAGCUCCACCCGCAGGGAAGCCUUGCGGCAGCCCAGUAUCGGUCAAGAAUUUGUGUGAAACUAGUCUCGCAGAAAAUUUGUAGUUCAAGGCAUAGUCCACUAUUCAAGUUGUGAUCUAGUGUAGCAUAAAUCUCUAAGUGGAAGUUCAACUUCAAAGUCUCCACUAAGCCCCGGUAUAUAAACAAUGUUUUGGAACUAAAUGAUGAGAUGUGCCAAUGAGACUUUGUGGGGGAUUGUUGGAAUUUUGCUAGUAUGCCUUUGGCCCAAAGCCCAACUAAAAUUCUGAAAUUCUCUUCGCCCAUUCAUGCACACAUGUGAGUGGAGUGAGUGAGACUAAAGUUUAGUCCCACCCCGGAAGUUGAGAGAGAGCACCUCUUUAUAAGGUGAGCUCUUCUACCACUUGUAUGAGCAUGAGAGUAGGAGACCUACACACGCGCUGCUCCUCCUCGCUCACCACGCCACGCCUGGUCACGACGCGCCGCGGGUUGCGGGAUUGAGCCGAGCCGAGGUCAGAGCUAUGCACGUUGUCUAUUUUUUGCUACCCCGGAAAAUUAAUGAGUCAUUAAUUAAUAAUUAAUGGACGUGUUAAUUACUAAACCGUUUCCGAUUCUUUUGGAUCAUGACGACUCGGACGUGGGGUUUACUCCCACGACCUACCAGGCCCGCACUAUAUAGUCCGGCAGACGUGUACCCUAGCUGUCGCCGCUUCGUAUGGUUUCUCACCACCGUUCCAGAUCAUUGCGUCGCCAAGCAAGUCUUCUCCAUCCCUCCUUUCGGCGUGCACCGGGAGAAGGGACAGCAGGCCUCCGGAACCCCGCCUCUCGUGAUCCUGUAUGGGAGAGGGGCGAUCAGGUUUUUGGGGAGCGCACUCGCGCGACUUCUGGCAGCGACGACUUCGCGAAUGACGACUUCUUCCCUGACCUCGGCAACCUCAUCCUCGACGACAUGGGCGACAACGUCAACGCCGGCGGUCCUGCACCCGCUGCACCGUAUGUUAUUCUAUCCUUCUUGUUCGAGAUCGUGGUAGAAUUCAGGUUUCUAGUAUAUGCCCUAGAUGUGAUCUGUUCAUCUACUAUGCUAGUUCGCAUGAUUAGUUUAAUCUCUGCUAUUGCUGUCAUGAUCUAUUUCCUAUUUAUUCGGAUUAAAUCUCGUAGUAAUUUGCUCAUUUUUCCAAUAGUACCAUCUAAUAGAUGAUGUAAAUCUCCUCUAGUUUGACGUUGUUGAGCUAAUUUACAAAAAAAAAACCUCAUCAUUAUUGGACGUCCUUAACAGCUCAAGAACAAGUUGGGGUCGAACUAAUGGAUUUUACACUUUUACAUUAAAGGUUUAGCUAAAGCUAGCAGGUGUUUUUAAACCUGAAUUUUUUUUUCCUCCUGAAUUUCUUUGUAUUUUCUUAUUGACACUAUUUAUACAAUCAUCUGACAAAGAUUAGCUAAAGAUGUUUGUAGAUACGUUGAAACCUGAAAAGCUUCUUUGGUUAUCCUUUUAAUAGUUCUACGUUUAAUUUCUCAUAGGUCAUAAUUCUUAUGUAAUACCAAGAUGCAUUGUGGUAGUGUACAUGUGUUCAAUUCAGGUUGUUAUUCACAAUUUGCGACAAAAUUUAGCUCACGCUACAUUUAAAUAUGUUGAAAUGUGAAUGCUCUUUUUCUUCUCCUUUCUACACCUUGCAUCGGAUUGCAUCCCUUUAGUUAUCCAACAUUUUGUACAACAUGUAGAGAUUAGGAAGUUCAUCAUAGUUUGUCUAUUUCCGUGCUAAUAAAUGUAUGAAAUCUGCAUUUCCAAGCUACUAGGACAAGUAAAAAAUAAUAAUUUUACUAUAGGAUUCAAAAACAGCAGUUCUGAAGUGCACUUUAUUUAUUUUUGAAAGUGAUCACAUUUUGUUUCAUUUUUCUAUAGACAAAUCUACUAAUACAUACUCACGAUAAAACUAUAAAAAUUCUAGUCCGCACAUUGGGCGGGCCACCCGGCUAGUUAGUCUAAAGAUAACAAAAUGAGUCUGGAAUUUGAAUUAAAUUGAAGUAUUUUCUUGGACUUUCAAAUUAAGUUUUAUUAAAGUAGUAAGGACUAUCCACAUCCUUGGCUUGCCCCUGAUCAAUUAUUUCCAGAGAAGCAUUCGAUUCAUCAAUCAAUUACAUUGAUUUUAGUGGCUGGUACUUCUCCUCAACAUCAGUAUAUUCACCGUGGCCACUCCAAAUCGGCAAGAAUGAGGUACCAGUGCUCUGCAGCAGUGCAAGCUAAUUGCUUCUCAUGUGAAGGGGUGCGGGCGCAGGAGAGGUAUUUCUGGUGGGCCAAGGGACUAAGAAGCGACUGUGGCAGCGGUAUAGAUGCCCGCAAAGCCCCAUAGUUUGUUUUUCGUUUACAGGAAAAAUGCACAUCCAUACCAACCUUGGGAAUAUAGGACCGUAUUGGAUGGAAAACCAUGUCCGGAUGGUUGCGAGCGGUUUGAGGGUUAGCUUUUGUAACGCCCGGUUAGUUAUGCUAUAGCAAUUCCCUGCUAAUGAUGUCACGUCACCACGAUUACUAUUGUUAACCUCACAAUGAUUCAAUCCCCUUCAAAUUCAAAUUUAAAAUAAAGGUAAACAUCAAAAGUUUUCAAACAUUAAAACUAAAAUCUUUGAGAGGUGACAAAUAAUGCAUAAGUAAUUAUGGUGGAGAAACCACACUUUAAUCAAAUGUUUAAAUACUCUAAAAUGAAAAAAACAGUUGCUUAAACUAUUAUUUAAAUGCUUUUAAAAUAGUAAAAAUCUUCUAACUAAAUUAUUUGGGUACCAAACUUUUGGUGGCAGUGGUAUAUUUAGUAGAAUUAAUUUAGAUGCUAAUUAUAUAAUUUACAAAAUUAGAGUAAAUUGAAAAAUAGGAUAAAACGGAAAAGGAAAGACAAAACAAAUAAAAGCAAAAGGGGCCAACCCCUCGCUGGGCCUCGACCUAGCUGCCACUAGGCUAGCUAGGCUGGCCCCGGCGCCUCCCUUAACCCCCCCCCCCACUCCCCAUCGAACCCAAGCCCGAUCGCCCCACUUCCCCCACACCCCCUCGCCAGCCUCCCCACCUCUUGAUCCCAUCUGGAUCGGGGAGGGUAUUGCCCCCAUCGACCCCGUUGCCGUCGCCGGAUUGCCCGCCGAUGUCGCCAGGCCUCCUCCCCGCCGCCCGUCUCCGGCUCGCCUCCCCUCUCGCUCCUCUUCCCCGACCCGAUCUAGAUCGUGAACGAGCAAUGAGCUCGAAGCCCCCUUCACCGGCGCCAUCACCGUGCGCCACCACCACCGCCUGAGGACCUCACCGUCGCCGAAUCUAGCGUCGCCUCCUCGUAUCCCUCCCCUACUCGCGUCCUCAAGCCAGGACGAGCCCCUUCUCGGCAACGCUGUGAGACGCCCCCGUUUCCCUCCUCUUUCCACCGCGUUCAUCGCGCCGCCCGCCGUGCCCCUCGCCGUGCGCACGCCCACCACCGCACCAGCCCCCGCUCCGCGCACGACCCUACCCGCGCCCGCGCCAUGAUCCCCUUUUCCGCCCUACCUUCCUGCGCUCGCCGCGGUCCCGAUGCUCCCCCGCGCCCUCUUUCGGGGGCGCCGACCUCCCCUGUCCCGCUGCUCGGCGCCGUGCCUCGCAAUCGCUCUACUGCUAAGUUACUACUGCGCUGCGGCCGUCGCCUCUUCCUUCUGCUCCGCUAGCGCCGAAGCUCCCGAUUGGCUCCACCACUUCUCACGUUAAACCGCCGGCCUAAAUGGCCUAACCCCGGGCUAAUGAACCCCCACUAACCCACUGACACCGGGACCCACAUUCCCUAAUUAACCAUUUAAUAAAUUAAAACUCUUAAAUUAACAUUAGUGUAUGACAUGUGCGUCCCCUAUUAAUUAAUAAUUUUACUGCUAGUUUUCUUAGUUUCUGUUUUUCUGCAUAUUUCUUUUGUAUUUGAACAGGCUUUAUACAAUAAUAUUUAGCGUCUCAUACACAUACAAAUGUAAUUAUAGCAUAUACAUACAAAUAGUCUCAUCAAAUCAUGUGAUCAUCAUAAUCAUCAUCCAUCACAAAGUGAUCUCUCGUCAUCAUCUCGAAAAUAGCGAUACUAGUCUCGAUUACUUGCAACUACAUCGUCAUCCAUCUAAACAAUGAUAUACGCGAGAAGAGCUAUCACUAUGAGUGAGAGCGGAACUAUGCAGUACAUGAGUUUGUAUCCCUCUCUCACAUUAGCGUGAACCUAAACUAACUACUGGCUGUUGCUCGGAAACCGGAAAACGGUACACCUGGGCCUGACACUCCGGCCACUCGUCGUAUACUCCUGGCGUAGCACUUCUUCGCCAUCGAUGAUCUAUGCACCUGCAUCGUCACAUGAGUCGAUGAUAUGCAACAUAUAUAGUUGAGCAACAGAAAGAGACAGACGUGGCAAAAGUAGAAGCAACAUAUCAUAAGCAUAAAUAACAAAGCUCAUCGUACGCAAAAUGCCCUAACUAGAGUGAUCUGCGCUAGUCAAGGAGGACGGUUUAAUUACAUCACAAAUAAUGUUUCGUCGUGCAUUACUCAAAGUUCCGUCAUACAGAAAGUAUGAACUAAAUGGACACAUUGUCAUAUUUCGAAAAUCACUCCCACAUGUCGUGCCAUCCAUCCAAGUCAAGGAGAUAGUGCCCGAGCUUAGUGAAAGGCUUUAGGUCAAGAUGCUGAGUGGCUACGCGUGUUCGGACGUCUUCCCACGACAUUUGUCCUUCUUCAUAGAACAUCCCUGUUUUUUCGACGACCUCCUUCAUCACUAGAAGAAAAAGGGCCUGUUGUCCCGGUUCUGGAACCGGGACUAAAGGGUCGGUACUAAUGCCCUGUCCCUUUAGUCCCGGUUCAAUCCAGAACCGGGACAGAUGGGCCUCCACGUGGCCUGUGCGCGGAGCCCAGGCAGGAGACCCUUUGGUCCCGGUUGGUGGCACCAACCGGGAACAAUAGGCAUCCACGCGUCAGCAUUUCUGUGGUUGGGGUUUUUGUUNNNNNNNNNNNNNNNNNNNNNNNNNNNNNNNNNNNNNNNNNNNNNNNNNNNNNNNNNNNNNNNNNNNNNNNNNNNNNNNNNNNNNNNNNNNNNNNNNNNNNNNNNNNNNNNNNNNNNNNNNNNNNNNNNNNNNNNNNNNNNNNNNNNNNNNNNNNNNNNNNNNNNNNNNNNNNNNNNNNNNNNNNNNNNNNNNNNNNUGGUGUUUCAUAUAUUGUGUUAGCUAGCUAUAAUUAAUAGAGAAAAGUGUCCUCUCUUAUGUCCGUGCUUGGUCGACGCUACGUACUAUACAUACGUAUAGAGAGGACUAGACACGCUAGCUAGCUAGUAAGCAAACGAAGGAAACAGAAGAUCGUCAUGAACAUAUAUGCAUACAGGACUAGACACGCUAGCUAGCUAGUAACCAAACGAAGUUCAACUAGUAAUGGCGCACCACUCCCACGGUGCGCCAUUAGUAGUUUUGAAAAAAAUUAAUUUUUUUUUUUACUAAUGGCGCACUGUGGAUGUGGUGCGCCAUUAGUAUUUGGACACUAAUGGCGUACCAACACAUGGUGCGCCAUUAGUAUAUAGUAAUGGCGCACCACAGGUCUGGUGCGCCAUUAGUGUCAAUUCCAUCUAUAGCCCUUUUCCUAGUAGUGUUAGGGACGGUCUCAAUGAAACAACCCACCAUGUACUCCUGCAUGGCCUCUCAUCGAUACCUUUACCGAAACAUGUGCAACACAUUCCUCAUAUUACCGACAUAAUCAUAUCACCCUAGCCCAUCACCCAGAUGAACCAGACCUGACACAACUAUAAGCAUAGCAGGCAUAGCAAGGUAGGAAUCACAUACAUGGCUCAAUCAACUCCUACACAUGCUAGUGGGUUUCAUCUAGUUACUGUGGCAAUGACAGGUCAUGGAGAGGAUAAGGGUUCAACUACCGUAGCACACAGCAGUUUGAAUGGCGUUGUCUUAAUGCAGUAAACAAGAGCAGAGGCGAGAACAUGGGUUGUAUCGGAAUGAUCAAUGGGUUGCUUGACUGAUGGAGUGGUAGUGGGAUACUACCCUUCAGUUGGAUACUCGUGAAUAUCCUCGGAGGCAGAACCUACCACGAAGAACACAUCGGAACACAAUCAACACAUGACGAUAUGCAACACUAUGAUGCAUGCUAUGACAUGGCAUUAUGAAUGUGUCUUGGCCUAAUGCAAGCUAAAAUAGAAAGGGAUGAACUCAUUUGAAUCAAAGAUUCAAAUAUUAGCUCAUUAAACAUGGCCUUAGUAGUGCAUUUCCUUAUUCUGCUUAAACAGCAAGGUAAACUUGUUUUGUCAUACAUGAAACCAUUACAGAUGGAUGUAUUGAAUUUUUCUGAUAAUUUUUCAUAUAUAAAUUAUUUCAUUUGGAGUUACGGUUGAAUUUCUAUGAUUUUUAGAAGUUUUAAACAUUUUCUGGAAUUUCCUGAAUAAAAAUAAAUCCAGAAAAUGCAUUACUGCGUCAGUAUUGCAUCAUGCUGACCUCAGCAGGUCAAAGGCGCCAGCCCAGGUCAAAACUGACUGGUGGGCCCCUUCUGUCAGUCUCUCAGUUAAAUAAUAGGAUUAGAUUAACACUAAUUAGCUGUCAGUGGGGCCUGGGCCCACAUGUCACUGACUGAUUAAAAUAAAAUUAGUUAAAACUAAUCCUUGAUUAGUUAGCAGACCGGCCCCUCCUGUCAUAGACUCAGGGGGGUCUACCUGGGCCCACCCAGGGUCAAACUGGGUCAAACUCGCCGGCGUUGAGCCGCCGGCGAGACCCGAGACGGUGGCGCAGCUCGGAAAACGCCUACAGGGCACGAGCGAGGCCGUUCUUGGGCUCGUUGGAGAGCUCUUGCAGCCGCGCAUCUAGUGGUGGUGGGGGCCGGAGACGACGACGGCGAGCUCCAAGGCGGCGGCUGGAGUUCGGCCAUGUGCGGGGUGUGGGCUGUGGCGUGCAAACGUGGAAACUGAAGCGCUAGCGAGGCACUACGCGAUGCGGCAAGCACGUUGCAUAGCACGGGAUGAUCCAAUGGUCGCCGGAGCGGCGCCGGCGACAAGCUCGAGCCGAGACGAGCUUCGGCCAUGGUGGAACUAUGGCCUAGAGGGUGCAAACGCGUGGAAAAGAAGAGGGGAAAGGUGGCGGAGCUCACAGGGAGGUCGAUGAGCAGCUCAAUGGGCUCGGGGGUCACCGGAGUGAGGCGAAUCGAUGAGCGGCGUCCGGCGGGUACCGAGGUUGAAGACGAUCCGAUGGCGGCGAUGCAGGGACUCCGGCGAUGCGUGGCUCAGUGGGGAGGGCGAGGGCGUCACAGCGGAGCUUCUGGACAGGUCAGAGAGGCGAGGGGGUGACGGAGGGCGCGACUACGGCGGUGAGACGGCGACGGGUGCGUCGGCCAUUGCGGGAGAGGGAGAGGGAGACAAGUGGGAGAGUGAGAGAGGAUGAGAGGGGGACGUGGGGGUCGCGUGGCAUUCCCUGGACGUCUCCCAGCAUCGGCGGAAGCAGGAGGUGGCCGGCGUGUGGCCGCGGGCGCCGGCCACGCGCUCCACGUCCUUCUGGCGUGAGGAGGACGACGACUGGCAGCGCCAGUAGGCUGGGCCGAGCCAGGGGGCUGGCCAGCACAGGUAAGGCCCAGGUGGGCAUCUCCCUCUUUUUUUUAAUUUGUUUCUGUUUUCUAUUUAACUGUAACUGUUGGGCUUUAUUUAAAAUACUAAAACAUUUCCAAAAAUCCUGAAAAUAAUUGUGGGCUCUGUUUGGAUUAUUUCCAACAGCAGACAUUUAUUUCCAGAAUUAUUUGAGCAUUUAAAUGCCCAAAUUCAAAUACUUAUGAUUUAAAUCAAUGACCUUCUAUUGACCUCGAAAAGUUGUGCACCAAUUUUGCCAGAGGUUCUAACCCAAGACAAAGAGGGUGAACUUUUUAGAAGGGCAUUUCAGGUUCAUUGAAAAUAAUUUUAGUAAUCCCUAGUUGUUUCCAGGGGGGUGUUGGGGGUUUCUGCCUUCCCCAAUUCAAAUUUAAGAGGAAUUUAAACAUGAUGCACAUUCUAAUGCUUGAUCUAGCUAGGGUGUGACAACUCACCCCCACUCAAAAGAAUCUCAUCCCGAGAUUUAGGAUCCUCUGGAAAGAAGGUGGGGUACUCGAGUCGAAGACGAUCCUCCCUUUCCCAAGUGGCUUCUUUCUCGGAAUGGUGUGACCAUUGAACCAUGAGAAACUUGAUAUUAUGACGUCGAGUAGUAUGCUCGGCUUGAUCAAGGAUACGAACGGGAUAUUCCUGAUAAGAGAGGUUAUCUUGUAGAUCAAGCGUUUCGUGGUCCACUCCACGGAUAGGAUCCGCGAAGCAACGCCUGAGUUGUGAAACGUGGAAGACAUCAGGAACUCUGGAAAGAUGCGGAGGUAGUUCCAAUUGGUAGGCAACUUCUCCUUGUUUGGCAAGAAUGCGAACGGGUCCAAUGUAACGAGGAGCCAAUUUGCCUUUGAUACCGAAACGAUGGGUUCCUUUUAACGGGGUAACCCGAAGGUAAGCCUUCUCAUCGACUUCAUAAGUCAUAGAGUUAUGUUUAUGAUCAUAUUGACUCUUUUCACGAGAUUGGGCUGUUUUCAAUUUCUCACGAAUAACGCGAACCUGCUCUUCCGCUUCCUGAAUCAUAUCCGGGCCAAAGAGUUGUCUUUCCCUGGUUUCUGACCAGUUAAGGGGUGUUCGAUAUUUUCGUCCAUAGAGAACUUUGAAAGGAGCUUUGCCCAAGCUAGCUUGAUAACUAUUGUUAUAAGCAAACUCUGCGAAUGGGAGGCAUUUCUCCCAACUCAUUCUGAAUGAGAUAACAGAAGCUCAGAGCAUAUGUUCCAGAAUUUGAUUGACUCGCUCUACUUGACCACUUGACUGAGGAUGGAAGGCGGUACUAAAAGAGAGACGAGUUCCCAUAGCAUUUUGGAAACUUUCCCAAAAUCGAGAGGUGAAGAGACUCCCACGCUCUGAGUUAUUUUCCAAUGGGACACCAUGGAGAGACACUAUUCGGGAGAUGUAUAAAUCGGCUAGCUGGCUAGCAGUGAUACUCUCACGAACAGGUAGGAAAUGGGCUACUUUGGAAAGACGGUCGAUGAUGACGAAGAUGGCAUUAUUCCCUCUCUUGGUCCUGGGAAACCCAGUAAUGAAAUCCAUACUGAUUUUAUCCCAUUUCCAUUCAGGAAUAGCCAAAGGUUGAAGGGUGCCAGUAGGCCGUUGAUGCUCUGCUUUAACACGAAUACAGACGUCACAGCUAGCAAUGUAUCGAGCAAUUUCUCUCUUCAUCCUAGUACACCAAAACCUCUCGCGUAGGUCUUGAUACAUUUUUGUGCUACCGGGAUGAAUGGUGAGAGGGGAUUCAUGAGCUUCCUUAAGGAUCAAUUGGCGUAGAUGUUGUUUCUUGGGAACCACCAAACGGUUCUCAAAGAAGACAGCACCCCGCUUAUCCAUGGAAAAACAUUUAGCAACUCCGCUAGCAAUGUUUUCCUUAAUCCGGGAUAUGCCCUUAUCAUACCGCUGGGCAGUUAUGAUCUGAUCCAUAAGGUUAGGUUUCGCCACCAGGGUGGAUAGGAAUCCUCGAGGAACAAUGUGAAGAUUAAGCUUACGGAAUUCCUCAUGGAGAAGUGGUUGACUUUGUUGUAACAUCAGGUUGUUACAACAGGAUUUACGGCUUAGCGCAGCAGCCAUGACAUUGGCUUUGCCCGGUGUGUAGGUUAUUCCUAAGUCGUAAUCCGAGAUCAACUCAACCCAACGUCUUUGCCUGAGAUUCAAAUCUGGUUGGGUGAAGAUAUAUUUCAAGCUUUGGUGAUCGGUGAAGAUCUCGCAACGAUUACCGAGGAGGUAAUGUCGCGAAGUUUUAAGUGCAUGGACUACAGCUACCAGCUCUAGAUCAUAUGUGGGAUAAUUUUCCUCAUGUGGGUGUAAUUGCCAUGAAGCGUAGGCAAUUACCUGAGGAUCUUGCAUGAGUAUGCAACCUAGUCCUUGUCGCAGAUGUCAGGCGUCUUUUCAGUUCCUGAAAGCUGAACUCGCACUGUGGAGUCCACUCGAACUUUUUAUCUUUCUUGAGGAGUUCAAUUAGAGGUUUAGCAACCUUGGAGAAACUCUCGCCGAAGCGGCGGCAAUAGCUCGCUAAGCCAAGGAAGCUCCAAACUUGCUUGACCGUCUCAGGUGGAGUCCAAUCAAGGACCGCUUGAACUCGCUCGGGAUUGACGGCAAUACCCUUACCAGAGAUUACAUGGCCUAGAUAGGUUACUUCUGGCAACCAAAAUUCACACUUGGAGAACUUGGCAUAAAGGCGAUGCUCUCGAAGUUUCAUCAAUACCAGCCUUAGAUGUUCGGCAUGUUCCUCUUCAUUCUUGGAGUAGAUGAGUAUGUCAUCGAGGUAUACUACGACGAAUUUAUCCAAGUACUCCAUGAAAACCGAGUUCAUUAACCGGGAGAAGGUAGCCGGGGCAUUGGUUAAACCGAAGGACAUAACGGUGUACUCGUAUUGGCCAUAACGAGUAACAAAGGCCGUUUUGGGAAUGUCCCCGUUUCUGAUUUAGAUUUGAUGGUAGCCCAACCUCAAAUCCAUCUUGGAAAAGACUGAGGAUCCAGCGAGCUGAUCAUACAGAUCGUUGAUCCUGGGAAGUGGGUAUUUGUUCUUGAUGGUGACAAAGUUGACAGGUCGGUAAUCCACAACCAUUCGAUCUGUUCCAUCCUUCUUCUUGACGAAGAGGAUGGGGCAAGCCCAAGGAGAGGAACUAGGACGGAUGAAACCCUUUUUCAAGGACUCAUCGAGUUGGUUCUUAAGCUCGGCUAGUUCUAAGGGUGCCAUCUUGUAGGGUCUUCUAGAAAUUGGAACGGUUCCUGGAACAAGGUCUAUCACAAACUCGACAUCCCUGUCAGGUGGAACACCUGGCAGUUCUUCUGGAAAGACAUCCGGAAAGUCUCGGACUACCGGAACAUCCUCAAGGUCUGGAAGGGGGUUGGCAUUUAGGGAGUAAAGUUGGCGCUUGGCCACUCGAGUUAAGACAUUAACUGUCUUGCCCAAUGGGUGAGUAAGUUGAACGGUUCUAGUGGCACAGUCAAGCUUAGCAUAAUGAGCUGACAUCCACUCCAUACCUAAGAUGAUGUUUAUGUCCGAGGACUUGAGAGCUAUUAAGGAUACAAGGAAGACAAGUCUAUCGACAAGAAUUUCGUUCCCAUGGCUUACUCUAGAAGUUUGCCAUCUAGAGCUAGGGGUUUGAAUUUCCAUGGUAGAGGGCAUGUCACAGAAUGUCGUGUUGUGCAAUCGAGCAUAGUUCUCGGAUAUGAAUGGAUGAGAUGCUCUAGUAUCGAAAAGAACAGAUGUCGGAUGGCAGUUAACAAGGAGCGUACCAAGGACGAGGUUGGGAUCCUCAUGAGCCUCCUCGGCUGAAACAUAGUUGACAUGGCCACGUGCAGUGGUGGCUGGCUUGGCGUAGAAUGUUUUCCCCGCGGGCUUACCACGGCCAACGGACUUUCCAGUUUGAUUGGGGUUGUUGUUCUGGGGACACUCUCGGCUAUAGUGACCCGGCUCUCCACACUUAAAGCAUGUCACCACAUUGGGGCGUGGAGCAGCAUUAGCAGUAGGGCCACCAUAGGGCUUGGGCGGUGCAAAUUGCUGGUUGGGACGUGGUGCCUCAAAGGAUGGCCUCGGGAUGAACCUGGGUGGCAGUGCCGUGCUUGGAAUCCACACCCGGCGCUUCUGAGCUCUAGAGCCGGAUGAAGAGCCAAAAUCACGGGAGUGCUUGCAUGAAGCGUCAUAAUCAGUCUGGCCUUUCUCAGCACUGAUGGCUUUAUUGACCAACUUCUGAAAGGAGGUGCACUCGGGCAGACGAAGAUCGCGGUGAAGCUCAGGGCUAAGUCCCUUGCGGAACCUUGCCUGCUUCUUAGCAUCAAUAGAUACCUCUUUAGGGGCAUAACGUGCCAGAUUCCGAAAUUCACGACCGUAAGCAUCCACAGUCAGUCUUCCUUGGGUGAAGUUGCAGAACUCCUCCCUCUUGCGAUCCAUGAGACCUUCCAGAAUGUGAUGCUCACCGAAAGCCUCACAGAAUUCAGCCCAAGUAGUGAUUUGGCCGACCGGGCGCAUAGCUUCGAAGUUUUCCCACCAAAGGCUAGCAGGGCCUUCGAGGUGAUAGGCAGCAUAAGUAACCUUGUCGGCUGCGGCUGCGUUGGCAGAACGUAGCUUGUGGGUGAUGCUGUGAAGCCAGUCAUCCACAUCGAGGUACUCGACGGAAUGGUUAAACUUUGGUGGGUAUAGCUUGAUAAAGUCAUUGAUUGACACCAAUCAUUUCGUGGGUGGCGUGCAGUGUUCUGCUCAAUCCGCUCCAACAGGCGGUUGGUCUGACGCUUCUUUAUUUCCGCCUCCAGCAUUACUUCGGCCAGAGAAGGCGGGUGAGGCAGAUUUUCACCUCUAGCAGCACUGGCUUCCCCCUGCUCCAGGGCAGCAGGGUUGCUGCGGGUGUUGACCAUCCUAGGAGAAAACAAGACAACGGUUUAGACAAGGAUGUCUCAAAUUAGCAAGGAUGUGCAGAAUGUAAUGGAUAACACGGAAUGCAGAGAUGUUCAUCCGUAUGUCAUGGUAAUAUAAAACUGCCAUAUAUAUACCAACGGUCAUACACAUCAUACAUAGUUUAGUACAAGCCCAGGCUACAAUACAACUAUGAUGAAAGACGUUACAUCUCAUCGGAGGCAUUCCAAGCUCCUAUACAUUAUUGUCUACACCUCCAAAAUUGAUUACACGCAAAGUCAUAUUCCAAAAGUCACGCAGGACAGUGGAGAUACAGCUACUACAAUACUAGUGGUACUACUACUAACUCAGACAGCUCCGUAGUAGUCCUCAUAGAAGUCACCUCCAUAGCCUGGAAGUUCAACGGGACCAUCCGGGAACAGACGGUCCUGAGGAGCCUGUGGACCAUAGGGGCUAGGAUGGUGUCUUGGACCAACAAACGGUGGCCUGCGGGAACCACGGGGUGGGGUGAUGCCUCCCACAUCACGCCAAUCCACCACGUCUGGCAAAGCAGACCUCACAGGAUACAGAUCCCUUGUAUCCAUACAUCUAGCUUGCACCGCAGGUGCAAACCGAGCCAAUGUGGCCCAAUGAUCAGCACGGGUAUUAAAAAGCUCCAGCCUCAAGGCCCGAUUCUCUCGGUCCUUAUCUUCGAGCAUCUCAGCAGUGGUACGAGUUAAUGAAUCCUCCUGAGUGGAGACAGCAUAGAUAGCCUGAAGAUACCCUUGCGCUCCCGGAAGUGAAGCUGGCAUGUAUCGGAAGUCGGUGUUCCGAAGCAGGCCAGUCCGGACUCGCAUGAUGGUCAUCAUGUAAUAGGCAGCAUCCUGCACAGCAAUCUCAACAGUAACCCCGAGUCCAUAGGAAUAGUGAAGGGGCUCGGUAGAUCCAGGAUAAGAAGGAAAUAUCCUGACAGUGCAGAAAUACUGGCUUUGAUUAAAGUCUCGGAAUUGCUCUUCGACGGUGUAUUCGAGAUACCAACGGUAACCCGUCUCGAUCAUGACCCGGACUAACAUAGCAGUAUGACCGGGCACGUCGAGCCACCGGGUUAGGCGAACCACUUGGUUUUGAGCACGGUUGGCCAUCUGAAAGCACAACCACAAUGCAAAGACAUCAGAAUUUCUAGGGAAAAUUGGACAGCAUAACAGCUGUAAAUGCUCAGAAAAAGAUUUGAGACAUCCACAACAGUUCGCAAUACCACUCAAUAACAUCAUAUCAAGGUUCUGAUCCAAAUAGCAACAUACUAAAAAUAGUAGAAACUGAACUGGGGCUUGUAACAACAAUCCUAUAAGCUACUACGGAUUAGUAACACGUGAACCUGAUAGAAGAAGAGAGCCUAGUCCUUAACCCACGUUGAAUGAGAAGGGAAUGACUCAGAUAAGAGGCAUAGGGUAAAGGAGUAAAAGAGACUUACGUUCCCUCCCACAAUCAAUUCCCCUACAUAUAACUAAAGCAUUUCCAGACUCGACAUCGACCAGUUUGGCUCAACGAACCUACAAGCAGUCUGGCUCUGAUGCCAACGCUGUCAGGACCCCGAUUCCAAGCCACAUCGAUCUAGCCGGUAACACCUCAUAUCACUUUGCGGCCUCACGCACGAUAUUCCACGGGUGUCGCCUUACCAUGGCCCGGGACCGUUUGCGCCUUUUGGCUCACGUAUAUGAUAGUGUUGUUAGCAUCCAUAUGACAGAGAACCUGGGCCGACAUGGCUAGUCGUGAACCCAAAGCGGCACAGACCUAUGGAGACAGGCAUACAUGAAUCACAUCGAGCAUGUCGGUCAUCAGCGAGUGAUUCCGGGCUGUAGCACUGGGCUAACAGGACUCCGGGGAACCCGGGCUGUAGCAGGCUAGGCAGGACUCCGGAAGUCACCGCGUGACAUUUCCCCGAAGGGACAGACAUAGGAACGAAGUGAAUCACAUGCCGGCCAUUCAAGUGUCCUAAGUAGUAGUGCUGGGCUAGCAGGACUCCGGUGAACCAGGCUGUAGCGGACUACUAUGGCUCGAGGAACACUAGACUACAUUUCCCCAUAAGGAAGGCUGCCAAGGAUAAACAACUAGAUUGUUGGAUCCCACUCAUACCAAGCAUUUCAAUCAUACACACAAUAUGCCCGAUAUGAGUACAUACAACAUGGCAUCACAACAAAACUCUACAACUCAAGUACUUUAUUUAAAUGCUCCAGAGAGCCAUACAUAACAUGUUCAUACAGAUAGGGGUCACAUGACCCGACACUCAAGUCAUACAAUCAUACAAGCACAUGCGGAAGCAACCGGUCUGAGUACAGACACUAGAAAGAAAGAAGGCUCCUCGAGGCCUGUCUAUCUACAUAGGGCCCUCCAUGGCCAGGAUCACCACCUGGGUGGCUAGUCACUCGUCGAUGUCAAGGUCUACAUAGAACCCAUAGGAGGGGGCGGUGUUGUCGUCUGAAAACGGUAAUUAAGCAAACAUGAGUACAAAGGUACUCAGCAAGUCUUACAACAGAACCUACUAUACAUGCUUAUUCUCAAGAAGGUGGUGGGGAUAUUGCAGCAAGCCAGCUUUGACUCUUGGCUAAACUAUCCUACGGAACAUCUCUAGUAAAAUAGUUUUCGCACACGAGUCCACUACUCACCAACACAAUACUCCACCGGGGAUCCUCCCUCGUCAUCCUAUGAGAGGGUGUCGGGGGUGUCUGAUCCCUCGCACACCUAUGGGGAUCAGCGGACCGAGCCCCUUUUGGUUCGGUAGGGGGCGGUGGAUGCACAAAGAGUAGAUCGAGGCGAAACACAUGAGCGAGACAAUCGAUUUACCCAGGUUCGGGCCACACGGAUGCGUAAAACCCUACUCCUGCUUUGGUGGUUGUAUUGAGUUUUUUCUCGGGAGCAGCUGGCGAGACCGAGCGUGAGAAUGGCUGUCCCCCCCCUGUUGCGCAUGGGCCUCCUUUUAUAUGUCUAAGGGGUCACCGACACGUGGCAACAGAGGUAAGGGUAAAAAUGUAAAAGGGGUGGUAGUUGGCUCCACCGCCUACAUGUCGCAUCCUACCUAACUCUGACGGCAGGGGACAAGGGCAUUAAAUGCCCGUCUGUGUCACCUUGACGGCCCAGAGAGGGACCACUAGGAACGCCACCGUUUGCCACGACGGUUCCUUGUCAGCGUCUGCUUGCCAUUGCAUGCCCCCGGCUGCACAGCCUCCCGCCACGUACGCCAGGAAUGGCCCCAGGGCGACACGUUGGUGGGUGAGCUGGAGCGCGGGCUGCGGGGUAGUGGCUUGCCGCGGCAAGUGCCUUGCCGCGGGUGUUGUCUUGUCACGUCCGGGAGCUUGCCGCUCACCGGGUCUUGUCGGGGCACGCGGUGCGCCGCAGCGAGUCUCUUGAGAUGCUUUGGUUGUCUUCCCGGCAAGCUCCUCUUGCCGGGGUCUCGUCUCCUUCCCGGCAAGCUCCUCUUGCCGGGGCCUUGUUCCCUUCCCGGCAAGCUCCUCUUGCCGGGGCCUUGUUUGGAUCUUGGAUACUUUGUUCUUGAAUGGCUCCAGAGGAACCAUGGAGGGUCUUGGCGGUCGCCCGGCAAGCCUUGCCGCGGGUCGCUGCGACUACCCAUGCACAAGUUCGGGGUACUAAGGUACCCGUACUUUAGCACACCGACAGGAGCCCCCAGGCCUGGGCCAUACACGGUGCCGAGCGCUGUUGGGCCAGGCCCAAAACAGUGCAAGGGCACGCGCGGCCUGGGUCACGCCAUAACUGAUUCCGUAUCCACCGCGCUCUCCCCAAACGGCACGCGUCAAACGCGGCAUCGUGGGAGAGAUCGUGGGCGGUUUUCGAGGUGCCCACUCCCCACGAUCACGGGGUGGGGAGAGACCGCCCCAUCCGUCGCCUCGGUUCUGCACGCCUGCCACGCGGUUCCCGUGCACUUGGGGUCGCGGGCGGCGGAAGCGGGAAACGGGGCCGUCGUGGGUCGAGGGAGUGGGUCGGCCCCGGCUCCCCGCGUCUUGAUUCGCUGAGCGGGGCGGCCGAGCCCCCACCUUGCUCCUUUAUAAAGAGCGGGAGGGGAGGACGGGAGCCUGCAUCCUCCCAUCUUCUCCUUCCUUCAGCUCCUGCUCCCCUCCCCCCAUUCGCCAUGGAGAGAGGGAACCCUGGUCCUUCGUCAGUGGCGGCAAGGGUUGCCGCCAGGCAGCGCAUCCCUCCCUCUCCCGCACCCGUGGCGGCGGAGCCAGCCAUAAGGGGAAGAGGGAGGGGGCGAAGUCGUGGACGAGGCCGUGGCGCUCGGGGAAGAGGUGGGCGAGGCGGCGCGUCGGCUUCGCCUCCGCCGGCGGCUCUUCUUCCCGCGGUGGCCCAUGCCGGGGACGACCCUUGCGAGUUAUUCGUCAGGCUGCGCCGGGCGCCCCGCCGUCGCCUCUGACUCCCGGAUCCGUUUGCGGAAGUGGUGGAGUUGGACCCGCCCGAGACGCUGAGGCUGCAGAUGAGGGCUGUGGGAUCAGCGGCACGCGGGUCCGCGCCGAAUUCCCAGCCCCCGGCGUGAUUUAUCUUGGCCGAGGGUGGAAGACGUUCGCCCGCAUCCACAGCUUGACACCGGGGCUGACCCUCCACUUCAAGUUGGUGGAGGGUGAUCUCCUCUCCGUCAAGGUCUUCGGGUGCUUCAGCGUCCGGGCCCGGUGCUGCGUGGAAAGCUCCUCCGAUAGCGAAGGCUCCUCCUCGAGCAAGAGUGACGAGGAGGGAACGACAGCGGCGACGAGGGGAGCGGGCGGCAGGAUGGCGGGUCCGACUAGGUGUCGGGCGCCGCUCCGCGCGGCACCAGCAACCCCAUCAUCCGGGUCGCCGGCUCCUUGAACUCCCCGGGGGCGUCUCCUUGGGCGGCUGGCGUAGGGAGGCUGCGAAAGAGGAAGAGGGCAGGCGGCAAGGCCGUCAGGUCGGAGUACGAUGGCGUGGUGCCCUCGACAGCGUGCUGACGUCCUGCCGCCUCGUCUUCGAGCCCCCCUUCCGGCGCUGCCAUCACCAUCCAGCCUUGAAGGCCCCCGGGAUGUUCUCUUGGUGUCUUCUGGCACCCGUAGUUCCCCUAGGCACUCCUUUUGCCCUUCUCGCCUCCUUGACCUACCUCCUGAAAAGAGGGGCAGGAAAGAGAUUACGGGCAUCUUAUCUUUUUGAUUUGUAAGCCCUCGGGCCUUAGUUGCAUCUAAAACUUGUAAUCCUCUCUUUCAUGUUUUCCAUUCUCCAUGUACUGUACCUGCGUGGAAUGUUUUAAUGAAAAGGGGAUGCUUGCCAGGUUACUCGUCUCGCGGGUAGAACCCAUGCCAAGGAGCAAAUCCUUGGUAUCUCACAGAUAGACACUCCCUCCCCAGCAACAGGCCCUGCCACAUACCCACGUCGCUCGACCUUUCUCACGCUCUUGACGGAGGCAGAGACGAGGCGGGUGCGGCCCCUCGUUUCAUCCCUUUCCCGCCGCGACUGCGACCAAAGCUUGGCCCUGGGGCCCCAGGGACCAAAGCUAAGGGAGCACGGUGGCUUUCGGGAAGAAGCGAGGUUUUGUAUUCCCAGUCCAAAAGAGAAUGCACGAAGAGGGAUGAAAGACUUAUCUGAGACUGCAGCCCCCGGCAACUCUGGCUUGCCGUGGGGUGAACCUUGGUACUUGCAGCCUCCAGCAACUCUGGCUUGCCGGGGUUCGGAUGCCGGCACGUCCUUCUUCUCCCUUUCGUCCUCACGCGGUCCGACAAGGAUAUGCAAGCCCUGCGAACCAAAGGAAACAAAGGAAGGACAAAGGGACGCACACUAGACCUCUAAGUUAGGGGUUAGCUGCUGUUAGGCACUAUCAACCCUAACCGAGGACUCGACUCGACCUAGCAUGCAUGCUGUAACUCUGGGCGCCAGCGCUUCAUUAUCUUGUGCUCAAGGUCUGUGCCUGGCUUUGUACAAAGGAUUACAUGCAACAGCGUCAAGACUUGUACAAAAGGGUGGUUGCCGGACAGGGUCCGACAACCGCGCCUUACGGGUAAAACUUACAAAGAAGCUUGAUAUUCCAGGAGUUGCUCACUAGUACGCCAUCUUCGGUCUCCAGGCGGACAGUGCCAGGCCUGGUGACUCGUUUCACCCGGUAAGGGCCUUCCCACUUCGGCGUCAACUUGUUGGAAUUCUUGGCGGACUGAACGCGCCGAAGAACAAGGUCGCCUUCCUCGAGGCUCCUAGCAUUAACUUUGCGGCUAUGAUAGCGGCGCAAAGCUUGCUGGUAGCGAGCGGCUCGCACAGCAGCCUGGAGACGAUCUUCCUCAAGGAGCAGCGCGUCAUCUUGCCGCAGCUGCUCUUGCUCAAGCUCAUCAUAGCACUCGAGGUGACCCGUAUACGAGUUCCAUGGGGAUAACUGCCUCCGCUCCAUAGACUAGAGCGAAGGGUGUCUGCCCGGUGGCUCGAUUUGGCGUCGUCCUGAUCGACCAAAGAACCACCGGCAGCUCCUUGAUCCAGUUGCGUCCGCGCUUGUGCAGCCUGUCAAAUGUUCUGGUCUUGAGCCCGUGCAGCACUUCAGCAUUCGCCCUCUUAGCUUGGCCGUUGCUUCUCGGGUGAGCGACAGAAGCAAAGCAGAACUUGGCGCCAAGAUCUUGGACGUACUGCAUGAAGGCGCGGCUUGUAAAUUGUGUACCGUUGUCGGUGAUUAUCCUGUUAGGGAUUCCGAAACGGCAAACAAUCGACCUGAAGAAUUUGAUCGCGGACUGCGCCGUCACCUUCCUCACUGGUUCCACUUCCGGCCACUUUGUGAACUUGUCGAUUGCAACGUACAAGUACUCAAAGCCCCCGACGGAUCGGGGGAAGGGGCCGAGGAUAUCGAGCCCCCAGACCGAAAAUGGCCAGGAUAAAGGGAUCGUCUGGAGAGCUUGAGCUGGCUGGUGUAUCUGCUUGGAAUGGAACUGGCACGCUUCACACUUGGUUACUUGUGCAGUUGCAUCCUGGAGGGCUGUCGGCUAGAAGAAGCCUUGUCGGAAUGCUUUUCCGACAAGAGCUCUUGCGCCAAUGUGGUGACCACAUAUGCCUCCAUGUAUCUCUGCCAACAGCUUCUGUCCAUCUUCCCGAGGAAUACACUUCAAUUUCACACCGUUGAGUCUUCUUCUGCACAGUGUGUUGUCAACAAACUGGUACAUACUGGACUGCCGGGCUACUCUUUCUGCUUCUUCUGGUUCCUCGGGAAGCUCUCCUGUCUGAAGGAAACGGACGGUCUGCUACGCCCAUGUUGGAGCCUGUGGCUCGACAACAAGGACUAAAGGCACAUCUGCUGCUGUGGGAACGCCUACUUCUACGGCAGGAGCCUGCGACUCUGCCGGAGCUUGACAUUCCCCGACAAGCUUGCCGGAGCAGAGCUUGCCGGGAGUGUCUGCUGCAAUGGAACAAACCCUGGGGCUUGCCGGAGUAGACUGCUCCUCAGCACUCUUGGCGUCGAUCUUGGGGACCUUCUUGGCGGCGUCUUCGGGGAGCUUUGCCGGGAGAUAGUCACCAGAGAUCAACUUCCUCUUCUUGCUCUGUCCACUUGAUGGUGCCACGGAUGGCUGAGUUAGCUUGAGCACAAAGGUCCCUGGUUCCACAGGUAACUUAAGUGCUGCGCACUUUGACAGGCGAUCGGCAAUGUCAUUCUCAGCUCUUGGAACAUGUUCCAUUUGCAGGCUGUCAAAGCGCUCUUCCAGCUUCCUCACUUCAUCAACGUAAGCUUCUAUCAAUGGACUUUGGUAAUCUUUGUUCACUUGGCGGACGACAAGCUGCGAGUCACCCCUAACAAUGAGCUUCUUAAUCCCAAGUUCUGCCGCGAUCCUGAGACCGGCAAGCAAGCCUUCUUACUCUGCAGUAUUGUUUGUCGCUUGCUCCUUGGGAAAGUGCAUCUGGACUAUGUACUUGAGGUGCUCCCUGGUGGGUGCGACAAGCAGUACACCAGCACCGGCGCCUUGCAGCGAGAAAGCACCGUGAAAGUACAUGAGCCACUCUUUGCUUGCUUCCUUGGCGGGGAUGCUCGUCUCCGGAAUUUCUUCGUCUGGAGUUGGCGUCCACUCUGCUAUUAACUCUGCCAAUGCUCCGCUCUGGAUUGUUGAUGUACUCUCAAACUUGAGGCCAAAGCUUGACAGUUCCAGUGCCCACUCGACAAUCCUGAAUGUUGCUUCUGGAUUUUGCAAUAUCCUUUUCAGCGGAAAGCGAGUGACAACUGUGAUCUCGUGUGCUUGGAAGUAAUGACGUAGCUUUCUCGAGGCCAUGAGGAGGCCGAAAAGCAGCUUCUGCACACUAGAGUACCUUGACCUAGCCCCCUGUAAAAGGGAGCUGACAAAGUAAACUGGGUGCUGCACCAUUUUCUUCUGUAUCUCCUCUUGUAUCUGCGCAGAUCCUUGGUUGUCGGGACCAGAGCUUGUCGGGGAAGCCCCCUGCUUGUCGCUGGAUGUGCUUGCCGCGGCCGCUGGCUCGUCGUCGGCCUCCCUUUCCGCUACUAACGCAGCACUAACCACUUGAUUGGUUGCCGCUAUGUACAGGAGCAACUUCUCUUGUGGUUUAGGCGCGACAAGUGUUCGGGUGGACGACAGGUAUCUCUUCAAGUCUUGCAGCGCAGCCUCCGCUUCCGGAGUCCAUCUCAUUGGACCUGCCUUUUUCAAAAUUUGAAAAAGGGCAGGGCGCGCUCAGCAGACCAAGGGAUAAACCUGCUAAGAGCAGCUACGCAGCCGGCAAGCUUCCGUACAUCCGUGACGCGCUUUGGUGCUUCGAUCUGCUCAAUGGCCCUGAUCUUGUCGGGGUUGGCUUCGAUUCCCCGCUGAGACACGAAGAACCCGAGAAGCUUGCCGAAAGGGACUCCAAACACACACUUCUCGGGGUUGAGCUUGAGGUUGAUCUUGCGCAGAUAUGCAAAAGUCUCUUCUAAGCCUUGGAUCAGAGUUGCCCUGUCUUUGCUUUUGACCACUAUAUCAUCCAUGUAAGCUUCUACAUUUCUGUGUAUCUAUGGCUUCAAAGCAAUAUGGACUACUCUGGCAAAUGUUGAACCAGCAUUCUUUAAUCCGAAAGGCAUCCGUACGAAACAGUACGUGCCACAUCGAGUAAUGAAUGCGGUUUUCUCCUCAUCCUCUUCCGCCAUGAAGAUCUAAUGGUAUCCUGAGUAUGCAUCAAGAAAUGAAAGCAACUCACAUCCGGCCGUGGAGUCAACAAUCUGGUCAAUGCGCGGCAAGGGAAAUGGAUCUUUUGGACAAGCUUUAUUAACAUCAGUAAAGUCAAUACAAAGCCUCCAUUUCCCAUUCGCCUUGCGCACUACAACCGGAUUGGCCAACCACAUGGGAUGGAGCACCCCUCUAACGAGGCCUGCUGCUUCCAAUUUCUUGAUUUCUUCGGCUAUGAAUUCUUGGCGCUCCACCGCCUGUUUCCUGACCUUCUGCUUGACGGGCCGCGCAUGAGGACAAACUGCAAGGUGGUGCUCAAUUACCUCCCUGGGAACACCGGGGAUGUCAGACGGUUGCCAUGCAAACACGUCGACAUUCGCCCGCGGGAAAGUAACGAGUGCGCUUUCCUAUUUAGGGUCAAGCGUGGCACUGAUGGUGAAGGUACCACCAGUGCCGUCCUCCUUGGCGGGCACCUUCUUGGUAAGUGGUGGAGCGGCCAUCGUCUUCUUACUCUUGCAGCCGGAGCUCGAUGGUGCGUCCUCGACGGCAGCGCAGCACUCCGAAGAGGUGCGCCUGCCGGAGUAGGCAUCAGAGCACUCGCCGGGCUUGGUCUUCUUCUUGCCGGUGGAGCUCGAUGGUGCGUCCUCGACGGUAGCGCAGCACUCCGAAGAGGCGCGCUUGCUGGAGUGGGUACUAGAGCUCUUGCCGGACUUGGUCUUCUUCCCCCUGGGAGCUUCAGCGGCAAGUGUCUCGCGGUCUGUCGCGGCGGCAGCUUCCCGGUAGAUCUUGUCGGCGCAGAUAAGGGCGUCCUUCUUGUCGCCAGGGACAGAGAUGACGCUUAUCGGGCCCGGCAUCUUGAGCAUGUUGUAGGCAUAGUGAUAGGCUGCCAUUAACUUGGCGAGCGCGGGACGGCCAAGUAUCCCAUUGUAGGGCAAUGGGAAAUCGGCAACGUCGAAGGUGACCCUCUCAGUCCUGAAGUUCAUCUCACUGCCGAAUGUCACCGGCAGCGCGACUUUUCCCUUCGGCUUGCUCCUUCCCGGGUUAAUUCCUUGGAAUGUACCGGUUUCUUCGAGCUCACUGUCUGGGAUCUGGAGUUUCUGGAGCACAGCGGAGGAGAUCAGAUUCAGGCCGGCCCCGCCGUCAACUAGCAUCUUGGUGACCUUGAGGUUGCGGAUUGUUGGGGAAACCAACAACGGCAAGCACCCGACCGCAGUCGUGCGAUCAGGGUGGUCCUCAAUGUCAAAGAUGAUCGGCGUGCUGGACCACUUCAGAAGCUUGCGUGAUUCGACAGGUGGCUCUGCCGCAUUAACUUCCCGGAGCCACUGUUUGAGUUGGCGGUGGGAAGUGUGCAGAGAAGCGCCACCGUCAACACACAAGACUUCUGUAGCCUUCUGAAACUCCUGCUCGCUGUUCUCAACAUCAUCCAUGUCUUCGUCGUCGUCUUCGUCUUCGUCCUUAUCGCGGCCGCGAGGAGGUCUGUCUCCUUGCCGCUGCUUGGCCUUGCCACGGCUCCCUCCCGGGCCAGCGCGGUUCUUGCCGGCUUCUCCAUCGCCUCCUUGGGCUCUCUCCUUGUCGCGCCGCUCGUACUCACCUCUUUGUUGCUGGACAAGCUGCUCGACCCUCUUGCAGUUCUGGAGAUCAUGGCCCUUGGUGCGGUGGAUCUUGCAGUACUGCUUGUCGGAGCUGCCCUGCUUGUCGGCGGCCGCCACAGCCUGGCAGUUGGUACACGCGGCAACCUCUUUGCCGGAGCUGACAACUUUGGCUUGCUUGGCGGGGCCGUCAUCGCUGGACUGCUCAACGACCAGUACCUCUUUGCCGCUCUUCUUCUUGUUGGGCCUCCGGUUUUUGCUUGCCGGGGCGGCAUCCUCACUGUCAGAUAUCCCUGCUCUAGCAUCCUCUCCGGGGAGUUUCCUCCCUUCUUCAGCGCGUGCGCACUUGUCGGCCAGGGCGUACAGCUCGCUGACGUCCUUGAUCCUGCUCAUCGCCAUCUCCUCCCGCAUCCUGCAAUUACGCAUGUUCUGAUGGAACGCGCUGAUAACCGCGGUAGGGUGGAUGUCUGGGAUGUUGCGCUGCACGCGGCUGAAUCUCUGGAUAUACUUGCGCAAAGGUUCUCCUUCCUUCUGGGCAAGCAGGUGGAGGUCACUCUCUUGGCCGUGUGGUUUGUGGCCGCCUGUAAAGGCGCCGACAAACUGGUGGCACAAAUCCGCCCAAGAGGAUAUGGAGUUGUCCGGCAAGUGCAUGAGCUAGGAUCUGACUUCGGGCUUGAGCACGAGCGGGAAGUAGUUGGCAAGGACCUUGUCGUCUCGUCCCCGGCAGCUUGCACCGCAAUGGUGUAGAUGCUGAGGAACUCCGACGGGUGUGACUUGCCGUCGUACUUCUCCGGCACGUCUGGCUUGAAAUGCUUCUGGUUGGGCCACUGGACUUGCCGCAGCUCAUGGGUGAACGCGGGACAACCCGCCGCGUACGGCAAGUUACCUGGCUCUCCGGGUGCAUGCAUGUCAACAGAGGGCCCAGCGCACAGGUCAGAUUGACGCCGCGCUUCCCUUCGGCGCUCGAUGCAUGUUCAAGUGUCUUCUUGCUGUCUCUGAUGAAGAACUUGGCGUUGAUCGCGGUGAGCUCGCGGAUCUGACGACGCGGUGGAGUAGCCGUCGAGGUGGAUCCGGUGAGUCGGCGAUCUCGGCCUUCGGGGCGGAGAGUGCACAGUGGUUGCACCCUCACCGGUCUUGUCGCCACCGGCUCGCGCCUGGCUGACUUGCCGCGGCAGCGAUGCGCUCUGCUGCCGUGGGUUGUCACCAUUGGCGCAGCCGAUGAUGCUCUGAAUAGUGGCCCUCCAGUCAUCGAUCUUCUCUAGUGCUGGAGGGUAGUCUAGGAGCAGCUGGGCACGCGCCAACGGUUCCGUCGGAGUGGUGGGCGGCGGCAGCGAACGGUGCGAGGAGCGAGAUAUGCUCGGACUCCUAACCACGUUAGAAGGAGCAACAUCCCGUCCAAGCGACCGCGCCGCGCUCGCGCCAGCACGUUGGCGUGCCUGCUGAUCCUGAGCACUUCGGGAUCCGCCAGCUUGAUCUUGGCCCAGCAGGCGUAUGGUACAGUGGGUACCAUGACGCUACUGGUCCCGCGCCUCCUGGGAUGGGCGCGGUGCGUGUACGGACACCGAGGUCUCGGAGUGCGCGCGGUCGUCGUGGGAGGCGACCGCGCUACCGACGUGCGCCGCAGCCAGGCACUUGGACCUGGCAGUGCCAUGAGUCUCCCCGUCGGCGCCCGCCCUUCCGCCGGCGCCUACUUCACCCGCCGUUCGCUCCGGCGAUGGCGGGCUCGACGCGGACGGAGCGGCUACCUCCGAAGCCUUCUUCUUCGGCGGCAUGUUGAUGAAGACGAUGAAGAUUCGGCUCGCGCGAACGCCGGAUCAGGUUCGCACUACCUCGACGCACCCCCUACCUGGCGCGCCAAAGAUGUCGGGGGUGUCUGAUCCCUCGCACACCUAUGGGGAUCGGCGGACCAAGCCCAUUUUGGUUCGAUAGGGGGCGGUGGAUGCACAAAGAGCAGAUCAAGGCGAAACACACGAGCAAGACGAUUGAUUUACCCAGGUUCGGGCCGCACGGAUGCGUAAAACCCUACUCCUGCUUUGGUGGUUGUAUUGAGUUUUUGCUCGGGAGCGGCGAGUGCUACAGUACACUCAAGCAGCUGGCGAGACCGAGCGUGAGAAUGGCUGUCCCCCUCCCCCUGUUGCGCAUGGGCCUCCUUUUAUAUGUCUAAGGGGUCACCGAUACGUAGCAACAGAGGUAAGGGUAAAAAUGUAAAAGGGGUGGUAGUUGGCUCCACCGCCUACAUGUCGCAUCCUACCUAACUCUGAUGGCAGGGGACAAGGGCAUUAAAUGCCCGUCUGUGUCACCUUGACGGCCCAGAGAGGGACCGCUAGGAACGCCACUGUUUGCCACAACGGUUCCUUGUCAGCGUCUGCUUGCCACCGCAUGCCCCCGGCUGCACAGCCUCCCGCCACGUACGCCAGGAAUGGCCCCAGGGUGACACGUUGGUGCGUGAGCUGGAGCGCGGGCUGCGGGGUAGUGGCUUGCCGCGGUAAGUGCCUUGCCGCGGGUGUUGUCUUGUCGCGUUCGGGAGCUUGCCGCUCACUGGGUCUUGUCGGGGCGUGCGGUGCGCCGCAGCGAGUCUCUUGAGAUGCUUUGGUUGUCUUCCCGGCAAGCUCCUCUUGCCGGGGUCUCGUCUCCUUCCCGACAAGCUCCUCUUACCGGGGCCUUGUUCCCUUCCCGGCAAGCUCCUCUUGCAGGGGCCUUGUUUUUCUCUUGGAUACUUUGUACUUGAAUGGCUCCAGAGGAACCAUGGAGGGUCUUGGCGGUCGCCCGGCAAGCCUUGCCGCGGGUCGCUGCGACUGCCCGUGCACAAGUUCGGGGUACUAAGGUACCCCUACUUUAGUACACCAACAGAGGGCCAUCCUCGGUACUCACACUUAUCUUGAGUAUUUAGUAGUAUCCAUUUACUUGUCUAUGAACUGUAUAGGCAACCAAGUAGUCCUUUACCGCGGACGUGGCUAUUCGAAUAGUUUUAUACCCUGCAGGGGUGUACUUCGUCAUACACGCUUUCACCACUUAUCGCCGUUUACACGACAUGUACUCGGCAACCUUCAAGCGGAAGCCCAGCGAGGGUGUCGGCCACGGCCUACCUAAACACUUAAGUCUCUAGUCCAGGUUUAUCGCCUAUCCAGGUUCCAUCGGCAGGGAGUGCGGCCGAGGUUUCCACAUACGGCCCCGAACGAUGUGAACAGGGUUCCGAGAUGCCAAACGGGCGCCCGGCAUACCCGGCCAGGUGUAUCUACCGCAACAUAGCCCACCCCUAGGGUCAGCGCUACGCACGGCCGCCAACACAUAACCUACAAACCCAGAAACUAUAUGCAACUCCUGGACAGAGUACAAGGGUGAUUAAGAAGCCGAGAGGGUCAAUUAAGGAUCCCAAUGCGUGGUAGUAGCUGAAUCUUAAAUCAACAUACAGAUCUCAGUUCUUAGGGACGGUCUCAAUGAAACAACCCACCAUGUACUCCUACAUGGCCUCUCAUCGAUACCUUUACCAAAACAUGUUCAACACAUUCCUCAUAUUACCGACAUAAUCAUAUCACCCUAGCCCAUCACCCAGAUGAACCAGACCUGACACAACUCUAAGCAUAGCAGGCAUAGCAAGGUAGGAAUCACAUACAUGGCUCAAUCAAAUCAUACACAUGCUAGUGGGUUUCAUCUAGUUAUUGUGGCAAUGACAGGCCAUGUAGAGGAUAAGGGUUCAACUACCGUAGCACACAACAGUUUGAAUCGCGUUGUCUUAAUGAAGUAAACAAGAGCAGAGGCGAGAACAUGGGUUGUAUCGGAAUGAUCAAUGGGUUGCUUGCUUGAUGGAGUGGUAGUGGGAUACUGCCCUUCAGUUGGAUACUCGUGAAUAUCCUCGGAGGUAGAACCUACCACGAAGAACACAUCGGAACACAAUCAACACAUGACGAUAUGCAACAAUAUGAUGCAUGCUAUGACGUGUCUUGGCCUAAUGCAAGCUAAAAUAGAAAGGGAUGAACUCAUUUGAAUCAAAGAUUCAAAUAUUAGCUCACUAAACAUGGCCUUAGUAGUGCAUUUCCUUAUUCUGCUUAAACAGCAAGGUAAACUUGUUUUGUCAUGCAUGAAACCAUUACAGAUGGAUAGAUUGAAUUUUUCUGAUAAUUUUUCAUAUAUAAAUUAUUUCAUUUGGAGUUACGGUUGAAUUUCUAUGAUUUCUAGAAGUUUUAAACAUUUUCUGGAAAUUCCUGAAUAAAAAUAAAUCCAGAAAAUGCAUUACUACGUCAGCAUUGCGUCAUGCUGGCCUCGGCAGGUCAAAGGCGCCAGCCCAGGUCAAACCUGACUGGUGGGCCCCUUCUGUCAGUCUCUCAGUUAAAUAACAGGAUUAGAUUAACACUAAUUAGCUGUCAGUGGGGCCUGGGCCCACAUGUCAGUGACUAAUUAAAAUCAAAUUAGUUAAAACUAAACCUAGAUUAGUUAGCAGACUGGCCCCACCUGUCAUAGACUCAGGGGGGGUCUACCUGGGCCCACCCAGGGUCAAACUCGCCGGCGUUGAGCCGCCGGCGAGACCCGAGACGGUGGCGCAGCUCGAAAAACGCCUACAGGGCACGAGCGAGGCCGUUCAUGGGCUCGUUGGAGAGCUCUUGCAGUCGCGCAUCUAGUGGUGGUGGUGGCCGGGCCUACGGUGGCCGGAGACGACGACGGCGAGCUCCAAGGCGGCGGCCGGAGUUCGGCCAUGUGCGGGGUGUGGGCUGUGGCGUGCAAACGUGGAAACUGAGGCACUAGCGAGGCACUACGCGAUGCGGCAAGCACGUUGCGUAGCACGGGAUGACCAAAUGGUCGCCGGAGCGGCGCCGGCGACAAGCUCGAGCGGAGACGAGCUUCGGCCAUGGUGGCACUAUGGCCUAGAGGGUGCAAACGCGUGGAAAAGAAGAGGGGAAAGGUGGCGGAGCUCACAGGCAGGUCGAUGAGCAGCUCAGUGGGCUCGGGGGCGACCGGAGUGAGGCGAAUCGAUGAGCGGCGUCCGGCGGGUACCGAGGUUGAAGACAAUCCGAUGGCGGCGAUGCAGGGCCUCCGGCGAUGCGUGGCUCGGUGGGGAGGGCGGGGGCGUCACGGCGCAGCUUCUGGACAGGUCAGAGAGGCGAGGGGGUGACGGAGGGCGCGACUACGGCGGUGAGACGGCGAUUAGAAAGAAAGAUUUGGUUCACUCGUACGUGAAAAAAGGAACAAGCGCUUGAUGCCUUCCUUUGCAUCGAUGCCAGACGCGGUGCUGGGAAUCGACAAGAUAACCGCCAAUCUACCAGGAUUAAAUUCCUAGCGCCUCCUUCUAGCGCCUCCCACUGAAAAUGCCCUAACGAUUUUUGAGGGAUUUUUUUACUGUGUCCUACUUCACGAAUCACGAGGCAAAUCAAGUAGGCGGCAUGGCCUGGCCGGUGAGUGCCAUUGCACUUACUUGCCCCAGCAAUUUUCCGCGUGCAUUGUAGAAUUCUUUCUCCGAGUCCUGUGAAUUAAAGAUGGUGCAGACAAAAGUAUAUCCUGUAUGCGUACAUGUGCAUGAUCAGAACAUGUUUUUACGUGCGUCUACUAUAAAUCAUGACCAUUUUUAACACAAAUCAUGACCAUUCAUGAUUAGUGAAUCAUACUGUCUUAACUUAUGUGAAAUCAUGUGGAGUAAUAUAAUAUAAUAUAAUAGAUAGAUAGAUCCAUGUUGUAUUAUUUUUUGUUUACAAAAAAUAUCUGUCAUUACACAUUUUGAUUUAUGCAUUUGUUUACAAAAAAAACAGUAACAUUUCAUGGUGGAAAGUUUGUAUUGUUUCAUACUGAACACCAAUGUUUUCCUGUAAAAGAAAAUAAUGCCUACGCAUAUGCUUUUAUAUUAUUAUUAUUCUUUCAAACUUAUUCAUACAGUAUUUUUGAUUGUGCAACCAUAAUUUUUAUUGUCUCUCUCGUUCCACUACAUGCUCUUACUCAAUGAUUUUUUUUAUAACGGGUGUUUUUAUUAACUCAAAAUAUAGUAUCAAGCGGAUACAAAACAUAAUGAGCCACACCUGGUCUCUGCAUAACUAAGAUGCAUACAGCUAAAAGCAGAUGUCUGACAAAAAUAAGAUAAGAAAAUCGACAUAUCGACAACAGUGAGUCAUAUAGUUCCGACACUAUGCCUCUGUUGAAGGACGGGGUGGAGCGAUCUGAAGAUUAUGCUGCCCUCCAUGUUGAGUAAAUACCUCCCUGGCCACUUGUUCCAACCGCAUAGACGCCGCCACGAAUAAUGGUCGGUACUCUGUUCGGUGUAGCAUACACCAUGUAGGAAGUGAGUGCUCACUUCUAGUUACUAAAUUAUGUACACACUAAUAGAAAAAGGGCCAUUUGUCCCGGUUCGUAAGGCCCAUUUGUCCCAGUUGGGGAACCGGGACUAAAGGGUCGGUACUAAAGCCCUACACAUUUAGUCCCGGUUCUUACACCAUCCGAGACAGAUGGGGCUCCACGUGGCCGCUACAGCUUGCCGUGGCAGGGGGGCCUUUUGUCCCGGUUGGUAGCACCAACCGGGACCAAUAAGCUACCACGCGUCAGCAUUUGAGGGCUAGGUUUUUUGUUUUUUUUCNNNNNNNNNNNNNNNNNNNNNNNNNNNNNNNNNNNNNNNNNNNNNNNNNNNNNNNNNNNNNNNNNNNNNNNNNNNNNNNNNNNNNNNNNNNNNNNNNNNNNNNNNNNNNNNNNNNNNNNNNNNNNNNNNNNNNNNNNNNNNNNNNNNNNNNNNNNNNNNNNNNNNNNNNNNNNNNNNNNNNNNNNNNNNNNNNNNNNNNNNNNNNNNNNNNNNNNNNNNNNNNNNNNNNNNNNNNNNNNNNNNNNNNNNNNNNNNNNNNNNNNNNNNNNNNNNNNNNNNNNNNNNNNNNNNNNNNNNNNNNNNNNNNNNCAAAUGAAGUAAACCAUUAAGUACAGAAGUUCGUCAUGAACAUAUGCAUACAAACAUAAGUGAUAUCGACCUCUCCUUCUCCGACAGAUAGGUCGAACAACAAGUUUCCGUAUAUCUAUCCGGCGCUACUAGCUACAUAUAUACAAUAUUAAGAUCUCUUACAAUAUAAUCCCCUAAUUAUAAAUGAACUCAGCUUCGAGAUGGUAUUCUCCGGCUUUAUUGAUGACGUGGUCAAGAAAGAAUCCCUCCAAUUCCUCUUGAAUUGCUUUGAUGCGAUCUUGUGGUAGGAGUUCAUCCCGCAUCUGCCACAUCUAAUUUGAAGAAGGGGGUCAAUCACCAGUAGAAUAACAGCCAUUUGUCCUGGUUCAUAAGGUUAAUUUGUCCCGGUUGGGGAACCGAGACUAAAGGGUCGUUACUAAAGCCCUACACCUUUAGUCCUGGUUCUUACACCAACUGGGACAGAUGGGCCUCCAUGUGGCUGCUGCGGCGAGCCCAGGCCGGAGGUCCUUUGGUCCCGGUUAGUGGCACUGAUACGUCUCCAACGUAUCUAUAAUUUUUGAUUGCUCCAUGCUAUUAUGUUAUCUAUUUUGGAUGUUAAUGGGCUUUAUUUUACACCUUUAUAUCAUUUUUGGGACUAACCUACUAAUCGGAGGCCCAACCCAAAUUGCUGUUUUCUGCCUAUUUUAGGUUUUCGAAGAAAAGGAAUAUCAAACGGAGUCCAAACGGAAUGAAACCUUCGAGAACGUGAUUUUCUCAACGAACAUGAUUCAGGAGACUUGGAGUGUGCGCCAAGAAACAAGGGAGGAAGGCACGAGGCAGGGGGGGCGCGGCUACCCUCUUGGGCACGCCCUCCACCCUCGUGGGCCCUCCGCUGCUCCACCGACGUACUUCUUCCUCCUAUAUAUAUCCACGUACCCCCAAACAUCCAGGAGCACCACGAAAACCUAAUUCCACCGCUGCAACCUUCUGUACCCAAGAGAACCCAUCUUGGGGCCUUUUCUGGAGGUCCACCGGAGGGGGCAUCGAUCAGGGAGGGCCUCUACAUCAACUCCAUGGCCUCUCCGGUAAUGUGUGAGUAGUUUACUUCAGACCUACGGGUCUAUAGUUAUUAGCUAGAUGGCUUCUUCUUCUCUCUUUGGAUCUCAAUAAAAAGUUCUCCUCGAUUUUCUUGGAGAUCUAUUCGAUGUAACCUUCUUUUGCAGUGUGUUUGUCGAGAUCCGAUGAAUUGUGGGUUUAUGAUCCAGAUUAUCUAUGAACAAUAUUUGAUUCUCCUAUGAAUUCUAUUAUGUAUGACUGGUUUAUCUUUGCAAGUCUCUUCGAAUUAUCAGUUCGGUUUGGCCUACUAGAUUGAUUUCUUGCAAUGGGAGAAGUGCUUAGCUUUGGGUUCAAUCUUGUGGUGUUUGAUCCCAGUGACAGAAAGGGAACCAAUACGUAUUGUAUUGUUGCCAUCGAGGAUAAAAAGAUGGGGUUUAUAUCAUAUCGCAUGAGUUUAUCCCUCUACAUCAUGUCAUCUUCCUUAAAGCAUUACUAUGUUCUCUUGAACUUAAUACUCUAGAUGCAUGCUAGAUAGCGGUCCAUGUGUCGAGUAAUAGUAGUAGAUGCAGAAUCGUUUCGGUCUACUUGUCUAGGACGUGAUGCCUAUAUACAUGAUCAUACCUAGAUAUUCUCAUAACUAUGCUCAAUUCUGUACAAUAUGGUGCACGGGGUUACAUCGGCCUGUAAAGACAUUUAUGCGAUGUGAGACAUCCGAAAAGCAACGAAAACGGGAGAUUAUACAUUUAUUGAAGAGGGCCGGUGUGACAGAUACCGUGAGGGCGUCGAGCUCAGCCAAAGACGACGGACAGCUGAGCACGGCCUGUGUCAGAGCCGGUGCGGGAGCAAGUGCAGGUGCAGGUGCUGGUGCAACGCUAGUCGAGCUGCUCCUGAAGAAGUCAACAAUGGGAAAGUCCGCUGCAUUUUUUCUGCAUUUUGCGUGCUCCAAUUGAAAAUGGCUGGAACCAAGACAGUAGACAUAUCUGCAACCACCUGUUUUCCAGCAGCUACCGCUGUCGCGACUGUCUCAGAUGAUUUCUUCUCAACCGCAAUCUCAACCUUCUUGUCGAUGUUUUAUUCGGUUAACCUCCAUCUUUCCUUUCUCUCCUCUGUGGUCUCACGGUAGUACUUCUUCCACGUGGCCCCGUCUCCGACACCGUGAACGCGUCCAUACGACGACCGAGUCUCCACCGGGAGUCCUUUCAAUAUGUUCAAUGCCCGGUUGAAUGGAGUGUCCCACUUGGGCCUUGCCAAUGCCUCAGACGGCGAGUCGCUUUCGGCCGCAAUCUUGUGCUGCUCUCUUUACAAAAGGAACACGGAUCAUUUACAAAUAUGACUAAACGUGCAGUCAAAUUGAUCAGAAACUAAAAUUACCGGCAGUCUCAUGAACUCCGUCGUGAUCGGGUCCGUCUUGAAAACCUUCUUGACUUAGUCCCAAUGGUGCCGUGCCUUGAGGACGUCAUCCUCCUACGGGAUGGUGAAGUCCGCCAAGGGGUCUGGGAUGCCAGAUUUUCGCAUUCCGUGUCCUCCUUGGCCCAUAUGGACCUCUUCCUGCCGUAACCACUGCUUCCGAGGUGGUGGCGCCCCAUGUUCCUUUGUGGAAGCCCCUUCAUGUACUUCGACUUUGUUUUGGCAGCUUCGGCCUCGCAAGCCGCCUUGAAUAUUUCAAAGUGCUCUCCCAUGAUUGUCAGAUUAUCCUUUACAAUCUCGGAGUAGGGUUGAUACGUCUCCAACGUAUCUAUUAUUUUUGAUUGCUCCAUGCUAUAUUAUCUCCUAUUUUGGACAAUAUUGGGCUUUAUAAUCGACUUUUAUAUUAUUUUUGGGACUAACCUAUUAACCGGAGGCCCAGCCUAGAAUUGUUGUCUUUUGCCUGUUUUAGGGUUUCGAAGAAAAGGAAUAUCAAACGGAGUCCAAACGGAAUGAAACCUUCGGGAACGUGAUUUUCUGAACGAACAAGACCCAGGAGACUUGGACCCUAUGUCAAGACACAAAAGAGGAGGACACGAGGUAGGGGGCGCACCUACCCCCCCCCCCCCCUCGAGGCACGCCCUCCACCCUCGUGGGGCCCCUGUUGCUCCACCGAUGUACUCCUUCCUCCUAUAUAUACCUACGUACCCCCAAACGAUCAGAUACAGAGCCAAAACCCUAAUUCCACUACCGCAACUUUCUGUAUCCACGUGAUCCCAUCUUGGGGCCUGUUCCGGAGCUCCGCCAGAGGGGGCAUCGAUCACGGUGGGCUUCUACAUCAACACCAUAGCCUCUCCGAUGAAGUGUGAGUAGUUCACCUCAGACGUACGGGUCCAUAGUUAUUACCUAGAUGGCUUCUUCUCUCUUUUUGGAUCUCAAUACAAUGUUCUCCCCCUCUCUUGUGGAGAACUAUUCGAUGUAAUCUUCUUUUUGCGGUGUGUUUAUUGAGACCGAUGAAUUGUGGGUUUAUGAUGAAGUCUAUCUAUGAAUAAUAUUUGAAUCUUCUCUGAAUUCUUUUAUGUAUGAUUGUUUAUCUUUGCAAGUCUCUUUGAAUUAUCAGUUUGGUUUGGCCUACUAGAUUGAUCUUUCUUACAAUGGGAGAAGUACUUAGCUUCGGGUUCAAUCUUGCGGUGUCCUUUCCCAAUGACAGUAGGGGCAGCAAGGCAUGUAUUGUAUUGUUGCCAUCGAGGACAACAAGAUGGGGUUUUCAUCAUAUUGCAUGAGUCUAUCCCUCUACAUCAUGUCAUCUUGCUUAAGGCGUUACUCUGUUUUUAACUUAAUACUCUAGAUGCAUGCUGGAUAGCGGUCGAUGAGUGGAGUAAUAGUAGUAGAUGCAGGGAGGAGUCGGUCUACUUGUCUCAAACGUGAUGCCUAUAUACAUGAUCAUACCUAGAUAUUCUCAUAACUAUGCUCAAUUCUGUCAAUUGCUCAACAGUAAUUUGUUCACCCACCAUAGAAUAAUUAUGCUCUUGAGAGAAGCCACUAGUGAAACCUAUGGCCCCUGGGUCUAUCUUUAUCAUAUUAAUCUCCUAUUACUUAGUUAUUUCCUUUGCUUUUUCCUUUGCCUUUAUUUUACUUUUCAUCUUUAUCACAAAAAUACCAAACAUAUUAUCUUUAUCAUACCUAUCAGAUCUCACUCUCGUAAGUGGCUGUGUAGGGAUUGACAACCCCUAUUCGCGUUGGUUGCGAGGAUUUAUUUCUUUUGUGCAAGUACGAGGGACUCGCGCGUAGCCUCCUACUGGAUUGAUACCUUGGUUCUCAAAAACUGAGGGAAAUACUUACGCUACUUUGCUGCAUCAUCCCUUCCUCUUCGGGGAAAACCAACGUAGUUCUCAAGAGCUGGCAAGAUGGAUUUCUGGCGCCGUUGCCGCGGAGGUCUACGCAAAAGUCAACAUACCAAGUACCCAUCACAUACCCUUAUCUCCCUCAUUACAUUAUUUGCCAUUUGCUUCUCGUUUUCCUCUUCCCCACUUCACCCUUGCCUUUUUAUUCGCCCUCUCUCUCUAUCCUCCCUCUCUUUCUCUAUUUGCCUCUUUUUCCCUACUUGCUUUCUGUUUGCUUGUGUGUUAGUUGCUUGCUUGUCACGAUGGCUCAAGAUAAUACUAAAUUACGUGACUUCACCAAUACCAACAACAAUGAUUUUAUUAGCACUCCGAUUUCUCCUCUUACCGAUGCUGAAUCUUGAGAAAUUAAUACUGCUUUGCUGAAUCUUGUCAUGAAAGAUCUGUUUUCCUGCCUUCCUAGUGAAGAUGCCGCUACCCACAUAAAUAGAUUCGUUGAUUUGUGUGACAUGCAAAAGAAGAAAGGUGUGGAUAAUGAUAUUGUUAAAUUGAAGCUAUUUCCUUUUUCGCUUAGAGAUCGUGCUAAAGCUUGGUUUUCGUCUUUGCCUAAAAAUAGUAUUGAUUCAUGGAAUAAGUGCAAAGAUGCUUUUAUCUCUAAGUAUUUUCCUCCUGCUAAGAUCAUCUCUCUUAGAAAUGAUAUUAUGAAUUUUAAGCAACUUGAUCAUGAACAUGUUGCACAAGCUUGGGAGAGAAUGAAACUAAUGAUACGUAAUUGACCUGCCCAUGGUUUAAAUUUGUGGAUGAUUAUACCAAAUUUUUAUGCCGGAUUGAACUUUGCUUCUAGAAAUCUUUUAGAUUAGGCCGCAGGAGGCACUAUUAUGGAAAUCACUUUAGGAGAAGCUACUAAACUCCUAGAUAAUAUUAUGGUUAAUUAUUCUCAACGGCAUACCGAAAGUUCUACUAAUAAAAAGGUGCAUGCGAUAGAAGAAAUUAAUGUUUUGAGUGGAAAGAUGGAUGAACUUCUGAAAUUAUUUGCUAAUAAGAGUAUUUCUUCUGAUCCUAAUGAUAUGCCCUUGUCUACUUUGAUUGAGAAUAAUAAUGAAUCUAUGGAUGUGGAUUUUGUUGGUAGGAACAAUUUUGGUAACAACGCGUAUAGAGGAAAUUUCAACCCUAGGCCUUAUCCUAGUAAUCUCUCUAAUAAUUAUGGUAAUUCCUACAGCAAUUCUUAUGGAAAUUAUAAUAAGAUGCAUACUGAUUUUGAAUCUAAUAUUAGAGAAUUUAUUACUUUGCAAAAGAAUUUCAAUGCUUUGAUUGAAGAAAAAUUGCUUAAGAUUGAUGAUUUGGCUAGGAACAUUGAUAGAAUUACUCUUGAUGUUGAUUCUUUGAAACUUAGAUCUAUUCCACCUAAGCAUGAUGUCAAUGAGUCUCUCAAAGCCAUGAGAAUUUCCAUUGAUGAGUGCAAAGAAAGAACCACUAGGAUGCGUGCUAAGAAAGAUGCCUUUAUAAGAGCGUGUUCUUCUAGUUCCUAUGAAAAUAAUGAUGAAGAUCAAAAAGUUAUUGAUGUGCUCCCUAUUAAAUCUUUGUUUUGCAAUACGAAUCUUGAUAAUCAUGGGACUGAAUAUGAUCCACCUUUACCUAGAAGGCGUUCCAAGAAUUCAGAAUUUGUUGAUCUUGAUGGUAAAACUGAUAAAGGUGGGAUUGAAGAAAUUAAAACCCUAGAUGUUGCUAAACCCACUAUUAUGGAUUUCAAGGAACUUAACUAUCAAAACUGCCCUUUGAUUGAUUGUAUAUCCUUGUUACAAUCCGUGCUAAAUUCUCCUCAUGCUUAUAGUCAAAAUAAAGCAUUUACUAAACAUAUCGUUGAUGCCUUGAUGCAAUCUUAUGAAGAAAAACUUGAAUUGGAAGUUUCUAUCCCUAUAAAGCUUUAUGAUGAGUGGGAACCAACUAUUAAAAUUAAAAUUAAAUAUCAUGAAUGCUAUGCUUUAUGUGAUUUUGUGUGCUAGUGUUUCCACGAUUCCAAAGACUUUGUGUGAUUUGUUAGGUUUCCAUGAUUUUGAUGAUUGCUCUUUAAACUUGCACCUUGCGGAUUCCACUAUUAAGAAACCUAUGGGAAGAAUUAAUGAUGUUCUUAUUGUUGCAAAUAGCAAUUAUGUUCCCGUAGAUUUUAUUGUUCUUGACAUAGAUUGCAAUCUUUCAUGUCCUAUUAUUCUUGGUAGACCUUUCCUUAGAACGACUGGUGCAAUUAUUGAUAUGAAGGAAGGAAAUAUUAGAUUCCAAUUUCCAUUAAGGAAAGGCAUGGAACACUUUCCUAGAAAGUAAAUUAAAUUACCUUAUGAAUCUAUUAUGAUAGCCACUUAUGGAUUGCCUACCAAAGAUGGCAAUACCUAGAUCUAUCCUUGCUUGUUAUGCCUAGCUAGGGGCGUUAAACGAUAGCGCUUGUAGGGAGGCAACCCAAUUUUAUUUUUACUCCUUGAUUUUUGCUCCUGUUUAGUAAUAAAUAAUUUAUAUAGCCUCUGUUUUGCUUGUGUUCUUUGUGUUUAAUUAGUGUUUGUGCCAAGUAGAACCGUUAGGAAGACUUGGGGAAAGUCAUGUUACACUUGCUGUAAAAAACUGAAACUUCAGCGCUCACGAGAACUGCUGCCGUUUUUAUUUGGAAAGUGCUAUUUAGUUAAUUAUUUUUUCAGAUAAAUUCCUCACAUCCAGAAAUUUAUUUUAGAAUUUUUGGGGUUCCAGCUCUUGAGCUAGCUACAGAGUACUACCGACUGUUCUGUUUUUGAAAGAUUCUGUUUUUCGUGUGUUGUUUGCUUAUUUUGAUGAAGCUAUGGCUAGUAAAAUAUUUUAUAAACCAUAGAGAAGUUGGAAUACAGUAGGUAUAACACCAAUAUAAAUAAAUAAUGAGUUCAUUACAGUACCUUGAAGUGGUCUUUUAUUUUCUUUCGCUAACGGAGCUCAUGAGAUAUUCUACUUUAAGUUUUGUGUUGUGAAGUUUUCAAGUUUUGGGUAAAGAUUUGAUGCAUUAUGGAACAAGGAGUGACAAGAGCCUAAGCUUGGGGAUGCCCAUGGCACCCCCAAGAUAAUCUAAGUACACCUAAAAGCCAAAGCUUGGGGAUGCGCCGGAAGUCAUCCCCUCUUUCAUCUACUUCUAUCGGUAACUUUACUUGGAGCUAUAUUUUUAUUCGCCACAUGAUAUGUGUUUUGCUUGGAGCGUCUUGUAUUAUUUGAGUCUUUAUUUGUUAGUUUACCACAAUCAUCCUUGCUGUACACACCUUUUGAGAGAGUCAUACAUGACUUGGAAUUUGUUAGAAUACACUAUGUGUUUCGCUUAUAUCUUUUGAGUUAUAUAGUUUUGCUCUAGUACUUCACUUCUAUCGUUUAGAGCACGGUGGUGGAUUUGUUUUAUAGAAACUAUUGAUCUCUCAUGCUUCACUUAGAUUAUUUUGAGAUUCUUAAUAGCAUGUUAAUUUGCUUAAAAUCCUAAUAUGCUAGGUAUUCAAAGUUAGUAAAAUUUUCUUAAGAGUGUUUUGAAUACUAAGAGAAGUUUGAUGCUUGAUGAUUGUUUUGAGAUAUGGAGGUAAUAAUAUCAAAGUCAUUCUACUUGAGUAGUUGUGAAAUUGAGAAAUACUAGUGUUGAAGUUUGCAUGUCCCGUAGCACGCACGUAUGGUAAACGUUGUGUAACAAAUUUGAAACAUGAGGUGUUAUUUGAUUGUCUUCCUUGUGAGUGGCGGUCGGGGACAAGCUAUGGUCUUUUCCUACCAAUCUAUCCCCCUAGGAGCAUGCGCGUAGUACCAAGGUUUUUGAUGACUUGUAGAUUUUUGCAGUAAGUAUGUGAGUUCUUUAUGACCAAUGUUGAGUCCUUGAAUUAUACGCACUCUCACCCUUCCAUCCUUGCUAGCCUCUUCGGUACCGUGCAUUGCCCUUUCCCACAUUGAGAGUUGGAGCAAACUUCGCCAGUGCAUCCAAACCCCGUGAUAUGAUACGCUCUUUAACACAUAAACCUCCUUAUAUCUUCCUCAAAAUAGCCACCAUACCUACCUAGUAUGGCAUUUCCAUAGCCAUUCCGACAUAUAUUGCCAUGCAACUUUCCACCAUUCCGUUCAUCAUGACACAUUCAUCAUUGUCAUAUUGCUUAGCAUAAUCAUGUUGUUGACAUAGUAUUUGUGGCAAGGCCACCGUUCAUAAUUCUUUCAUACAUGUCACUCUUGGUCCAUUGCAUGUCCCGGUACACCGCCGGAGGCAUUCAUAUAGAGUCCUACUUUGUUCUAGUAUCGAGUAGUAAUUAUUGAUUCGUAAAUAAAUAGAAGUGUGAUGAUCAUCAUUAAUAGAGCAUGGUCCCAAAAAGAAAAAAAGGAAGUGCCAAAAAAGGCCAAAUAAAAAAAUAUAAAAAAGGGGGGCAAUGCUACUAUCCUUUUUUUCCACACUUGUGCUUCAAAGUAGCACCGUAAUCUUCAAGAUAGAGAGUCUCUUGAUUUGUCACUUUCAUAUACUAGUGGGAAUUUUUCAUUAUAGAACUUGGCUUGUAUAUUCCAAUAAUGGGCCUCCUCAAGUGCCCUAGGUCUUCGUGAGCAAGCAAGUUGGAUGCACACCCACUUAGUUUCUUUUGUUGAGCUCUCAUACAUUUAUAGCUCUAGUGCAUCCGUUGCAUGGCAAUCCCUACUCAUUGCAUUAACAUCAAUUAAUGGGCAUCUCCAUAGCCCAUUGAUUAGCCUCGUUGAUGUGAGACUUUCUCCUUUUUGUCUUCUCCACAUAACCCCACUCAUUAUAUUCUAUUCCACCCAUAGUGUUAUGUCCAUGGCUUGCAAUCAUAUAUUGCAUGAAAGUUUAUAGGUUUGAGAUCACUAAAGUAUGAAACAAUUGCUUGGCUUGUCAUCGGGGUUGUGCAUGAUGAGAGCAUUCUUGUGUGACGAAAAUGAAGCAUGACUAAACUAUAUGAUUUUGUAGGGCUGAACUUUCUUUGGCCGUGUUAUUUUGAGAAGACAUAAUUGCUCAGUUAGUAUGCUUGAAGUAUUAUAAUUUUAUGUCAAUAUGAACUUUUGUCUUGAAUGUUUCAGAUCUGAAUAUUCAUACCACAAUUAAAAAGAAUUACAUUAAAAUCAUGCCAUGUAGCACUCCGCAUCAAAAAUUCUGUUUUUAUCAUUUACCUACUCGAGGACGAGCAGGAAUUAAGCUUGGUGAUGCUUGAUACGUCUCCAACGUAUCUAUAAUUUUUGAUUGCUCCAUGUAUAUUAUCUAUUGUUUUGGACAAUAUUGGGCUUUAUUAUCCACUUUUAUAUUAUUUUUGGGACUAACCUAUUAACCGGAGGCCCAGCCCAGAAUUGUUGUUUUUUGCCUGUUUUAGGGUUUCGAAGAAAAGGAAUAUCAAACGGAGUCCAAACGGAAUGAAACCUUCGGGAACGUGAUUUUCUCAACGAACAAGACCUAGGAGACUUGGACCCUCCAUCAAGACAUAAAAGAGGAGGCCACGAGGUAGGGGGCGUGCCUACCCCCCCCCCCCCCGGCGCGCCCUCCACCCUCGUGGGCCCCCCUGUUGCUCCACCGACGUACUCCUUCCUCCUAUAUAUACCUACUAUUGGGGAACGUAGCAGAAUUUUAAAAUUUUCUAUGCAAGAUCAAUCUAUGGAGUCAUCUAGCAACGAGGGAGAGAGGAGUGCAUCUACAUACCCUUGUAGAUCGCGCGCGGAAGCGUUCAAGAGAACGGGGUUGAUGGAGUCGUACUCGUCGUGAUCCAAAUCACCGAUGACCAAGUGCCGAACGGAUAGCACCUCCGCGUUCAACACACGUACGGUUGGGAAGACGUCUCCUCCUUCUUGAUCCAGCAAGGGGGAAGGAGAGGUUGAUGAAGAUCCAGCAGCACGAUGGCAUGGUGGUGGAUGCAGCAGGAUCCCGGCAGGGCUUCGCCAAGUGCAAGCGGGGAGGAGAGGUGUUACGGAAGGAGAGGGAGGCGCCAAGAGAAAGGGUGCGGCUACCCUCCCUCCCCCCCUCUUUAUAUAGGGGCCUUGGGGGGCGCCGGCCCUAGGAGAUGGAUCUCCAAGGGGGGCGAAGGCCAAGGGGUGGCUUCCCCCCCAAGCCAAGUGGGGGGCGCCCCCACCCCUAGGGUUUCCCAACCCUAGGUGCAGGGGAGGCCCAAGGGGGGCGCACCAGCCCACUAGGGGCUGGUUCUGCUCCCAAUUCAGCCCAUGGGGCCCUCCGGGAUGGGUGGCCCCACCCGGUGGACCCCCGGGACCCUUCCGGUGGUCCUGGUACUAUACCGGUGACCCCCGAAACCUUUCCGAUGGCCGAAACUGUACUUCCUAUAUAUAAAUCUUUACCUCCGGACCAUUCCGGAACUCCUCGUGAUGUCCGGGAUCUCCUCCGGGACUCCGAACAUAUCCUGGGUUACUACAUACUAAUAUCUCUACAACCCUAGCGUCACCGAACCUUAAGUGUGUAGACCCUACGGGUUCGGGAGACAUGCAGACAUGACCGAGACGCCUCUCCGGUCAAUAACCAACAGCGGGAUCUGGAUACCCAUGUUGGCUUCCACAUGCUCCAUGAUGAUCUCAUCGGAUGAACCACGAUGUCGAGGAUUCAAUCAAUCUGUAUACAAUUCCCUCUGUCAAUCGGUAGGUUACUUGCCCGAGACUCGAUCGUCGGUAUCCCAAUACCUCGUUCAAUCUCGUUACCAGCAAGUCACUUUACUCGUGCCGUAAUGCAUGAUCCCAUGAUCAACCACUUGGUCACAAUGAGCUCAUUAUGAUGAUGCAUUACCGAGUGGGCCCAGAGAUACCUCUCCGUCAUACGGAGUGACAAAUCCCAGUCUCGAUUCGUGCCAACCCAACAGACACUUUCAGAGAUACCUGUAAUGUUCCUUUAUAGUCACCCAGUUACGUUGUGACAUUUGGCACACCCAAGGCACUCCUACGGUAUCCGGGAGUUGCCCAAUCUCAUGGUCUAAGGAAAUGAUACUUGACAUUCGGAAAAGCUACAGCAAACGAACUACACGAUCUUUGAGCUAUGCUUAGGAUUGGGUCUUGUCCAUCACAUCAUUCUCCUAAUGAUGUGAACCCGUUAUCAAUAACAUCCAAUGUCCAUAGUCAGGAAACCAUGACUAUCUUUUGAUCAACGAGCUAGUCAACUAGAGGCUCACUAGGGACGUGUUGUCUUCUAUGUAUUCACACAUGUAUUACGAUUUCCGGAUAACACAAUUAUAGCAUGAACAAUAGACAAUUAUCAUGAACAAAGAAAUAUAAUAAUAACCAUUUUAUUAUUGCCUCUAGGGCAUAUUUCCAACAGUCUCCCACUUGCACUAGAGUCAAUGUCUAGUUACAUUGUGAUGAAUCGAACACCCUUGAAGUUCUGGAGUUGAUCAUAUUUUUCUCUAGGGAGAGGUUUAGUCAAUGGAUCUGCCACAUUCAGGUCCGUAUGUACUUUACAAAUCUCUAUGUCUCCAUUUUGAACAACUUCACGAAUGGAGUUGAAGUGACGCUUGAUAUGCCUGGUCUUCCUGUGAAACCUGGGCUCCUUGGCAAGUGCAAUAGCUCCAGUGUUGUCACAGAAUAGAGUCAUCGGGCACGGUGCAUUGGGUAUGACUCCUAGGUCGGUAAUGAACUCCUUCACCCAGACUGCUUCUUGUCCUGCCUCCGAGGCUACCAUGUACUCCGCUUCACAUGUAGAUCCCGCCACAACGCUUUGCUUGCAACUCCACCAGCUUAUUGCCCCACCAUUCAAAAUAUACACGUAUCCGGUUUCCGACUUAGAGUCAUCCAGAUCUGUGUCGAAGCUAGCAUCGACGUAACCCUUUACGACGAGCUCUUCGUCACCUACAUAAACGAGAAACAUAUCCUUACUCCUUUUUAGGUACUUGAGGAUAUUCUUGACCGCUGUCCAUGUUAGGGAACGUUGUAAUUUCAAAAAAAUUCCUACGCACACGCAAGAUCAUGGUGAUGCAUAGCAACGAGGGGAGAGUCUGAUCUACGUACCCUUGUAGAUCGCAACGGAAGCGUUGACACAACGUAGGGGAAGUAGUCGUACGUCUUCUUCCCGAUCCGACCGAUCCAAGCACCAUUACUCCGGCACCUCCGAGUUCUUAGCACACGUUCAGCUCGAUGACGAUCCUCGGGCUCCGAUCCAGCAAAGUGUCGAGGAAGAGUUCCGUCAGCACGACGGCGUGGCGACAAUCUUAAUGUACUACCGACGCAGGGCUUCGCCUAAGCACUACAACAGUAUGAUCGAGGUGGAAUUUGGUGGCAGGGGGCACCGAACACGGCUAAGGAACGAUCUCAAUGAUCAACUUGUGUGUCUAGAGGUGCCCCCUGCCCCCGUAUAUAAAGGUUGCCAGGGGGUGGGCUGGCCGGCCAAAGGAGGAGGGCGCAGGAGGAGUCCUACUCCUACCGGGAGUAGGACUCCCCCCCCCAAUCCUAUUCCUAAUAGGACUCCUCGAGAGAGAGAGAGGGAGAAGGGGGCCGGCCACCUCUCCUAGUCCUAAUAGGACUAGGGGAGGGGGGAGGCGCGCAGCCCACCUUGGGCUGCCCCUUUCGCCUUUCCACUAAGGCCCAAUAAGGCCCAUUUGGUUCCCGGGGGGUUCCGGUAACCUCCCUAUACUCCGGUAAAAUUCCCGAUUUCACCCGGAACACUUCCGAUGUCCAAACAUAGGCUUCCAAUAUAUCAAUCUUUAUGUCUCGACCAUUUCGAGACUCCUCGUCAUGUCCGUGAUCACAUCCGGGACUCCGAACAACCUUCGGUACAUCAAAAUGCAUAAACUCAUAAUAACUGUCAUCGUAACGUUAAGCGUGCGGACCCUACGGUUCGAGAACAAUGUAGACAUGACCGAGACACGUCUCCGGUCAAUAACCAAUAGCGGGACCUGGAUGCCCAUAUUUGCUCCUACAUAUUCUACAAAGAUCUUUAUCGGUCAGACCGCAUAACAACAUACGUUGUUCCCUUUGUCAUCGGUAUGUUACUUGCCCGAGAUUCGAUCGUCGGUAUCCAAUACCUAGUUCAAUCUCGUUACUGGCAAGUCUAUUUACUCGUUCCGUAAUACAUCAUCUCACAACUAACAUCUUAGUUAUAAUGCUUGCAAGGCUUCUGUGAUGUGUCUUACCGAGAGGGCCCAGAGAUACCUCUCCGACAAUCGGAGUGACAAACCCUAAUCUCGAAAUACGCCAACCCAACAUCUACCAUUGGAGACACCUGUAGUACUCCUCUAUAAUCACCCAGUUAUGUUGUGACGUUUGGUAGUACCCUAAGUGUUCCUCCGGCAAACGGGAGUUGCAUAAUCUCAUAGUCAUAGGAACAUGUAUAAGUCAUGAAGAAAGCAAUAGCAACAUACUAAACGAUUGGGUGCUAAGCUAAUGAAAUGGGUCAUGUCAAUCAGAUCAUUCAACUAAUGAUGUGACCUCGUUAAUCAAAUAACAACUCUUUGUUCAUGGUUAGGAAACGUAACCAUCUUUGAUUAACGAGCUAGUCAAGUAAAGGCAUACUAGUGACACUCUGUUUGUCUAUGUAUUCACACAUGUAUUAUGUUUCCGGUUAAUACAAUUCUAGCAUGAAUAAUAAACAUUUAUCAUGAUAUAAGGAAAUAAAUAAUAACUUUAUUAUUGCCUCUAGGGCAUAUUUCCUUCAGUCUCCCACUUGCACUAGAGUCAAUUAUCUAGAUUACACAGUAAUGAUUCUAACACCCAUGGAGCCUUGGUGCUGAUCAUGUUUUGCUCAUGGAAGAUGCUUAGUCAACGGGUCUGCAACAUACAGAUCCGUAUGUAUCUUGCAAAUCUCUAUGUCUCCCACCUGGACUAGAUCCCGGAUGGAGUUGAAGCGUCUCUUGAUGUGUUUGGUCCUUUUGUGUAAUCUGGAUUCCUUUGCUAAAGCAAUUGCACCAGUAUUGUCACAAAAGAUUUUCAUUGGACCCGAUGCACUAGGUAUGACACCUAGAUCGGAUAUGAACUCCUUCAUCCAGACUCCUUCGUUCGCUGCUUCCGAAGCAGCUAUGUACUCCGCUUCACAUGUAGAUCCCGCUACGACGCUUGUUUAGAACUGCACCAAUUGACAGCUCCACCGUUUAAAGUAAACACCUAUCCGAUUUGCAAUUUAGAAUCGUCCGGAUCAGUGUCAAAGCUUGCAUCAACGUAACCUCUUACGGUGAGCUCUUUGUCACCUCCAUAUACGAGAAACAUAUCCUUAGUCCUUUUCAGGUACUUCAGGAUGUUCUUGACCGUUGUCCAGUGAUCCACUCCUGGAUUACUUUGGUACCUCCCUGCUAAACUUAUAGCAAGGCACACAUCAGGUCUGGUACACAGCAUUGCAUACAUGAUAGAGCCUAUGGCUGAAGCAUAGGGAACAUCUUUCAUUUUCUCUCUAUCUUCUGCAGUGGUCGGGCAUUGAGUCUGACUCAACUUCACACCUUGUAACACAGGCAAGAACCCUUUCUUUGCUUGAUCCAUUUUGAACUAAUUCAAAAUCUUGUCAAGGUAUGUGCUUUGUGAAAGUCCAAUUAAGCGUCUUGAUCUAUCUCUAUAGAUCUUUAUGCCUAAUAUGUAAGCGGCUUCCCCGAGGUCUUUCAUCGAAAAACUUUUAUUCAAGUAUCCCUUUAUGCUAUCCAGAAAUUCUAUAUCAUUUCCAAUCAGCAAUAUGUCAUCCACAUAUAAUAUCAGAAAUGCUACAGAGCUCCCACUCACUUUCUUGUAAAUACAGGCUUCUCCAAAAGUCUGUAUAAAGCCAAAUGCUUUGAUCACACUAUCAAAGCGUUUAUUCAAACUCCGAGAGGCUUGCACCAGUCCAUAAAUGGAUCGCUGGAGCUUGCACACUUUGUUAGCUCCCUUUGGAUCGAUAAAACCUUCUGGUUGCAUCAUAUACAACUCUUCUUCCAGAAAUCCAUUCAGGAAUGCAGUUUUGACAUCCAUCUGCCAAAUUUCAUAAUCAUAAAAUGCGGCAAUUGCUAACAUGAUUCUGACAGACUUAAGCAUCGCUACGGGUGAGAAGGUCUCAUCGUAGUCAACCCCUUGAACUUGUCGAAAAACUUUUGCGACAAGUCGAGCUUUAUAGACAGUAAUAUUACCGUCAGCGUCAGUCUUUUUCUUGAAGAUCCAUUUAUUCUCAUUUGCUUGCCGAUCAUCAGGCAAGUCAACCAAAGUCCAUACUUUGUUCUCAUAUAUGGAUCCCAUCUCAGAUUUCAUGGCUUCAAGCCACUUUGCGGAAUCUGGGCUCACCAUCGCUUCUUCAUAGUUCGUAGGUUCAUCAUGAUCUAGUAGCAUGACUUCCAGAAUUGGAUUACCGUACCACUCUAGUGCGGAUCUCACUCUGGUUGAUCUAUGUGGUUCAGUAGUAUCUUGUCCUAAAGUUUCAUGAUCAUCAUCAUUAGCUUCCUCACUAAUUGGUAUAGGUGUCGCAGAAACAGUUUUCUGUGAUGUACUAUUUUCCAAUAAGGGAGCAGGUACAGUUACCUCGUCAAGUUCUACUUUCCUCCCACUCACUUCUUUCGAGAGAAACUCCUUCUCUAGAAAUGAUCCAUUCUUAGCAACGAAUGUCUUGCCUUCGGAUCUGUGAUAGAAGGUGUACCCAACAGUCUCCUUUGGGUAUCCUAUGAAGACACAUUUCUCCGCUUUGGGUUCGAGCUUAUCAGGUUGAAGCUUUUUCACAUAAGCAUCGCAGCCCCAAACUUUAAGAAACGACAACUUUGGUUUCUUGCCAACACUACAGGAAUCGGCUACUUUGCCAUGUGCCACGGCGGACGGCAAAGGCCCGAACGGCGGACGGCAAAGGCCUUUGCCGUCAGCGGCGGACGGCAAAAGGCUCCGGCAAAGUAGGCUUCGGUAAACAGGUUCUUUGCCGUCUACUAUUGACGGCAAAGUCUUUGCCGUCUGCGGCGGACGGCAAAGAGAGAGCAGCAGACGGCAAAGACGGCGGACGGCAAUAAUUGCGCUGUCAGUCCGUUAAGUGGCUAACGGAAGGCCUUUGCCGUCCGCCGCUGACGGCAAAAUUUCUAGGGUCUUUGCCGUCCGCCGUAUGAUGUCAUCUACACGUCACUACGUGGCAGGUUCUUUGCCGUCUGCCACUGACGGCAAAGUCUUUGCUGUCUGCCACUGUAGGCAAACUGACCAAAUGGGUCAGCUCCCAGGAAGCACAGGUGGACGCCACGUGGCUUCUUUGCCAUCCGCGGCAGACGGCAAAGAGCCCGUUGCCGUCGGUGGUAGACGGCAAAGAGCCUGCAUAUUGGCUCUUUUUUCUGUUUUUUCAUAUACCCAACCAUUUUCACAGCAAAUAGAUGAUACAUAUAUAUUUUUCACAUGGCAAGUUCACAGCAAACAUAUGAGAUAUCCAACACAUAUAAUUGCAUCAUACAUGCAUAGUUCCAUCAACCAUACAUAGCAAGUUCGACAUACAUGCAUCCAACCAUACAUAUUACAAUAGUGUCAUCCUACCAUACAUGCAUAGUUCAUAGAUACAAAGGAAACAUAGUUCAUCCAAACAAGCACUCCAUCUAUGCAAGCUUCCGUGAAGUGAAUGAAUUCUGCAAAAUGGGAAAUAAGAAAGUUAGAAGAAGAAGAUUGGAAGAAGAAGAAGUAGAAGAAGAAUAUAUAUAUAUAUAUGACAUUUAUGCGCUAAUUUAGGUGAAAUUGAUCAUUUGUGAGCUAACUUAGGUGAAAUGGAUCGUUUAUGAGCUAACCUAGGUGCAAUGGAUCGCUUAUGAGCAAACUUAAGUAAAAUGCAUCAUUUUAGAGGUAACCUAGGUAAGAUGGAUCAUUUUGGAGCUAACCUAGGUAAAAUGGGUCAUUUUAGAGCUAACUUCGGUAGAAUGGAUCAUUUAUGAGCUAGGUAAGGUUAAAUGGAUCAUUUUAGAACUAACUUAGGUAAAAUGGAUCGUUUAUGAGCUAACUUAGGUAAAAUGGAUCGUUUUUGAGCUAACUAAGGUGAAAUGAAUCGUUUUUGAGCUAACUAAGGUGAAGGGCAUCAUUUUUGAGCUAACUAAGGUGAAAUGGAUCGUUUUUGAGCUAACUAAGGUGAAAUGAAUCGUUUUUGAGCUAACUAAGGUAAAAUGGAUCGUUUUUGAGCUAACUUAGGUGAAAUGGAUCGUUUUUGAGCAAACUUAGGUGAAAUGGNNNNNNNNNNNNNNNNNNNNNNNNNNNNNNNNNNNNNNNNNNNNNNNNNNNNNNNNNNNNNNNNNNNNNNNNNNNNNNNNNNNNNNNNNNNNNNNNNNNNNNNNNNNNNNNNNNNNNNNNNNNNNNNNNNNNNNNNNNNNNNNNNNNNNNNNNNNNNNNNNNNNNNNNNNNNNNNNNNNNNNNNNNNNNNNNNNNNNNNNNNNNNNNNNNNNNNGGAUCGUUUUUGAGCUAACUAAGGUGAAAUGGAUCAUUUUUUAGCUAACUAAGGUGAAAUGGAUCGUUUUUGAGCAAACUUAGGUGAAAUGGAUCAUUUAAGAGCUAAUUUAGGUGAAAUGGAUUGUUUUUGAGCUAACUAAGGUGAAAUGGAUCGUUUUUGAGCAAACUUAGGUGAAAUGGAUCAUUUAAGAGCUAAUUUAGGUGAAAUGGAUCGUUUUUGAGCAAACUUAGGUGAAAUGGAUCAUUUAAGAGCUAAUUUAGGUGAAAUGGAUCGUUUUUAGCUAACUUAGGUGAAAUGGAUCGUUUAGGAGCUACUCUAGGUAAAUUGGGUCAUUUUAGAGCUAACUUGGAUAAACUAGAUCACUUAUAAGCUAACCUAGGUAAGAUGGGUCAUUUUGGAGCUAACUUAGGUAAAAUGGAUCGUCUAUGAGCUAACUAAGCUAAUUAUGCAAUUUUUGACAUAAGUAAGCUAAGUAUAGAUUGUUUUAGAGCUAACUUAGGUAAAAUGGAUGGUUUUGGAGGUCAGUAAGCUUAUUUAGUCAUUUUGGAGGAGAAGAAGCUAAGUCUACGUCAUUAUGGUAAGCAUUGGAGGAAAUAAAGCUAAGUCUAGGUCUUUAUGCAUGUGUUAAGCAAAACACUAGAUAAACUUACCAAGAUCCAGGAGGUGUAGGAGUGGGGUGGCUCGUGUCGGUAGCUGGAGAAGGAUCGUGCGAUGCUUGUCUGGAGUUACGCUGCACCAAAGAUCAUUUCCAAUGUCUUGUUAGCAUGAUGACACUCAAAUGUUAAGACUAGUAAGUAAUGUCCAUUCAAAUAAAACUCACCGUGGUCCCAGGAGCAAUCACUGGCAUCGGCGGAGCGGUCUGACCUGUCUUCUCGCACACAGACUGCACAUUUGGUUUUGACGACUCAGUCAUACUAGUUAGUAAUGAGACAAACACUACAUGAAUGUUUUGGCUAAUCUGCAGAUGAAACUUACCACAAGGAGCUCGUACAUGGCCCUUGCCUGCAUGUCAUUCCGUGCCCUCUCCUCCUCCACCAUCUUUGUCGUCCUCUCCUCCAACUCCCGCUGCCUCUCCGCCGCCUCCGCCAGAAGUUUCUCCGUUCUAUCUCUCUCACUCUGUAUGGCAGCCUGCAACACCACUCACAUGACAAUUUGUAAUCAUUGAUGGAAGCGCACACAAUGUAAUGGAGAAAGAUAACUGAGUAUGUAUCACUAACCUUGAUGGCGACUUGCACUGGCCGUUCACGAGGCCUUAUCUUAGGAGCGGAGCUCGACUGGCGCGCCUUGAUCUCCGAGAGAGUGCUAGGACAACGGAUAAGUCCAUCUCCAAUGGCUAUGGAGCCAUGGGACCUCCCGUCACCAGAUAUCAUCAACAGCUCUGGAUCAAUGGGACCCUGGCUCGGGUUAAAGUCCUCCCCUUUCCUCGCCUUCCCCUCAUCUCUAUAUCUCACGAGCUUGUUGUGGGAGGAGAUGUUGGUGAAGUUGUUUGCAUCAUCGAGGUCAGACUGAGAGAAAGCCUUGACUUUCUUGAAAGAGGCAGUGUGGGCCAUGGCAUACAGGUCGUACACCUCUGGCACCUUAUCCGCCUUAUUAUAGCAUGCCUGAAAGAGAGAAACAAUGAAAAUUAGUAAUUAAAGGGCUCAAGCUAGCAUGAUGAAUGAAUUGCAUGAAUCAUGAAGCAAACCACAUACCCAGUUGCGCCCGAACUGAUAUAAGUUGGAGCUGCCUUGAUGGUGUGGCACACCUUCCAUUUUUGCACGUUUGUCCUUGGCCUCCUUGUGGGGGGCUAGCCAUCGUUGUGAGCACCACUCAUCGACCAACACCUCCCAACAAUCCAUCCGAUCCGCACACCAUCUCGGAGGCGCCUAAGUUAGCAAAUAGAAACUUGAGCGCUACGGCUAAGAAUUACUAAAUGAAGGAACUUAAGUAGAGAAGGCCUUGAGAAUUACCUUCAUGUAAUGCUCCUUACUCAGGAACUUAUCGCAGCAUGCCGGCUUGGUCUUCUUGAUACCACGCAAGGCGUAGUAGUCUCGAACAGCCUGCACCCGAGCCUCGUGCCGUAAGUUCUGGAGUAGGCGCUUGCAGACGUUCUCGAUAACAUGUGCCGCGUCCUCCUCGUAUCCCUCCUCACACCUGUAGAAUGUCUGCAAUCAAAUGAGACAAUGUUGAUUAGUACAAUUAAUAACUAGCUAGUUGAAGAUUUUUAAAUGUGUAAAGGAGAAAUUACCCAGAACUUUCUGAUCACCAUGUCUGCCCUCGUGUCACACACGACACCGUCGAUAAUCUCAUUUGGCAGGGCCGGGGCAGCCACGUAGUGCUCCCAGCUCAAUCCAAGCUCUGGAAGCCGACCCUCACCAGGCAACGUGACAAACCCCGGGAAGUUUUGCCGGCAAAGAACUCCAAGGACGGAGUUGGGCCGGCGGACACUAUGAUGGUGGUCCCAACCCCUGCAGCAUGACAAGGCCAACGCAUUAGUUAUUUGAAAAAAUGUGAAUGCACAAGGUACAAAAAUAUUAAAUGCACUUACGUACCUCUCCCCAUCAGGGAAAAUCAACCACCUCUGCUCGCGGGUCACCGGCACGGACGGGAGCCGUGUAGCACCACGCUGGUAGACGGUGCCCCCCUCCUCCUCAAGAUCAGUCGGCUCCCCGCCAUCAUCAGCAUGACCACUCGGCUCCUUGGGCUGAUCCGGCCAGGUACCCCAUCCGGACGUGUGCUCCUCCGGGGUCAUGUGGGCCGAACUCUCGUGGGCUGAAGACCCGUGGACCGGAGGCUCAUGGACCGGAGUUCGUGUAGCCUCCUCCUCGGACGAGUCCACCCUAGCAGUCACGUGCUUGGGUGAAACGGUUGGGGGUGGCGGCGAGGAAGGCACCGUAGCAGUCACCCUACCUCCUCUCCCAGGACCACGUGCCCCACCUCCUCUCUUCCUACCUCGUCCCCUGCUGGGCACCAUGGUCGACGAAGAAGGGCCCGGCGGUGUGGCCAUACUGUCCAGCAACGCUCGGCGGAGAGGUGCGUCUGGAAUGGAAGACCUCAGACCACGCUCCCGACCAGUGCCCACCAUCUUUCAACACCUGCCAUGACAAACAGUAAAUGAAAUUAGUACAACAUAAAAAAGGACCGACAUGAAUAAUAAUAUGUGUAUCACUUAAGUGUAUCAUCAUCAAGUACAACAUAAAAAAAUGUAAUACCGGACACUACUAAUAAUCUCGAUCAGUAUCAUCAAUAAAUGCAUAAUCAUCAUCAUCACUAUAAUCAAUGACGGGCUCAUAGGGUUCAUUGGCAUCAACAUGUGCAAGGCCACCUUGACGUAAUCGGUCAAGCAUUGACAGGUCAUCCGCAGCAGUAACCUCUUCUUGUUCCGGCUCUUCUUGUUCCUCCUCUGGGGUGAUGUCGGAUUCAUUGUCGCUGUCUACUUCAAUGUUUUGGGGUGAAGUAUAGCGGUUCUUGAAACGCUUUUUGGAAAGACGUGUCUCUUGGAAGAAUUCUCCUUCAUAUGUGUCUGGGUUAAUGUGAGGUUCAUAAUCCUCUUCCUUUGCGGGAGAAAGUCUAGCACGUGGCGGCACUUCAUAAACGACAUCCCAACCUUUCAGAUUUGGAUUAGUUUGGCAGGCCCACGGUAGAUAGAAUACUUGGGUCGCCUGUUGAGCCAUAAUAUAGACAUCAAGAACAUCUAAACGAGUGCUUUGGUUGAUUUCAACUAGCCCUACAUGUUCAUGAGUCCUUCUAGUCUCGUUUGGCUGAAACCAAUAACAUUUGAAGACUACGACAUUUUGUGGGUUUUCACCAUAGAACAGAAGUUCAUAAAUUGCUUCAACUCUCCCAUAAUACUCGGUACCUCCUUUGCCGAUAGCAGAUACACAACAAUUUGUUGACUUUGGGUCCGCCAUAGAUAGCUCUUUGCCAUAGGUACGAAAGCGAUACCCGUUGAUGUCGUACUUGUCAAAUGAACGGACCUUAUAGUCAAAACCAUUAGCGACUUGUCUCAAUUCGGCGUCCAUAGAGUCUGGAUUAGCCUACAGGUUUAAUAUGAAAGGAUUGUUGCAUUAUGCACAAAUUAGCGAAUGAAAUGAAAUUGUCUAAUAGAAAUUACCGUUUGUUUGAACCAAGAGAUGAAACCGGGAUAGCCACCUCCUUGCUUUGCGAGAAGCUCAUACUCUUCGACAGAAUCCUUUUGGAUCUCCGCUCCAUACGAGAAUAUGGUGACGUAUCGACUGUAUGACAUAUCCAGGAAUAAGAGUAGUUCAAAGGAAAUAGAAGUUGCGAAACAAUGUAUCGAGAACUUACUCGAUGUACGGCCGCACUUCUAUCAGGUUGUUGAAGAUAUACAAUGAAAUGGUCCGCCAUUCUUUGUUAUCCAAAGAUACUGGAUGUGAAACACCAGCUGGUGCGAGAUUCCCUUUGAAUAGGCUGAGGUUGGAUCCACCCUUUUUAGGCUCGUCAGCAUUGUACCGAGGCUUCGGAUUAUGCAAAUGACGAUUUUUGGCUUCGUAGUGCGCUGUUACGAAGUUUGCCACCUCCUCUGUGAUGAAUGCCUCAGCCAUCGAUGCUUCAAUUCUACGUUUAUUUUUACAUUUUUCUCGAAGCGUGUUCUGCAUCCUCUCAGUUGGGUAGCACCAACGAUUUUGCACGGGCCCCCCCAAUCUUGCCUCGGUCGGGAGAUGCAAAAUCAAAUGCUGCAUUGGAUUAAAGAAGCCCGGUGGAAAGAUUUUCUCUAACUUGUAGAUCAACUCCGGCGCCAACUCUUCCAUUUCUUCUAGCACGCCAGGAGAUAGUUAUUUCGCACAAAGAACACGGAAGAAAUAGCUGAGUUCUGCCAGUACUAGCCAUUCAUCCUCAGGGAUGAAGCCACGCAACAUCACCGGCAUUACCCGCUCAAUCCAUAUUUGCUCCCCUCUUUAGAUUCGCUGCAUACCCAUCGGGGAACAUCAACUGCUGUUGCACCCACAAGAGAAUUUCCCUCAUAGCUGGCCUUCCAAGAUUGAACCAUGCCUUUGGCUUCGUCUAGUUCUGCUUUCCUUUCGGUUCUUUCAUGUUUUGUAACGGCCUAUCACAUAGCGCCUCCAGAUCGACUCUAGCCUUAGUAUUAUCCUUUGACUUCCCAUCCAUGCCGAACAAUGUACCAAAAAGUGCCUCGGUGAUAUUCUUCUCAGUGUGCAUCACGUCGAUGUUGUGUGGGCAAAGGAGGUCUUUGAAGUAAGGCAGAUCCCAUAAGCAUGUUUUGUGAGUCCACGCAUGCUUAGUAUUAUACCCCUUGAAGUACCCUGGACAUUGUGGAUCUGGCUCGAGAGCGUUUAACUGAUCCAGGGUCUGUUGGCCUGUCAAUGCAGGUGGUGCAGAGUUUUUGACAACUCUACCCCUGAUGAAGUUCUUCUUGUCUUCCCUGAACUUAUGGCGAGGAUCCAGGAACUGUCUAUGCAUGUCGAAGCAAGAAAACUUGCGACCGGCCUGAAGCCAACGAAACUCAAGAGCUCCCUGGCAUGUGGGGCACGGGAACCUUCCAUGCACACACCAGCCAAUGAAUAGCGCAUACGCCGGCAAGUCAUGCGUCGAGUACAUGUACUAGACACGCAUUAUGAAGUUCCGUUUGCUAAAGGCAUCGUAUGUCUUGAACCCAUUAUCCCAAGCUUCUUGCAAUUCGUCCUUAAGCGGCUGCAUGUACACAUUCAUAUUUUUGCCCGGAUAGUUGGGUCCUGGAAAUAUCAACGUUAGGAAAAUGUUCUUUCUUUGCAUAAUCUGUGCGGGGGGGAGAUUGAGUGGAAAGACAAAUACGGGCCAACAACUGUAUUGGGCUGCCAUCAUACCAAACACACUGAACCCAUCCGUGCUGAUGCCGACUCGAGAAUGCCUCGGAUCUGCCGCUUUGUCAGCAUGUAAUUCAUCAAACUUUUUCCACGCAACACCAUCCGAUGUGUGUACCAUCAUCAGAUUCCCAUCUGCAUCUAGUGCGGUUCUUUUGCCUGUUUUGUGCCAUGUCAUCUGUCUGGCCGUCUCUUUGACCAUGAAAAGACGUUGAAGUCUUGGUACAAUUGGCAUAUACCGAAGAACACUAACGGGGAUUUUGGUCUGUGUCUUCUCACCCAUACCGUUGUCUACCACAAUAUACCUGGAAGACUUGCAAAUGGGACAAUAGUUCAAGUCCGCAUAGUCAAGCCUAAAUAAGGCACAUCCUUUCUCACAGGCAUGUAUCUUCUCAUAGGGCAUCUUCAGUGCAUGGAGGAUUUUGUCCGACUGGUACAGGUUUGCAGGCAUUACAUGUCCUUUGGGUAGAAAGCGUCCAAAUACUGUCAUAAUUGCGUCAUAGCAUUCUCUACCCAAGUUGAACUGAGCCUUCAGAGCCAUUACUUGUGAGAUGGCAUCCAACUGACAAAGCUCAGUGUGCUCGCGGAGCGGACGUUUCGAAGACUCCAACAUUUCAUUGAAGGCCUUUGCAGAUUCCUCCAUCUCCUCGUCCGAAUCCCGAGCAUCAUCAUAGUCUUGCACCAUGUUUUCCAUCCCGGUACCAUGCUCGUCGGUGCGACGACGAUCCACCUCAGCUCGGUCACGUUGGGCAGACUCACCAUGAAAUGUCCAGACCGUAUAAUCGGGCGUAAAACCACUCUUCUGCAGGUGUUUGCCCAUUUCAGCCUCUCUCUUCUUUUCCCAAUUGCCGCACCGGAAAUAGGGGCACCAGGUUUUCUUUUGGCCAUUUGCAAAUGCGGCUUGCACAAACCCCUUAGUUUUUGUGAACCAUUCAGCGCUCCAUUUGUUCUGACCAGUGUGACCGGUAUACAUCCAAGCACGGUCACUCAUCUUGACUUUCAGAGCUACUGGACACACAACAAUUAUAUAUGUAAUUCACCAUGUAUAUAUUCAUCAGUUGAUCUACUGUGUCAAUUUUAUUACGUCCAUGCAACCUACACUCUAAUAGGUAAUGAUAGGUCCUAAUCCCACCCGUGUAUGUGUAGAUUGGGUUCAUUUUCCCAUGCUAUGCUCCGGAUCCGACGCAAAAUUUCGGCAGCACCUCCCCGUUAUUCUCCUGAUACACGUCUCUGCAAUAAACAGAGAGGAUGUGUACCCGGAGAACAACAGGGGAGGCACUGACGAAAUAUAUGCGUCGGAUCCGGAGCAAAGCAUAUGGGAAAACGAACCCAAUCUACACAUACUCGGGCUGUCCAUGGAUAGCGUUGGACAAUUCGAAAGAAUCAAGGUUAUAAAUAUGCAAAUGCAUGCAUAUUUAUAAAUAUGACGCUUUCGAAUGGGAGACACAUAUUGGUUACGCAUACUGAUGAUUCAAGACACAUAUAUAGCUAGCUAUCAAGUUUCAUCGGAAUAGAUCAAAUAAUUAAUGGGGGAGGAGGACUUGUCAUUUGUGCUCACCCACGAACGAAGGGCAGAGCUCGUCAAACGCACGGCGAGGUCGUCGAACACCAAACCUCGCAGCGAUGAAACAACUGCACAUUUAAAACUACACGAUCAACACAAUUAUAUAUGAUGUUUUUCAUAACUAAAUCGAAAAAUAUAUAACCUAACUAAUAAUUCACAAAUAUAUGACCCCGUCGGCCUCUGGAAGGCCGAAGAACACCUUAAUUUUCGGGAGGUGUCGGUGGUCGGGGUGCCCUGUCGGUGUCGGGGUGCCGUGUCGGGGUCGGGGUCUCGGGGUCGGGGUGUCGGGUCGGGGUGCCNNNNNNNNNNNNNNNNNNNNNNNNNNNNNNNNNNNNNNNNNNNNNNNNNNNNNNNNNNNNNNNNNNNNNNNNNNNNNNNNNNNNNNNNNNNNNNNNNNNNNNNNNNNNNNNNNNNNNNNNNNNNNNNNNNNNNNNNNNNNNNNNNNNNNNNNNNNNNNNNNNNNNNNNNNNNNNNNNNNNNNNNNNNNNNNNNNNNNNNNNNNNNNNNNNNNNNNNNNNNNNNNNNNNNNNNNNNNNNNNNNNNNNNNNNNNNNNNNNNNNNNNNNNNNNNNNNNNNNNNNNNNNNNNNNNNNNNNNNNNNNNNNNNNNNNNNNNNNNNNNNNNNNNNNNNNNNNNNNNNNNNNNNNNNNNNNNNNNNNNNNNNNNNNNNNNNNNNNNNNNNNNNNNNNNNNNNNNNNNNNNNNNNNNNNNNNNNNNNNNNNNNNNNNNNNNNNNNNNNNNNNNNNNNNNNNNNNNNNNNNNNNNNNNNNNNNNNNNNNNNNNNNNNNNNNNNNNNNNNNNNNNNNNNNNNNNNNNNNNNNNNNNNNNNNNNNNNNNNNNNNNNNNNNNNNNNNNNNNNNNNNNNNNNNNNNNNNNNNNNNNNNNNNNNNNNNNNNNNNNNNNNNNNNNNNNNNNNNNNNNNNNNNNNNNNNNNNNNNNNNNNNNNNNNNNNNNNNNNNNNNNNNNNNNNNNNNNNNNNNNNNNNNNNNNNNNNNNNNNNNNNNNNNNNNNNNNNNNNNNNNNNNNNNNNNNNNNNNNNNNNNNNNNNNNNNNNNNNNNNNNNNNNNNNNNNNNNNNNNNNNNNNNNNNNNNNNNNNNNNNNNNNNNNNNNNNNNNNNNNNNNNNNNNNNNNNNNNNNNNNNNNNNNNNNNNNNNNNNNNNNNNNNNNNNNNNNNNNNNNNNNNNNNNNNNNNNNNNNNNNNNNNNNNNNNNNNNNNNNNNNNNNNNNNNNNNNNNNNNNNNNNNNNNNNNNNNNACUAAAUCUAAACCUAAAACAAAACUAAAACUAAACCUAAAACUAAAACUAAAACUAAAUCUAAACUAAAACUAAAAAGGAAAAAAACAGAAAAAAAAUAGAAAAAAGGAGGUUGGGGCUCACCUUCUGCAGCGCCGGUGGAGGAGGGGGCGGGGCGGUGGAGGAGCUGGCUGGGGCGCGGGGCGGCCUGGGGCGGCGCGGGGCCGGGCCCGAUGCGGUGGGGCGCGGGGCGGCGGUGCGUGCGGACCCUAUGGUUCGAGAACAAUGUAGACAUGACCGAGACACGUCUCCGGUCAAUAACCAAUAGCGGGACCUGGAUGCCCAUAUUGGCUCCUACAUAUUCUACGAAGAUCUUUAUCGGUCAGACCGCAUAAUAACAUACGUUGUUCCCUUUGUCAUCGGUAUGUUACUUGCCCGAGAUUCGAUUGUCGGUAUCCAAUACCUAGUUCAAUCUCGUUACUGGCAAGUCUCUUUACUCGUUCCAUAAUACAUCAUCUCACAACUAACAUCUUAGUUAUAAUGCUUGCAAGGCUUAUGUGAUGUGUCUUACCAAGAGGGCCCAGAGAUACCUCUCCGACAAUCGGAGUGACAAACCCUAAUCUCGAAAUACGCCAACCCAACAUCUACCAUUGGAGACACCUGUAGUACUCCUUUAUAAUCACCCAGUUACGUUGUGACGUUUGGUAGUACCCAAAGUGUUCCUCCGGCAAACGGGAGUUGCAUAAUCUCAUAGUCAUAGGAACAUGUAUAAGUCAUGAAGAAAGCAAUAGCAACAUACUAAACGAUCGGGGGCUAAGAUAAUGAAAUGGGUCAUGUCAAUCAGAUCAUUCAACUAAUGAUGUGACCUCGUAAAUCAAAUAACAACUCUUUGUUCAUGGUUAGGAAACAUAACCAUCUUUGAUUAACGAGCUAGUCAAGUAAAGGCAUACUAGUGACACUCUGUUUGUCUAUGUAUUCACACAUGUAUUAUGUUUCCGGUUAAUACAAUUCUAGCAUGAAUAAUAAACAUUUAUCAUGAUAUAAGGAAAUAAAUAAUAACUUUAUUAUUGCAUCUAGGGCAUAUUUCCUUCAGUCCAGUGUUCCAUGCCGGGAUUACUUUGGUACCUUCCUACCAAACUUACGGCAAGGUUUACAUCAGGUCUGGUACACAGCAUAGCAUACAAGAUAGACCCUAUGGCCGAGGCAUAGGGGACGACACUCAUAUUUUCUCUAUCUUCUACCGUGGUCGUGCAUUGAGCCGUGCUCAAUCUCGUACCUUGCAAUAUAGGCAAGAACCCCUUCUUUUACUGAUCCAUUUUGAACUUCUUCAAUAUCUUGUCAAGGUACGUACUCUGUGGAAGACCAAUGAGGCGUCUCGAUCUAUCUCUAUAGAUCUUGAUGCCUAAUAUAUAAGCAGCUUCUCCAAGAUCCUUCAUUGAAAAACACUUGUUCAAGUAGGCCUUUAUGCUUUCCCAGAAUUCUAUAUCAUUUCCCAUCAACAAUAUGUCAUCCACAUCCAAUAUGGGAAAUUCUACAAAGCUCCCACUCAGUUCUUGUAAAUGCAGGCUUCUCCAUAAGUCUGCGUAAACCCAAACGCUUUGAUCAUCUCAUCAAAAUGAAUGUUCCAACUCCGAGAUGCUUGCACCAGCCCAUAAAUCGAGCGUUGGAGCUUGUACACCUUGUCAGCAUUCUUAGGAUCGACAAAACCUUCUGGCUGCAUCAUAUACAAUUCUUCCUUAAGGAAACCAUCAAGGACUGUUGUUUUGACGUCCAUUUGCCAUAUCUCAUAAUCAUAGAAUGCGGCAAUUGCUAACAUGAUUCGGACGGACUUCAGCUUCGCUACGGGUGAGAAAGUCUCAUCAUAGUCAACCCCUUGUACUUGCCGAUAACCCUUAGCGACAAGCCGAGCUUUAUAGAUGGUCACAUUACCAUCCGCGUCUGUCUUCUUCUUAAAGAUCCAUUUAUUUUCUAUGGCUCGCCGACCAUCGGGCAAGUCAGUCAAAGUCCAUACUUUGUUUUCAUACAUGGAUCUUAUCUCGGAUUUCAUGGCUUCCAGCCAUUUCUCGGAAUCCGGGCCCGCCAUUGCUUCUUCAUAGUUCGAAGGUUCACCGUUGUCUAACAACAUGAUUUCCAAGACAGGGUUGCCGUACCACUCUGGUGCGGGACGUGUCCCCGUGGACCUACGAAGUUCAGUAGCAACUUGAUCUGAAGUUUCAUGAUCAUCAUCAUCAACUUCCUCUCUAGUCGGUGCAGGCACCUUAGGAACAUUUUCUUGAGCUGCGCCACUUACCGGUUCAAGAGGUAAUACUUCAUCAAGUUCUACUUUCCUCCCACUUAUUUCUUUCGAGAGAAACUCUUUCUCUAGAAAGGACCCAUUCUUGGCAACAAAGAUCUUGCCUUCGGAUCCGAGGUAGAAGGUAUACCCAAUAGUUUCUUUAGGGUAUCCUAUGAAGACGCAUUUUUCCGAUUUGGGUUCGAGCUUUUCAGGUUGAAGUUUCCUGACAUAAGCAUCGCAUCCCCAAAGUUUUAGAAAUGACAUCUUAGGUGUCUUCCCAAACCAUAAUUCAUACGGCGUCGUCUCAACGGAUUUCGACGUAGCCCUAUUUAAAGUGAAUGCGGCAGUCUCUAAAGCAUAGCCCCAAAAUGACAGCGGUAAAUCAGUAAGAGACAUCAUAGAUCAUACCAUAUCUAAUAGAGUGCGAUUAUGACGUUCGGACACACCAUUACGCUGAGGUGUUCCAGGCGGCGUGAGUUGUGAAACUAUUCCACAUUUUCUUAAGUGUGUGCCAAAUUCGUGACUCAAGUAUUCUCCCCCACGAUCUGAUCGCAAGAACUUGAUUUGCCUGUCAUGUUGAUUCUCAACCUCACUUUGAAAUUCCUUGAACUUUUCAAAGGUCUCAGACUUGUGUUUCAUUAAGUAGACAUACCCAUAUCUACUCAAGUCAUCAGUGAGGGUGAGAACAUAACGAUAGCCACCACGAGCCUCAACACUCAUUGGACCGCACACAUCAGUAUGUAUGAUUUCCAAUAAGUUGGUUGCUCGCUCCAUUGUUCUUGAGAAAGGAGUCUUGGUCAUUUUACCCAUGAGGCAUGGUUCGCACGUGUCAAAUGAUUCGUAAUCAAGAGACUUUAAAAGUCCAUCUGCAUGGAGCUUCUUCAUGCGUUUGACACCUAUGUGACCAAGGCGGCAAUGCCACAUGUGGGACUAUCAUUAUCAACCUUACAUCUUUUGCUAUUCACACUAUGAAUAUGUGUAACAUUAUGCUCGAGAUUCAUUAAGAAUAAACCAUUCACCAAUGGAGCAUGACCAUAAAACAUAUCUCUCAUAUAAAUAGAACAACCAUUAUUCUCGGAUUUAAAUGAGUAGCCAUCUCAAAUUAAACGAGAUCCUGAGACAAUGUUCAUGCUCAAAGCUGGCACUAAAUAACAAUUAUUGAGGUUUAAAACUAAUCCCGUAGGCAAAUGUAGAGGCAGCGUGCCGACGGCGAUCACAUCGACCUUGGAACCAUUCCCGACGCGAAUCGUCACCUCGUACUUCGCCAGUCUCCGUUUAUUCCGCAGCUCCCGCUUUGAGUUACAAAUGUGAGCAACUGCACCGGUAUCAAAUACCCAGGAGCUACUACGAGUACUGGUAAGGUACACAUCAAUUACAUGUAUAUCACAUAUACCUUUAGUGUUGCCGGCCUUCUUGUCCGCUAAGUAUUUGGGGCAGUUCUGCUUCCAGUGACCACUUCCCUUGCAAUAAAAACACUCAGUCUCGAGCUUGGGUCCAUUCUUUGGCUUCUUCCCGGCAACUUGCUUAGCGGGCGCGGCAACUCCCUUGCCGUCCUUCUUGAAUUCUUCUUACCCUUGCCUUUCUUGAACUUAGUGGUUUUAUUCACCAUCAACACUUGAUGUUCCUUUUUGAUUUCCACCUCUGCUGAUUUCAGCAUUGAAUAUACCUCAGGAAUGGUCUUUUCCGUCCCCUGCAUAUUGAAGUUGAUCACAAAGCUCUUGUAGCUUGGUGGAAGCGACUGAAUGAUUCUGUCAAUGACCGCGUCAUUCGGGAGAUUAACUCCCACCUGAGUCAAGCGGUUAUGCAACCCAGACAUUUUGAUUAUGUGCUCACUGACAGAUCUAUUUUCCUCCAUAUUACAGCUGAAGAACUUGUCGGAGACUUCAUAUCUCUCGACCCGGGCAUGAGCUUGAAAAACCAUUUUCAGCUCUUCGAACAACUCAUAUGCUCCGUGUCUCUCAAAAUGCUUUUGGAGCCCCGGUUCUAAGCUGUAAAGCAUGCCGCACUGAACGAGGGAGUAAUCAUCAGCACGUAACUGCCAAGCGUUCAUAAUGUCUUGGUUCUCUGGGACAGGUGUGUCACCUAACGGUGCUUCUAGGACAUAAUCUUUCUUGGCAGCUAUGAGGAUGAUCCUCAGGUUCUGGACCCAGUCCGUAUAGUUGCUGCCAUCGUCUUUCAGCUUGGUUUUCUCCAGGAACGCGUUGAAAUUGAGGACAACGUGGGCCAUUUGAUCUACAAGACAUAUUGUAAAGAUUUUAGACUAAGUUCAUGAUAAUUAAGUUCAUCUAAUCAAAUUAUACAAUGAACUCCCACUCAGAUAGACAUCCCUCCAGUCAUCUAAGUGAAACAUGAUCCGAGUUAACUAGGCUGUGUCGGAUCAUCACGUGAGACGGACUAGUCAACAUCGGUGAACAUCUUCAUGUUGAUCGUAUCUUCUAGACGACUCAUGCUCGACCUUUUAGUCUUCUAUGUUCCGAGGCCAUGUCUGUACAUGCUAGGCUCGUCAAGUAAACCUAAGUGUAUUGCGUGUGUAAGUCUGGCUUACACCCGUUGUAUUCGAACGUUAGAAUCUAUCACACUCGAUCAUCACGUGGUGCUUCGAAACAACGAACCUUCACAAUGGUGCACAGUUAGGGGGAACAGUUUCUUGAAAUUAUUUCGAGGGAUCAUCUUAUUGAAGCUACCGUCGUUCUAAGCAAAUAAGAUGUAAAACAUGAUAAACAUCACAUGCAAUCAAAUAGUGACAUGAUAUGGCCAAUAUCAUUUUCUCCUUUUGAUCUCCAUCUUCGGGGGUCCAUGAUCAUCAUUGUCACUGGCAUGACACCAUGAUCUCCAUCAUCAUGUCUUCUUGAAGUUGUCUCGUCAUCUAUUACUUCUACUACUAUGGCUAACGCUUUAGCAAUAAAGUAAAGUAAUUACAUGACGUUUAUGUUGACACGCAGGUCAUAAAAAAUAAAGACAACUCCUAUGGCUCCUGCCGGUUGUCAUACUCAUCGACAUGCAAGUCGUGAUUCCUAUUACAAGAACAUGAUCAAUCUCAUACAUCACAUAUAUCAUUCAUCACAUCCUUUUGGCCAUAUCACAUCACACGACACAUGCUGCAAAAACAAGUUAGACGUCCUCUAAUUGUUGUUGCAAGUUUAUACAUGGCUGCUAUAGGUUUCUAGCAAGAACGUCUCUUACCUAUGGCAAAACCACAACGUGAUAUGCCACUUUCUAUUUACCCUUCAUAAGGACCCUUUUCAUCGAAUCCGAUCUGACUAAAGUGGGAGAGACAGACACCCGCCAGCCACCUUAUGCAACUAGUGCAUGUCAAUCGGUGGAACCAGUCUCACAUAAGCGUACGUGUAAGGUCGGUCCGGGCCGCUUCAUCCCAUGAUGCCACCGAAUCAAGAUAAGACUAGUAACGGCAAGCAAAGUGACAAUAUCCACGCCCACAACUGCUUUGUGUUCUACUCGUGCAUAGAAACUACGCAUAGACCUAGCUCAUGAUGCCACUGUUGGGGAAUGUAGCAGAAUUUUAAAAUUUUCUAUGCAUCACCAAGAUCAAUCUAUGGAGUCAUCUAGCAAUGAGGGAGAGAGGAGUGCAUCUACAUACCCUUGUAGAUCGCGCGCGGAAGUGUUCAAGAGAACGGGGUUGAUGGAAUCGUACUCGUCGUGAUCCAAAUCACCGAUGACCAAGUGCCUAACGGACAGCACCUCCGCGUUCAACACACGUCCUUUUGGGAAGACGUCUCCUCCUUCUUGAUCCAGCAAGGGGGAAGGAGAGGUUGAUGAAGAUCCAGCAGCACCACGACGUGGUGGUGGAUGCAACAGGAUCCCGGCAGGGCUUCACCAAGCGGAAGCGGGGAGGAGAGGUGUUACGGAGGGAGAGAGAGGCGCCAAGAGCAAGGUUGCGGCUGCCCUCCCUCCCCCCCUCUUUAUAUAGGGGCCAUGGGGGGGCGCCGGCCCUAGGAGAUGGAUCUCCAAGGGGGGCGAAGGCCAAGGGGUGGCUCCCCCCCCCCCAAGCCAAGUGGGGGGCGCCCCCACCCCUAGGGUUUCCCAACCCUAGGCGCAGGGGAGGCCCAAGGGGGGCGGACCAGCCCACUAGCGGCUGGUUCCCCUCCCAAUUCAUCCCAUGGGGCCCUCCGGGAUGGGUGGCCCCACCCGGUGGACCCCCGGGACCCUUUCGGUGGUCCCGGUACAAUACUGGUGACCCCCGAAACCUUCCCGAUGGCCGAAACUGUACUUCCUAUAUAUAAAUCUUUACCUCCAGACCAUUCCGGAACUCCUCGUGACGCCCGGGAUCUCAUCCGGGACUCCGAACAACUUUCGGGUUACUAUAUACUAAUAUCUCUACAACCCUAGCGUCACUGAACCUUAAGUGUGUAGACCCUACGGGUUUCGGAGACAUGCAGACAUGACUGAGACGCCUCUCCAGUCAAUAACCAACAGCGGGAUCUGGAUACCCAUGUUGGCUCCCACAUGCUCCAUGAUGAUCUCAUCAGAUGAACCACGAUGUCGAGCAUUCAAUCAAUCUGUAUACAAUUCCCUUUGUCAAUCAGUACGUUACUUGCCCGAGACUCGAUCAUCGGUAUCCCAAUACCUUGUUCAAUCUUGUUACCGGCAAGUCACUUUACUCAUACCAUAAUGCAUGAUCCCGUCAUCAACCACUUGGUCACAUGAGCUCAUUAUGAUGAUGCAUUACCGAGUGGGCCCAGAGAUACCUCUCCAUCAUACGGAGUGACAAAUCCCAGUCUCGAUUCAUGCCAACCCAAUAGUCACUUUCAGAGAUACCUGUAAUGUAACUUUAUAGUCACCCAGUUACGUUGUGACGUUUGGCACACCCAAGGCACUCCUACGAUAUCUGGGAGUUUUGUUGGAAAUAUGCCCUAGAGGCAAUAAUAAAAGCAUUAUUAUUAUAUUUCCUUGUUCAUGAUAAUUGUCUUUAUUCAUGCUAUAAUUGUGUUAUCCGGAAAUCGUAAUACAUGUGUGAAUAACAGACACCAACAUGUCCCUAGUAAGCCUCUAGUUAACUAGCUCGUUGAUCAACAGAUAGUCAUGGUUUCCUGACUAUGGACAUUGGAUGUCAUUGAUAACGAGCUCACAUCAUUAGGAGAAUGAUGUGAUGGACAAGACCCAAUCAUAAACAUAGCAUAAAGAUCGUGUAGUUCGUUUGCUAGAGUUUUUCCAAUGUCAAGUAUACUUUCCUUAGACCAUGAGAUCGUGUAACUCCCGGAUACCGUAAGAGUGCUUUGGGUGUACCAAACAUCACAACGUAACUGGGUGACUAUAAAGGUAUACUACGGGUAUCUCCAAAAGUGUCUGUUGGGUUGACACGGAUCAAGACUGGGAUUUGUCACUCCGUAUGACGGAGAGGUAUCACUGGGCCCACUCAGUAAUGCAUCAUCAUAAUGAGCUCAAAGUGACCAAGUGUCUGGUCACGGGAUCAUGCAUUACGGUACGAGUAAAGUGACUUGCCGGUAACGAGAUUGAACGAGGUAUUGGGAUACCGACAAUCGAAUCUCGGGCAAGUAACAUACCGAUUGGCAAAGGGAAUUGUAUACGGGGUUGCCUGAAUCCUCGAUAUCGUGGUUCAUCCGAUGAGAUCAUCGUGGAGCAUGUGGGAGCCAACAUGGGUAUCCAGAUCCCGCUGUUGGUUAUUGACCGAAGAGUCGUCUCGGUCAUGUCUGUCUGUCUCCCGAACCCGUAGGGUCUACACACUUAAGGUUCGGUGAUGCUAGGGUUGUAGGAAUAUGUAUAUGCAGUAACCCGAAUGUUGUUCGGAGUCCCGGAUGAGAUCCCGGACGUCACGAGGAGUUCCGUAAUGGUCCGGAGGUAAAGAAUUAUAUAUGGGAAGUGCUAUUUCGGCCAUCGGGACAAGUUUUGGGGUCACCGGUAUUGUACCGGGACCACCGGAAGGGUCCCGGGGGUCCACCGGGUGGGGCCACCUAUCUCGGAGGGCCCCAUGGGCUGAAGUGGGAAGGGACCCAGCCCAAAGUGGGCUGGGGUGCCUCUCCCCUAGGGCCCAUGCGGCUAGGGUUUGGGGGAAACCCUAAAAGGGGGCGCCCCCUUGCUUGGGGGGCAAGCCCCCCACCCCUUGGCCGCCGCCCCCCCCUCCCCCUAGGAAAAUAGAUCUCCUAGGGCCGGCGCCCCCCCCCCUUGGCCCUCCUAUAUAUAGUGGGGGAGGGAGGGCUAUUCUCUCAUGCCUUUGGUUGCCUCCCUCUCCCUCUCCGACACCUCCUCCUCCUCCAUAGUGCUUGGCGAAGCCCUGACGGAGUUCUGCAGCUCCACCAUCACCACGCCGUCGGUCUGCUGCUGGAGCCAUCUUCCUCAACCUCUUCUUCCCUCUUGCUGGAUCAAGAAGAAGGAGACGUUACGCUAACCGUACGUGUGUUGAACGCGGAGGUGCCGUCCGUUCGGCGCUAGGAUCUCUGGUGAUUUGAAUCACGUCGUGUACGACUACUUCAUCCACGUUCUUUGAACGCUUCCGCUCGCGAUCUACAAAGGUAUGUAGAUGCAUCCGAUGACUCGUUGCUAGAUGAACUCAUAGAUAGAUCUUGGUGAAACCGUAGGAAAUUUUUUGUUUUCUGCAACGUUCCCCAACAGUGGUAUCAGAGCUAGGUCUAUGCGUAGUUCUUCUUGCGCGAGUAGAACACAAUUUGUUGUGGGCGUAGAUGUUGUCAACUUUCUUGCCGCUACUAGUCUUAUCUUGCUUCGACGGUAUUGUGGGAUGAAGCGGCCCGGACCAACCUUACACGUAUGCUCACGUGAGACAGGUUCCACCGACAAACAUGCACUAGUUGCAUAAGGUGGCUAGCGGGUGCCUGUCUCUCCUACUUUAGUUGGAGCGGAUUCGAUGAGAAGGGUCCUUAUGAAGGGUAAAUAGAAGUUGAAAAAUCACGUUGUGGCUUUCACGUAGGUUAGAAAACGUUCUUGCUAGAACCCUACUUCAGCCACGUAAAACUUGCAACAACAAUUAGAGGAUGUCUAACUUGUUUUUGCAGCAAGUGCUUUGUGAUAUGAUAUGGCCAAAGUUGUGAUGAAUAAUACAUAUGUGAUGUAUGAGAUGUUCGUGCUAUUGUAAUAGGAAUCACGACUUGCAUGUCGAUGAGUAUGACAACCGGCAGGAGCCAUAGGAGUUGUCUUUAUUCUUUUAUAUGACCUGCGUGUCAUUGAGAAACGCCAUGUAAAUUACUUUACUUUAUUGCUAAACACGUUAGCCUUAGUAGUAGAAGUAAUAGUUGGCGAGCAACUUCAUGGAGACACGAUGAUGGAGAUCAUGAUGAUGGAGAUCAUGGUGUCAUGCCGGUGACAAGAUGAUCAUGGAGCUCCAAGAUGGAGAUCAAAGGAGCUAUGUGAUAUUGGCCAUAUCAUGUCACUAUUAUUAUUUGAUUGCAUUUGAUGUUUAUCAUGUUUUGCAUCUUGUUUACUUAGAACGACGGUAGUGAAUAAGAUGAUCCCUCAUAAUAAUUUCAAGCAAGUGUUCCCCCUAACUGUGCACCGUUGCGACAGUUCAUUGCUUCAAUGCACCACGUGAUGAUCGGGUGUUUGAUUCAAACGUUCACAUACAACGGGUGUAAGACAGAUUUACACAUGCAAACACUUAGGUUGACUUGACGAGCCUAGCAUGUGUAUAGACAUGGCCUCGGAACACAGAAGACCAAAAGGUCGAGCAUGAGUCGUAUAGAAGAUACGAUCAACAUGAAGAUGUUCAUCGAUGUUGACUAGUCCGUCUCACGUGAUGAUCGGACACGGCCUAGUUGACUCGGAUCAUGUUAUACUUAGAUGACUAGAAGAGGGAUGUCUAUCUAAGUGGGAGUUCAUUCAAUAAUUUGAUUAGAUGAACUUAAUUAUCAUGAACUUAGUCUAAAAUCUUUGCAAUAUGUCUUGUAGAUCAAAUGGCCAACGUAGUCCUCAACUUCAACGCGUUCCUAGAGAAAACCAAACUGAAAGAUGAUGGCAGUAACUAUACGGAAUGGGUCUGGAACCUGAGGAUUAUCCUCAUAGCUGCCAAGAAAGAUUAUGUCCUACAAGCACCGCUAGGUGAAGCUCCCGUCCCAUGGAACCAAGAUGUUAUGAACGCUUGGCAGACACGUGCUGAUGACUACUCCCUCGUUCAGUGCGGCAUGCUUUACAGUUUAGAGCCGGGGCUCCAAAAGCGUUUUGAGAGACAUAGAGCAUAUGAGAUGUUCGAAGAGCUGAAAAUGGUGUUUCAAGCUCAUGCCCGGGUCGAGAGAUAUGAGGUCUCCGACAAAUUCUUCAGUUGUAAGAUGGAGGAAAAUAGUUCUGUCAGUGAGCACAUACUCACUAUGUCUGGGUUACAUAAUCGCUUGACUCAGCUGGGAGUUAAUCUCCUGGAUGAUGCGGUCAUUGACAGAAUCCUCCAGUCGCUUCCACCAAGCUACAAGAGCUUUGUGAUGAACUUCAAUAUGCAGGGGAUGGAAAAGACCAUUCCUGAGGUAUUUACAAUGCUGAAAUCAGCAGAGGUAGAAGUCAAGAAGGAACAUCAAGUGUUGAUGGUCAAUAAAACCACUAAGUUCAAGAAGGGCAAGGGUAAAAAGAACUUCAAGAAGGACGGCAAGGGAGUUGCCGCGCCCGGCAAGCAAGCUGCCGGGAAGAAGCCAAAGAAUGGUCCCAAGCCCGAGACUGAGUGCUUUUAUUAUAAGGGAAGCGGUCACUGGAAGCGGAACUGCCCCAAAUACUUAGCGGACAAGAAGGCCGGCAAAACAAAAGGUAUAUGUGAUAUACAUGUAAUUGAUGUGUACCUUACCAGUACCCGUAGUAGCUCCUGGGUAUUUGAUACUGGUGUAGUUGCUCACAUUUGUAACUCAAAGCAGGGGCUGCGGAAUAAGCGGAGACUGGCGAAGGACGAGGUGACGAUGCGCGUCGGGAAUGGUUCCAAGGUCAAUGUAAUCGCCGUCGGCACGUUACCUCUAUAUUUACCUUCGGGAUUAGUUGUAAACCUUAAUAAUUGUUAUUUAGUACCAGCUUUGAGCAUGAACAUUGUAUUGGGAUCUCGUUUAAUUCAAGAUGGCUACUCAUUUAAAUCCGAGAAUAAUGGUUGUUCUAUUUAUAUGAGAGAUAUGUUUUAUGGUCAUGCUCCUAUGGUGAAUGGUUUAUUCUUAAUGAAUCUCGAGCGUAAUGCUACACAUAUUCAUAGUGUGAGUACCAAAAGAUGUAAGGUUGAUAAUGAUAGUCCCACAUACUUGUGGCACUGCCGCCUUGGUCACAUAGGUGUCAAACGCAUGAAGAAGCUCCAUGCAGAUGGACUUUUAGAGUCUCUUGAUUAUGAAUCAUUUGACACGUGCGAACCAUGCCUCGUGGGUAAAAUGACCAAGACUCCGUUCUCAGGAACAAUGGAGCGAGCAACCAACUUAUUGGAAAUCAUACAUACUGAUGUGUGCGGUCCAAUGAGCGUUGAGGCUCGCGGUGGCUAUCGUUAUGUUCUCACCCUCACUGAUGACUUGAGUAGAUAUGGGUAUGUCUACUUAAUGAAACACAAGUCUGAAACCUUUGAAAAGUUCAAGGAAUUUCAGAGUGAGGUUGAGAAUCAACGUGACAGGAAAAUCAAGGUUCUACGAUCAGAUCAUGGAUGCGAAUACUUGAGUCACGAAUUUGGCACACACUUAAGAAAAUGUGGAAUAGUUUCACAACUCACGCCGCCUGGAACACCUCAGCGUAACGGUGUGUCCGAACGUCGUAAUCGCACUCUAUUAGAUAUGGUACGAUCUAUGAUGUCUCUUACCGAUUUACCACUAUCUUUUUGGGGCUAUGCUUUAGAGACUGCCGCAUUCACUUUAAAUAGGGCUCCGUCGAAAUCCGUUGAGACGACACCGUUUGAAUUAUGGUUUGGGAAGAAACCUAAGCUGUCGUUUCUAAAAGUUUGGGGAUGCGAUGCUUAUGUCAAGAAACUUCAACCUGAAAAGCUCGAACCCAAGUCGGAAAAAUGCGUCUUCAUAGGAUACCCUAAAGAAACUGUUGGGUAUACCUUCUACCUCAGAUCCGAAGGCAAGAUUUUUGUUGCCAGGAAUGGAUGCUUUCUAGAGAAGGAGUUUCUCUCGAAAGAAGUAAGUGGGAGGAAAGUAGAACUUGAUGAAGUGUUACCUCUUGAACCGGAAAAUGGCGCAACUCAAGAAAAUGUUCAUGAGGUGCCUGCACCGACUAGAGAGGAGGUUAAUGAUGAUGAUCAUGAAACUUCUGAUCAAGUUGCUACUGAACUUCGAAGGUCCAUAAGGACACGUUCCGCACCAGAGUGGUACGGCAACCCUGUCUUGGAAAUCAUGUUGUUAGGCAACGGUGAACCUUCGAACUAUGAAGAAGCGAUGGCGGGCCCGGAUUCCGACAAAUGGCUAGAAGCCAUGAAAUCCGAGAUAGGAUCCAUGUAUGAAAAUGAAGUAUGGACUUUGACUGACUUGCCCGUUGAACGGCGAGCCAUAGAAAAUAAAUGGAUCUUUAAGAAGAAGACAGACGCGGAUGGUAAUGUGACCAUCUAUAAAGCUCGGCUUGUCGCUAAGGGUUAUCGACAAGUUCAAGGGGUUGACUACGAUGAGACUUUCUCACCGGUAGCGAAGCUGAAGUCCGUCCGAAUCAUGUUAGCAUUUGCCGCAUUCUACGAUUAUGAGAUAUGGCAAAUGGAUGUCAAAACGGCAUUAAUUAAUGGUUUCCUUAAGGAAGAAUUGUAUAUGAUGCAGCCGGAAGGUUUUGUCGAUCCUAAGAAUGCUGACAAGGUGUGCAAGCUCCAACGCUCGAUUUAUGGGCUGGUGCAAGCAUCUCGGAGUUGGAACAUUCGCUUUGAUGAGAUGAUCAAAGUGUUUGGGUUUACUCAGACUUAUGGAGAGGCCUGCGUUUACAAGAAAGUGAGUGGGAGCUCUGUAGCAUUUCUCAUAUUAUAUGUAGAUGACAUACUUUUGAUGGGAAAUGAUAUAGAACUCUUGGACAGCAUCAAGGCCUACUUGAAUAAGAGUUUUUCAAUGAAGGACCUUGGAGAAGCUGCUUAUAUAUUAGGCAUCCAGAUCUAUAGAGAUAGAUCAAGAUGCCUCAUAGGUCUUUCACAAAGCACAUACCUUGAUAAGAUAUUGAAGAAGUUCAAUAUGGAUCAAUCUAAGAAGGGGUUCUUGCCUGUGUUACAAGGUAUGAAAUUGAGCUCAGCUCAAUGUCCGACCAUGGCAGAAGAUAUAGAAGAGAUGAGUGUCAUCCCCUAUGCCUCAGCCAUAGGUUCUAUUAUGUAUGCCAUGCUGUAUACCAGACCUGAUGUAAACCUUGCCGUAAGUUUGGUAGGAAGGUACCAAAGUAAUCCCGGCAAGGAACACUGGACAGCGGUCAAGAAUAUCCUGAAGUACCUAAAAAGGACUAAGGAAAUGUUUCUCGUUUAUGGAGGUGACGAAGAGCUCGUCGUAAAGGGUUACGUCAACGCUAGCUUCGACACAGAUCUGGAUGACUCUAAGUCACAAACCGGAUACGUGUAUAUUUUGAAUGGUGGGGCAGUAAGCUGGUGCAGUUGCAAGCAGAGCGUCGUGGCGGGAUCUACAUGUGAAGCGGAGUACAUGGCAGCCUCGGAGGCAGCACAUGAAGCAAUUUGGGUGAAGGAGUUCAUCACCGACCUAGGAGUCAUACCCAAUGCGUCGGGGCUGAUCAAGCUCUUCUUUGACAACACUGGAGCUAUUGCACUUGCCAAGGAGCCCAGGUUUCACAAGAAGACAAGGCACAUCAAGCGUCGCUUCAACUCCAUUCGUGAAAAUGUUCAAGAUGGAGACAUAGAUAUUUGUGAAGUACAUACGGACCUGAAUGUAGCAGAUCCGUUGACUAAACCUCUCCCUAGAGCAAAACAUGAUCAACACCAGAAUUCCAUGGGUGUUCGAUUCAUCACAAUGUAACUAGAUUAUUGACUCUAGUGCAAGUGGGAGACUGUUGGAAAUAUGCCCUAGAGGCAAUAAUAAAAGCAUUGUUAUUAUAUUUCCUUGUUCAUGAUAAUUGUCUUUAUUCAUGCUAUAAUUGUGUUAUCCGGAAAUCGUAAUACAUGUGUGAAUAACAGACACCAACAUGUCCCUAGUAAGCCUCUAGUUAACUAGUUCGUUGAUCAACAGAUAGUCAUGGUUUCUUGACUAUGGACAUUGGAUGUCAUUGAUAACGAGAUCACAUCAUUAGGAGAAUGAUGUGAUGGACAAGACCCAAUCAUAAACAUAGCAUAAAGAUCGUGUAGUUCGUUUGCUAGAGUUUUUCCAAUGUCAAGUAUCCUUUCCUUAGACCAUGAGAUCGUGUAACUCCCGGAUACCGUAAGAGUGCUUUGGGUGUACCAAACGUCACAACGUAACUGGGUGACUAUAAAGGUAUACUACGGGUAUCUCCGAAAGUGUCUGUUGGGUUGACACGGAUCUAGACUGGGAUUUGUCACUCCGUAUGACGGAGAGGUAUCACUGGGCCCACUCGGUAAUGCAUCAUCAUAAUGAGCUCAAAGUGACCAAGUGUCUGGUCACGGGAUCAUGCAUUACGGUACGAGUAAAGUGACUUGCCGGUAACGAGAUUGAAUGAGGUAUUGGGAUAACGACGAUCGAAUCUCGGGCAAGUAACAUAUCGAUUGGCAAAGGGAAUUGUAUACGGGGUUGCUUGAAUCCUCGACAUCGUGGUUCAUCCAAUGAGAUCAUCGUGGAGCAUGUGGGAGCCAACAUGGGUAUCCAGAUCCCGUUGUUGGUUAUUGACCGGAGAGUCGUCUCGGUUAUGUCUGCCUGUCUCCCGAACCCGUAGGGUCUACACACUUAAGGUUCAGUGACGCUAGGGUUGUAGGAAUAUGUAUAUGCAGUAACCCGAAUGUUGUUCGGAGUCCCGGAUGAGAUCCCGGACGUCACGAGGAGUUCCGGAAUGGUCCGGAGGUAAAGAAUUAUAUAUGGGAAGUGGUAUUUCGGCCAUCGGGACAAGUUUCGGGGUCACCGGUAUUGUACCGGGACCACCGGAAGGGUCCCGGGGGUCCACCGGGUGGGGCCACCUAUCCCGGAGGGCCCCUUGGGCUGAAGUGGGAAGGGACCCAGCCCAAAGUGGGCUGGGGCGCCUCUCCCCUAGGGCCCAUGCGGCUAGGGUUUGGGGGAAACCCUAAAAGGGGGCGCCCCCUUGCUUGGGGGGCAAGCCCCCCACCCCUUGGCCGCCGCCGCCCCCCCCCCCUAGGAGAAUAGAUCUCCUAGGGCCGGCGCCCCCCCCCUUGGCCCUCCUAUAUAUAGUGGGGGAGGGAGGGCUAUUCUCUCACGCCUUUGGUUGCCUCCCUCUCCCUCUCCAACACCUCCUCCUCCUCCAUAGUGCUUGGCGAAGCCCUGACGGAGUUCUGCAGCUCCACCAUCACCACGCCGUCGUGCUGCUGCUGGAGCCAUCUUCCUCAACCUCUUCUUCCCUCUUGCUGGAUCAAGAAGAAGGAGACGUUACGCUAACCGUACGUGUGUUGAACGCGGAGGUGCCGUCCGUUCGGCGCUAGGAUCUCCGGUGAUUUGAAUCACGUCGUGUACGACUACUUCAUCCACGUUCUUUGAACACUUCCGCUCGCGAUCUACAAAGGUAUGUAGAUGCAUCCGAUGACUCGUUGCUAGAUGAACUCAUAGAUAGAUCUUGGGGAAACUGUAGGAAAAUUUUCUGCAACGUUCCCCAACAAGUUUCACAAUCUCAUGGUCUAAGGAAAUGAUACUUGACAUUCGGAAAAGCUACAGCAGAUGAACUACACGACCUUUGAGCUAUGCUUAGGAUUGGGUCUUGUCCAUCACAUCAUUCUCCUAAUGAUGUGAUACCGUUAUGAAUGACAUCCAAUGUCCAUAGUCAGGAAACCAUGACUAUCUUUUGAUCAACAAGCUAGUCAACUAGAGGCUCACUAGGGACGUGUUGUGGUCUAUGUAUUCACACAUGUAUUACGAUUUCCGGAUAACACAAUUAUAGCAUGAACAAUAGACAAUUAUCAUGAACAAAGAAAUAUAAUAAUAACCAUUUUAUUAUUGCCUCUAGGGCAUAUUUCCAACACCUACGUACCCCCAAACGAUCAUAUACGGAGCCAAAACCCUAAUUCCACCGCCGCAACUUUCUGUAUCCACGAGAUCCCAUCUUGGGGCCUGUUCCGGAGCUCCGCCAGAGGGGGCAUCGAUCACGGAGGGCUUCUACAUCAACACCAUAGCCUCUCCGAUGAAGUGUGAGUAGUUCACCUCAGACCUACGGUUCCAUAGUUAUUAGCUAGAUGGCUUCUUCUCUCUUUUUGGAUCUCAAUACAAUGUUCUCCCCCUCUCUUGUGGAGAACUAUUCGAUGUAAUCUUCUUUUUGCGGUGUGUUUGUUGAGACCGAUGAAUUGUGGGUUUAUGAUCAAGUCUAUCUAUGAAUAAUAUUUGAAUCUUCUCUGAAUUCUUUUAUGUAUGAUAGGUUAUCUUUGAAAGUCUUUUCGAAUUAUCAGUUUGGUUUGGCCUACUAGAUUGAUCUUUCUUGCAAUGGGAGAAGUGCUUAGCUUUGGGUUCAAUCUUGCGGUGUCCUUUCCCAGUGACAGUAGGGGCAGCAUGGCACGUAUUAUAUUGUUGCCAUCGAGGACAACAAGAUGGAGUUUUCAUCAUAUUGCAUGAGUCUAUCCCUCUACAUCAUGUCAUCUUGCUUAAGGCCUUAAUCUGUUUUUAACUUAAUACUCUAGAUGCUUGCUGGAUAGCGGUCGAUUAGUGGAGUAAUAGUAGUAGAUGCAGGCAGGAGUCGGUCUACUUGUCUCGGACAUGAUGCCUAUAUAUAUGAUCAUACCUAGAUAUUCUCAAAACUAUGCUCAAUUCUGUCAAUUGCUCAACAAUAAUUUGUUCACCCACCGUAGAAUACUUAUGCUCUCGAGAGAAGCCACUAGUGAAACCUAUGGCCCCCGGGUCUAUCUUUAUCAUAUUAAUCUCCUACUACUUAGUUAUUUCCUUUGCUUUUUACUUUGCCUUUAUUUUACUUCGCAUCUUUAUCACAAAAAUACGAAAAAAAUUAUCUUUAUCAUAUCUAUCAAAUCUCACCCUCGUAAGUGGCCGUUUAGGGAUUGACAACCCCUAUUCGCGUCGGUUGUGAGGAUUUAUUUGUUUUGUGCAGGUACAAGGGACUCGCGCGUAGCCUCCUACUGGAUUGAUACCUUGGUUCUCAAAACCUAUUUGAUUGCCGUAGCACGAUCGCGCUUCCUCGGGCGCUAUUGUCUCAAAAAUACCGUCGUCCAUCUCCGUGACCUCCAGUCUACUACUCAUGAGCUGGUUUGGGCGCCGUGGCCUCUUUGCUUUCGGUUCUAGACCAGCUCCGCUAGUCUCGGCGCCUGUCUCAGUCUCAUCGCCGAUCUGCAUGUCGGUAUCAGUCCCCGAUGCGACAUCACAGUUGCUGCAACAUGGGAAAGGGAGACCACGUCAGUGCUGGGGGGUCUGAAAAUCGGAACACACUUUCGCGCGUUGCGGGCCGCCUCUCAGACAGCUACUGGGGAGGCGGCGGAGUACCUGGGUGCGCGGCGAAUCCCCGGGAACUCGGUGACCAACUUCCUUCCCGUGUGGCGCAUGGAGACGACGGCGACCCCGGCGAAGAGCAGCUUAGCCGCGAGCUGCACAGCCUCGUCCACCUCCUAAGUUGGGACCUCCGUGCGAGCGUUGCGGGGCCGCCACUCGGAUGGCUUCUGGAAGGCGGUUGUACAUGGGCACAUGGUGAAUCCCGGCGAGAGCUUGCCAUUGGCGCGCUCAAGUAGACGACGACGUCCUCGACGAAGAGCAGCCCGGCCAGCUCGCCUCACUAUCGUUUGAUUAGAAAUGAAAGAUUGGGAAGAAGCAGACUUGAGCCUGCAGGGAAAGGAUAAGGUGACGAUGCAGUCUCCACUCGUUCGGGGCGACACUCGUACUGAAUGUAUGAGAAAUCUGACGUGGCAGAGACCCCAAGAUACUCCCUCCAUUUAUUUUUAGUCUGCAUAUAAAGUUUGGUCAAAGUCAAGAUUUGUAAAUUUUAACUAACUUUAUAAUAAAAAAAUAUCAACAUUCACAAUAUGAAAUCAAUAUUACCAGAUGCGUCAUGAAAUGUAUUUCCAUACUAUAUAGUUUUGGUAUUGUAGAUGUUCAUAUUUUUUUAUAUAUAUGGGAAGUAGAGGCACUCUUCUAUACUAUAUUCAGAUGUAUGAUAUCUGUUAUUUAAGCGCUUGAAUUUUACAUACGAAUAUUUAUUAUUAAAUAUGUACCCCUACAAUAGCUAGGCCGUGCAGUUGCACGGGUAGAUGACUAGUGAUUACAAUCUUGUUUGUGUGCAAGUCAAGCUUAUCUAGUUUACACGUAACAACUUGUAGAACAUUACAAAAUUUAUGCUUGCUAAUAACUUUUAGAACACUACAACACUUGACAUGUAAAAGGAAUUUGACUGAGUCAUGGCCUACUAAAGCAAGUUACAUUACUAGUCUUAUCUAUCUUAACAGACCACACAAGAUUACAAACUAAGUACCGUGACAGCCAUGCUUAUCUAGUUUAUGCGUAACAAUUUGCAGAAAAUUACAAACUUAGUUUCAGAAAGAUAGGCAAUCUAGAUUAGUGUUUGAGCUGUAAAGUGAAUAAGAUGAGUCAUGCAUGUUAUCACACCUUUUUGGUGGUCGAAUGAUAGUGCAACAACAAGGAACUUUAAUGACCAGUCCAAGAAUACACUUGUAAGUAGUGCCACCAAACAGAACAUACCAAAUGAUCAUUCCAUGGCAGCUAUAAAUAGCCCCAUAGCAUGACGAUCAUCCUUCCUCAUCCAUCAUUCUCAUAAGUAGAGCACAUCAUUUAAGCCAAGCAAGUUGUGGUCAAUACAAAUCCACCAUGAAGACCUUUCUCAUCCUUGCCCUCCUUGCUAUCGUGGCGACCACCGCCACAACCGCAGUUAGAGUUCCAGUGCCACAAUUGCAGCCACAAAAUCCAUCUCAGCAACAGCCACAAGAGCAAGUUCCAUUGGUACAACAACAACAAUUUCUAGGGCAGCAACAAACAUUUCCACCACAACAACCAUAUCCACAGCUGCAACCAUUUCCAUCACAACAACCAUAUCUACAGCUGCAACCAUUUCCGCAGCCGCAACUACCAUAUUCGCAGCCACAACCAUUUCGACCACAACAACCAUAUCCACAACCGCAACCACAGUAUUCGCAACCACAACAACCAAUUUCACAGCAUCAACAGCAGCAGCAGCAACAACAACAACAACAACAACAACAACAAAUCCUUCAACAAAUUUUGCAACAACAACUGAUUCCAUGCAUGGAUGUUGUAUUGCAGCAACACAACAUAGCGCAAGGAAGAUCACAAGUUUUGCAACAAAGUACUUACCAGCUGUUGCAAGAAUUGUGUUGUCAGCACCUAUGGCAGAUCCCUGAGCAGUCGCAGUGCCAGGCCAUCCACAAUGUUGUUCAUGCUAUUAUUCUGCAUCAACAACAACAAAAACAACAACAACAACAACAACAACAACCAUCGAGCCAGGUCUCCUUCCAACAGCCUCAGCAACAAUAUCCAUUAGGCUAGGGCUCCUUCCGGCCAUCUCAGCAAAACCCACAGGCCCAGGGCUCUGUCCAGCCUCAACAACUGCCCCAGUUCGAGGAAAUAAGGAACCUAGCGCUACAGACACUACCUGCAAUUUGCAAUGUCUACAUCCCUCCAUAUUGCACCAUCGCGCCAUUUGGCAUCUUCGGUACUAACUGAGAAGAAAAUAACUCUAGUACUAGAUAUAUGAAACACCGUUUUCUCAGUCCAUGGUUUGGUCGUUGUAGCGGUGAAAAAAUAAUGUGGCAUGCACUAUCAUGUAAGAACCCAAACUAUACUAGUUCAAACUUGGGAAUAAAAGACAAACACAGGUCUUGUCUACAUAUUUAUGUUGCAUCUAUUUAUAUAUUAAAAGUAAUAUAAGGUGAACCAGGAGCAAGGUAAAUAUGCUAGAAAAUUGCACGUUAAUUAGAAAUUACUAGCCCUCAAUCUGGUAAAUCUUAACAAAUAGAAUUAUCUUGACCGUUAGAUUUAUGUAACAUAUAUAAUGCUCUGGGCCUCCAACGACUGUACGUGACACAUCUGAACGCACAUAUCUUAAAGAAAAUAUAUUUGGUAAAUGGUGGGCCUCUUUAAAAAGAGAACUCACGUACAUGCACCAACUAAGAAAAACACAUACAUGUAAACGGGAAAAGGAUGAGAUUUUCUCACGUACGUGCUCCCUGGCUCCACCCCGUUGAAAAAAUAUACAUCUGGAGGCCACUUUGUUUCCUCAUCAAAAAAAAACUUACGUUAAAAAGAUUGCAUGCAUCCCAGGGAAAAUAGUCAAGAAGAAGUCGGCUCUUCCUUACAAAAACAAGGAACGUGUUAAGUUGACUUCAAAGAAAAAAGGAACAUGUUAAGUUAAAAAAAACAAGAAACCUGUUAAGUUAGAAAAAAACAAGGAACGUGUUGUCCUAGGAAAGAUAUGUGUCAAAUCUUACAAAAAAAAAGAAUACACACACGUACGUUCAUGCACUUGGAAAAUAGAAAAAAAAGGAACAUCACGUAUGUAUACACUUCGGAAACUCAUUACAUGACCAUGUCUGAUAUACUCCUCUAAUGCUUAAUAUUAGUGCCUAAUAAUUUAUAUUUAAAAUUUAAUUUACUGAUCAAAUAUCCCCACUGUAUAAAUUUUAAUUUGGCACAUUGUUUGGCUAUAGUAUGAACCUAAAUUUCCUCUUAUUAUUAUAUAUCAUGGUAAUAAUCCAAAGGCGACUAAUCUGCGCCGGCGCACCGGCGCAAUCAAUUCGGCCCGACACAGCGCGGCCGUUUGAUUAGAUUGCAUUUAACCGUCAGAUCUGGAAUCAUUUUAUUUCCAAUUAAACGGAUUCAACCAAACAGCAGAGAGGAAAACAAAGCAGCGCCGCCGCCAACACUAGCCAUGGACGACCGAUGUAGCAAAACCUUGAAGAACCGCCGCCGGUCGCCACCCUUGCCGCUGGUCGCCGCCCUCGCCGCCUGUGUUUCUCAUCGGCUUCAUGCAUGCAACAACAUGCACUCGUGAUUGCAGGCUUGCAGCUCCGGCUCUGGGGGACAUGGCCGCAUCUCCAGUAGCGCCGGCCGCCGGCCGCAGCACCUGUCGUUGUGGUCACGCUGUACCUCGCCGUGUGCCCUCCCAAGGAUCUUGCUGGUUCCAACAAAAAACGAUACCUGUUGUAGCAAAAAAGUUUAUCGCUUCCAGCAAAAAAGCUUACCGCUACAGCCCGCCAUCAUCAUUGUAGCAAAAAUGUUAACUCGAUGUAGCUUCUGUGGUUGCCGACUGCAGCCAAAAAUGACGUGGUUGUAGCAAAACACAAAAGAAAAACUCCGGCCGUCCGCUGUGUAUGGUGGUAACAAACCCUAUAGCCGGUGGUAGCGAAAAACUUCAUUGUUUGCAGCAAAAAAAUGUUGUCGCCCAUCGUCGAGGUUGCAUCAUCUUCAUGAAUUAUGUCGCAAAAAAACGUUGUCGCCGGUAGUAGCAAAUGAAGCCGCCGGUAGAAACAAAACAAGACACUGGUUCCAGCCAAAAAAAAAUCAGCGACAGAACCUUUUGUUGGUUCCAACAAAAAAACUUGUCGGUUGUAGCAUCCCUCGCCGCCGGAUGUAGCAUCUCCCAGGGCUGGUUGCAACACUCCAUAAAAAAAGGUUGUCUACGAGCGCAUCCAUGGCAACUGCUGCACCGUCAGCAACGAGGGGAAGAGGAGGCAAUGAAAAUCGUUCGAGUCGUAGCUCCACAGGACGCGGGUGCAGCAUAGGGAGUCCAAAAAUCUGUCACAAGCAAGAUGCGCCUUGCCAUCCUCCUGCGCAGGAGAGAGAAGAAAAAGGAAUAAGAGGAAGAAGAAAGGAAACGGGAGAAAGAAAAAAAGAAACGAUUGGUUGUGGGCUCAGGCAAUUAGUCAAACGAGGGGCACGCGGGGCCGCAGGAUACAGCGCAAUCGAACGAAGUGCGCGCGUCUGGCCGAAGACUCAGCUGGACUGCCGGCUGGAAAUGUUUCCCUAAUACAAAGGCUUUUCUGAAUGACAAGUCGUCUGAGUUAUCGGCUAACUAGAAAAAAGAUAAAUAUGCUAGAUAAUUCCAUAAUCAUUAGAAAUAUCUAGCCUUUAAUUAUGUAAAUCAGAAAAUCACAACCGUUGGAUUUACUUUAAAGGUAAAUUUCUCUAAAUUCCCACCAUUGCCAGUAUGUAGAAACAUGUGCUGCUUCAAUUCUCCCUUAAUCACCAAUCAAUCAACAACAGAAAACAUACCGCAGUUCAAAAAACUGAACAAAAAAAAGAAAAAAAGAAGAAAGGACAAGAUACACGCAUGUACACGACAGCCUUGGCUUGAAACACAUCAGUAAAUCAAGUGUCCACCUCCCUUACACAGAAUAAAUUCUAGGGAAGAAAAUAAUAGUGCAACCUAACCUUAUACGUACUAUUCUAUCCUCACGUCCCAUGAGGUUUACUAGCCUACUGCCGCCGCAUCAUGCCAUCCUCUCCUUUCAGCUCCCAUGCUCUCCAGCACCCUCCUUGCGGCGCCACUACUCGCCUAGGGAUAUUGCUGCUCAGACCGUGGAGCUUAACCUGCUUCUUCUUCAGCAAAUAUGGAACUGCUUUAGGAUCCUUCUGACAUCAGCGCGUAUGGGCCUCAUUAUACUGCAGCUCCUGGACCUCCUACAAUUGGUUGGCUAUGGCCAGUUGAUCGAUUUGCUGAUGUCCAGGUCUGUUUGCUGGCACAUAUGCUUUGGAAAUAGGCCACUAUGUUUGUACUUCAAAAUUGUUUCUGUAUUCUUUAGUGGUACAUCCUUUUAAGCGCCAGUUUUUUAUGUUAAUUCAUGCUGACAACACUUAACCUAGCCUUUCAUGUUCACGUACUAAAUACAGGAGCAAGUAAAAACAACAGACCACCUAAUUGCUCUGCAAGUUCUACAUAGGAAAAUUUGUCAUGUUCUACGAUCGCACUAUCCCACCCUUCUCUCUUGGUAUGGGCGCCAAUUGAGGGAUUGAUAAAAUUGAAACGAAGCCGUCACAGGGCUGGAAGUACCGCUAGCCUGGUUCGCACUGCAACCUACCCAACGCCAUCAGAAACUAGCAACUGAGUCAGGUGUUGAUCGAUUCUCUCAAAUUGCUCUCAUGUAAGUACUACCCCUUGCAUGUGCGUACAUACCUUUGUUGCAUUCUCAAACAGAUAGAACAUGUAUGAUCGGUGCAUGGCUAUUUUUCAUCACAUGACAUCCAGAUAACAAGCAUGAAAGGACUACAUUGGAGAUCAAAAAAUAUUGGUUCCUGGCUAGAGUACCACUACCUAUGGACUUGUCUCCAUAGAAUUUGUUCCCAAGAUGUUAUUUUAAUUAACCUCUUUAGCUUUCUUCCAUUGCAAACGGUGAUGUGCAUCUUGGUAUAUACGUGACCAUCUUGCACAUGUAUACACAAGAGGCUCAGACGGAGGUGUUGGAUUCUGGACGAGGGAAUAUAAAGCAGGAGUGAGCGAAGUGUAAAUAAUGGUGGGAGUACCGAUUGGUGUUAUGAAGAAAAAUGCCAUCAAAAGAUUGAUUAGUGUCAUGGAAGAUUAAUUUCUGAAUGCGAAUAUAUAUGUUACAUUGGUUUGGAUCUUUUUGAGAUAAUUGCACCUAAAUUAGGUUCUUUCUUAUUUCAUAUGUAUACCUUAUUUCAGUAAAAGUUCACAACGAACUUAGUAGGACAAAUAUAAUUUUGUUUGUUCUUUCUGUUGUCCGCCACCAAAGCUCAAUUUGAACUCUCUAGAAAUGGACAAUGAUUUAUGCAUUCUAUAUCUUCUUGAUUGAUUAGCCAUGACAAGGAAAUAAAAGGAUUGACUGAUAUAGCAUAACUUUGGAACGAUUAGAGGUUACUACAAAUAAGAGUAGUGUCUGUUGGAAUUUUGCUAGUAGGCCUUUGGCCCAAAGCCCAACUAAAAUUCUGAAAUUCUCUUGGCUCAUUUAUACACACAUGUGAGUUGAGUGAGUGAGACUAAAGUUUAGUCCCACCCCGGAAGUUGAGAGAGAGUUGCACCUCUUUAUAAGGUGAGCUCUUCUACCACUUGUAUGAGCAUGAGAAGAGGAGACCUACACGCGCGCUCCUCCUCCACGCUCGCCACGCCUCGUCGCGCCGCGCCGUGCCGCGGGUUGCGGGAUUGAGCCGAGCCGAGGACGUUUUCUAUAUUUUUGCUGCUCGGGAAAAAUUAAUGAGUCAUUAAUUAAUAAUUAAUGGACACAUUAAUUACUGAACCGUUUCCGAUUUUUUUGGAUCGUGACGACUCGGACGUGGGGUUUACUCCCAGGACCUACCCGGCCCGCACUAUAUAGUCAGGAAGAUGUCUACCCUAGCCGCCGCCGCUUCGUAUGGUUUCUCACCAUCGUUACAGAUCAUUGCGCCGCCAAGCAAGUUUUCUCCAUCCCUCCUUUCGGCGUGCACCGGGAGAAGGGACAGCAGACCUCCGGAACCCCGCCUCUCGUGAUCCUAUACGGGAGAGGGGCGAUCAGGUUUUUGGGGAGCGCACUCGCAUGACUGCUUGCAGCGACGACUUCGCAAACGACGACUUCUUCCCCGACCUCGGCAACCUCAUCCUCGACGACAUGGGCGACAACGUCAACGCCGGCGAUGCUACACCCACUGCACCGUAUGUUAUUCUCUCCUUCUUGUUCGAGAUCGUGGUAGAAUUCAUGUUUCUAGUAUAUGUGCCCUAGAUGUGAUCUGUUCAUCUACUAUGGUAGUUCGCAUGAUUAGUUUAAUCUCUGCUAUUGCUGUCAUGAUCUAUUUCCUAUUUAUUCGGAUUAAAUCUCUUUGUAAUUUGCUCAUUUUUCCAACAAUCCAAAAACCUGAUUAUAGGAAAUUUACUCCGAGUGGUUUUGCUGCGCAUCUGAAAGCCGCUUGCCUUUAAGGGGGCGCAAUAUAAGAGGUGGCGCACCAGAGCAGUCUACUGGUUUCAGAUCAUGGGCUGCUAUGACGCCACCAAGGGCAAGCCUGAGGGCGAUCUUAAUCCAGCACAGCUGGAAGCUUUCAAGAAGAUCAAUACCCUCUUUAAAGGCACGCUUCUGAGUGUUCUUGAUGACUCCAUUGUAGAUUCGUAUAUGUCGUUUGACAACGGCAAGAACAUGUGGGCUACGCUCGAGGCCAAGUUUGGUGCCUCGGACGCCGGCAGCGAGUUGUACGUCAUGGAGCAAUUAUAUGACUCCAAGAUGACUGAUGGGCGCCCUGUUGUACAUGGGCGACUUCUUCCCCGACCUCGGCAACCUCAUCCUCGACGACAUGGGUGACAACGUCAAUGCCAGCGGUGCUACACCCACUGCACCGUAUGUUAUUCUAUCCUUCUUGUUCGAGAUCGUGGUAGAAUUCAGAUUUCUAGCAUGUUCCCUAGAUGUGAUCUGUUCAUCUACUAUGCUAAUUCGCAUGAUUAGUUUAAUCUCUGCUAUUGCUGUCAUGAUCUAUUUCCUAUUUAUUCGGAUUAAAUCUCGUAGUAAUUUGCUCAUUUUUCCAACAGUGCCAUCCAAUAGAUGAUGUAAAUCUCCUCAAGUUUGACGUUGUUGAGCUAAUUUACAAAAAAAACCUCAUCAUUAUUGGAUGUCCUUAACAGCUCAAGAACAAGUUGGGGUCGAAAUAAUGGAUUUUACACUUUUACAUUAAAGGUUUAGCUAAAGCAAGCAGGUGUUUUUAAAACUGAAUUUUUUCCUCCUGAAUUUCUUUGUAUUUUCUUAUUGACACUAUUUAUACAAUCAUCUGACAAAGAUUAGCUAAAGCUGUUUGUAGAUACGUUGAAACCUGAAAAGCUUCUUUGGUUAUCCUUUUAAUAGUUCUACGUUUAUUUUCUCAUAGGUCAUAAUUCUUAUGUAAUACCAAGAUGCAUUGUGGUAGUGUACAUGUGUUAAAUUCAGGUUGUUAUUCACAAUUUGCGACAAAAUUUAGCUCACGCUACAUUUAAAUAUGUUGAAAUGUGAAAGCUCUUUUUCUUCUCCUUUCUACACCUUGCAUCGGAUUGCAUCCCUUUAGUUAUCCAACAUUUUGUUCAACAUGUAGAGAUUAGGAAGUUCAUCAUAGUUUGUCUAUUUCCGUGCUAAUAAAUGUAUGAAAUCUGCAUUUCCAAGCUACUAGGACAAGUAAAAAAUAAUAAUUUUACUAGAGGAUUCAAAAACAGCAGUUCUGAAGUGCACUUUAUUUAUUUGUGAAAGUGAUCACAUUUUGUUUCAUUUUUCUAUAGACAAAUCUACUAAUACAUACUCACGAUAAAACUAUAAAAGUUCUAGUCCGCACAUUGGGCGGGCCACCCGGCUAGUUAGUCUAAAGAUAACAAAAUGAGUCUGGAAUUUGAAUUAAAUUGAAGUAUUUUCUUGGACUAUCCACAUCCUUGGCUUGCCCCUGAUCAAUUAUUUCCAGAGAAGCAUUCAAUUCAUCAAUCAAUUACAUUGAUUUUAGUGGCUAGUACAUCACCUCAACAUCAGUAUAUUCACCGUGGCCACUCCAAAUCGGCAAGAAUGAGGUACCAGUGCUCUGGAGAAGUGCAAGCUAAUUGCUUCUCAUGUGAAGGGGUGCGGGCGCGGGAGAGGUAUUUCUGGUGGGCCAAGGGACUAAGAAGCGACCGUGGCAGCGGUACAGAUGCCCGCAAAGCCUCAUAAUUUGUUUUUGGUUUACAGGAAAAAUGCACAUCCAUACUGGCCCGGGGAAUAUAGCACUGUAUUGGAUGGAAAACAAUGUCCGGAUGGUUGUGUGCGGUUUGAGGGUUAGCUUUUGUAACGCCCGGUUAGUUAUGCUAUAGCAAUUCCCUGCUAAUGAUGUCACGUCACCACGAUUACUGUUGUUAACCUCACAAUGAUUCAAUCUCGUUCAAAUUCAAAUUUAAAAUAAAGGCAAACAUCAAAAGUUUUCAAACAUUAAAACUAAAAUCUUUGAGAGGUGACAAAUAAUGCAUAAGUAAUUAUGGUGAAGAAACCACACUUUAAUCAAAUGUUUAAAUACUCUAAAAUGAAAAAAAAACAGUGACUUAAACUAUUAUUUAAAUGCUUUUAAAAUAGUAAAAAUCUUCUAACUAAAUUAUUUGGGUACCAAAACUUUUGGUGGCAGUGGUAUAUUUAGUAGAACUAAUUUAGAUGCUAAUUAUAUAAUUUACAAAAUUAGAGUAAAUUGAAAAAUAGGAUAAAACGAAAAAAGGAAAAACAAAACAAAUAAAAGCAAAAGGGGGCAACCCCUCGCUGGGCCUCGGCCUAGCUGGCCACUAGGCUAGCUAGGCUCGCCCCGCCGCCUCCCUUAACCCCCCACUCCCCGUCGAACCCAAGCCCGAUCGCCCCACUUCCCCCACACCCCCUCGCCGGUCUCCCCACCUCUUGAUCCCAUCUGGAUCGGGGAGGGUAUUGCCCCCAUCGAACCCGUUGCUGUCGCCGGAUCGCCCGCCGACGUCGCCAGGCCUCCUCCCCGUCGCCCGUCUCCGGCUCACCUCCCCUCUCGCUCCUCUUCCCUGACCCGAUCUGGAUCGUGAACGAGCAAUGAGCUCGAAGCCCCCCUUCACCGGCGCCAUCACCGUGCGCCACCACCACCGCCUGAAGACCUCACCGUCGCCGAACCUUGCGUCGCUGUAACACCCUCGAUGCGACUAUAUCUCCCACGUGUCGAGGCACGACUUAGAGGCAUAAUCGCAUUGAAGGCAUAUGUCGCAAGUGAGGUAGUCUUCACACAACCCAUGUAAUAUAAUAAGGGAAAGAGAUACAUAGUUGGCUUACACUCGCCACUUCACACAAUUACAUGAAUAAAACAUUACAUCAACCAAGUACACUCAUGGUCCGACCACGGAACCAAAAUAAAGAAGAACCCCAAAAGCGACAAAGGUCCCCGAUCGACCCCAACUGGGCUCCACUACUGAUCAAUUAGAACGAAACAGCUCAACGGACAAAGUCUUCAUCGAGCUCCUCCUGAGCUUGGUUGCGUCCUGCUCGGACUCAUCGGCACCUCCAAGCUGGUUUUGGAAGUAUCUGUGAGCCACGGGGACUCAGCAAUCUCGCACCCUCGCGAUCAAGACUAUUUAAGCUUAUGGGUAAGGUAAAGGUAUGAGGUGGAGCUGCAGCAAGCGACUAGCAUAUAUGGUGGCUAACCUAUUCGCAAAUGAGAGCGAGAAGAGAAGGCAAAGCACGGUCGAUAAAAGUAUGAUCAAGAAGUGAUCCUAGACUACCUACGUCAAGCAUAACUCCAACAACCGUGUUCACUUCCCGGACUCCGCCGGAAAAAGACCAUCACGGUUACACAUGCUGUUGAUUCAUUUUAAUUAAGGUCAAUUUUAGAUUUUCUACAACCGGACGUUAACAAAUUCCCAUCUGCCCAUAACCGCGGGCACGGCUUUCGAAAGUUCAAAUCCCUGCAGGGUGUCCCAACUUAGCCCAUGACAAGCUCUCACGGUCAACGAAGGAAUAGACCUCCACCCGAGAUAUUCCGAUCAGACUCGGUAUCCCAGUACAACAAGACAUUUCGACAGGGUAAAACUAAACCAGCAACACCGCCCGAUGCGCCGACAUCCUGAUGGGAGCUGCACAUAUCUCGUUCUCAGGGCAACACUGGAUUGUCUAAACUUCCGGUAGGCCAGCCCAGAGUUGCCCCUGGUGGCCACCGGCGGCUGACGGUUUGGACCAACACUUAGACAAGCACUGGCCCGGGGGGGUUAAAAAACGAUGACCCUCAGGAGCGCGACUCCCAAGGGAAAAGAAAAGGCUAGGUGGCAAAUGGUAAAGCCAAUGUUGGGCAUUGCUGGCAAAGCUUUACUUAAGGCGAACUGUCAAGGGGUUCCCAUUAUAGCCCAACCGCGUAAGGGACGCAAAGUCCAGGAACAUAACACUGAUAUGACGGAAACUAGGGCGGCAAGAGUGGAACAAAACACCAGGCAUAAGGCCGAGCCUUCCACCCUUUACCAAGUAUAUAGAUGCAUUAAUUAAAUAAGAUAUAUAGUGAUAUCCCAACAAGUAAACAAAUGUUCCAACAAGGAACGGCCUCCAAUCUUCACCUGCAACUAACAACGCUAUAAAAGGGGCUGAGCAAAGCGGUAACAUAGCAAUUCAACGGUUUGCUAGGACAAUGGUGGGUUAGGGGCUGAACAUGGCAAUUUGGGAGGCUGACAAGCAAGUGGUAGGCAUUGUAGCAAUGGCAUAGCAAAAGAGUGAGCAUACUAGCAUAGCAAAGAUAGUAGUGACUUCGAGGGUAUGAUCAUCUUGCCUGAAAUCCCGCAAGGAAGAAGAACGAGUCCAUGAAGAAGACAAACGGGCGUAGUCGAACGGGUCCUCACAAUCACGACGUUAUCGGAACCAACCCGAAGAAGCAAUCACCGGAAAAGAAGCACACACAACAUAGUAAACACCCAACACAUCAACAUGGCAAGAUGCACAAUCGAGUAUGAUGCAUGUCCGGUUUAAAGAGGCAUGGCAUGGCAAAGUGCACAAACAACCCUACAAAUUAAGUGGAGCUCAAUAUGCAACGGUUGCAUAUUGACGAAACACCACGUCAAUUAUUUAGUUCGAUCUCGUUUAUGUACCCAACAAUAUUAAAUGUUGUUAAAACAUGGCAAGAGGGGAAACAUGAUGAAACUAUCUAAUCUAGGCAAGUUUAAAUGAGGCCGGAAGCAACGAACAACAAUUCCGGAAAAUCCUCAUGUGUAAAUAUUAGGUUAGGUCCUGAUCUGUCCUAAACACAAUUUAAGCGUUGUUUAACAUGCAAGAUGAGGCCACCACGUUAAACUAGGCAAAAUUCUACCCGAUUUACAUAUAAAGAUUAUUAAAAUCGGAGUUACGGUUAAUUAGAUAUGAAUAAAAUCAUUUUAGCAUGGCAUGGGAGCAAACUUAAACAAACAUCAUUUUAGACAUUUUUUAAUUGUUGUUAUCAUGAUGCGGAUGACAUGAACAAGUUUAACGCAAUUUUAAUUAAGACUUGACAAGAGCAUUAUCAUGAAGCAUUGUCACCGUGGUGGAAGGAAAAAGGGGGUGCCACGGCAACGAAUCCGAAAAUGAUGCCAUGGCAACAUAUCGGUUCCGGUAACUCGAUUGAGAUCCCGGUGCAAACGAAAAAAACGACGGGAGCGUGACACGCGAUAGGAGGUGGGGUGAUCCCGGAUAUCGGGUUCCCACAAUAUGGUGACAAAGCAAAAGAGGGGCGACGUGCACCGAACAACUCCGACACGGAGCAAACACGAGCAUUUCAUACAUCACACAUGCAUUCGUUCACGGGCAUCGUUCCGGCGGUUAUACCUUUGAAGCGAGCAUCAUCGAAACGGAUCGAGUUCGACGGUAGGGGUACACGUGUCGACGAGGAAGUAGUUGUACACGGGGUCGUCGUGGGAAGUAGUCAUUCUCGCGAUGGUAGUGGAAGUAGGGGUACAUGACGACGUAGAGGUGCUCGCGACGGUAGUCGUUCACGUUUGCGUUUCACGGGUCUUCGGCGACGGUUGUCGUACAUGGUCCACAAGACGUCGAUCGUUCGGGGUCCGAUUUGCGGAUCUUGCCGACAUGAAGGGGUACUUGGCGUUCUCCGGACUUGCUGGUCUCGUCGAAACGAAGGGGUACUUGGUACAAUCCUCGUAGUCGUGCACUUGUCGUCAAGGGACUAGAUGGAUCCGAGGCUUCCGGAGGCGACGGUAGUGGGACUUGGUGAAUCCGAGUUCUUCAGAGGUCGUCAUGGUACUUGGUGAAAUCCUCGGAGAUGGACUUGACGCACGAAAGGUCUUCGGUGCCACGGUACUUGUCUGAUCACACACGGAGAUGCAUCGAUGGAUCUCUGACUCGUCCUGGCGAUGGACGAACUUGGCGAAAACCCCGAAGGCGGUCUUGAGCUUCCCUGGUUACCGCACCUUGGCAGAGACCAGAGGAACGACGAGGCCAGCGGGCAGCAACCGAAGAUGCCUGAGGUCUGUGGGCGUCCAGAUCAGGUGGCCUUCUGGCUAGGCAAGGACGACGAGGAGGAUGCCGAGGCGCGGGGACGAGGUAGGAGGCGGCACGGGAGCACGGCGCGGGCGUGGGCGCUCCUGGUGGGCGCAGAGGACGACGACGGCAGGCCAUGGCAGGGGCGGAGGCGCGGUUCCCUGGACCGGUAGGGCCGCGGCGGCGCUGUGGUGCCCGGCGGCCUCGGCGACGCGGCGAGGGAGGGGAUCCGGCGGGGCGCGAGGGAGCUCGGUGGCGGCGCAGGCUGCAGUGCCCGACAGAUGGAGGAGGCGCGGCAGGGUGGCUCCGGCCAGGGCACGGCGCGGGGAGCGCAAGACGGCGGCGAGGAGGCCGAUGAGGCUCCGACCUGGUACUUGGAUCGAAGGAGGAGGGAGGAUGAGGGGAGCCGGAGGGAGAUCGAGAGGGGGGUUCGAGCAGCUGGGGAUGGGGAUCGGGCUGCGAGGGAAAAUGGGGGUCGGGCACGAGAGAGAGAGAUCGAGGGGAGAUGGCGGCGCUGCGGGAACGAGAGGGAGAUGAGUGUGGUGCAGGAGCUGGGCUUCGGGCCUUCUAGGGUUAGGAGGGAGUGGGCCAGGGAGGCCGGCCGAGGAGAGAGAGGCCCAGGUGGGCAGGGGCGCGGCCUGCGGGGAAGGAUGGGCCUAGGGAGGCCUGAGGCUGCAGCUGGGCUGGACUCUCUUUCCCUCUUUCUCUAAUUUUCUUUAGCAGCAAAUGAUUAAAGAGAAAGAAAAGAAAGAGGGGGUUAGGGAAAGGAGUCGGACACGCGGAUAAUUUUCCCGGACUCACAAAAUUGCACUUGUUCCGAGAAAAAUGAAGUGGGCAAGAUUGCAAGAAUUAAAUUCAAGGACAAUUGAAUUUAAUUAGAAAGGUUGCACAAGGACUAGGAUUUAGGAGAGUCCAAAAAUGUUGAGAAAUUAGGAGGAGCCUCAAUAAAUGGGAAAAGAGAUGUUGGCAAAGUUUGGGGACCAAACUUGAAGUAGAAAGGGAGUGGGGAUUUUUCCAGUGUGUUUUGGUUAAUUCCGAAAGAAUGGAAUAUUUUAUAAUAGCCCCACUAAUAUCGGGACGAUAUGUUAUAAAGAGAAGUCAUCCUUCCCUCGAUUUAAAUGGAUCGAAGAUCCAUAUGAAUUAUUUAGUUGAGAUGCAAAAGAUUAUGACAUGAUGACAUGAUGCAAUGCACAUGAUGACGUGACAUGGUGCAACACGCAAGCACAUGACAACGCAACAACAUCGAAUAACUGCACGACACCUGGCACAUCGGUCUCGGGGCGUUACAGUCGCCUCCUUGUAUCCCCCCCCUACUCGCAUCCUCAAGCCAGGCCGAGCCCCUUCUCGGCAACGCUGUGAGACGCCCCCGUUUCCCUCCUCUUUCCACCGCAUUCACCGCGCCGCUCGCCGUGCCCGUCGCCGUGCGUGAGCCCACCACCGCACCAGCCCCCGCUCCGCGCACGACCCUACCCGCGCCCGCGCCAUGAUCCCCUUUUCCGCCCUACCUUCACGCGCUCGCCGCGAUCCCGAUGCUCCCCCGCGCCCUCUUUCGGGCGCGCCGACUGCCCCUGUCCUGGUGCUCGCCGCCGUGCCUCGCCACCGCUCUACUGCUACGUUACUACUGCGCUGCGGCCGCCGCCUCUUCCCGCUGCUCCGCUAGCGCCGGAGCUCCCGGUUGGCUCCACCACUGCUCACGUUAAACCGCCGGCCUAAAUGGCCUAACCCCCGGCUAAUGAACCCCCACUAACCCACUGACACCGGGACCCACAUUCCCUAAUUAACCAUUUAAUAAAUUAAAACUCUUAAAUUAACAUUAGUGUAUGACAUGUGCGUCCCCUGUUAAUUAAUAAUUUUACUGCUAGUUUUAUUAGUUUCUGUUUUUUCUGCAUAUUUCUUUUGUAUUUGAACAGGCUUUAUACAAUAAUAUUUAGCGUAUCAUACACAUACAAAUGUAAUCAUAGCAUAUACAUACAAAUAGUCUCAUCAAAUCAUGUCAUCAUCAUAAUCAUCAUCCAUCACAAAGUGGUCUCUCGUCAUCAUCUCGAAAAUAGCGAUACAAGUCUCGAUUACUUGCAACUACAUCGUCAUCCAUCUAAACAAUGAUAUACGCGAGAAGAGCUCUCACUAUGAGUGAGAGCGGAACUAUGCAGUACAUGAGUUUGUAUCCCUCUCUCGCAUUAGCGUGAACCUAAACUAACGACUCGCUGUUGCUCGGAAACCGGAAACCGGUACACCUGGGCCUGACACUCCGGCCACUCGUCGUAUACUCCUGGCGUAGCACUUCUUCGCCAUCGAUGAUCUAUGCACCUGCAUCGUCACAUGAGUCGAUGAUAUGCAACAUAUAUAGUUGAGUAACAGAAAGAGACAGACUUCGCAAAAAUAGAAGCAACAUAUCAUAAGUAUAAAUAACAAAGUUCAUCCUACCCAAAAUGCCCUAACUAGAGUGAUCUUCGCUAGUCGAGGAGGACGGUUUAAUUACAUCACAAAUAACGUUUCGUCGUGCAUAACUCAAAGUUCCGUCAUACAGAAAGUAUGAACUAAACGGACACAUUGUCAUAUUUCGAAAAUCACUCCAACAUAUCGUACCAUCCAUCCAAGUCAAGGAGAGAGUGCCCGAGCUUAGUGAAAGGCUUGUGGUCGAGACGCUGAGCGGCUACGCGUGUUCGAAAGUCUUCCCACGUCAUUUGUCCUUCUUCAUAGAACAUCCCUGUUUUUUCGACGACCUCCUUCAUGAUGAUUUGGACAAGUUCGCACUGGAAGUGAUAUAACUCAUCUCGAAGUGGAUGAUCCUCGAUAUCUCCUAAGUUCUUUGCCCAUUGCAGAAUAUGGGCAUCGCUGAAUUUAGGUGACAUGCAAAGGUUCCGGUGAUCUCGUCUAUACUCCAUCAUAUGGACAUAGAAUCGAUCAUCAAGAGAAUCACUCGGUUGCUGGAUGCAGCUGAAGUGGGUCUUAUGGGCCUGCCGUCCCUUUUCUUCUUGUCCUUGACCUCUCCACCCCGUGCAUCGUAGUAAAACGUAGCACUGUCGAGAAUAGACUUGAUGUGGGUGUAAUCCUUUUUGUUAAUGUUCUUCGACGAGUCCACAGUAUCGGGGGUAGCGGAUAAUGAGGACGGCGCUGAAGGAAAUAUGCCCUAGAGGCAAUAAUAAAGUUAUUAUUUAUUUCCUUAUAUCAUGAUAAAUGUUUAUUAUUCAUGCUAGAAUUGUAUUAACCGGAAACAUAAUACAUGUGUGAAUACAUAGACCAACAGAGUGUCACUAGUAUGCCUCUACUUGACUAGCUCGUUAAUCAAAGAUAGUUAUGUUUCCUAACCAUGAACAAAGAGUUGUUAUUUGAUUAACGAGGUCACAUCAUUAGUUGAAUGAUCUGAUUGACAUGACCCAUUCCAUUAGCUUAGCACCCGAUCGUUUAGUAUGUUGCUAUUGCUUUCUUCAUGACUUAUACAUGUUCCUAUAACUAUGAGAUUAUGCAACUCCCAUUUACCGGAGGAACACUUUGGGUACUACCAAACGUCACAACGUAACUGGGUGAUUAUAAAGGAGUACUACAGGUGUCUCCAAUGGUAGAUGUUGGGUUGGCGUAUUUCGAGAUUAGGGUUUGUCACUCCGAUUGUCGGAGAGGUAUCUCUGGGCCCUCUCGGUAAUGCACAUCACAUAAGCCUUGCAAGCACUGCAACUAAUAUGUUAGUUGUGAGAUGAUGUAUUACGGAACGAGUAAAGAGACUUGCCAGUAACGAGAUUGAACUAGGUAUUGGAUACCGACGAUCGAAUCUCGGGCAAGUAACAUACCGAUGACAAAGGGAACAACGUAUGUUGUUAUGCGGUCUGACCGAUAAAGAUCUUCGUAGAAUAUGUAGGAGCCAAUAUGGGCAUCCAGGUCCCGCUAUUGGUUAUUGACCGGAGACGUGUCUCGGUCAUGUCUACAUUGUUCUCGAACCGUAGGGUCCGCACGCUUAAUGUUACGAUGACAGUUAUUAUGAGUUUAUGCAUUUUGAUGUACCGAAGGUUGUUCGGAGUCCCGGAUGAGAUCACGGACAUGACGAGGAGUCUUGAAAUGGUCGAGACGUAAAGAUUGAUAUAUUGGAAGCCUAUGUUUGGACAUAGGAAGUGUUCCGGGUGAAAUCGGGAUUUUACCGGAAUACCGGAAGGGUUACCGGAACCCCCCGGGAGACUAAUGGGCCUAUUGGGCCUUAGUGGAAAAAGAGAAAAGGGGCAGCCCAUAGCUGGCCGGCGCCCCCCCCCUUUCCCCAAGUCCUAGUAGGACUAGGAGAAGGGGCCGGCCCCCCCUCUUUCUCCUUUCCCCCCGAGAGUCCUAAUUGGAAUAGGAUUGGAGGGAGGAGUCCUACUCCCGGUGGGAGUAGGACUCCCCUGCGCCUCCCUCUCCCUGGCCGGCCGGCCCCCCUUCCUCCAACCUUUAUAUACGGGGGCAGGGGACACCCCAAGACACACAAGUUGAUCCUUGAGAUCGUUCCUUAGCCGUGUGCGGUGCCCCCUGCCACCAAAUUCCACCUCGAUCGUACCGUUACAGUGCUUAGGCGAAGCCCUGCGUCGGUAGUACAUCAAGAUCGUCACCACGCCGUCGUGCUGACGGAACUCUUCCUCGACACUUUGCUGGAUCGGAGCCCGAGGAACGUCAUCGAGCUGAACGUGUGCUAAGAACUCGGAGGUGCCGGAGUAACGGUGCUUGGAUCGGUCGGAUCGGGAAGAAGACGUACGACUACUUCCUCUACGUUGUGUGAUCGCUUCCGCAGUCGGUCUGCGUUGGUACAUAGACAACACUCUCCCCUCUCGUUGCUGUGCAUCACCAUGAUCUUGCGUGUGCGUAGGAAAAUUUUCGAAAUUACUGCGUUCCCCAACAGGCGCGCCCGCCGCUGCGCAAAAUAAGUACACCUCCAAUUAAUUACACUCCAUCGUUCAAAUGAAUGAUUGAAAUCGAAGGAAGGAUAUCUGCGCGGAUGACUUACACGAGAUGAUAAGCCAUGAGAAUCGCCUCCUUGUCCUUAUUGGCAAGCAUGAAAUCGACGAUGUAUUCCUCGCGUAUUCACGGUGCUUUGCACGGACUCCCAAGAAGCCCUCGUGCAUGAAGUACGGGUCAGCAACACAGAUAUGAGGUAUCUGCUCAACCCCGAUGAGGUAGUUCAUGUGCAAGGCAUAAAGGCGGACAAACGUAAAAUCCAGCUUCUUUAAGUGAAACAUGUUGAAGAUGUAAUCGAAUCGAAGGAAAAACUUCUUCGAGGGGAAUGUGUCGACGUACGACAAUUGCCGCGGCACGUUAACCACGUAGAGAGGGUAUCCUGGAUUUUUCGAGGCGAUGAGGCCUUUCUCUAUCCGCAACACGUCGUCAUGAAGUCUCCUUAGAUUGCCGGAUCUGGCCCCUAGUGCUGCUUUCGGUAGGAUUGGUUCACCGGGAUACGCCAUUUUGCCGCUCCGGGGAUAUCUAUACGGUCUUGAACCCGAGGCUGCUGAGGCGGCUGGAUCAUAGAAGCAGCUUUGUUGGCUUUCCUCGGUGUAUUCCUAAGCUUCUUUGCUACCGGAAGGUCGUCUAUAAUAUGUUCAGCCUCCGGAGGCGGCAAUUCAAGCACCGACUCAUGACGCUCAAACCCUUAGUAGGCGCCAGUAUUGAGAUACUAUUGAGUGUCAUUGUCAUCCUCAUCUAUGGCGGUGUCACCAGCGACAAAUGGAGCCUCUUCCUCACCCCGUCCGCUAUCACCCAGCACGACAGCCGGCGCUAAUUGGGUAGGUGGGGUGUUGAUGUUCAUACCUAACUGCGUGCUCGUGUGUGUGCUCCCGGCCGUCUCCAAACAAAGCAGACUCUUUGGCCACAAUAGGACCCACCCAUUGCAAUCACCAAGCCGCUGCGGGAUCUUGUCGUCAUUCCCCCUAGUACCGGAGGAGCCAAAUUCUCCUGGCCUGGUUUGACACUGGCCACGGAAACUUUGAAGAUGUCCAGGGGGAUCGAUCGGCCGUGGAACAAUGGUUCCUUCAGCUUCAUUAUCGUCACCUUCCCCACGUCCACCUCCUGGUAGCGGAUGCUGUACAAUAUGGUGCACGGGGUUAUAUUGGCCUGCAAAGACAUUUCUGUGAUGUGAGAUAUCCGAAAGGCAACGGAAAUGGGAGAUUAUACAUUUAUUGAAGAGGGCCGGUGUGACAGAUACCGUGAGGGCGUCGAGCUCAGCCAAAGACGAAGCACCGCUGAGCACGUCUGGUGUCGGAGCCGGUGCCGGAGCAGGUGCGGGAGCCCGUGCGGGAGCAGGUGUAGGUGCCGGUGCAACGCUAGUUGAGCUACUCCCGAAGAAGUCAGCAAGGGGAAAGUCUGCUGUAUUUUUUUCUGGAUUUUGCAUGCUCCAAUUGAAAACGGCCGGAACCAAGACAGAAGACAUAUCUGGAACCACCUGUUUUGCGGCAGCUAUCGCAGUUGUGACUGUCUCAGAUGAUUUCUUCUCAACCGCAAUCUCAACCUUCUGGUUGAUGUUUUCUUCAGUUAACCUCCGUCUUUCCUUUCUCUCCUCUGUGGUCUCACGGUAGUACUUCUUCCAUGUGGCGCCGUCUUCGACACCGUGCACGCGUCCAUACGACGGCCGAUUCUCCACCGGGAGUCCUUUCAAUAUGUUCAAUGCCCGAUUGAAUGGAGUGUUCCACUUGGGCCUCGCCAACACCUCAGACGGUGAGUCACUUUCGGCUGCAAUCUUGUGCUGCUCUCUCUACAAAAGGAACAAGGAUCGUUUACAAAUAUGACUAAACGUGCAGUCGAAUUGAUCAGAAACUAAAAUUACCGGCAGUCCCAUGAACUUCGUCGUGAUCAGGUCAGUCUUGAAAACCUUCUUGACUGAGUCCCAAUGGUGUCGUGCCCCGAGGACGUCAUGCUCCCGCGGGACGGUGAAGUCCGCCAAGGGGUCUGGGAUGCCCAGACUUUCGCGUUCCGCGUCCUCCUAUGCCCAUAUGGACCUCUUCCCGCCGUAACCACGGCUUCCGAGGUGGUGGCGCCCUAUGUUCCUUUGUUGAAGCCCCUUCAUGUACUUCGACUUUUUUUGGCAGCUUCGGCCUCGCAAGCCGCCUUGAAUUUUUCAAAGUGCUCUCCCGUGAUUGUCGGAUUAUCCUUUACAAUCUCAGAGUAUGGUUCCUUUUUGUCGACAAUCCGAUGUUUCAACCUUGUUUUCCAGGUGCCCAACGCGUCACUAAACUUGGUCAUGGCGUGUUUGUUUAUCUUCUUCAUUGCCGGGUCCUUAUUUGGAUCUUUAUAAUCCAUUUCAUUCCGGCCCGGGAACAACAAUAUCUGGUGCAGCUUCUUUAGGAGAGAGGGCCUCAUAUUAUCUAUCUUCUGUAGUUUCCCAUCAUUGAUCGUGGCAGUUGUCCGUACGAUGCAGCCUACUUGAUUGCCGUAGCACGAUCGCGCUUCCUCGGGCGCUAUUGUCUGAAAAACACUGUCGUCCAUCUCCGUGACCACCAGUCUAGUAGUCAUGAGCAGGUUUGGGCGCCGUGGCUUCUUUGCUUUCGGUUCUAGACCAGCUCCGCUAGUCUCGGCGCCGGUCUCAGUCUCAUCGCCAGUCUGCAUGUCGGUAUCAGUCCCCGAUGCGAUAGGUCGGCCCAGCAACAACAUUCGUUGAUCGUCGGCAAGGCUCAAAAAUUCAUCUGCCGCCAGGUAGACGUGUCGCAAUCACCAGAACCCUAUCCUUCAUCGUUGCUAGCCAUGUUUCCUACGAUUAUGCCUAGUCAAUUAAUUUUAGACCUAAUAAAAUGAAUAAUGACAUAAAACAGGCCAAUGUUUUGCAGGAUUACAACUCAACCCAUUGCAGAUUAGAAAACAAGCCCGUGUGAAUGCACAGGCUGACCACUAGUCUAUCUAUACCUAUACCUACCUAUACUAAUUACAGACUCCCAAGUAAUUCCCACGUUAAUUAGUAAUUAAGAGCCGUUAAUCUUGUGGGACCAAAUUAUUACGACAGUCCACGAUCUCUUUUCUCUCUGUGUAAAAAAAAAGGUCCACGAUCUCUUUUCUCCGUUGUAAAAGAUAAAGGCAACUCAGGUCCACGAUCUCUUUUCACGGUUGUGAAAGAUAAAGACAACUCCCGUCUUCUUCUAAUCUAUAGUUCUAUACCUCCACGACCCCUUCCUCUCCCCAUUUAAAAGGAACAAGCUGAACCAAUAUCUAAGCAUGCAAUUGGUUCCUGUGCGGUCUUGACCUUCCAUCCGUCCACUGCUCGAUCGGCCCUCCCUCAACUACAAGCUGACAAGCCACCAUCGCCAUCCAGCGGCACGCCACCGUUCAUGCAUGUGUUUUUGCCCUUCAAUCUGAAGGAGAUGCGUUGGCUACUCAAGUAACUCUGUUUGUUUUGUUCAAACCAAUUUCGUUAAUUCGGUUCUUUGAUUAUCUUAUUGACAUGGCCUGUGAGUUUUGUGCUAGUGAUACAGGGCCUGUCUACUAGAUUCUCUCCUUGCAACUUCUAUUGUUGUCUCGAUUUGGUGUGGUCAAGAUCCUUGCCCCACCACAAGCAGCACCUUUGCACCAUCGGGGAAAUCUGUCAUAGCAAACAGAGGUAUGUAACAUGCUUUGGUGUUUUCCUCUUUCGUUUAGAUCACUAGAGUUGCUCAACCACACCAUUCAUUGAUUAGUAGUUGGCCUGAGAAGUUGCUCGGUCACCUGCAGCGUCUGAUCCCCUUCUUGACCCUCUCAUUCUGGUCAUUAUCCACCGGCAGGUCAAUGCCAAACGGAUCGUUCGUUGCCGCCACCUUGCGGAGACCGAUGUUUGGCUGCCCUCCUGCCAUCCUGGCGCUCUGGUACCGGUCACUGUGCCGUUGUUCUAGAAGAACUAUGUCACACGAAGCGAGAUAUCUUCUUACUAAUCUGGAACAUAAGUGUUUCUUCUUACUAGGAUUCGCUCACCGGUGCAUUCAUCUCUUUUUGGAAAAUACGGCCUUCAUAUUUCACACGCCUAUACAUGGGUGCUGUCCCAACAAUAAUCCAUCUAAUCCAUGAUGCACAUUCAUGAAGACUGAUGUGACUGAAUUAAUAUAUCAAUCUGGUGCUUCCGGAUCAGCACUUGAAGAAGCAACCCCUUUAGUUCAUAAAUAUAUCAUACGAAAGUCAGGGGAGAAAUCAACUAAGUCAUGUGUGCUUUUCUAAUUAUUUACUAUACACUAAUUCCAUUUUUUCAGUAGAAGGCUAGGAUACGUGGAUUGUGGCAGCACAGAAGUAAACCGAUGAGCUACGUUGGCCGUUCACCAGUCAUCGGAUCAGCAGCCAUGUCGACCAGAGGGACGGAACAGUUCUAUAUUAGGCGAUGGAUACAUGUGGAAGCAACUAAGCAUAUGUGGAUGCAUGUGAUCGCAUAGGUAAGGCCAUAGCUGUUCAAGCCCUACAGGAUCUUUAUUGCUGGUUUUAAUUAUGAGUUUACAACACCAUCUAUACAUACUACUUAUCCAUUUAUUUCCUUACCUUCUUUGUUUCUUUCUCUCCUUGAUCCCCUGUCAAAAGGGCAUCAACAUCCAUAUGCGCAACGGCACACGCAACAAACUAUGACUUCGGUUGCAUGUCCAACGGCAACCACAGUACAUGAUGAUAUCAUGUUUGCUGCAAGACGAAGUACAAGUUCAUAAUUUGGUCUUUUGCAUGGUCCCUUAGUAAAUUCACUUCUGCUUCGGUACACCCCCCCUAAACACAUAGACGGCCCAGAUUAGUCGAUACCUCUUCAUAAGUAAGGGCAUGAUGGUCAUAUAUUAAAAACCAUUCGUCCCCUGUAUAUGUGUACAGUGAGAUGGGCCGGCCCAUCUUUCCCUUUUUUUCUGAUUUGAUCCUGACAGGAAUCGAACCAGAUAGUUCCUGGUACAUAGUUGGACGUGAUAACCAACCAGCCGACUUAGGCACCUAUGGUUAGAUAGUUCUUUCUCGUCCUUUUCUUCUUUCCUCUUUCCUCUUUCUUAUUUCCUUUUUUCUUGUUUUUUCAAACGUUGUUUUGGGUUUUCAUUUCCCUUUUUUUCUUUUUCGUUUUCUUUUCCUUUUUAUGUUCCUUUUGUUUUACCUUUUCUUUUGCAAUGUGCAAAAUUUUUCAGUUUCCUUUAUAAAAAAUUAAUGAACCUUUUUUAAUAUUGAUGAUUUUUUUUUCAAAGUCGAUGAACUUUAUUCAAGAUUGAUGAUUUUUUUCUAAAUUGAUGAACCUUUCUCAAGAUGAAUAUAGUUUUUUCAAAGUAGAAGAUUUUUUUUCAAAAUUGAUAAAAUUUUGCAAAAUCGAUGAUUUUAAAAAAAUCAUGAACUUUUUUCAAAUCCUUGUACUUUUUUUAAUCAAGAUGCAUGGGUUAUUUUUAAUUCAUGGAACUUUUAAUUUACGGACAUUUUGCCAAUCCGCUUAUUUUUUUCAAGUCCAUGAACUUUUCCAAAAGGGCGAACCCUUUUUUAUAGUCAAUGGUCAAAGGUCAAGCAUGUCAAUGGUCAACUUUUUGUCCAGGUUAACCAUGAAGAAGUUUUUUUUUGGUCGAACCACGAAGAAGCGAUCGAGCGUAUGCUCUUGGCGAGCGACAGCUGAUCGCUCCUGUAGUUUGGCCAGCCCAUGAAAGGUGGUGUUCAAGCGAUGUGUCCACUAAGUAGCGCAGAAAGCGGUGACUAGGCGCUCCCACUGUACAGGGAGUAGCGUCGCACAAACCGGCGCACACACCCCUUCGUCCAAGGUCUGGCCCAUUUUCCUUUUCUAUUUUUACCUUGAAAAAAUAGGUGCAUGAAGUAGGAUUCAAACUAUGAACCUUUGUGAUUACUUCCACCCACUAUAACAAACUAGGAUAGCUCACUUCUUGCGUCUAAUUACUUCUUUUUUAGAGCAUCUUCUCAGUCUGUUUUUUCUUUUGCUUUUGUUUGGCCUUUUUAUUCCGUUUUAUUCAUUUUUUAUUUGUCUUUGUUUCUUCUUAUUUUCAUUUUGUUAAAUUCAUGAUUUUUUAAAUCUAUGAGCUUAUUUUAAGGAUGUUGAGAAAUAACAUGCUCCCAGACAAAACCUUCUGGCCUACCGGAUACUCUUUGUAGAACAUGGUAUAGUUUUGGACAUCAUUCAAAUGAUCCCAACUUUUGUAGGAUGGUGGGCAUUUCCCGUGGUAGGCAUCAUUGACAGGUUUGAAUGACUUCUGACACCGUAUGCAAGUUGCGACACGUCCGAUCAUUUAUCGGUCUUUUUUCACCGGAAAAACUCUAGAAAAUGCAAAACUUGUUGAGAAUCCAAAAAACUUAGCUUGGUGUCUUGAAUUGGUCGUACAAGGCCAUGAAAAAAUUUGGGGCCAUUUCAAGGAUGUCAAGAAACAACGUGCUCUCAAACAGAGCCUUCUGGCAACCGAACACCCUUCAUUGAACAUGGUCUAGUUUUGGACAUUCUUGAAAUGACCCCAACUUUUUGAAGUAGAUGAGCAUGCCCAUGGUAGACAUCCAUGUCAAGUUUGAAUGAUUUCUGACACCGUAUGCAAGUCGCGACACGUCCGGCCAUUUAUCGACCUUUUUUGGCCGAGGAAACUCCAGAAAAUGCAAAAUUCAUCAAAAAACAAAACAACUUGGCAUGGUGCACUUAGUUGGCCAUACAAGGUCAUAUAAAAAAUUGGGGCAAUUUCAUGGGUGUGGAAACACAACAUGCUCUCAGACGGAGCUUUCUGACCUACCUGAUGAAGGAAAUAUGCCCUAGAGGCAAUAAUAAAGUUAUUAUUUAUUUCCUUAUGUCAUGAUAAAUAUUUAUUAUUCAUGCUAGAAUUGUAUUAACCGGAAACAUAAUACAUGUGUGAAUACAUAGACAAACAGAGUGUCACUAGUAUGCCUCUACUUGACUAGCUCGUUAAUCAAAGAUGGUUAUGUUUCCUAACCAUGGACAAAGAGUUGUCAUUUGAUUAACGGGAUCACAUCAUUAGUUGAAUGAUCUGAUUGACAUGACCCAUUCCAUUAGCUUAGCACCCGAUUGUUUAGUAUGUUGCUAUUGGUUUCUUCAUGACUUAUACAUGUUCCUAUAACUAUGAGAUUAUGUAACUCCCGUGUGCCGGAGGAACACUUUGUGUGCUACCAAACGUCACAGCAUAACUGGGUGAUUAUAAAGGUGCUCUACAGGUGUCUCCAAAGGUACAUGUUGGGUUGACGUAUUUCGAGAUUAGGAUUUGUCACUCCGAUCGUCAGAGAGGUAUCUCUCGGCCCUCUCGGUAAUGCACAUCACUUAAGCCUUGCAAGCAUUGCAACUAAUGAGUUAGUUGCGGGAUGAUGUAUUACGGAACGAGUAAAGAGACUUGCCGGUAAUGAGAUUGAACUAGGUAUUGGAUACCGACGAUCGAAUCUUGGGCAAGUAACAUACCGAUGACAAAGGGAACAACGUAUGUUGUUAUGCGGUCUGACCGAUAAAGAUCUUCGUAGAAUAUGUAGGAGCCAAUAUGGGCAUCCAGGUCCCGCUAUUGGUUAUUGACCGGAGACAUGUCUCGGUCAUGUCUACAUUGUUCUCGAACCCGUAGGGUCCGCACGCUUAAGGUUUCGAUGACAGUUAUAUUAUGAGUUUAUACGUUUUGAUGUACCGAAGGUUGUUCGGAGUCCCGGAUGUCAUCACGGACAUGACGAGGAGUCUCGAAAUGGUCGAGACAUAAAGGUUGAUAUAUUGGAAGCCUAUGUUUGGAUAUCGGAAGUGUUCCGGGUGAAAUCGGGAUUUUACCGGAGUACCGGGAGGUUACCGGAACCCCCCGGGAGAUAUAUGGGCCUUAGUGGGCCUUAGUGGAAAAGAGAAGAGGCAGCCAGAGAUGGGCCGCGCACCCCUCCCCUCCCUUGGUCCGAAUAGGACAAGGAGAGGGGGCCGGCCCCCUUNNNNNNNNNNNNNNNNNNNNNNNNNNNNNNNNNNNNNNNNNNNNNNNNNNNNNNNNNNNNNNNNNNNNNNNNNNNNNNNNNNNNNNNNNNNNNNNNNNNNNNNNNNNNNNNNNNNNNNNNNNNNNNNNNNNNNNNNNNNNNNNNNNNNNNNNNNNNNNNNNNNNNNNNNNNNNNNNNNNNNNNNNNNNNNNNNNNNNNNNNNNNNNNNNNNNNNNNNNNNNNNNNNNNNNNNNNNNNNNNNNNNNNNNNNNNNNNNNNNNNNNNNNNNNNNNNNNNNNNNNNNNNNNNNNNNNNNNNNNNNNNNNNNNNNNNNNNNNNNNNNNNNNNNNNNNNNNNNNAUCCUACUCCCGGAGGGAGUAGGACUCCUCCUGGCGCGCCUCUCCUAGGCCGGCCGCACCCCUCCCCCCCCUUGAGCCUUUAUAUACGGAGGCAGGGGCACCCCAGAGGAACACAAGUUGAUCCACGUGAUCAUAUUCUUAGCCGUGUGCGGUGCCCCUGCCACCAUAGUCCUCGAUAAUAUUGUAGUGGUGCUUAGGCAAAGCCCUGUGACAGUAGUACAUCAAGAUCGUCACCACGCCGUCGUGCUGACGGAACUCUUCCCCGACACUUUGCUGGAUCGGAGUCCGGGGAUCGUCAUCGAGCUGAACGUGUGCUAGAAUCGGAGGUGCCGUAGUUUCGGUGCUUGAUUGGUCGGGCCGUGGAGACGUAUGACUACAUCAACCAAACGCUUCCGUUGUUGAUAUACAAGGGUACGUAGAUCACAUUCUCCCCUCUCGUUGCUAUGCAUCACCAUGAUCUUGCGUGUGCGUAGGAUUUUUUUUGAAAUUACUACGUUCCCCAACACCUGAACACCCUCAUUUGAACAUGGUCAGUUUUUAGAUAUCCUUCAAAAGACCACAACUUUUCCAAAAAGGUGAGCAUGCACAUGGUAGGCAUAUAUGCCAAGUUUGAACGAUUUUUGACACUGUAUGCUAGUUGCGACACGUUCGGCAAUUUUCGCCAUUUUUUGACAAAGAAAUCUCCAGAAAAUGUAGAAUUUUUAGAAAACCAAAAAACCCUGGCAUGGUGCCUUGAAUUCUUCAUACAAGCCAGUGAAAAAAAAUAGGUCAUUUGACGGAUGUCGAGAAAAAACAUGCUCCCAAACGGAGCCUUCUUACCUACCCCUACACCCUAUGUUGAACAUGGUGAUUUUUUCUACACGAACACAAAAAAAAUGUUCGAGAAAAUUCAAAAAAUUUUCUUUCAAAUUUUUAUUCGUAUUUUUCUUGAAGUUCCAAAUUUAAUAGUGAAUUUUCCUAAAAUGUUAAAUCAAAAAUGUUCGUGUGGAAAAUUUUGUUUGCUCUUUGUAAAAAUGUUUGUGUUUUGACAUUAUGAGCAAUUUGAAAAUACAAAUACAUUCUGAGGAAUUCAUAAAUGUCGCAUUUUGAAGUAAUUGUUCGUAGUUUCAGAAAAUGUCCGUGUUUUCAGUUUUAUAUCUCUUUUAAGAAAAUGUUCGUAUUUAAAAAAAAUUGUUUGUAGUUUCAAGAAAUGUUCUCGUUUUCAAUUCUGCUCUUAUUUUUCUAAAACAAAGUUUGAGAGUCUGAAACAUUGCUCACUAAAGGUUUGAAUUUUAAAAAUAUGUUCACAGAUUUUGAAAUUUUUUGGGUUUAAAGCAUAUUUACUUUGUCAAACAGAAAUUCACAUACGGAAUUUUGAAAAAAAUAAUCGUUUUUGGACUAGUGAUGUUAUGCACUCGCGGGAGCUUGUGUGUUAGAUCCGCGCACCCAUUUUAGUAUUUGUGAAUUGGUGUUGAAGUGUUGCCGCUCUAGCUAAUUCUUUAGGUGUGACACUGCUAUUGUGUCGGUUGCGUUAGGCAGGCGAAGUGGCUAGGGCGUAAUUUUUGUUGAUUUUCCAGCCCAAAUGGAUCGGCCCAGGUUAUCUGUGCCUGUGUCCUGCGAACAUAUGGCACAUUCCAGCGUACGUACGAAAAUGGAUAGGAUUUGUCAAAAGUCUAAAUUACCCAUUAUACGCUUUGUGAGGGGGGUGUAUCGAAGCGUUUCUCCACAUAAAUUAUAUUUGUCCACAUACACCACAUACAUAAAAACAGGUAGAAGCGGUUGCAUGGUGAAAAUGUCCUCUCAAUAUGCAUGCCUAUGAAUACUAUCACCAGAAAGCCAAGGACUAACAAUUAUUCAGGGGUCAAGAUUGAAGACAGACGUCCAAGAUUGGAAGUCGGCCGGCCUAAGAGGGGCAAAACCAUUGUACAUUAUAUUGUAUGGACCUAGCAAGAUCCUAAAGAUAAGUGAUAAUGGAGAUCAUGGGGGCCACCCUUAUAACCAUAUGUCCAAAUGUUCUUAUUUGUUUAUUUUUCUUUUCUCUUUUCGGAAGAAUCCAUCCUGCCUCUAUGGUCAUCCUGACCACUUCGUAUUGUUAUCUAAUCUCCUCCCUUAAUUAAUAUAAAGAAUUACCGCAGCUGAAUUCACUAAAAAAAGUAUUCAGUUUAUUUUAAUUUAUUCAACUAUUAUGGCAUAUCAAUUGGAUUGCAAGUUCUUGGCGGUUGCAUUUGAAUCAUAUUUGAUGUGCACAAAGGCUUCAGUGUCAAGGUGGUCGGACGAGUAUUUAUGUCCAUUAUAUAUGCGUUAGCUUGAGAUCAUCAGGCACCUGUUAUGCAUCUGUCCAGUUAAAAGGAUGUUCAGACUCAGGCUUGCCCUACCAUAUAUGGCUGUGACACUCUGAACCAAGCAAGUUGGUCAUAUAUGUCGAGCACUAUUAACUCUUUGGAAGAAGAUCCACCAAGUACAGAAAACAAAUCAAAUAUCUUCUUAACCUUAUCACCAGAAAAAUUAGCAAGAGAUGAAUAGUAACAUUUUAAAGAAGAAAGAUAUGUUUGAAAAGGGAUAUAUAUUAUGGCGACGAUUAGAACAGCCCUUGACGAAUGGUGCCUAGCCUGCGAAAGUUUCUUAUGAAUAUAGUCAACACUCUAUAUCAACUGUUGUAAGAUUUUAGAAAUAUUUUUGGGGACAUAUGAUACAUGUCUAUUAUACAUAUGAUUCAACAGAAGUUUGAUUGAAUACAUAUUUAAAACGUGACUGACUUCUAUAUGGACGGAGUAUUUCACAAAGGACUCACUGCCAACUGUGUGAAUAUUCCAAGAUAGUUAGUGCACAUAAAUGUUCAAAUCCAUAGCUGCAUAAAUAUACAAAAGCAAUGUGUUAGACCACUACACAUGCUUCUGAAAGGAGGCAAAAAAAUGUAUGCUUGAUUGAUGACCGUUCAUGCAUGAAAUUAAUUUUUGAUUUCUAAUUAUUUUGGUCAUAUAAUGGAAAUAGAGACAUUAUAAAGAUCCAACAGCAUGCUAUCACACACGUGUGAACACAGACACACACAAAUAACAUUUGCCGAGCACUCACAAAUAAAAGGUGUGGCUACUCUUGGGUGUUCUACAGCUGGCUUAAAAAAACACGUAUGAAACAUGAUCCCCAAAAAUCUGAAAUUCGCAACAUAUGAAAAUCCACCCUCAAACAUAUUUCUAGUGUCUCAAUUCUUUUAGUUUCAGAUGGUAUGUCCAGCCAAAGUAGUUGUACACAUACAUUACUAUGUUCUAUUAUUUGAGAUUCUAAGAGAACAUUUAGUAACUAGCCCGUGCGAUGCACGGGUUCACGACUAGUAUAUAUAAAGCUUAAUGGUGCCUAAGAAAGCUCGCACAAUUUUACAGUGGCUAUGGAAAUGUGUUGCCAAACUGAGACAUAAGAUUUUCAUUUGGCAUCCAGAGUUGCAGACCGCUUGUGUUAUCCUUAAUCCAUGGCCACUCUAAUUUUUCCGGCUGGGCCUUCCCUGUGGUACCGCGGCAAGGCUUGCGUGUGUAUAUGUUUCCUUUAACUACCACUAGCACAUAUGCCCAUGCGUGCGUUGCAAUGGGAGAGAUAAUGGCAUAUCCACCAAUAUAUCUAGCAGCAUGACCCAACAACAUCCGAAUGAUGUCACCCGACGACGGCAGGAAGGCACGCACAGAGGUCUAGUAAAAACUCAUCAAUUGUACGGGCAUGGUUAAUUCGCGUGAAUUCAAGGGUGUGAGAUUAGUUAGUGUUGGUCCCACAAUUGAAUUCGGGGGGUGAUUAGUUAGUGUGGGCCCACCCUUGAAUUCACCGGGGGAGACAAAAUAAUUAGGGCGAGGAGAGAUUUACGGGGCUUGGUCCCCAGAUGCGUUGCGGCAGUCAUUAUUCGAGCAUUGCAAUGCUCGCACGUGAGGAGCUCCUUUUCCAAUUGUAUAUUAAGAAGCAUGCUAUAGAUACAAUGUUUUUGAUACAUUUUUGUACGAUGAUCCUGAUCUUAAAGGGCCUUCUAAUUUUUAAAUCUUAAAGGCAUUAUUUGUAAGUUGUCGUGAAAAAAAUCUCGCUAAAAGGGUUGUGUUAGACCAUCUUCAGUACAUUAGAAAUAACGAAUUAUAAUUCCUUGGCAUUUGAACAAACAAUCCCUACUUAUUUACACAUACAAUACUUUUGGUAUGAUUUUGAAAUCUUGAAGGCAUUAUUGUAAGUUGAAGCAAUUUUGAAAUCUCACUAAAAGGUCUGGUAAGCUUUAGAAAUAACUAAUUAUAAUUUUGCAAAAAAAAGAAAUAACUAAUUACUAAUUUUGGUAUGAUUUAUUGUCUGGGUAGUAGUUCCUUUGCAACAUUAUUCUCUCCUUUCUUGAAGGAACUCUUGCCUGCUCCCUCGCCAUGCUCCCAUCCAUGCUCCCACUCCAUCCUAUGGUUGUCCUUUUUUCCUUUUUCUUUCUAAACUAAUCAUCUCCCCCCCUGAUUUUAAGGGGAUGGGGCCGGGCCUUAUUUUGUUCCAAUUAAAUCAUGCCACGUAUGCGGGAGCAUUUUGUCCCUCCUUCUAGCGCCUCCCACUGAAAAUGCCCUAAAAGUUUUUGAGGGAUUUUUUUACUGUGUCCUACUUCACGAAUCACGAGGCAAAUCAAGUAGGCGGCAUGGCCUGGCCGGUGAGUGCCAUUGCACUUACUUGCCCCAGCGAUUUUCCGCCUGCAUUGUAGAAUUCUUUCUCCGAGUCCUGUGAAUUAAAGAUGGUGCAGACAAAAGUAUAUCCUAUAUGCGUACAUGUGCAUGAUCAGAACAUGUUUUUACGUGCGUCUACUAUAAAUCAUGACCAUUUUUAACACAAAUCAUGACCAUUCAUGAUUAGUGAAUCAUACUGUCUUAACUUAUGUGAAAUCAUGUGGAGUAAUAUAAUAUAAUAUAAUAGAUAGAUAGAUCCAUGUUGUAUUAUUUUUUGUUUACAAAAAAUAUCUGUCAUUACACAUUUUGAUUUAUGCAUUUGUUUACAAAAAAACAGUAACAUUUCAUGGUGGAGAGUUUGUAUUGUUUCAUACUGAACACCAAUGUUUUCCCGUAAAAGAAAAUAAUGCCUACGCAUAUGCUUUUAUAUUAUUAUUAUUCUUUCAAACUUAUUCAUAUAGUAUUUUUGAUUGUGCAACCAUAAUUUUUAUUAUCUCUCUCGUUCCACUACAUGCUCUUACUCAAUGAUUUUUUUAUAAUGGGUGUUUUUAUUAACUCAGCCAAAACAUAAUGAGCCACAUCCGGUCUCUGCAUAACUAAGAUGCACACAGCCAAAAGCAGAAGUCUGACAAAAAUAAGAUAAGAAAAUCAACAUAUCGACACCAGUGAGUCAUAUAGUUCCGACACUAUGCCUCUGUUGAAGGACGGGGUGGAGCGAUCUGGAGAUUAUGCUUCCCUCCAUUUUGAGUAAAUACCUCCCUGGCCACUUGUUCCAACCGCAUAGACGCCGCCACGAAUAAUGGUUGGUACUCUGUUCGGUGUAGCAUACACCAUGUAGGAACUGAGUGCUCACUCCUAGUUACUAAAUUAUGUACACACUAGUAGAAAAAGGGCCAUUUGUCCCGGUUCGUAAGGCCCAUUUGUCUCAGUUAGGGAACCGGGACUAAAGGGUCGGUACUAAAGCCCCACACCUUUACUCCCGGUUCUUACACCAACCGAGACAGAUGGGGCUCCACGUGGCCGCUGCGGCUUGCCAUGGCAGGGGGGCCUUUUGUCCCGGUUGGUAGCACCAACCGGGACCAAUAAGCUACCACGCGUCAGCAUUUGAGGGGCUUGGGUUUUUGUUUUUCUUCUGAAGGGGAGGGGAGGGGUGUUGGGGGUUUUGGGGGGUUUUGUAUGGUUAAUUUUGGGGGGUUUCAUAUAUUGUGUUAGGUAGUAAUUAAUUAAUAGAGAGAAGUGUCCUCUCUUAUCUCCGUGCUUGGUCGACGCUACGUACUAUACGUAUAGAGAGGCCCUCGACACACUUGCCAGUAAGCAAAUGAAGGAAACCAUUAAGUACAGAAGUUCGUCAUGAACAUAUGCAUACAAACAUAAGUGAUAUCGACCUCUCCUUCUCUGAGAGAUAGGUCGAACAACAAGUUUCCGUAUAUCCAUCCGGCGCUACUAGCUACUUAUAUACAAUAUUAAGAUCUCUUACAAUAUAAUCCCCUAAUUAUAUAUGAACUCAGUUUCCAGAUGGUAUUCUCGGGCUUUAUUGAUGACGUGGUCAAGAAAGAAUCCCUCCAAUUCCUCUUGAAUUGCUUUGAUGCGAUCUUGUGGUAGGAGUUCAUCCCGCAUCUGCCACAUCUAAUUUGAAGAAGGGGGUCAAUCACUAGUGGAAUAACAGCCAUUUGUCCAAGUUCAUAAGGCUCAUUUGUCCCGGUUGGGGAACCGAGACUAAAGGGUCGUUACUAAAGCCCUACACCUUUAGUCCCGGUUGUCGGUGUCAAAACCGGCGGAUCUCGGGUAGUUGGUCCCGAACUGUGCGUCUAGGCCGGAUGGUAACAGGAGGCAAGGAACACAAUGUUUUACCCAGGUUCGGGCCCUCUCGAUGGAGGUAAAACCCUACGUCCUGCUUGAUUAAUAUUGAUGAUAUGGGUAGUACAAGAGUAGAUCUACCACGAGAUCAAGGAGGCUAAACCCUAGAAGCUAGCCUAUGGCAUGAUUGUUGUGUAUGGAGUUGAUUGCCUACGGACUACAACCCUCCGGUUUAUAUAGACACCGGAUAGGGUUAGGGUUACAUAGAGUCGGUUACAAUGGUAGGAGAUCUUGAAUAUCCGCAUCGCCAAGCUUGCCUUCCACGCCAAGGAAAGUCCCAUCCGGACACGGGACAAAGUCUUCAAUCUUGUAUCUUCAUAGUCCAGGAGUCCGGCUACCCGAACACCCCCUAAUCUAGGACUCCCUCAGUAGCCCCUGAACCAGGCUUCAAUGACGACGAGUCCGGCGUGCAAAUUGUCUUCGGCAUUGCAAGGCGGGUUCCUCCUCCACGUCCUUCAUAGAAGAUUGUAAACACCAAGAGUAGUGUCCGGCUCUGCAAAAUAAGCUUCCACAUAUUUCCGUAGAGAGAAUAAUAUUAACACAAAUCAAAUCUGCUGACGUAUUCCGCAGUGCGUCAUCACACUGCAGCCAAGUCCUUCACUCGAAUCGUUUUCACUUUUCCACCUCAGCGUGUUUUGCGAGGCGGUUUCCUUGGCACGUCUUGUCAAAGUAGAUAUCGUGUACCCCCCUUUUACGGGAUUCUCAUCAAUACAGACAUGGGUAACCCAACCGCGCCACUUAUCUCGACGCUUGGGAGGCAAGCGAGUUUUACUAGGCAGGUGGGGACGCACAACCGCAUCUACCCAUAUAAGGGGAUAAGGAUCCACCUUUUUACCUACGCCUUCUUCCUCCUUUGCCUAUCCAUCUCCUGCGCACCCGAGCUCCAGCGCCCAAGCCCGCACUUCCCACCUCGACCUUCUCCAGCAAUGUCCGGAGCGGGAGGCAAGUGGAUGGUCUCUACCACCACGGAGGGUAAAAUCAAGAAGCUAAGGAAGGCCGGAUACCUGUCCAAGGACAUCGCGCACUGGCUUCCCGAAGAGGGGCAGCUUCUCCCCACCCCAAGGCCCCAUGAGAGGGUAGUAUUUCUCCCCCACUUCCUCCGCGGACUGGGUUUUCCACUCCACCCAUUUGUCCGGGGGCUCAUGUUCUACUACGGCCUGGAUUUCCACGAUCUGGUCCCGAACUUCAUCCUCAACAUCUCGGCGUUUAUCGUCUUUUGCGAGGCUUUUCUCCGCGUCCGCCCUCAUUUCGGCCUCUGGCUCAAGACCUUCAACGUCAAGCCCAAGGUGGUGUGCGGCAGCCAGGCGGAGUGCGGAGGCGCCAUGGUGGGCAAGAUGGCCAAUGUCAUAUGGUUCGAGGGCUCUUUUGUGGAGACCCUAAAGGGAUGGCAAUCUGGGUGGUUUUACAUCACCGAGCCGCGCGAUCCGAAAUGGACCGCAGCCCCCGAGUUCCGAUCCGGACCCCCCAAGCGGCUUGUGUCCUGGAAAGAGACGGGCCUGUCAUGGGGUGACGAAAAUGAGGUGACCGGAUUGCAAACAUGCAUCCAGUCCCUGGUGAACAAGCCAGUCUGGCUUGUUAAUGUAAUCCAGGUUAUGCUCGUCCGCCGGAUCCUCCCGUGCCAACAACGGGAUUUUAAUCUAUGGGAGUUCGACCCGGUGCAGCAUCAAACCCUCAGCAGGCUCUUCGACACGACGUACGAAGACGCCUGGAAGAUGCUAUUAAAGGGCGUCGAGGCUCCCGCAUCCGCUUCCGAGGACCGCGAAUACAGCUCGCAGCGUCACGCUAGCGAGGUAAGCCAUCUACACCUUUUAUAGGAUGUUCAAGCUUUUUUCAUAGUUUGACUCUAUGUGGGAUCUAAACUCCCUUACCUUUGAAAGGCUUGGCGGGCAAUAUCCGGACCGAUUAACUGUCCGGCUCCGCUGCCCGAAGACCCAGCCCCAGCUCUACUAGUGAAGCUGCUGGUUCCGGAGCCUUAUGUGGUGCCGAAGACGAAGGCCAAGAAGAAGAAGACCACAGGGACUCGAAAGAGUGCAUGCAACGUGGUGGUGUCGGACUCGUCAUCUGACGAGUCCAAGACGCCCUCCUCCCAUGAAAACGAGGAGGAGGAAGAAGAAAACUCCCCCCCCCCCCCAGCGGAGGGAGGAGAGAAGAGGAAGGCCGCCCCAACGGGGGAGGCCGAGGGGUCUAGGAAAAGGAAGACCCCUCCGCCAGACUACGCCCCCGACGCCGAAGAGGGCGAAGAGGAGUGGCCGAACAGGGCCAAACGUCCGGCGAAAUCGUAAGUUCGGAUAUCAGAGUAACUCAUGAUGUUCCUUUGUUGCACAGCUUUCCCUAAUGUCGAAUGUAAUUAUGCAGUCCGCCCCGGGCCAAAUUCGACGAAUCAUCGUGCGGCUCCCUGGACUCAUCGGACGUGAACUCAGUUCCGCCCGCUGUCUCCCCCCGCACUGUGGACGACGCCGAAGUGGCGUCGCGACAAGCCCCGGGGCAGGAGGAGGUGGUCCCGGAGGAGCCACAAGGCAACCUCCCGGACUCCAGGAGUGAAGGGGACAAGACCCCCCAGGGCUCCAAGUCUGGCUUUGAGCCGGACACCGCACCGGAAUCUACAACAGUUCCGGACCGCGGUAGGCGAACUCCUUCCAAGAGGAGUAAGCCUUCUGAGCCGGCGUCCUCCGUCCAGCCGAAGGCGCCGGAAAAUCUGCUGGAGGAGCUUAAGGGCGCCUCCAUCGACGAGGAGCACCAUGCCAUCAUGAGUAUGGUGGUCCAGAAGGUUCGGUCCGCCAAAAGCGGACUGACUGAAGCUUGUAAAAAUAUGUAAAAAUAUUACCGUAUAGACAGUAGCCCCUGAUGCUCUGUUUGGCGUUCGGAAAGAAAAGCUGGAUAGAGGAUCUAUUAAAUAUCGCAGGAGUCUAACUAAAAAGCAGUCAAUAUACGUAUGCAGGCUUCGCUGCUGGCCACCGCUGCACUGACUGCGGAGGUGGGUGCCCUGAAACAGGGCCUCGAGCGGACCGAGCAAGAGCUCGGCCUUGCCAAACGGCAGCUCGAGGAGAAAGAAGGUAAGAAAUACCUUACAGAAAAAGUGCCUAUAAAAAGACCUGAUUGCAAAAAAUAACAGGAUUGUACUGCUUAUUGUAGGGGCCACGACUGAGGUGGCGACCCUCAAGCAGGCGCUGUCCGAGGCCAAAAAGAAAACGGCCGUGGAGUGCACCGAGCGAGAGAAACUUGAGGCCCAGGUCAGCGAGGUGCAGCAGGAGCUUCAGGCUCUCAUGAAAAAACAUGAGAGUUUGGAGCUUGAGUCCAAGACGCAAGCGUAUGAGCUCGCGGCGGCCCUUGAGACUGCCAAGUCUGCCAAGGCCGAAGCCCAAAAGGCCCUCCAAGAGUUGGAGGAGAUGAAAAAGAUAGCGGCGGGUAAGGCAUUCUUUAUGCAAAGCAGAAGUAUAAAAGUGAAGUACUUGUUACUUACCCGAAUCCAGAGCUCUCCAGGGGCAUUCGCAGAUCUUCCCCGCGGCGUAUCUGACGCCGCUGCAUUCUACCGAGCCGAAGAGGGCAGCUCGACGGAGAAGGUGUUCUGGUUUCAGUAUGCUGAGGCCGGACACCCUGUGCCCUUGAGCGACCAGCUGAAACAGCUGGUCGAGCUCCACAAGGCGGCCGAGCAGGCCAUGAAGGGCUUCAUAGUUCGGCUGUGGCCCGGAGAGGCCCUGCCUGGGAGCUACUUCGGGUUGGUGUGGCGACUGGUGGAGGCCUGUCCAAGGCUCGAGGUCAUUAAGUGCUCCGUCUGCAUCGAAGGUGCCCGUAGGGCCCUUGCCCGUGCAAAGGUGCACUGGGGCAAGCUGGACGGUGAGAAGCUUGUGAGGGACGGGCCGCCGCCGGGGAAGGAGCAUCGCAAGCCCGAGAACUACUAUAAGGAUGUUCUAGCGGGUGCCCGCCUUGUGGCGGAUGAAUGUACCAAGGAUGUAAUUUUUUAAUGAACUCGCUCGUGUUUAUCCUGUGUGCUGAAAAGUUGUUCAUAUGCGCUAAGCAAUGCUUGUUGAAUUUAAAAUAUUACUUUCUGUGCGGCCGUUUAUCAAAAAUUGAGAGAUGGCCAGUCGGCGGCUUCUGCCCCCAUGCCACUAGUGCUGGGGUGUUCGGGAUAAACCUGAGCGCUCUUUUUCCCAUAGUUGGAUCCUUCGAGGGAGGCGCUCAGCACAACGAACCAGGCAAUCGGACUAUAAUGCUUGAACACUCUAACUUAGCCAUAGAACUCUAUAAUUUUAAAUUUCGGCGAAGCCCCUAGUUCGGAAGACCGAGUUCGGGGCGCUAUCCACGCCUUGGCCGGACAAAGCCGGCUCCUCGCUCGAAGCGGCAUAAGUCUUUAGGGACUCGAAAAACCUGUCGAACAGCGACCGGUCUCUCACCAUAUCAUGACAGUCAGUUUUACCUUUCUCCACUGAGGUGCUUAACCCAGCUCAACCGGGGCACAAUCGCAGUGGUUCUCCUAGUGCUACCUUAGCCGAUAUAGCGGAACGUAAGGCACCAAAACAUAGGAGCCAGGCAAACGCAACUAUUGACCCAAAUCAUGAUACGGAGCCGAUGCAUAUAGUGCUAUAAGUUCGGGGUGCCGUACUUGUGAAAGUGUACGGACUUCUCACGCCAUAUUUAUGGGUACUAAAGCCCCUGACGUAUUUUGCCGUACCACGGUGUACGGGUGCAACAUGUCAUAAACAUAUAUAUGAAAAGGUGAUAAUGCGAAAAAUAGACAGAAAGCUAUCCAUUGUUUAUAGAGAGGCUAUUUAUCAAAGCCGAACGAUACAAAUAGUGCGGUAAGCAAAAAAUAUUGGACUAUUUAGUAUGUCCUGACCAGGAGCAGGCCGCGGAAUUGUGUUUAAAACAGGUAUACCGCUCGUAACAGAGACCACCUGGGAGUUCCAUAAUGCGGCAUGGCUUGUCUUCCUCCCUGGAUCUUGCAUCGUUUGUGCGGCCGUCGAAUUGCCGAACAGGUCGUCCGAAGUAUGGAGUCCUGAAAGUAAGAAAAAAAUUAAAAAAAGAAUCCGGCAGCCCCUAGUACGUUUUAAGUCGUAUUUUGGGCGUGCCGUUAUUGCCCCUUCCCCUGUGCCCAUGGUAUUUCAAGGGCGUAGUUAUGUACGCGGGGUACUGGUUUCGCUAUGUCGCGAAAGCUGGGGUUGGGGCCACAUUGCUACGCUUGCUUAGAGUGUGCCAGGCGGUCCUGCUGUGGGUUACUCCAGGGGCGCCUGGCAGUGUCUGGCUUUUUAAUGGCCGGACUAGAGAAUUGCCUGAGAAGGCUACUUUGUACCUCCGCUGCGAGAGCCGCCGUAUGCUCCCCCAUAUGGAGGGAGCGUUCGGUGUUUCCGUUGACCGUAAUUACUCCUCGAGGGCCUGGCAUCUUGAGCUUGAUAUAUGCGUAGUGCAGCACCGCAUUGAACUUUGAGAAUGCAGUUCGUCCGAGCAGGGCGUGAUAGCCACUGCGAAACGGGACUAUAUCGAAGAUUAACUCUUCGCUUCGGAAAUUGUCCGGGGAUCCGAAGACCACGUCAAGUGUUACUGAGCCUGUACAGUUGGCUUCUACACCUGGUAUAAUGCCUUUAAAGGUCGUUCUUGUGGGCUUAAUCCUUGAGGGAUCUAUGCCCAUUUUCCGCACUGUAUCCCGAUAAAGCAGGUUCAGGCUACUGCUGCCGUCCAUGAGGACUCUUGUGAGAUGAAAUCCGUCGAUGAUUGGGUCGAGAACCAAUGCGACGAAGCCGCCAUGACGGAUGCUAGUGGGAUGGUCCCUUUGAUCAAAAGUGAUUGGGUAGGAGGACCAUGGGUUGAACUUUGGGGCGACUGGCUCCAUCGCGUAUAUGUCUCGCAGCGCACGCUUCCGCUCCCGCUUGGGAAUGUGGGUUGCAUUUAUCAUGUUCACCGUCCGCACUUGUGGGGGAAAGCCCUUCUGUCCAUUGUUGUUCGGCGGCUUGGGAUCCUCAUCGUCGUUGUGCAGCCCCUUUUUCUCUGUUUUUGGCCCUUAACUUGCCUGCCUGCUUGAACACCCAACAAUCCCUAUUAGUGUGAUUGGCUGGCCUUUCGGGGGUGCCAUGUAUCUGGCACAAGCGAUCGAGUAUUCGGUCCAAACUGGACGGGCCCUGAGUAUUCUUUUUGAAUGGCUUUUUCCGCUGACCGGAUUUAUAGCCUUUGAAUCCGGCAUUGACUGCCGUGUCUUCAUUGCUGUUGCUGCUAACGCGGCGUUUUUGCUUAUUCCGACGUGUCCUGCCACUUUUGUCCUUGGUAUCCGAAUUACCAGGGUUCUUUGAUAAGUUGUUACUGCGAGCUAGCCAGCUAUCUUCUCUCGCGCAAAAGCGGGUCAUGAGUGUCGUGAGGGCUGCCAUGGAUUUCGGCUUUUCCUGUCCCAGGUGCCGGGCAAGCCACUCGUCGCAGAUGUUAUGCUUCAAGGCUGCCAGGGCCUCUGCGUCCGGAUAGUCGACUAUCUGGUUUUUCUUUGUUAGGAACCAUGUCCAGAAUUGUCUGCCGAUUCCUCUGGCUGCUGAAUUAUGUGGCUUAAGUCGUCGGCAUCCGGUGGUCGCACGUAAGUGCCCUAGAAGUUGUCGAGGAAUGCGGCUUCCAGGUCCUCCCAAGAACCGAUUGAGUCUGCUGGCAAGCUGUUAAGCCAAUGCCGGGCCGGUCCUUUAAGUUUGAGCAGGAGCUAUUUGAUGGCGUGUAGAUCAUCGCCGCGUGCCAUGUGGAUGUGAAGGAGAUAAUCCUCGAUCCAUACCGCCAGAUCUGUUGUGCCAUCGUAUGAUUCGAUGUUUACGGGUUUGAAACCCUCUCGGAUUUUAUGAUCCAUUACUUCGUUCGUGAAGCAUAGCGGGUGUGCGGCGCCUCUGUAUUGGGCUAUAUCAUGACGCAGCUCGGAAGAGCUAUGUCUGUUGUGUUCGGCCCGGCCGGAUUUGUUGUAUCCGGAGUGAAGAUCAUUGUCACAUGCUGUAGGGUGGCUGCGCGAUCCGUAGAUCGAUCUUUUUUGUCUUGCCUUAUCCUCCAGUAUGUCUCGCAGAUCGGGCGCAUUUUCCCGUGCCUUAUUUACGCACCGUCGGGGCAUGGCUUGGGUGGAGGGCCGAGAGGCCUCUCUGUCGCGGCCGUGAGGUGGCCGGUCUGCCAUGUCAUUCGCUGGUGACGUAGGUACUUCCUCCUCUGAUCGGGGUAGCGGCCUGCGCUUCGGGUAACUCUUGGAGGGGCGUUCGUGUUCAUACUCUUCGGCUGCAAGGACUUCAGUCCAUCUGUCAGCUAGCAAAUCUUGGGCGGCUGUAAGCUGUUGCUGCUUUUUCUGGAGGCUGCUUGCCAUGGCUAAAAGCCUGUGUUUAAAACGCUCUUGUUCGGCGGGGUCUGAUGGUAUGACGAAUUUGUCGUCAUCGAGGCUUGCCUCGUCUCCAGAGGGAGGCGUAUAGUUAUCAUCCUCGACUUCUCGGUCUGCCGCUCUCUCAUGAGGGCUGGCUACUCCAUCUCCCUGUGCCGAAUCUUGCUGAGGUGGGUGUUCUUCGGCGUUAUCCGGGGUAGUAUUAUCUCCCGUGCCGGAAUCACCGUUUUUGCUUUGGCUGUUUCUUGGGGGCGUCAUCCCCCACUAUUCCAUCACCAUCUCCAUCUUUUGGAGUAUCCACCAUAUAUAUGUCAUAUGACGAGGUGGCCUUCCAGCGCCCUAUAGGUGUUGGUUCCUAUUCGUCUCCUACUUCGUCGUCCAUGCCGUCGAUGUCUUCGGAGCCGAAGUCACGCAUGUCGGUUAAAUCAUCGACAGUGGCUACAAAGUGGGUGGUGGGUGGGCUUUGAAUUUCCUCAUCGUCCGUAUCCCACCCUCGCUGACCGUAGUCCGGCCAGGGCUCUCUUGAUAAAGAGAGAGACUUAAGAGAAUUCCGGAUGUCACCAAAAGGCGAAUGCUGAAAGAUGUCUGCGGCGGUGAACUCCAUUAUCGGCGCCCAAUUGGAUUCGAUUGGCAGGGGCGCAGGGGGUUUGGAGUCCGGGAAGGAGUCCGGAUCCUCGGAGUCACGGGUCGUCCAGAGUGCGGGGCUAGCGUUCAGCUCGAUCGCUUUCGGGAUCGCAGCCCCUGAGGUGACGUCCAGCCACUCAUCCUCGAUUGGCGCAAUAGGCAUCGAGUUAGGGGUCAGAACCGAUGCGUGUGCGGCCUCCAGGACACUGUCCGGGGGCAGAGCUAGAUCAUGCCCCUCGAGAUAGUGCGGCGCGCUUGACCGUGGCUCGAGCCCGUCGAAGAUCAAGUCUCCGCGGAUGUCAGCCGUGUAGUUUAAGCUUCCAAACCUGACUUGAUGGCUAGGGGCGUAGCUUUCGAUCUGCUCCAGGUGGCCGAGCGAAUUGGCCCGCAGAGCAAAGUUGCCGAAGACGAAGAUCUGUUCGGGGAGAAAAGUAUCACCCUCGACCGCAUCGUUGUUGAUGAUCAAAGGAGCCAUCGGGCCUAAAGGCGACGACACAGAGGAACUCUCAAUGAAAGCACCAAUGUCGGUGUCAAAACCGGCGGAUCUCGGGUAGUGGGUCCCGAAUUGUGCGUCUAGGCCGGAUGGUAACAGGAGGCAGGGAACACGAUGUUUUACCCAGGUUCGGGCCCUCUUGAUGGAGGUAAAACCCUACGUCCUGCUUGAUUAAUAUUGAUGAUAUGGGUAGUACAAGAGUAGAUCUACCACGAGAUCAAGGAGGCUAAACCCUAGAAGCUAGCCUAUGGCAUGAUUGUUGUGUAUGGAGUUGAUUACCUACGGACUACAACCCUCCAGUUUAUAUAGACACCGGAUAGGGUUAGGGUUACAUAGAGUCGGUUAUAAUGGUAGGAGAUCUUGAAUAUCCACAUCGCCAAUCUUGCCUUCCACGCUAAGGAAAGUCCCAUCCGGACACAGGACAAAGUCUUCAAUCUUGUAUCUUCAUAGUCCAGGAGUCCGGCUGAAGGUCUAGUCCGGCUACCCGAACACCCCCUAAUCCAGGACUCCCUCACCGGUUCUUACACCAACUGGGAGAGAUGGGCUUCCACGUGGCCGCUGCGGCGAGCCCAGGCAGGAGGUCCUUUGGUCCCGGUUAGUGACACUGAUACGUCUCCGACAUAUCUAUAAUUUUUGAUUGCUCCAUGCUAUUAUGUUAUCCAUUUUGGAUGUUAAUGGGCUUUAUUUUACACCUUUAUAUCAUUUUUGGGACUAACCUACUAAUUGGAGGCCAAACCCAAAUUGCUGUUUUUUUUGCCUAUUUUAGGUUUUCGAAGAAGAGGAAUAUCAAACGGAGUCCAAACGGAAUGAAAACUUCGGGAACGUGAUUUUCUCAACGAACAUGAUCCAGGAGACUUGGAGUGUGCGCCAAGAAAUAAGGGAGGAAGGCACGAGGCAGGGGUCGCGCCUACCCCCCUUGGGCGUGCCCUCCACCCUCGUGGGCCCUCCACUGCUCCACCGACGUACUUCUUCCUCCUAUAUAUAUACACGUACCCCCCCAAACAACCAGGAGCACCAUGAAAACCUAAAUCCACCGCCGCAACCUUCUGUACCCGAGAGAUCCCAUCUUGGGGCCUUUUCCGGAGGGGGCAUCGAUCACGGAGGGCCUCUACAUCAACUGCAUGGCCUCUCCGAUGAUGUGUAAGUAGUUUACUUCAGACCUACGGGUCCAUAGUUAUUAGCUAGAUGGCUUCUUCUCUCUCUUUGGAUCUCAAUACAAAGUUCUCCUCGAUGUUCUUGGAGAUCUAUUCGAUGUAAUCUUCUUUUGCGGUGUGUUUGUCGAGAUCCGAUGAAUUGUAGGUUUAUGAUCCAGAUUAUCUAUGGACAAUAUUUGAUUCUCCUCUGAAUUCUUUUAUGUAUGAUUCGUUUAUCUUUGCAAGUCUCUUCGAAUUAUCAGUUUGGUUUGGCCUACUAAAUUGAUCUUUCUUGCAAUGGGAGAAGUGCUUAGCUUUGGGUUCAAUCUUGCGGUGUUCGAUCCCAGUGACUGAAAGGGAACCGAUAUUUAUUGUAUUGUUGCCAUCGAGGAUAAAAAGAUGGGGUUUAUAUCAUAUUGCAUGAGUUUAUCCCUCUACAUCAUGUCAUCUUCCUUAAAGCAUUACUCUGUUCUCUUGAACUUAAUACUCUAGAUGCAUGCUGGAUAGCGGUCGAUGUGUGGAGUAAUAGUAGUAGAUGCAGAAUCGUUUCAGUCUACUUGUCUCGGACCUGAUGCAUAUAUACAUGAGCAUAACUAUAUAUUCUCAUAACUAUGCUCAAUUCGAUCAAUUGCUCGACAGCAAUUCGUUUACCCACCGUAAUACUUAUGCUCUUGAGAGAAGCCACUAGUGAAACCUAUGGCCUCGGGGUCUAUCUUCUAUCAUAUUAAUCCUCCAAUACUUAGUCAUUUCUAUUUCUAUUUAUUUUAUUUUGCAUCUUUUAUUUCUCUUUAUCAUAAAAAUACCAAAAAUCUUAUCUUAUCAUAUCUAUCAGAUCUCACUGUCGUAAGUGACCGUGAAGGGAUUGACAACCCCUUUAUCGCGUUGGUUGCGAUGUUCUUAUUUGUUUGUGUAGGUUCGUGGGACUUGAGCAUGAUCUCCUACUGGAUUGAUACCUUGGUUCUCAAAAACUAAGGGAAAUACUUACGCCGAUUUAUUUCAUCACUCUUUCUUCUUCAAGGGAAAACCAACGCAAUGCUCAAGAGGUAGUGUCGGUGUCAAAACCGGCGGAUCUCGGGUAGUGGGUCCUGAACUGUGCGUCUAGGCCGGAUGGUAACAGGAGGCAGGGAACACGAUGUUUUACCCAGGUUCGGGCCCUCUUCAUGGAGGUAAAACCCUAUGUCCUGCUUGAUUAAUAUUAAUGAUAUGGGUAGUACAAGAGUAGAUCUACCAUGAGAUCAAGGAGGCUAAACCCUAGAAGCUAGCCUAUGGUAUGAUUGUUGUAUAUGGAGUUGAUUGCCUACGGACUACAACCCUCCGAUUUAUAUAGACACCGGAUAGGGUUAGGGUUACAUAGAGUCGGUUACAAUGGUAGGAGAUCUUGAAUAUCCGCAUCGCCAAGCUUGCCUUCCACGCCAAGGAAAGUCCCGUCCGGACACGGAACGAAGUCUUCAAUCUUGUAUCUUCACAGCCCAGGAGUCCGGCUGAAGGUAUAGUCCGGCUAUCCGAACACCCCCUAAUCCAGGACUCCCUCAGUAGCCCCUGAACCAGGCUUCAAUGACGACGAGUCCGGCACGCAAAUUGUCUUCGGCAUUGCAAGGCGGGUUCCUCCUCCAAGUCCUUCAUACAAGAUUGUAAGCACCAAGAGUAGUGUCCGACUCUGCAAAAUAAGCUUCCACAUAUCGCCAUAGAGAGAAUAAUAUUAACACAAAUCAAAUCCGCUGACGUAUUCCGCAGUGCGUCAUCACACUACAGCCAAGUCCUUCACUCGAAUCGUUUUCACUUUUCCACCCCAGUGUGUUUUGCGAGGUGGUUUCCUUGGCACGUCUUGUCAAAGCAGAGAUCGUGUCCCCUUUGUUUACGGGAUUCUCGUUAAUACGGACGUGGGUAACCCAACCGCGCCACUUAUCAUGGCGCUUGGGAGGCAAGCGAGUUCUACUAGGCUGGUGGGGACGCAUAGUCGCAUCCGCCCAUAUAAGGGGAUAAGGAUCCACCUUUUUACCUAUGCCUUCUUCCUCCUUUGCCUAUCCAUCUUCUGCGCACCCGAGCUCUAGUGCCCCAUCCCGCGCUUCCUACCUCAACCCUCUCCAACAAUGUCCGGAGCGGGAGGCAAGUGGAUGGUCUCCUCCGUCACGAAGGGCCAUGUCAAAAGGUUAAGGAAGGCCGGAUACUUGUCCAAAGACAUCGCGCACCGGCUUCCUGAGGAGGGGCAGCUUCUCCCCACCCCAAGGCCCCAUGAGAGGGUAGUAUUUCUUCCCCACUUCCUCCGCGGACUGGGUUUUCCUAUCCACCCAUUUGUCCGCGGGCUCCUGUUCUACUAUGGCCUAGAUUUCCAUGAUCUGGCCCCGAACUUCAUCCUGAAUAUCUCGGCAUUUAUCGUCGUGUGCGAGGCUUUCCUCUGCAUUCGCCCCCAUUUCAGCCUCUGGCUCAAGACCUUCAACGUCAAGCCAAAGGUGGUGCGCGGUAACCAGGCGGAGUGCGGAGGUGCCAUGGCGGGAGAAAUUGCCAACGUCCUAGGGCUCGAGGGCUCCUUUGUGGAGACCUUGAAGGGGUGGUAGUCAGGGUGAUUUUACAUCACCGAGCCACGCGAUCCGAAGUGGAUCGCAGCCCCUGAAUUCCGAUCCGGACCCCCUACACGGCUCACGUCCUGGAAGGAGACGAGCUUGUCGUGGGGCGACGAAGGAGAGUUGACCGGACUGCAAAAAUGCAUCCAGUCCCUGGUGAACAAGCAGCUCAAGCUUGUCAACGUAAUCUAGGUCAUGCUCGUCCGCCGGAUCCUUCCGUGUCAAGAACGGGACAUCAAUUUGUGGGAGUUCAACCCGGUGCAGCAACGAACUCUGAGAAGGCUCUUUGACACGACGUACGAAGUUGUCUGGAGGGGGCUAACCAAAGGCGCCGAGGCUCCCACAUCCGCCUCCGAUGACCGCGGAUUCAGCUCGCAGCGUCCUGCUGGCGAGGUAAGAUAUUUCCAUCUUUUACAGGAUAUUAAGUUUUUUCAUAGUUGACUCUAUGCGGGAUCUAAACUCCCUCACCUUUGACAGGAUUGGCGGGAGAAGUCCGGACAGAUUAACUGCCCGGCUCCCUUGCCAAGCCGGAGAAGAGGGCCAAGAAGAAGAAGGCCACGGGGACUCGAAAGAGUUCCUGGCAUAUGGUGGUGUCGGACUCGUCGUCCGACGAGUCCGAGAUGCACUCCUCCCGUGAAUACGAGGAGGAAGAAGAAACCUCUCCCCCUCCAGCGGGGGGAGGAGAGAAGAGGAAGGCCGCCCCAGUAGGGGAGGCCGAGGGGUCCAAGAAGAGGAAAACCCAUCCGCCGGACUACGUCCCCGACACCGACGAGGACGAAGAGGAGUGGCCGGACAGGGCCAAGCGUCCGGCGAGAUCGUAAUUCUUCGGAUACCAGAGUAACUCGUGAUAUUCCUUUUGUUGCACAGGUUUCGCUAAUGUCAGAUAUAAUCAUGCAGUCCACCCAAGGACGGGCACGACGAGUCGUCGAGCGGCUCCCUGGAUUCAUCGGACGCGAAUUCAGUUCCGCCUACUGCUUCCCCCUAUGCUGCAGAUGACGCCGAAGUGGCGUCGCGACAAGCUCCGGGGCGAGAGGAGGUGGUCCAGGAGGAGUCGCGAGGUGACCUCCCGGACUCCAGGAGUGAAGGGGACAAGACCCCCAUGGGCUCCAAGUCCGGCUUUAAGCUGGACACUGCGCCGGAAUCAUCAAUGGUUCCGGACCGCGGUAGGCGAACUCCUGCCAAGAGGAGCAAGCCUACUGAGCCGGCAUCCUCCGUCCAGCCGGAGGCGCCGCACAAUCUGGUGGAGGAGCUUAAGGGCGCCUCCAUCGACGAGGAGCAUCGUGCCGUCAUGAGUACGGUGAUCCAGAAGGUUCGGUCCGCCAAAAGCGGACUGACUGAAGCUUGUGCUAGCCUUCUAACAGGCUUCGAGGUAAGUAAAAAUAUGUAAAAAUAUUACCGUAUAGACAGUAGCCCCUGAUGCUCUGUUUGGCGUUUGUAAAGAAAAGCCAAAUAGAGGAUCUAUUAAAUAUCCCAGGAGUCUAACUAAAAAGGAGUCAAUAUACGUAUGUAGGCUUCGCUGCUGGCCAUCGCCGCACUGACUGCGGAGGUGGGUGCCCUUAAGCAGGGCCUCCAGCGGACCGAGCAAGAGCUCGGCCUUGCCAAACGGCAGCUCGAGGAGAAAGAAGGUAAGAUAUACCUUAGAGAAAAAGUGCCUAUAAAAAGGCUUGAUUGCAAAAAGAGUAACAGGAUUGUACUGCUUAUUGUAGGGGCUACGACUGAGGUGGCGACCUUUAAGCAGGUGUUGUCUGAGGCCGAAAAGAAAACGGCCGCGGAGCGCACCGAGCGAGACAGACUUGGGGCUCAGGUCAGCGAGGUGCAGCAAGAGCUUCAGGCUCUCAUGAAAAAACAUGAGAGUUUGGAGCUGGAAUCGAAGGCGCAAGCAUCCGAGCUUGCAAUGGCCCUAGAGGCUGCCAAGUCUGCCAAGGCCGAAGCCCUAAAGGCCCUCCAAGAGUUGGAGGAGAUGAGGAAGAUAGCAGCGGGUAAGGCAUUCUUUAUGCAAAGCAGAAAUAUAAAAGUGAACUACCUGUUACUUACCCAAAUCCGAAGCUCUCCAGGGGCAUUCGCAGAUCUUCCCAGCAGCGUAUCCGACGCCGCCGCAUUCUGCCAAGCUGAAGAGGGUAGCUCGACGGAGAAGGUGUUCUGGUUUCAGUAUUCUAAGGCCGGACACCCUGUGCCCUUGAGCGACCAGCUGAAACAGCUGGUUGAGCUCCACAAGGCGGCCGAGCAGGCCAUGAAGGGCUUCAUAGUUCGGCUGUGGCCCGGAGAGGCCCUACUUGGGAGCUAUUUCGGGCUAGUGCGGCGGCUUGUGGAGGCCUGUCCGAGGCUUGAGGUCAUCAAGUGCUCCGUCUGCAUCGAAGGUGCCCGUCGGGCCCUUGCCCGUGCAAAGGUGCACUGGGGUAAGCUGGAUGGUGAGAAGCUUGUGAAGGACGGGCCGCCGCCGGGGAAGGAGCAUCGCAAGCCCGAGAACUACUACAAGGAUGUUCUUGCAGGUGCCCGCCUUGUGGCGGAUGAAUGUACCAAGGAUGUGAUAUUUGAAUGAACUCGCUCGUGUUUAUCCUGUGCGCUGAAAACUUGUUCAUAUGCGCUAAGCAAUGCUUAUUGAAUUUAAAAUAUUACUUUCUGUGCGGCCAUUUAUCAAAAAUUGAGAGAUGGCCAGUCGUCGGCUUUUGCCCCCGUGCCACUAGUGCUGGGGUGUUCGGGAUAAACCUGAGCGCUCUUUUUCCCAUAGUUGGGUCCUUCGAGGGAGGCGCUCACCACAACGAAUCAGGCAAUCAGACUAUAAUGCUUGAACACUCUCACUUAGCCAUAGAGCUCUAUAAUUUUAAAUUUCGGUGAAGCUCCUAGUUUGGAAGACCGAGUUCGGGGCGCUAUCCACGCCUUGGCCGGACAAAGCCAGCUCCUCGCUCGAAGCGGCAUAAGCCUUUAGGGACUCGAAAAACCUCUCGAACAGCGACUGGUCUCUCGCCACAUCAUGACAGUCAGUUUUAGCUUUCUCCACUGAGGUGCUUAACCCAGCUGAACCGGGGCACAAUCGCAGUGGUUCUCCUAGUGCUACCUUAGCCGAUAGAGCGGAACGUAAGGCACCAAAACAUAGGAGCCGGGCAAACCCAACUAUUGACCCAAAUCAUGAUUCGGAGCCGAUGCAUAUAGUGCUAUAAGUUCGGGGUGCCGCACUUGUGAAAGCGUACGGACUUCUCACACCAUUAUGAGGGGUUCUGAAGCCCCUGGCGUGUUUGCCAUACCAUGGUGUACGGGUGCAAUCAUGUCAUUUAAUAAACAUAAAUGUGAAAAGAAGACAACGCAAAAAAUAGACUAGAAGCUAAGCAUUGUUUAUAGAGAGGCUAUUUAUCAAAGCCGGACGAUACAAAUACUGAAGUAAGCAAAAGAUAUUGGACUAUUCAGUAUGUCCUGACCAGGGGCAGGCCGCGGAAUUGUAUUUAAAACAGGUAUACCGCUCGUAACAGAGACCACAUGGGAGUUCCAUAAUGCGUCAUGGCUUGUCUGCCUCCCUGGAUCUUGCAUCGUUUGUGCGGCAGUCGAAUAUCCGAACAGGUCAUCCGAAGUAUGGAGUCCUGAAAGAAGAAAAAAUUAAAAAAAGAAUCCGGCAGCCCCUAGUACGUAUUAAGCCGUAUUUUGGGCAUGUCGUUAUUGUGCCCCUUCUCCUGUGCCCAUGGUAUUUCAAGGGCGUAGUUAUGUCCGCGAGGUACUGGUUUCGCUAUGUCGCGAAAGCUGGGGUUGGGGCCGCAUUGCUACGCUUGCUCAGAGUGUGCCAGGCGGUCCUGCUGUGGGUUACUCCGGGCGUGCUUGGCAGUGCCUGGCUUUUUAAUGGCCGGACCGGAGAAUUGCCUGAGAAGGCUACUUUGUACCUCCGCUGCGAGAGCCACCGUAUGCUCCUCCAUACGGAGGGAGCGUUCGGUGUUUCCGUUGACCGUAAUUACUCCUUGAGGGCCUGGCAUCUUGAGCUUGAGAUAUGCGUAGUGCGGCACCGCGUUGAUCUUUGCGAAUGCGGUUCGUUCGAGCAGGGCAUGAUAGCCACUGCGAAACGGUACUAUAUCGAAGAUUAACUCUUCGCUUCGGAAAUUAUCCGGGGACCUGAAGACCACAGCAAGUGUUACUGAGCCUGUACAAUUGGCUUCUACACCUGGUAUAACGCCUUUAAAGGUUGUUCUUGUGGGCUUAAUCCUUGAGGGAUCUAUGCCCAUUUUCCGCACUGUAUCCUGAUAAAGCAGGUUCAGGCUAAUGCCGCCGUCCAUGAGGACUCUUGUGAGAUAAAAUCCUUCGAUGAUUGGGUCGAGAACCAAUGCGGCAAAGCCGCCAUGACGGAUGCUAGUGGGAUGGUCCCUUCGAUCGAAAAUGAUCGGGCAGGAGGACCAUGGGUUGAACUUUGGGGCGACUGGCUCCAUCGCAUAUACGUCCCGUAGUGCAUGCUUCCGCUCCCGCUUGGGAAUGUGGGUUGCGUAUAUCAUGUUCACCGUCCACACUUGUGGGGGAAAGCCCUUCUGUCCAUUGUUGUUCGGCGGCUUGGGCUCCUCCUCGUCGCUGUGCAGCCCCUUGUCUCUAAUUUCGGCCCUUAACUUGCCUGCCUGCUUGAACACCCAACAAUCCUGUUAGUGUGAUUGGCUGGCCUUUCGGGGGUGCCAUGUGUCUGGCAUAAGCGAUCGAGUAUUCGGUCCAAACUGGACGGGCCCUGAGUAUUCUUUUUGAAUGGCUUUUUCCGCUGACCGGAUUUAUAGCCUUUGAAUCCGGCAUUGACUGCCGUGUCUUCAUUGCUGUCGCUGCUAACGCGGCGUUUUUGCUUAUUCCGACGUGUCCUGCCACUUUUGUCCUUGGUAUCCGAAUUACCAGGGUUCUUUGAUAAGUUGUUACUGCGAGCUAGCCAGCUGUCUUCUCCCGCGCAAAAGCGGGUCAUGAGUGUCAUGAGGGCUGCCAUGGAUUUCGUCUUUUCCUGUCCCAGGUGCCGGGCAAGCCACUCGUCGCAGAUGUUAUGCUUCAAGGCUGCCAGGGCCUUUGCGUCCGGACAGUCGACUAUCUGGUUUUUCUUUGUUAGGAACCGUGUCCAGAAUUGUCUGGCCGAUUCCUCUGGCUGCUGAAUUAUGUGGCUUAAGUCGUCGGCAUCCAGUGGUCGCACGUAAGUGCCCUGGAAGUUGUCGAGGAAUGCGGCUUCCAGGUCCUCCCAAGAACCGAUUGAGUCUGCUGGCAAGCUGUUAAGCCAAUGCCGGGCCGGUCCUUUAAGUUUGAGCGGGAGGUAUUUGAUGGCGUGUAGAUCAUCGCCGCAUGCCAUGUGGAUGUGAAGGAGAUAAUCCUCGAUCCAUACCGCCGGAUCUGUUGUGCCAUCGUAUGAUUCGAUGUUUACGGGUUUGUAACUCUCUGGGAUUUUAUGAUCCAUUACUUCAUUCGUGAAGCAUAGUGGUUGUGCGGGUCCUCUGUAUUGGGCUAUAUCACGACGCAGCUCGGACGAGCUAUGUCUGUUGUGUUCGGCCCGGGGCCGGAUUUGUCGUAUCCGGAGUGAAGAUCAUUUUCCCGUGCCUUAGUUGAGCGGUGUCGGGGCAUGCCUUGGGUGGAGGGCCGAGACGCCUCUCUGUCGGGGCCGCGAGGUGGCCGGUCUGCCAUGUCAUGCGCUGGUGAUGUAGGUGCUUCCUCCUCUGAUCGGGGUAGCUGCCUGCGCUUCGGGUAACUCUUGGAGGGGCGUUCGAGUUCAUACUCUUCGGCCGCAAGGACUUCAGUCCAUCUGUCAGGUAGCAAAUCUUGGGCAGCUCUAAGCUGUUGCUGCUUUUUCUUGAGGCUGCUUGCCGUGGCUAAAAGCCUGCGUUUAAACGCUCUUGUUCGGCGGGGUCUGAUUGUAUGACGAAUUCGUCGUCAUCGAGGCUUGCCUCGUCUUCGGAGGGAGGCGUAUAGUUAUCAUCCUCGACCUCUCAGUCUGCCGCUCUCUCAUGAGGGCUGGCUUCUCCAUCUUCCUGUGCCGAAUAUUGCUGAGGUUGGUGUUCUUCGGCGCUAUCCGGGGUAGUAUUAUCUCUCGUGUCAGAAUCACCGUUUUUGCUUUGGCGGGAUUUAGGGUGGCGCCGCUGGUGCCGGUGCUUUGGUUGUUUCUUGGGGGCGUCAUCCCCCACUGUUCCAUCGCCAUCUCCAUCUUUUGGAGUAUCCACCAUAUAUAUGUCAUACGACGAGGUGGCCUUCCAGCGCCCUACAGGUGCUGGUUCCUAUUCGUCUCCUACAUUGUCGUCCAGGCCGUCAAUGUCUUUGGAGCUGAAGUCAAGCAUGUCGGUUAGAUCGUCGAUACUGGCUACAAAGUGGGUGGUGGGUGGGCUUUGAAUUUCCUCAUCGUCCGUAUCCCACCCUCGCUGACCGUAGUCCGGCCAGGGCUCUCCUGAUAAAGAGAGAUACUUAAGAGAAUUCAGGAUGUCGCCAAAAGGCGAAUGCUGAAAGAUGUCUGUGGCGGUGAACUCCAUUAUCGGCGCCCAAUCGGAUUCGAUUGGCAGGGGCGCGGGUGGUUUGGAGUCCGGGGAGGAGUCCAGAUCCUCGGAGUCACCGGUCGUGCAGAGUGCGGGGCUAGCAUUCGGCUCGAUCGCUUUCGGGAUCGCAGCCCCCGAGGUGACGUCCAACCGCUCAUCCUCGAUUGGCGCAAUAGGUUCCGAGUUAGGGGUCGGAACCGAUGCGUGUGCGGCCUCCAGGACACUGGCCGGGGGCAGAGCUAGAUCAUGCCCCUCGGGAUAGUGCGGCGCGCUUGGCCGUGGCUCGAGCCCGUCGAAGAUCAAGUCUCCAUGGAUGUCUGCCGUGUAGUUUAAGCUUCCAAACCUGACUUGAUGGACAGGGGCGUAGCUUUCGAUCUGCUACAGGUGGCCGAGCGAAUUGGCUCGCAGAGCGAUGCCGCCGAAGACGAAGAUCUGUCCGGGGAGAAAAGUCUCACCCUGGACCGCAUCGUUGUUGAUGAUCAAAGGAGCCAUCGGGCCUAAAGGUGACGAGACAGAGGAACUCUCAAUGAAAGCACCAAUGUCGGUGUCAAAACCAGUGGAUCUCGGGUAGUGGGUCGCGAACUGUGCGUCUAGGCCGGAUGGUAACAGGAGGCAGGGAACACGAUGUUUUACCUAGGUUCCGGCCCUCUUGAUGGAGGUAAAACCCUAUGUCCUGCUUGAUUAAUAUUGAUGAUAUGGGUAGUACAAGAGUAGAUCUACCACGAGAUCAAGGAGGCUAAACCCUAGAAGCUAGCCUAUGGUAUGAUUGUUGUAUAUGGAGUUGAUUGCCUACGGACUACAACCCUCCGGUUUAUAUAGACACCGGAUAGGGUUAGGGUUACAUAGAGUCAGUUACAAUGGUAGGAGAUCUUGAAUAUCCACAUCGCCAAGCUUGCCUUCCACGCCAAGGAAAGUCCCGUCCGGACCCGGGACGAAGUCUUCAAUCUUGUAUCUUCAUAGCCCAGGAGUCCGGCUGAAGGUAUAGUCCGGCUACCCGAACACCCCCUAAUCCAGGACUCCCUCAGGUAGCAAGAUGGAUUUCUGGCGCCGUUGCCGGGGAGACUCGCGCCAAGUAAAGACAUACCAAGUACCCAUCACAAACCCUUAUCCCUCGCAUUACAUUAUUUUCCAUUUGCCUCUCGUUUUCCUCUCCCCCACUUCACCCUUGCCGUUUUAUGCGCCCUCUCUUUUUUCCUUCGCCUCUUUUCCACUUGCUUUGUCAUUAUGGCUAGUCCUUUAUCUACUCCUUUGUCUCCCGAGAAUGAAGUUCUUAAUUUUAAACAAAGGGAGGGAGAAAAUCUAAAAGAUGCUUGGUACAGAAUUUGCAACACGCAAAUUAGAUCUACUAGGAAACAAUCUACUUUUGUUCUUCUUCACAAUUUUUAUGUAGGCAUCACACCUAGGAAUAGAUAUAUUCUUGAUGCCAUUACCGGAGGGAAUUUCUUGGGUAGCCAUACUUUUGAUUCUUAUAAUGCUAUGAUAGAUCUGUUUGGCCCACCACCUCUUUUGGUUAAUGGAACUAUUUUAACUUUGGAACAUGUGAUGCAAUGGCUUGAAAUUAGUGAAAAUAAAGUUGCCACCAUAGAGUUAAUUGAAAAUUUGGAUAGAAAGAUCCACAACCAAAUUACCCAAUACGGAUCUAAGUUAGGAGUUGCUCUUAAAAGUUUUAAAGAAAAGGGACCUAUGGUUAAUGAAAAGAUAGAAAAAGAUUCCACUAGAAUUGUUAAAUUGAGGAUAUUAUUACCAACCUUGGGUCUUCCUUUUCUUCUAUUAUAAAUACUCUACCUAAUGCUAAGAUUGCCAAACUAAUGUAUGUUACAAAAAAUAAUGGUGAAACUUCUAAUAAGGAAAAUGCGGAUCUCAAAUCCAUAAGUGUUCACCCCAAUUUUCUCACUAUCCUGAAGGAACCUUUUGCUACAAAUGAUUUUCUUGAUUUCGUACCUAGGAGUUUGAUAAUUAAUAAAAACCAAGAAACUCCUAAAAGUUAUUGGUGUCUUAUUGAAGAAUCACCUUCCAAAGACGGCAAUACCUAGGUCUAUCUUCGCUUUUAUGCCUAGCUAGGGGCGUUAAACGAUAGCGCUUGUUGGGAGGCAACCCAGUUUUAUUUUUAUUCCUUGCUUUUUGCUCCUAUUUAGUAAUAAAUAAUUUAUGUAGCCUCUGUUUUGGUUUGUGUUUUUUGUGUUUAAUUUGUGUUUGUGCCAUGUAGAACCGUUGGGUAGACUUGGGGAAAGUCUUUUUGAUCUUGCUGUAAAAAACAGAAACGUUAGCGCUCACGAGAAUCGCUGACAUUUUUAUUUGGAAAGUGAUAUUUAGAUAAUUAUUUUUGCAGAUGAUUAAUAGAUAAAUUCCUCACGUCUAGAAAUUUAUUUUAUAAUUUUUGGGGUUACAGAAGUUUGCGUUAGGUACAGAUUACUACAGACUGUUCUGUUUUUGACAGAUUAUGUUUUUCGUGUAUUGUUUGCUUAUUUUGAUGAAUCUAUGGCUAGUAAAAGAGGUUAUAAACCGUAGAGAAGUUGGAAUACAGUAGGUUUAACACCAAUAUAAAUCAAGAUUGAGUUCAUAACAGUACCUUGAAGUGGUGUUUUGUUUUCUUUCGCUAACGGAGCUCACGAGAUUUUCUAUUUGAGUUUUCUGUUGUGAAGUUUUCAAGUUUUGGGUAAAGAUUUGAUGGAUUGUGGAACAAGGGGUGGCAAGAGCCUAAGCUUGGGGAUUCCCAUGGCACACCAAGGUAAAAUUCAAGGACACCAAAAAGCCUAAGCUUGGGGAUGCCCCGGAAGGCAUCCCCUCUUUCGUCUUCGUCUAUUGGUAACUUUACUUGGAGCUAUAUUUUUAUUCACCACAUGAUAUGUGUUUUGCUUGGAGCGUCUUGUAUGAUUUGAUUAUUUGAUUUUUAGUUUACCAAAAUCAUCCUUGCUGUACACACCUUUUGAGAGAGACUCACAUGAUUGGGAAUUUAUGAGAGUACUCGAUGUGCUUCACUUAUAUCUUUUGAGCUAUAUGGUUUUUGUUCUAGUUCUUCACUUAUAUAUUUUAGAGCACGGCGGUGGUUUUAUUUUAUAGAAAUAAUUGUUCUCUCAUGCUUCACUUAUAUUAUUUUGAGAGUCCUUUAGAACAACAUGGCAAUAAUAAAACUGUCAUACAAGUGCAUUGAAUACUAUGAGAAGUUUGAUACUUGAUAAUUGUUUUGAGAUAUGGAGAUGGUGAUAUUAGAGUCAUGCUAGUUGUGUAGUUGUGAAUUUGAGAAAUACUUGUGUUGAAGUUUGUGAUUCCCGUAGCAUGCACGUAUGGUGAACCGUUAUGUGACGAAGUCGGAGCAUGAUUUAUUUGUUGAUUGUCUUCCUUAUGAGUGGCGGUCGGGGAUGAGCAAUGGUCUUUUACUACCAAUCUAUCUCCCUAGGAGCAUGGGCAUAAUACUUUGCUUUGAUAACUUGUAGAUUUUUGCAAUAAGUAUGUGAGUUCUUUCUGACCAAUGUUGAGUCCAUGGAUUAUACGCACUCUCACCCUUCCACCAUUGCUAGCCUCUCUAAUACCGCGCACUUCUCGCCGAUAUCAUACACCCACCAUAUACCAUCCUCAAAACAGCCACCAUACCUACCUAUUAUUGCAUUUCCAUAGCCAUUCCGAGAUAUAUUGCCAUGCAACUUUUCAUCGUUCCAUUAUUAUGACACACUUCAUCAUUGUCAUAUUUGCUUGCAUGAUCAUGUAGUUGGCAUUGUAUUUGUGCAAAGCCACCGUUAAUAAUUCUUCAUACAUGUCACUCUUCAUUCACUUCAUAUCCCGGUACACCGCCGGAGGCAUUCACAUAGUCAUAUUUUGUUCUAAGUAUCGAGUUGUAAUUCUUGAGUUGUAAGUAAAUAAAAGUGUGAUGAUCAUCAUUAUUAGAGCAUUGUGCCAAGUGAGGAAAGGAUGGAGACUAUGAUUCCACAACAAGUCGGCAUGAGACUCCAGACGAAAAUAAAAAAAGAGGGGAAAAAGAGAAAGGCCAUAGAAAAAGAAGGCCCAAAAAAUGAGAGAAAAAGAGAGAAGGGGCAAUGUUACUAUCCUUUUUCCACACUUGUGCUUCAAAGUAGCACCAUCAUCUUCAUGAUAGAGAGUCUCCUAUGAUAUCACUUUCAUAUACUAGUGGGAAUUUUUCAUUAUAGAACUUGGCUUGUAUAUUCCAAUGAUGGGCUUCCUCAAAUUGCCCUAGGUCUUCGUGAGCAAGCAAGUUGGAUGCACACCCACUUAGUUUCUUUUGUUGAGCUUUCAUACACUUAUAGCUCUAGUGCAUCCGUUGCAUGGCAAUCCCUACUCACUCACAUUGAUAUCUAUUAAUGGGCAUCUCCAUAGCCCGUUGAUACGCCUGUUCCGGAGCUCCGCCGGAGGGGGCAUCGAUCACGGAGGGCUUCUACAUCAACAGCAUAGCCUCUUCGAUGAAGUGUGAGUAGUUGACCUCAGACCUAUGGGUCCAUAGUUAUUACCUAGAUGGCUUCUUUUCUCUUUUUGGAUCUCAAUACAAUGUUCUCCCCCUCUCUUGUGGAGAACUAUUCGAUGUAAUCUUCUUUUUGCGGUGUGUUUAUUGAGACCGAUGAAUUGUGGGUUUAUGAUCAAGUCUAUCUAUGAAUAAUAUUUGAAUCUUCUCUGAAUUCUUUUAUGUAUGAUUGUUUAUCUUUGCAAGUCUCCUCGAAUUAUCAGUUGGUUUGGCCUACUAGAUUGAUCUUUCUUACAAUGGGAGAAGUGCUUCGCUUUGGGUUCAAUCUUGCGGUGUCCUUUCCCAGUGACAAUAGGGGCAGCAAGGCAUGUAUUGUAUUGUUGCCAUCGAGGAAAACAAGAUGAGGUUUUCAUCAUAUUGCAUGAGUCUAUCCCUCUACAUCAUGUCAUCUAGCUUAAGGCGUUACUCUGUUUUUAACUUAAUACUCUAGAUGCAUGCUGGAUAGCGGUCGAUGAGUGGAGUAAUAGUAGUAGAUGCAGGCAGGAGUCGGUCUACUUGUCUCGGACGUGAUGCCUAUAUACAUGAUCAUACCUAGAUAUUCUCAUAAAUAUGCUCAAUUCUGUCAAUUGCUCAACAGUAAUUUGUUCACCCACCAUAGAAUAAUUAUGCUCUCGAGAGAAGCUACUAGUGAAACCUAUGGCCCCCGGGUCUAUCUUUAUCAUAUUAAUCUCCUACUACUUAGUUAUUUCCUUUGCUUUUUCCUUUGCCUUUAUUUUACUUUUCAUCUUUAUCACAAAAAUACCAAACAUAUUAUCUUUAUCAUAUCUAUCAGAUCUCACUCUCGUAAGUGGCCGUGUAGGGAUUGACAACCCCUAUUCACGUUGGUUGCGAGGAUUUAUUUGUUUUGUGCAAGUACGAGGGACUCGCGCGUAGCCUCCUACUGGAUUGAUAUCUUGGUUCUCAAAAACCGAGGGAAAUACUUACGCUACUUUGCUACAUCAUCCCUUCCUCUUCGGGGAAAACCAACGCAGUGCUCAAGAGGUAGCAAGAAGGAUUUCUGGUGCCAUUGCCAGGGAGGUCUACGCAAAAGUUAACAUACCAAGUACCCGUCACAUACCCUUAUCUCCCGCAUUAUAUUAUUUGCCAUUUGCCUCUCGUUUUCACCUCCCCCACUUCACCCUUGCCGUUUUAUUCGCCCUCUCUCUCUAUCCUCCCUCUCUUUCUCUAUUUGCCUCUUUUUUCCCGCUUGCUUUCUGUUUGCUUGUGUGUUAGUUGCUUGCUUGUCACGAUGGCUCAAGAUAAUACUAAAUUAUGUGACUUCACCAAUACCAACAACAAUGAUUUUAUUAGCACUCCGAUUGCUCCUCUUAUCGAUGCUGAAUCUUGUGAAAUUAAUACUGCUUUGCUGAAUCUUGUCAUGAAAGAUCUGUUUUCCGGCCUUCCUAGUGAAGAUGCCGGUACCCACCUAAAUAGAUUCAUUGAUUUGUGUGACAUGCAAAACAAGAAAGGUGUGGAUAAUGAUAUUGUUAAAUUGAAGCUAUUUCCUUUUUCGCUUAGAGAUCGUGCUAAACUUGGUUUUCGUCUUUGCCUAAAAAUAGUAUUGAUUCAUGGAAUAAGUGCAAAGAUGCUAUUAUCUCUAAGUAUUUUCCUCCUGCUAAGAUCAUCUCUCUUAGAAACGAUAUUAUGAAUUUUAAGCAACUUGAUCAUGAAUAUGUUGCACAAGCUUGGGAGAGAAUGAAACUAAUGGUACGUAAUUGCCCUGCCCAUGAUUUAAAUUUGUGGAUGAUUAUACAAAAUUUUUAUGCCGGAUUGAAUUUUGCUUCUAGAAAUCUUUUAGAUUCGGCCGCGGGAGGCACUUUUAUGGAAAUCACUUUAGGAGAAGCUACUAAACUCCUAGAUAAUAUUAUGGUUAAUUAUGCUCAACGGCAUACUAAAAGAUCUAAUAAUAAAAAGGUGCAUGCGAUAGAAGAAAUUAAUGUUUUGAGUGGAAAGAUGGAUGAACUUCUGAAAUUAUUUGCUAAUAAGAGUGUUUCUUCUGAUCCUAAUGAUAUGCCCUUGUCUACUUUGAUUGAGAAUAAUAAUGAAUCUGUGGAUGUGGAUUUUGUUGGUAGGAACAAUUUUGGUAACAGCGCGUAUAGAGGAAAUUUCAACCCUAGGCCUUAUCCUAGUAAUCUCUCUAAUAAUUACGGUAAUUCCUACAACAAUUCUUAUGGAAAUUAUAAUAAGAUGCCCUCUAAUUUUGAAUCUAAUAUUAAAGAAUUUAUUACUUUGCAAAAGAAUUUCAAUGCCUUGAUUGAAGAAAAAUUGCUUAAGAUUGAUGAUUUGGCUAGGAACGUUGAUAGAAUUACUCUUGAUGUUGAUUCUUUGAAACUUAGAUCUAUUCCACCUAAGCAUGAUGUCAAUGAGUCUCUCAAAGCCAUGAGAAUUUCCAUUGAUGAGUGCAAAGAAAGAACCGCUAAGAUGCGUGCUAAGAAAGAUGCCUUUAUAAGAGCGUGUUCUUCUAGUUCCUAUGAAAAUAAUGAUGAAGAUCUAAAAGUUAUAGAUGUGUUCCCUAUUAAAUAUUUGUUUUUCAAUAUGAAUCUUGAUAAUGAUGGGACUGAAUAUGAUCCACCUUUACCUAUAAGGCGUUCGAAGAAUUCAGAAUUUGUUGAUCUUGAUGCUAAAAUUGAUAAAGGUGGGAUUGAAGAAAUUAAAACCCUAGAUGUUGCUAAACCCACUAUUAUGGAUUUCAAGGAAUUUAACUAUGAAAAUUGCUCUUUGAUUGAUUGUAUAUCCUUUUUACAAUCCGUGCUAAAUUCUCCUCAUGCUUAUAGUCAAAAUAAAGCGUUUACUAAACAUAUCGUUGAUGCCUUGAUGCAAUCUUAUGAAGAAAAACUUGAAUUGGAAGUUUCUAUCCCUAGAAAGCUUUAUGAUGAUUGGGAACCAACUAUUAAAAUUAAAAUUAAAUAUCAUGAAUGCUAUGCUUUAUGUGAUUUGGGUGCUAGUGUUUCCACGAUUCCAAAGACUUUGUGUGAUUUGUUAGGUUUCCGUGAUUUUGAUGAUUGCUCUUUAAACUUGCGCCUUGUGGAUUCCACUAUUAAGAAACCUAUGGGAAGAAUUAAUGAUGUUCUUAUGGAUGCAAAUAGGAAUUAUGUGCCUGUAGAUUUUAUUCUUCUUGACAUAGAUUGCAAUCUUUCAUGUCCUAUUAUUCUUGGUAGACCUUUCCUUAGAAUGAUUGGUACAAUUAUUGAUAUGAAGGAAGGAAAUAUUAGAUUCCAAUUUCCAUUAAGGAAAUUCAUGGAACACUUUACUAGAAAGUAAAUUAAAUUACCUUAUGAAUCUAUUAUGAUAGCCACUUGUGGAUUGCCUACCAAAGAUGGCAAUACCUAGAUCUAUCCUUGCUUGUUAUGCCUAGCUAGGGGCGUUAAACGAUAGCGCUUGUUGGGAGGCAACGCAAUUUUGUUUUUAUUCCUUGAUUUUUGCUCCUGUUUAGUAAUAAAUAAUUUAUCUAUCCUCUGUUUUGGUUGUGUUCUUUGUGUUUAAUUAGUGUUGGUGCCAAGUAGAACCGUUAGGAAGACUUGGGGAAAGUCUUGUUACACUUGCUGUAAAAAACAGAAACUUCGGCGCUCAUGAGAACUGCUGCCAUUUUUAUUUGGAAAGUGCUAUUUAGUUAAUUAUUUCUGCAGAUGAUUAAUAGAUAAAUUCCUCACGUCCAGAAAUUUAUUUUAGAAUUUUUGGGGUUCCAGCUCUUGAGCUAGGUACAGAUUACUACAGAUUGUUCUGUUUUUGAAAGAUUCUGUUUUUUCGUGUGUUGUUUGCUUAUUUUGAUGAACCUAUGGCUAGUAAAAUAGUUCAUAAACCAUAGAGAAGUUGGAAUACAGUAGGUAUAACACCAGUAUAAAUAAAUAAUGAGUUCAUUAUAGUACCUUGAAGUGGUCUUUUAUUUUCUUUCGCUAACGGAGCUCACGAGAUUUUCUACUUUAAGUUUUGUGUUGUGAAGUUUUCAAGUUUUGGGUAAAGAUUUGAUGGUUUAUGGAACAAGGAGUGACAAGAGCCUAAGCUUGGGGAUGCCCAUGGCACCCCCAAGAUAAUCUAAGUACACCUAAAAGCCAAAGCUUGGGGAUGCCCCGGAAGUCAUCCCCUCUUUCGUCUACUUCUAUCGGUAACUUUACUUGGAGCUAUAUUUUUAUUCGCCACAUGAUAUGUGUUUUGCUUGGAGCGUCUUGUAUUAUUUGACUCUUUAUUUGUUAGUUUACCACAAUCAUCCUUCCUGUACACACCUUUUGAGAGAGCCAUACAUGAUUUGGAAUUUGUUAGAAUAGUCUAUGUGCUUCGCUUAUAUCUUUUGAGUUAUAUAGUUUUGCUCUAGUACUUCACUUAUAUAUUUUAGAGCACGGUGGUGGAUUUGUUUUAUAAAAACUAUUGAUCUCCCAUGCUUCACUUAGAUUAUUUUGAGAUGCUUAAUAGCAUGGUAACUUGCUUAAAAUCCUAAUAUGCUAGGUAUUCAAAGUUAGUAAAAUUUUCUUAAGAGUGUUUUGAAUACUAAGAGAAGUUUGAUGCUUGAUGAUUGUUUUGAGAUAUGGAGGUAAUAAUAUCAAAGUCGUGCUAGUUGAGUAGUUGUGAAAUUGAGAAAUACUUGUGUUGAAAUUUGCAUGUCCCGUAGCAUGCACGUAUGGUAAAUGUUGUGUAACAAAUUUGAAACAUGAGGUGUUAUUUGAUUGUCUUCCUUAUGAGUGGCGGUCGGGGACGAGCGAUGGUCUUUUCCUACCAAUCUAUCCCCCUAGGAGCAUGCGCGUAGUACCGAGGUUUUUGAUGACUUGUAGAUUUUUGCAAUAAGUAUGUGAGUUCUUUAUGACUAAUGUUGAGUCCAUGAAUUAUACGCACUCUCACCCUUCCAUCCUUGCUAGCCUCUUUGGUACCAUGCAUUGCCCUUUCCCACAUUGAUUGUUGGAGCAAACUUCGCCGGUGCAUCCAAACCCCGUGAUAUGAUACGCUCUUUCACACAUAAACCUCCUUAUAUCUUCGUCAAAAAAGCCACCAUACCUACCUAUUAUGGCAUUUCCAUAGCCAUUCCGACAUAUAUUGCCAUGCAACUUUCCACCAUUCCGUUCAUCAUGACACAUUCAUCAUUGUCAUAGUGCUUAGCAUAAUCAUGUAGUUGACAUAGUAUUUGUGGCAAGGCCACCGUUCAUAAUUCUUUCAUACAUGUCACUCUUGGUCCAUUGCAUAUCCCGGUACACCGCUGGAGGCAUUCAUAUAAGUCAUACUUUGUUCUAGUAUCGAGUAGUAAUUAUUGAGUUGUAAAUAAAACGAAGUGUGAUGAUCUUAAUUAAUAGAGCAUGGUCCCAAAAAGAGAAAAAAGGAAGGGCCAAAAAAAGGCCAAAUAAAAAAAUAUAAAAAGGGGGGCAAUGCUACUAUCCUUUUUUCCACACUUGUGAUUCAAAGUAGCACCGUAAUCUUCAUGAUAGAGAGUAUCUUGAUUUGUCACUUUCAUAUACUAGUGGGAAUUUUUCAUUAUAGAACUUGGCUUGUAUAUUCCAACAAUGGGCCUCCUCAAGUGCCCUAGGUCUUUGUGAGCAAGCAAGUUGGAUGCACACCCACUUAGUUUCUUUUGUUGAGCUUUCAUACAUUUAUAGCUCUAGUGCAUCCGUUGCAUGGCAAUCCCUACUCCUUGCAUUAACAUCAAUCGAUGGGCAUCUCCAUAGCCCAUUGAUUAGCCUCGUUGAUGUGAGACUUUCUCCUUUUUGUCUUGUCCACAUAACUCCACUCAUUAUAUUCUAUUCCACCCAUAGUGUUAUGUCCAUGGCUUACAAUCAUAUAUUCCGUGAAAGUUUAUAGGUUUGAGAUCACUAAAGUAUGAAACAAUUGCUUGGCUUGUCAUCGGGGUUGUGCAUGAUGAGAGCAUUGUUGUGUGACAAAAAUGAAGCAUGACUAAACUAUAUGAUUUUGUAGGGAUGAACUUUCUUUGGCCAUGUUAUUUUGAGAAGACAUAAUUGCUUAGUUAGUAUGCUUGAAGUAUUAUUAUUUUUAUGUCAAUAUGAACUUUUGUCUUGAAUCUUUCGGAUCUGAAUAUUCAUACCACAAUUAAGAAGAAUAACAUUAAAAUCAUGCUAAGUAGCACUCUGCAUCAAAAAUUCUGUUUUUAUCAUUUACCUACUCGAGGACGAGCAGGAAUUAAGCUUGGGGAUGCUUGAUACGUCUCCAACGUAUCUAUAAUUUUUGAUUGCUCCAUGCUAUAUUAUCUACUGUUUUGGACAAUAUUGGGCUUUAUUAUCCACUUUUAUAUUAUUUUUGGGACUAACCUAUUAACCGGAGGCCCAGCCUAGGAUUGCUGUUUUUUGCCUAUUUUAGGGUUUCGAAGAAAAGGAAUAUCAAACGGAGUCCAAACGGAAUGAAACCUUCGGGAACGUGAUUUUCUCAACGAACAAGACCCAGGAGAAUUGGACCCUCCGUCAAGACACAAAAGAGGAGGCCACGAGGUAGGGGGCGUGCCUACCCCCCCGGCGCGCCCUCCACCCUCGUGGGCCCCCUGUUGCUCCACCGACGUACUCCUUCCUCCUAUAUAUACCUACGUACCCCCAAAUGAUCAUAUACGGAGCCAAAACCCUAAUUACGCUGCCGCAACAUUCUGUAUCCACGAGAUCCCAUCUUGGUGCCUGUUCCGGAGCUCCGUCAGAGGGGGCAUCGAUCAUGGAGGGCUUCUACAUCAACACCAUAGCCUCUCUGAUGAAGUGUGAGUAGUUGACCUCAGACCUACGGGUCCAUAGUUAUUACCUAGAUGGCUUCUUCUCUCUUUUUGGAUCUCAAUACAAUGUGCUCCCCCUCUCUUGUGGAGAACUAUUCGAUGUAAUCUUCUUUUUGCGGUGUGUUUGUUGAGACCGAUGAAUUUUGGGUUUAUGAUCAAGUCUAUCUAUGAAUAAUAUUUGAAUCUUCUCUGAAUUCUUUUAUGUAUGAUUGGUUAUCUUUGCAAGUCUCUUCGAAUUAUCAGUUUGGUUUGGCCUACUAGAUUGAUCUUUCUUGCAAUGGGAGAAGUGCUUAGCUUUGGGUUCAAUCUUGCGUGUCCUUUCCCAGUGAUAGUAGGGGUAGCAAGGCACGUAUUGUAUUGUUGCCAUCGAGGACAACAAGAUGGGGUUUUCAUCAUAUUUUAUGAGUCUAUCCCUCUACAUCAUGUCAUCUUACUUAAGGCGUAAUAGUAGUAGAUGAGUGGAGUAAUAGUAGUAGAUGCAGGCAGGAGUCGGUCUACUUGUCUCGGACGUGUUGCCUAUAUACAUGAUCAUACCUAGAUAAUCUCAUAACUAUGCUCAAAUCUAUCAAUUGCUCAAUAGUAAUUUGUUCAUCCACCGUAGAAUACUUAUGCUCUCGAGAGAAGCCACUAGUGAAACCUAUGGCCCCCGGGUCUAUCUUUAUCAUAUUAAUCUCCUACUACUUAGUUAUUUCCUUUGCUUUUUUACUUUGCCUUUAUUUUACUUUGCAUCUUUAUCACAAAAAUAAAAAUAUCUUUAUCAUAUCUAUCCAAUCUCACUCUCGUAAGUGGCCGUGUAGGGAUUGACAACCCCUAUUCACGUUGGUUGCGAGGAUUUAUUUAUUUUGUGCAGGUACGAGGGACUGGCGCAUAGCCUCCUACUGGAUUGAUACCAUGGUUCUCAAAACCUGAGGGAAAUACUUAUGCUACUUUGCUGCAUCAUCCCUCACUCUUCGGGGAAAACCAACGAAGUGCGCAAGAGGUAGCAAGGGUUCCUUUUUGUCGACGAUCUGAUGUUUCAACCUUGUUUUCCAGGCGGCCAACGCAUCACUCAACUUGGUCAUGGCGUGUUUGUUUAUCUUCUUCAUUGCCAGGUCCUUAUCUGGAUCUUUAUUAUCCUUUUCAUUACGGUCCGGGAACAAGAAUAUCUGGUGCAGCUUCUUCAGGAGGGAGGGCCUCAUAUUAUCUAUCUUCUAUAGUUUCCCAUCGUUGAUCAUGGCAGUUGUCCGUACAAUGCAACCUAUUUGAUUGCCGUAACACGAUUGCGCUUCCUCGGGUGCUAUUGUCUCAAAAAUACUGUCGUCCAUCUCCGUGACCACCAGUCUAGUACUCAUGAGCUGGUUUAGGCGUCGUGGCCUCUUUGCUGUCGGUUCUAGACUAACUCCCCUAGUCUCGGCACCGGUCUCAGUCUCAUCGCCGGUCUGCAUGUCGGUAUCAGUCCCCGAUGCGACAACACAGUCGCUGCAACAUGGGUAAGGGAGACCACAUCAGUGCUGGGGGUCCGAAAAUUGGGACACACUUUCGCGCGUCGCGGGCCGCCUCUCAGACAGCUAAUGGGGAGGCGGCGGAGUACCUGGGUGCGCGGCGAAUCCCCAAGAACUCGGUGACCAACUUCCUUCCCGUGUGGCGCAUGGAGACGACGGCGACCCUGGCGAAGAGCAGCUUAGCCGCGAGCUGCACAGCCUCGUCCACCUCCUAAGUUGGGACCUCCGUGCGAGCGUUGCGGGGCCGCCGCUCGGAUGGCUUCUGGAAGGCCGUUGUACAUGGGCACAGGGUGAAUCCCGACGAGAGCUGGCCAUUGGCGCGCGCAAGUAGACGACGACGUCCCCGACGAAGAGCUGCCCGGCCAGCUCGCCUCACUCGCCUUUGAUUAGAAAUGAAAGAUUGGGAAGAAGCAGACUUGAGCCUGCAGGGAAAGGAUAAGGUGACGAUGCAGUCUCCACUCGUUCGGGGCGACACGCGUACUGAAUGUAUGAGAAACGUGACGUGGCAGAGACCCCAAGAUACUCCCUCCAUUUAUUUUUAGUCUGCAUAUAAAGUUUGGUCAAAGUCAAGAUUUGUAAAUUUUAACGAACUUUAUAAUAAAAAAAUAUCAGCAUUCACAAUAUGAAAUCAAUAUUACCAGAUGCGUCAUGAAAUGUAUUUCCAUACUAUAUAGUUUUGGUAUUGUAGAGGCACUCUUCCAUAUAAUGAAGUUUAUAAUAUAUGUGCUUAUAUUGUAUUACAAUUGUUUGAAUAGCUUAGCAUAUGUUCAGAUGUAUGAUAUCUGUAAUUUAAGCGCUUGAAUUUUACAUAUAAAUAUUUAUUAAUAAAUAUGUACCCCUAUAAUAGCUAGGCCGUGCCGUUGCACGGGUAGAUGACUAGUGAUUACAAUCUUGUUUGUGUGCAAGUCAAGCUUAUAUAGUUUACACGUAACAACUUGUAGAACAUUACAAAAUUUAUGCUUGCUAAUAACUUCUAGAACACUAGAACACUUGACAUGUAAAAGGAAUUUGACGAGUCAUGGCCUACUAAAGCAAGUUACAUUACUAGUCUUAUCUAUCUUAACAGACCACACAAGAUUACAAACUAAGUACCGUGACAGCCAUGCUUAUCUAGUUUAUGCGUAACAAUUUGCAGAAAAUUAGAAACUUGGUUUCAGAAAAAUACGCAAUCUAGAUUAGUGUUUGAGCUGUAAAGUGAAUAAGAUGAGUCAUGCAUGUUAUCACACCUUUUUGGUGGUGGAAUGAUAGUGCAACAACAAGGAACUUUAAUGACCAGUCCAAGAAUACACUUGUAAGUAGUGCCACCAAACAGAACAUACCAAAUGAUGAUUUUUAGAAGCAUCCAAGCACUUUCCACACAAACAAAUGCCAAUUGUGAAAGAGAUCAUUCCAUGGCAGCUAUAAAUAGCCCCAUAGCAUGAGGUUCAUCCUUCCUCAUCCAUCAUUUUCAUUAGUAGAGCGCAUCAUUUAAGCCAAGCAAGCUGUGGUCAAUACAAAUCCACCAUGAAGACCUUUCUCAUCCUUGCCCUCCCUGCUAUCGUGGCGACCACCGCCACAACUGCAGUUAGAGUUCCAGUGCCACAAUUGCAGCCACAAAAUCCAUCUCAGCAACAGCCACAAGAGCAAGUUCCAUUGGUACAACAACAACAAUUUCUAGGGCAGCAACAACCAUUUCCACCACAACAACCAUAUCCACAGCCGCAACCAUUUCCAUCACAACAACCAUAUCUGCAGCUGCAACCAUUUCCGCAGCCGCAACUACCAUAUUCGCAGCCACAACCAUUUCGACCACAACAACCAUAUCCACAACCGCAACCACAGUAUUCGCAACCACAACAACCAAUUUCACAGCAGCAGCAGCAGCAGCAACAACAACAACAACAACAACAACAACAACAAAAGCAAAUCCUUCAACAAAUUUUGCAACAACAACUGAUUCCAUGCAUGGAUGUUGUAUUGCAGCAACACAACAUAGCGCAUGGAAGAUCACAAGUUUUGCAACAAAGUACUUACCAGCUGUUGCAAGAAUUGUGUUGUCAGCACCUAUGGCAGAUCCCUGAGCAGUCGCAGUGUCAGGCCAUCCAAAAUGUUGUUCAUGCUAUUAUUCUGCAUCAACAACAAAAACAACAACAACAACCAUCGAGCCAGGUGUCCUUCCAACAGCCUCUGCAACAAUAUCCAUUAGGCCAGGGCUCCUUCCGGCCAUCUCAGCAAAACCCACAGGACCAGGGCUCUGUCCAGCCUCAACAACUGCCCCAGUUCGAGGAAAUAAGGAACCUAGCGCUACAGAUGCUACCUGCAAUGUGCAAUGUCUACAUCCCUCCAUAUUGCACAAUCGCGCCAUUUGGCAUCUUCGGUACUAACUGAGAAGAAAAUAACUCUAGUACUAGAUAUAUGAAACACCGUUUUCUCAGUCCAUGGUUUGGUCAUUGUAGCGUCGAAAAAAUAAUGUGACAUGCACUAUCAUAUAAGAAUCCGAACUAUACUAGUUCAAACUUGGGAAUAAAAGACAAACACAUGUCUUGUCUACAUAUUUAUGUUGCAUCUAUUUAUAUAUUAAAAGUAAUAUAAGGUGAACCAGGAGCAAGGUAAAUAUGCUAGAAAAUUGCACGUUAAUUAGAAAUUACUUGCCCUCGAUCUGGUAAAUCUUAACAAAUAGAAUUAUCUUGACCGUUAGAUUUAUAUAACAUAUAUAAUGCUCUGGGCCUCCAACGACUGUACGUGACACAUCUGAACGAACAUAUGGUAAAGAAAAUAUAUUUGGUAAAUGGUGGGCCUGUUUAAAAAGAGAACUCACGUACAUGCACCAACUAAGAAAAACACAUACAUGUAAACGGGAAAAGGAUGAGAUUUUCUCACGUACGUGCUCCCUGGCUCCACCCCGUUGAAAAAAUAUACAUCUGGAGGCCACUUUGUUUCCUCAUCAAAAAAACUUACGUUAAAAAGAUUGCAUGCAUCCCAGGGAAAAUAGUCAAGAAGAAGUCGGACUUUUCCUUACAAAAACAAGGAACGUGUUAAGUUGACUUCAAAGAAAAAAGGAACAUGUUAAGUUAAAAAAAAACAAGAAACCUGUUAAGUUAGAAAAAAACAAGGAACGUGUUGUCCAAGGAAAGAUAUGUGUCAAAUCUUACAAAAAAAAAGAAUACACACACGUACGUUCAUGCACUUGGAAAAUAGAAAAAAAGGAACAUCACGUAUGUAUACACUUCGGAAACUCAUUACAUGACCAUGUCUGAUAUACUCCUCUAAUGCUUAAUAUUAGUGCCUAAUAAUUUAUAUUUAAAAUUUAAUUUACUGAUCAAAUAUCCCCACUGUUUAAAUUUUAAUUUGGCACAUUGUUUGGCUAUAGUAUGAACCUGAAUUUCCUCUUAUUAUUAUAUAUCAUGGUAAUAAUCCAAAGGCGACUAAUCUGCACCGGCGCACCGGCGCAAUCAAUUCGGCUGGACACAGCGCGGCCGUUUGAUUAGAUUGCAUUUAACCAUCAGAUCUGGAAUCGUUUUCUUUCCAAUUAAACGGAUUCAACCAAACAGCAGAGGGGAAAACAAAGCAGCGCCGCCGCCAACACUAGCCAUGGACGACCGAUGUAGCAAAACCUUGAAGAACCGCCGCCGGUCGCCACCCUCGCCUCUGGUCGCUGCCCUCGCCGUCGGUCACCGCCGGUCGCCGCCCUCGCCGCCUGCGUUUCUCAUCGGCUUCAUGCAUGCAACAACAUGCACUCGUGGUUGCAGGCUUGCAUCUCCGGCUCCGGGGACAUGGCCGCAUCUCCGGUAGCGCCGGCCGCCGGCCGCAGCACCUGUCGUUGUGGUCGCGCUGUACCUCGCCGUGUGCCCUCCCGAGGCUCUUGCUGGUUCCAACAAAAAACGAUACCUGUUGUAGCAAAAAAGUAUCGCUUCCAGCAAAAAAGCUUACCGCUACAGCCCGCCAUCGUCAUUGUAGCAAAAAUGUUAACCCGAUGUAGCUUCUGUGGUUGCCGACUGCAGCAAAAAAUGACAUGGCUGUAGCAAAACACAAAAGAAAAACACUGGCCGGCCGCUGUGUAUGGUGGUAACAAACCCUAUAGCCGGUGGUAGCGAAAAACUUCAUAGUGUGCUGCAAAAAAAUGUUGUCACCCGUCGUCGAGGUUGCAUCAUCUUCAUGAAUUAUGCCGCAAAAAAACGUUGUCGCCGGUAGUAGCAAAUGAAGCCGCCGGUAGUAGCAAAACAAGACACUGGUUCCAGCCAAAAAAAAAAUCAGCGACAGAACCUUUGGUUGGUUCCAACAAAAAAACUUGUCGGUUGUAACAUCCCUCGCCGCCGGAUGUAGCAUCUCCCGGGGCUGGUUGCAACACUCCAUAAAAAAAGUUGUCUAUGAGCGCAUCCAUGGUGACUGCUGCACCGUCAGCAAUGAGGGGAAGAGGAGGCAAUGAAAAUCAUUCGAGUCAUAGCUCCACAGGACGCGGCUGCAGCAUGGGGAGUCCAAAAAUCUGUCACAAGCAACAUGCGCCGCGCCAUCCUCCUGCGCAGGAGAGAGAAGAAAAAGGAAUAAGAGGAAGAAGAAAGGAAACAGGAGAAAGAAAAAAGAAAGGAUUGGUGGUUGGCUCAGGCAAUUAGUCAAGCGAGGGGCACGCGGGGCCGCAGGACACAGCGCAAUCGAACGAAGCGCGCGCGUCCGGGCGAAGACUCGGCCGGACUGCCGUCUGGAAACGUUUCCCUAAUCCAAAGGCUUUAUCUGAAUGACAAGUCGUCUGGGUUACCGGCUAACUAGAAAAAAGAUAAAUAUGCUAGAGAAUUCCAUAAUAAUUAGAAAUAUCUAGCCUUUAAUUAUGUAAACCAGAAAAUCACAACCGUUGGAUUUACUUUAAAGGUAAAUUUCUAUAAAUUCCCACCAUUGCCAGUAUGUAGAAACAUGUGCUGCUUCAAUUCUCCCAUAAUCACCAAUCAAUCAACAACACAAAACAUACCUCAGUUAAAAAAACUGAACAAAAAAAAGAAAAAAAGAAGAAAGGACAAGAUACACGCAUGUACACGACAGCCUUGGCUUGAAACACAUCAGUAGAUCAAGUGUCCGCCUCCCUUACACGUACGUCCCAUGAGGUUUACUAGCCUACCGCCGCCGCAUCAUGCCAUCCUCUCCUUUCAGCUCCCAUGCUCUCCAGCACCCUCAUUGCGGCGCCACUACUCGCCUAGGGAUAUUGCUGCUCAGACCGUGGAGCUUAACCACAUCAGCAUCAGCACGUAUGGGCCUCAUUAUACUGCAGCACGUAUUGCGCCCCCUUAAGUCCAGGUCUGUUUGCUGGCACAUAUGCUUUGGAAAUAGGCCACUAUGUUUGUACUUCAAAAUUGUUUCUGUAUUCUUGAGUGGUACAUCCUUUUAAGCGCCAGUUUUUUAUGUUAAUUCAUGCUGACAACACUUAACCUAGCCUUUCAUGUUCACGUACUAAAUACAGGAGCAAGUAAAAACAACAGACCACCUAAUUGCUCUGCAUGUACUACAUAGGAAAAUUUGUCAUGUUCUACGAUCGCACCAUCCCACCCUUCUCUCUUGGUAUGGGCGCCAAUUGAGGGAUUGAUAAAACUGAAACGAAGACGUCACAGGGCUGGAAGUACCGCUAGCCUGGUUUGCACUGCAACCUACCCAACGCCAUCAGAAACUAGCAACUGAGUCAGGUGUUGAUCGAUUCUCUCAAAUUGCUCUCAUGUAAGUACUACCCCUUGCAUGUGCGUACAUACCUUUGUUGCAUUCUCAAACAGAUAGAACAUGUUUGAUCGGUGCAUGGCUAUUUUUCAUCACAUGACAUCCAGAUAACAAGCAUGAAAGGACUACAUUGGAGAUCAAAAAAUAUUGGUUCCUGGCUAGAGUACCACUACCUAUGGACUUGUCUCCAUAGAAUUUGUUCCCAAGAUGUUAUUUUAAUUAAUCUCUUUAGCUUUCUUCCAUUGCAAACGGUGAUGUGCAUCAUGGUAUAUACGUGACCAUCUUGCACAUGUAUACACAAGAGGCUCAGAUGGAGGUGCUGGAUUCUGGACGAGGGAAUAUGAAGCAGGAGUGAGCGAAGAGUAAAUAAUGGUGGGAGUACCGAUUGGUGUUAUGAAGAAAAAUGCCAUCCAAAGAUUGAUUAGUGUCAUGGAAGAUUAAUUUCUGAAUGCGAAUAUAUAUGUUACAUUGGUUUGGAUCUUUUUGAGAUAAUUCCACCUAAAUUAGGUUCUUUCUUAUUUCAUAUGUAUACCUUAUUUCAGUAAAAGUUCACAACGAACUUAGUAGGACAAAUAUAAUUUUGUUUGUUCUUUCUGUUGUCCGCCACCAAAGCUCAAUUUGAACUCUCUAGAAAUGGACAAUGAUUUAUGCAUUCUAUAUCUUCUUGAUUGAUUAGCCAUGACAAGGAAAUAAAAGGAUUGACUGAUAUAGCAUAACUUUGGAACGAUUAGAGGUUACUACAAAUAAGAGUAGUGUCUGUUGGAAUUUUGCUAGUAGGCCUUUGGCCCAAAGCCCAACUAAAAUUCUGAAAUUCUCUUGGCUCAUUUAUGCACACAUGUGAGUUGAGUGAGUGAGACUAAAGUUUAGUCCCACCCUGGAAGUUGAGAGAGAGUUGCACCUCUUUAUAAGGUGAGCUCUUCUACCACUUGUAUGAGCAUGAGAAGAGGAGACCUACACGCGCGCUCCUCCUCCACGCUCGCCACGCCUCGUCGCGCCGCGCCGUGCCGCGGGUUGCGGGAUUGAGCCGAGCCGAGGACGUUUUCUAUAUUUUUGCUGCUCGGGAAAAAUUAAUGAGUCAUUAAUUAAUAAUUAAUGGACACAUUAAUUACUGAACCGUUUCCGAUUUUUUUGGAUCGUGACGACUCGGACGUGGGGUUUACUCCCAGGACCUACCCGGCCCGCACUAUAUAGUCAGGAAGACGUCUACCCUAGCCGCCGCCGCUUCGUAUGGUUUCUCACCAUCGUUACAGAUCAUUGCGCCGCCAAGCAAGUUUUCUCCAUCCCUCCUUUCGGCGUGCACCGGGAGAAGGGACAGCAGACCUCCGGAACCCCGCCUCUCGUGAUCCUAUACGGGAGAGGGGCGAUCAGGUUUUUGGGGAGCGCACUCGCAUGACUGCUGGCAGCGACGACUUCGCAAACGACGACUUCUUCCCCGACCUCGGCAACCUCAUCCUCGACGACAUGGGCGACAACGUCAACGCCGGCGGUGCUACACCCACUGCACCGUAUGUUAUUCUCUCCUUCUUGUUCGAGAUCAUGGUAGAAUUCAUGUUUCUAGUAUAUGUGCCCUAGAUGUGAUCUGUUCAUCUACUAUGGUAGUUCGCAUGAUUAGUUUAAUCUCUGUUAUUGCUGUCAUGAUCUAUUUCCUAUUUAUUCGGAUUAAAUCUCGUAGUAAUUUUCUCAUUUUUCCAACAAUCCAAAAACCUGAUUAUAGGAAAUUUACUCCGAGUGGUUUUGCUGCGCAUCUGAAAGCCGCUUGCCUUUAAGGGGGCGCAAUAUAAGAGGUGGCGCACCAGAGCAGUCUACUGGUUUCAGAUCAUGGGCUGCUAUGACGCCACCAAGGGCAAGCCUGAGGGCGAUCUUAAUCCAGCACAGCUGGAAGCUUUCAAGAAGAUCAAUACCCUCUUUAAAGGCACGCUUCUGAGUGUUCUUGAUGACUCCAUUGUAGAUUCGUAUAUGUCGUUUGACAAUGGCAAGAACAUGUGGGCUACGCUCGAGGCCAAGUUUGGUGCCUCGGACGCCGGCAGCGAGUUGUACGUCAUGGAGCAAUUCUAUGACUCCAAGAUGACUGAUGGGCGCCCUGUUGUACAGCAGGCUCAUGAGAUACAGUUGCUCGCAAAAGAACUUGAGUACUUCAAGUGUGUGUUGGCGAACAAAUUUGUUGCCGGAGGCAUCAUUGCCAAGCUUCCACCUUCGUGGAACAAUUUUGCUACUUCCCUGAAACACAAGAGACAGGAGUUUUUCGUUGCGGAUCUCAUUGGUACUCUUGAUGUUGAAGAGAAGGCGAGAGCAAAGGAUACACGUGCUUGAGUUGCUAAGGGAGGUUCUAGUGCCCACAUGGUACAGAAGAAGAACUUCCAGCCCAACAAGUUCAAAAACAACAAGAACAAAACUUAGGGCAAAGGCAAGUUCGAUACAAAGAACAAGCCAUCACAUUCUACCAACUUCAAGAAGAACUCUCAUAAGAAGGGGAAGGGACUUUGCCAUGUCUAUGGUGAUCCUAAUCACUGGGCUCCGAAGUGUCCCAACCGCUUUGAGGAGCGCGAACAUGAGAAGAGCGGCAAGUCUGCUAAUGUUGUCAUCGGUGAUACUGAUAUGAAGGAAUCAGGGUACGGUAUUUUUCCUACCAUCCUUUCAGUAUUCCAAACCCCUGACUGGUUAAUUGACACCGGUGCCAAUGUACAUGUUUGUGCUGAUGCCUCCAUGUUUUCUUCUUACCAGGCCACUGGGACUUCUCCUAUGCUGAUGGGGAACGGGUCACAUGCCAUCGUUCGAGGUGUUGGUACGGUCGAUCUGAAGUUUACUUCGGGGAAGACCGUGCGUCUGAAGAACGUUCAUCAUGUGCCGUCCAUCAAUAAAAAUCUCGUUAGCGGUUCCCGUUUAUGUCGAGAUGGUUUUAAGUUGGUUUUCGAAUCCAAUAAAGUUAUAAUUUCUAAGUAUGGACAAUUUGUUGGAAAAGGCUAUGAGAGCGGAGGCUUGUUUCGCCUGUCUUUGUCAGAUAUUUGCACUAAAGUUAUUAAUAAUGUUUGCCACAACAAUGAGUCUGAUAUUUGGCAUUCACGACUUUGUCACAUUAACUUUGGUUGCAUGACGCGGCUAGCCAAUAUGAAUUUAAUUCCGAAAAUCUCUACUGUCAAAGGAUCUAAGUGCCAAGUAUGUGUGCAAGGUAAGCAACCUCGCAAGUCCCAUAAGACUGCAGAGGCAACAGACUUGGCGCCACUAGAGCUUAUACAUUCUGAUAUUUGUGAGAUGAAUGACGUGUUGACAAAAGGUGGAAAGAGAUACCUCAUGACGUUGAUUGAUGACUCCACUAGAUAUUGUUAUGUGUAUCUUAUGAAAUCAAAAGAUGAGGCUUUGGCUUUCUUCAAAAACUAUAGAGCUGAGGCAGAGAACCAACUUGAUCGAAAAAUUAAACGGCUUAGGUCCGAUCAUGGUGGAGAGUAUUUUUCCAAUGAAUUUGAUCUAUUUUGUGCGGAACAUGGUAUAAUCCAUGAGAGGAUGCCUCCCUACUCACCCCAGUCAGAUGGGGUAGCCGAAAGAAAGAACCAAACUCUAACUGAUAUGGUUAACACCAUGUUAGACACUUCGGGUCUAUCCAAGGAAUGGUGGGGGGAGGCGCUAAUGACUGCGUGUCAUGUCCUAAACCGAGUUCCCACAAAGCAUAAGACCAUGACUCCAUUUGAGGAAUGUUAAAGGAAAAGGUUGAAACUCUCUUACCUACGUACUUGGGGUUGUUUGGCGAAAGUCAAUAUACCAAUUCCCAAGAAGCGCAAGCUUGGACCAAAAAUCGUGGGUUGUGUUCUUCUUGGCUAUGCUUUUCAUAGCAUCGGCUAUAGAUUUUUGAUAAUAAAAUCUGAGGUAUCCGACAUGCAUGUUGGUACGAUUAUGGAGUCGAAUGAUGCAACUUUUUUUGAGGACAUAUUUCCUAUGAAGGAUAUGUCGAGUUCAUCAAAUCAGGAGACACCUACUCCAUCUAGUGAGGAAUUCAUUGUAAUUCCUGAACCCACCAUUGCGAUGGAACACAUUGAGAAUCCUGUUGAGGGUGACAAUGGAACUCUUGUGAGGAGUAAGAGACAUAGGACUACAAAGUCCUUUGGUGAUGAUUUCAUUGUGUACCUCGUGGAUGACACACCCAGGACUAUUUCAGAAGCCUGUGCAUCUCUUGAUGCUGACUACUGGAAGGAAGCUGUACGUAGCGAGAUGGAUUCCAUCUUAGGUAACGGAACCUGGGAGAUCACUGACCGUCCUUAUGGGUGAAAACCUGUAGGAUGUAAGUGGGUGUUCAAGAAGAAGCUUAGACCUGAUGGUACGAUUGAAAUGUACAAGGCACGGCUUGUGGCCAAGGGUUAUACCCUGAAAGAAGGUGUAGACUUCUUUGAUACUUACUCACCCGUGGCUAGACUGACCACAAUUGGGUGCUACUAUCACUUGUUGCCUCACAUGGUCUUCUCGUUCAUCAAAUGGACGUUAAGAACGCUUUCCUCAAUGGAGAGUUGAAGGAGGAAAUUUACAUGGAUCAGCCAGAUGGUUUUGUAGUACCUGGUUAGUAAGGAAAGGUGUGCAAGUUAUUAAAGUAUUUAUAUGGCCUUAAACAAGCUCCUAAAGAGUGGCAUGAGUAGUUUGAAAGAACAUUAACUGCUACCGGCUUUGUAGUAAACGAUGGUGACAAGUGCGUGUACUAUCGCUAUGGUGGGGGCGAAGGAGUUAUUCUUUGUUUGUAUGUCGACGACAUAUUGAUCUUUCGAACCAAACUUGAUUUAAUCAAGGAGGUUAAGGAUUUCUUAUCUCGCUGUUUUGAGAUGAAGGAUCUAGGAGUAGCUGAUGUUAUCUUAAACAUCAAGCUGUUGAGAGAUGAGAAUGGUGGGAUCACACUGCUUCAGUCACACUAUGUGGAAAAGGUCUUGAAUCGUUUUGGGUAUAGCGACUGCACACCUUCUCCAACCCCAUAUGAUGCUAGCAUGUUGCAUCGAAAGAAUCGACGGAUUGCUAGAGAUCAACUGAGGUAUUCUCAUAUUAUUGGCUCGCUUAUGUAUUUGGCGAGUGCCACGAGGCCAAACAUCUCGUUUGCUGUUAGCAAGCUGAGUCGGUUUGUGUCAAAACCAGGAGAUGAUCAUUGGCAUGCACUUGAGAGAGUUAUGUGCUAUUUGAAAGGCACCGCGAGCUAUGGGAUUCACUACACCGGGUAUCCAAGAGUACUGGAGGGUUAUAGUGACUCAAACUGGAUAUCUGAUGCUAAUGAGAUUAAGGCCACAAGUGGUUAUGUUUUUACACUUGGUGGUGGCGCUGUUUCUUGGAAGUCCUGCAAGCAGACCAUCUUAAUGAGGUCAACUAUGGAAGCAGAACUCACAACAUUAGAAACUGCCACUGUUCAAGCAGUGUGGCUUCAUGAGCUCUUGAUGGACUUUCCUAUGAUUGAAGAACCAAUACCCCCUAUCCCAAUGAACUGUGAUAAUCAAACUAUGAUCGUCAAGAUAAAUAGUUCUAAGGACAAUAUGAAGUCCUCAAGGCAUGUGAAGAGGAGACUGAAAUCUGUCAGAAAAUUGAGGAACUCCGGAGUUAUUACGUUGGAUUAUAUCCAAACGUCAAAAAAAUUGGCAGAUCCCUUCACAAAGGGUCUAUCACGUAAUGUGAUAGAUAAUGCAUCGAUGGAGAUGGGUCUGAGACCCACCGCAUGAGUUGUCCAUAGUGGUAACCCACUCUUUGUGAUCGGAUAUCCCGUGAAGUAUAAGUGGGAGACAAGCUGUUGGUCAGCUGGGAGGAGAGUAUCCCUAUAUUACCUGUCCCACUCCAUGAAGAUGCAAUACUCUCCUAAUCUGCAUGGCAGGUUGAUACUUAUCUUAAUGUGUUCCAAGUGGCUUAUUCGGGUAAGCAGAGAUGUUGUCCUGCAGAACAUCUUCUGAGGAACACACCUAUAUGAAUUUGACUGUUAACGUCGCAGUCUGUGAGAAUUGGGUGUUCUCUAAUAAAUUCAUGAAAAGGCCCUGGAGUAUGACGUAUACGCUCCACCCGCAGGGAAGCCUUGCGGCAGCCCAGUAUCGGUCAAGAAUUUGUGUGAAACUAGUUGCGCAGAAAAUUUGUAGUUCAAGGCAUAGUCCACUAUUCAAGUUGUGAUCUAGUGUAGCAUAAAUCUCUAAGUGGAAGUUCAACUUCACAGUCUCCACUAAGCCCCGGUAUAUAAACAAUGUUUUGGAACUAAAUGAUGAGAUGUGCCAAUGAGACUUUGUGGGGGAUUGUUGGAAUUUUGCUAGUAGGCCUUUGGCCCAAAGCCCAACUAAAAUUCUGAAAUUGUCUUGGCCCAUUCAUGCACACAUGUGAGUGGAGUGAGUGAGACUAAAGUUUAGUCCCACCCCGGAAGUUGAGAGAGAGCACCUCUUUAUAAGGUGAGCUCUUCUACCACUUGUAUGAGCAUGAGAAUAGGAGACCUACACACGCGCUCCUCCUCCUCGCUCGCCACGCCACCCCUCGUCACGACGCGCCGCGGGUUGCGGGAUUGAGCCGAGCCGAGGACAGAGCUAUGCACAUUGUCUAUUUUUUGCUACCCGAAAAAAUUAAUGAGUCAUUAAUUAAUAAUUAAUGGACACGUUAAUUACUAAACCGUUUUCGAUUCUUUUGGAUCAUGAAGACUCGGACAUGGGGUUUACUCCCACGACCUACCGGGCCCGCAUUAUAUAGUCCGGCAGACGUCUACCCUAGCUGCCGCCGCUUCAUAUGGUUUCUUACCACCGUUCCAGAUCAUUGCGCCGCCAAGCAAGUCUUCUCCAUCCGUCCCUUCGGCGUGCAUCGGGAGAAGGGACAACAGGCCUCCGGAACCCCGCCUCUCGUGAUCCUGUACGGGAGAGGGGCGAUCAGGUUUUUGGGGAGCGCACUCGCGCGACUGCUGGCAGCGACGACUUCGCGAAUGACGACUUUUUCCCUGACCUCGGCAACCUCAUCCUCGACGACAUGGGCGACAACGUCAACGCCGGCGGUGCUGCACCCGCUGCACCUUAUGUUAUUCUAUCCUUCUUGUUCGAGAUCAUGGUAGAAUUCACGUUUCUAGUAUAUGCCCUAGAUGUGAUCUGUUCAUCUACUAUGCUAGUUCGCAUGAUUAGUUUAAUAUCUGCUAUUGCUGUCAUGAUCUAUUUCCUAUUUAUUCGGAUUAAAUCUCGUAGUAAUUUGCUCAUUUUUCCAAUAGUACCAUCUAAUAGAUGAUGUAAAUCUCCUCUAGUUUGACGUUGUUGAGCUAAUUUACAAAAAAAACCUCAUCAUUAUUGGACGUCCUUAACAGCUCAAGAACAAGUUGGGGUCGAACUAAUGGAUUUUACACUUUUACAUUAAAGGUUUAGCUAAAGCUAGCAGGUGUUUUUAAACCUGAAUUUUUUUCCUCCUGAAUUUCUUUGUAUUUUCUUAUUGACACUAUUUAUACAAUCAUCUGACAAAGAUUAGCUAAAGCUGUUUGUAGAUACGUUGAAACCUGAAAAGCUUCUUUGGUUAUCCUUUUAAUAGUUCUACGUUUAUUUUCUCAUAGGUCAUAAUUCUUAUGUAAUACCAAGAUGCAUUGUGGUAGUGUACAUGUGUUAAAUUCAGGUUGUUAUUCACAAUUUGCGACAAAAUUUAGCUCACGCUACAUUCAAAUAUGUUGAAAUGUGAAAGCUUUUUUUUCUUCUCCUUUCUACACCUUGCAUCGGAUUGCAUCCCUUUAGUUAUCCAACAUUUUGUACAACAUGUAGAGAUUAGGAAGUUCAUCAUAGUUUGUUUAUUUCGGUGCUAAUAAAUGUAUGAAAUCUGCAUUUCCAAGCUACUAGGACAAGUAAAAAAUAAUAAUUUUACUAUAGGAUUCAAAAACAGCAGUUCUGAAGUGCACUUUAUUUAUUUUUGAAAGUGAUCACAUUUUGUUUCAUUUUUCUAUAGACAAAUCUACUAAUACAUACUCACGAUAAAACUAUAAAAGUUCUAGUCCGCACAUUGGGCGGGCCACCCGGCUAGUUAGUCUAAAGAUAACAAAAUGAGUCUGGAAUUUGAAUUAAAUUGAAGUAUUUUCUUGGACUUUCAAAUUGAGUUUUAUUAAAGUAGUAAGGACUAUCCACAUCCUUGGCUUGCCCCUGAUCAAUUAUUUCCAGAGAAGCAUUCAAUUCAUCAAUCAAUUACAUUGAUUUUAGUGGCUGGUACUUCUCCUCAACAUCAGUAUAUUCACCGUGGCCACUCCAAAUCGGCAAGAAUGAGGUACCAGUGCUCUGGAGCAGUGCAAGCUAAUUGCUUCUCAUCUGAAGGGGUGCGGCCGCAGGAGAGGUAUUUCUGGUGGGCCAAGGGACUAAGAAGCGACUGUGGCAGCGGUAUAGACGCCCGCAAAGCCCCAUAAUUUGUUUUUGGUUUACAGGAAAAAUGCACAUCCAUACCAGCCUGGGGAAUAUAGGACCGUAUUGGAUGGAAAACCAUGUCCGGAUGGUUGCGAGCGGUUUAAGGGUUAGCUUUUGUAACGCCCGGUUAGUUAUGCUAUAGCAAUUCCCUGCUAAUGAUGUCACGUUACCACGAUUACUGUUGUUAACCUCACAAUGAUUCAAUCCCCUUCAAAUUGAAAUUUAAAAUAAAGGCAAACAUCAAAAGUUUUCAAAUAUUAAAACUAAAAUCUUUGAGAGGUGACAAAUAAUGCAUAAGUAAUUAUGGUGGAGAAACCACACUUUAAUCAAAUGUUUAAAUACUCUAAAAUGAAAAAAAACAGUUGCUUAAACUAUUAUUUAAAUGCUUUUAAAAUAGUAAAAAUCUUCUAACUAAAUUAUUUGGGUACCAAACUUUUGGUGGCAGUGGUAUAUUUAGUACAACUAAUUUAGAUGCUAAUUAUAUAAAAAGGAAAAGCAAAAGGGGGCAACCCCUCGCUGGGCCUCGGCCUAGCUGCCACUAGGCUAGCUAGGCUGGCCCCGCCGCCUCCCUUAACCCCCCCCCCCCACUCCCCAUCGAACCCAAGCCCGAUCGCCCCACUUCCCCCANNNNNNNNNNNNNNNNNNNNNNNNNNNNNNNNNNNNNNNNNNNNNNNNNNNNNNNNNNNNNNNNNNNNNNNNNNNNNNNNNNNNNNNNNNNNNNNNNNNNNNNNNNNNNNNNNNNNNNNNNNNNNNNNNNNNNNNNNNNNNNNNNNNNNNNNNNNNNNNNNNNNNNNNNNNNNNNNNNNNNNNNNNNNNNNNNNNNNNNNNNNNNNNNNNNNNNNNNNNNNNNNNNNNNNNNNNNNNNNNNNNNNNNNNNNNNNNNNNNNNNNNNNNNNNNNUUGAUCCCAUCUGGAUCGGGGAGGGUAAUGCCCCAAUCGACCCCGUUGCCGUCGCGGGAUUGCCCGCCGACGUCGCCAGGCCUCCUCCCCGCCACCCGUCUCCGGCUCGCCUCCCCUCUCGCUCCUCUUCCCCGACCCGAUCUGGAUCGUGAACGAGCAAUGAGCUCGAAGCCCCCUUCACCGGCGCCAUCACCGUGCGCCACCACCACCGCCUGAAGACCUCACCGUCGCCGAACCUUGCGUCGCCUCCUCGUAUCCCUCCCCUACUCGCGUCCUCAAGCCAGGCCGAGCCCCUUCUCGGCAACGCCGUGAGACGCCCCCGUCUCCCUCCUCUUUCCACUGCGUUCACCGCGCCGCCCGCCGUGCCCCUCGCCGUGCGCACGCCCACCACCGCACCAGCCCCCGCUCCGCGCACGACCCUACCCGCGUCCGCGCCAUGAUCCCCUUUUCCACCCUACCUUCCUGCGCUCGCCGCGGUCCUGAUGCUCCCCCGCGCCCUCUUUUGGGGGCGCCGACUGCCCCUGUCCCACUGCUCGCCGCCGUGCCUCGCCAUCGCUCUACUGCUAAGUUAUUGCUGCGCUGCGGCCGUCGCCUCUUCCCGCUGCUCCGCCAGCGCCGAAGCUCCCGAUUGGCUCCACCACUUCUCACGUUAAACCGCCGGCCUAAAUGGCCUAACCCCCGGCUAAUGAACCCCCACUAUCCCACUGACACCGGGACCCACAUUCCCUAAUUAACCAUUUAAUAAAUUAAAACUCUUAAAUUAACAUUAGUGUAUGACAUGUGCGUCCCCUAUUAAUUUAUAAUUUUACUGCUAGUUUUAUUAGUUUCUGUUUUUUCUGCAUAUUUCUUUUGUAUUUGAACAGGCUUUAUAUAAUAAUAUUUAGCGUCUCAUACACAUAUAAAUGUAAUUAUAGCAUAUACAUACAAAUAGUCUCAUCAAAUCAUGUCAUCACCAUAAUCAUCAUCCAUCACAAAGUGAUCUCUCGUCAUCAUCUCGAAAAUAGCAAUACAAGUCUCGAUUACUUGCAACUACAUCGUCAUCCAUCUAAACAAUGAUAUACGCGAGAAGCGCUAUCACUAUGAGUGAGAGCGGAACUAUGCAGUACAUGAGUUUGUAUCCCUCUCUCACAUUAGCGUGAACCUAAACUAACUACUGGCUGUUGCUCGGAAACCGGAAACCGGUACACCUGGGCCUGACACUCCGGCCACUCGUCGUAUACUCCUGGCGUAGCACUUCUUCGCCAUCGAUGAUCUAUAAACCUACAUCGUCAGAUGAGUCGAUGAUAUGCAACAUAUAUAGUUGAGCAACAGAAAGAGACAGACUUGGCAAAAAUAGAAGCAACAUAUCAUAAGCAUAAAUAACAAAGUUCAUCGUACGCAAAAUGCCCUAACUAGAGUGAUCUUCGCUAGUCGAGGAGGACGGUUUAAUUACAUCACAAAUAAUUUUUCGUCGUGCAUAACUCAAAGUUCCGUCAUACAGAAAGUAUGAACUAAAUGGACACAUUGUCAUAUUUCAAAAAUCACUCCCACAUGUCGUGCCAUCCAUCCAAGUCAAGGAGAUAGUGCCCGAGCUUAGUGAAAGGCUUUAGGUCGAGACGCUGAGCGGCUAUGCGUGUUCGGACGUCUUCCCACGACAUUUGUCCUUCUUCAUAGAACAUCCCUGUUUUUUCGACGACCUCCUUCAUCACUGGAAGAAAAAGGGCCUGUUGUCCCGGUUCUGGAACCGGGACUAAAGGGUCGGUACUAAUGCCCUGUCCCUUUAGUCCCGGUUCAAUCCAGAACCAGGACAGUUGGGCCUCCACGUGGCCUGUGCGCGGAGCCUAGGCGGGAGACCCUUUGGUCCAAUAAGCAUCCACGCAUCAGCAUUUAUGUGGUUGGGGUUUUUGUUUUUUUUGAAGGGGGGGGCAUUGGGGGUUUUGGGGGGUUAAUUUUGGUGUUUCAUAUAUUGUGUUAGCUAGCUAUAAUUAAUAGAGAGAAUUGUCCUCUCUUAUGUCCGUGCUUGCUCGACGCUACGUACUAUACAUACGUAUAGAGAGGACUAGACACGGUAGCUAGCUAGUAAGCAAACGAAGGAAAUAGAAGAUCGUCAUGAACAUAUAUGCAUACAGAGAGAAGUAAUAUCGACCACCUCUCCUUCUCCGAGAGAUUGGUCGAACAACAAGUUCUCAUAUAUCUAUCCGACACUACCGGCUACAUAUAUACAAUAAUUAUCUCUUACAAAUAUAAUCAUACGGAUUCAGGGUCCACAUAGUAUUCUCUGUCUUCAAGGAUCACGUGGUCAAGAAAGAAUGCCGCCAAUUCCUCUUGAAUUGCUCGCAUGCGAGCUGGUGCUAGGAGUUCAUCCCGCUUCCGAAACAUCUAAUUUAAAGAAGGGGGUUAAUACAUAUAUACAUAUAUAUAUAUAUAUAUAUAUAUAUAUAUAUAUAUAUAUAUAUAUAUGAAUGAAUGAAACUCAACACGAAUGAUGGUAAUAAAAUAAAAUUGUGAAUGUUGUUAUUUACGUACUUCAUAUUGUUCGUCAGUGUAGCCCCGCUCAUAGGUCGUGUGGCGGAUGGACUCGCAAACGUAGUAUCCACAGAAAUCAUUCCUUUGUUCCUGCCACAACCACUUUAUAAGAAAUAGAGGUCAAUCAAACUGAUAAGCAAGAAUGCCAAAUGGUAUUGAUGAAACUUGUCAGGACCCCGAUUCCAAGCCACAUCGAUCUAGCCGGUAACACCUCAUAUCACUUUGCGGCCUCACGCACGAUAUUCCACGGGUGUCGCCUUACCAUGGCCCGGGACCGUUUGCGCCUUUUGGCUCACGUAUAUGAUAGUGUUGCUAGCAUCCAUAUGACAGAGAACCCGGGCCGACAUGGCUAGUCGUGAACCCAAAGUGGCACAGACCUAUGGAGACAGGCAUACAUGAAUCACAUCGAGCAUGUCGGUCAUCAGUGUGUGAUUCCGGGCUGUAGCACUGGGCUAACAGGACUCCGGGGAACCCGGGCUGUAGCAGGCUAGGCAGGACUCCGGAAGUCACCGCGUGACAUUUACCCGAAGGGACAGACAUAGGAACGAAGUGAAUCACAUGCCGGCAAGUCAAGUGUCCUGAGCAGUAGUACUGGGCUAGCAGGACUCCGGUGAACCGGGCUGUAGCGGACUACUAUGGCUCGAGGAACACUAGACUACAUUUCCCCAUAAGAAAGGCUGCCAAGGAUAAACAACUAGAUUGUCGGAUCCCACUCAUACCAAGCAUUUCAAUCAUACACACAAUAUGCCCGAUAUGAGUACAUACAACAUGGCAUCACAACAAAACUCUACAACUCAAGUACUUUAUUUAAAGGCUCUAGAGAGCCAUACAUAACAUGUUCAUACAGAUAGGGGUCACAUGACCCGACACUCAAGUCAUACAAUCAUACAAGCACAUGCGGAAGCAACCGGUCUGAGUACAGACACUAGAAAGAAAGAAGGCUCCUCGAGGCCUGUCUAUCUACAUAGGGCCCUCCAUGGCCAGGAUCACCACCUGGGUGGCUAGUCACUCGUCGAUGUCAAGGUCUACAUAGAACCCAUCGAAGGGGGCUGUGUUGUCGUCUGAAAACAGUAAUUAAGCAAACAUGAGUACAAAGGUACUCAGCAAGUCUUACAAAAGAACCUACUAUACAUGCUUAUUCUCAAGAAGGUGGUGGGGAUAUUGCAGCAAGCCAGUUUUCACUCUUGGCUAAACUAUCCUACAGAACUUCUCUAGUAAAAUAGUUUUCGCACACGAGUCCACUACUCACCAACACAAUACUCCACCGGGGAUCCUCCCUCGUCAUCCUAUGAGAGGGCCAUCCUCGGUACUCACACUUAUCUUGACUAUUUUAGUAGUAUCCAUUUAAUUGUCUAUGAACUGUAUAGGCAACCAAGUAGUCCUUUACCGCGGACGCGGCUAUUCGAAUAGUUUUAUACCCUGCAGGGGUGUACUUCGUCAUACAUGCUUUCACCACUUAUCGUCGUUUACACGACAUGUACUCGGCAACCUUCAAGCGAAAGCCCAGCGAGGGUGUCGGCCACGGCCUACCUAAACACUUAAGUCUCUAGUCCAGGUUUAUCGCCUAUCUAGGUUCCAUCCGCAGGGAGUCCGGGCGAGGUUUCCACAUACGGCCCCGAACGAUGUGAACAGGGUCCCGAGACGCCAAACGGGCGCCCGGCAUACCCGGCCAUGGUGUAUCUACCGCAACAUAGCCCACCCUUAGGGUCAGCGCUACGCACGGCCGCCAACACAUAACCUACAAACACCAGAAACUAUUUGCAACUCCUAGACAGAGUACAAGGGUGAUUAAGAAGCCGAGAGGGUCAAUUAAGGAUCCCAAUGCAUGGUAGUAGCUGAAUCUUAAAUCACACAUACCGAUCUCAGUUCUUAGGGACGGUCUCAAUGAAACAACCCACCAUGUACUCCUACAUGGCCUCUCAUCGAUACCUUUACCAAAACAUGUUCAACACAUUCCUCAUAUUACCGACAUAAUCAUAUCACCCUAGCCCAUCACCCAGAUGAACCAGACCUGACACAACUAUAAGCAUAGCAGGCAUAGCAAGGUAGGAAUCACAUACAUGGCUCAAUCAACUCCUACACAUGCUAGUGGGUUUCAUCUAGUUACUGUGGCAAUGACAGGUCAUGCAGAGGAUAAGGGUUCAACUAUCGUAGCACACAGCAGUUUGAAUCACAUUGUCUUAAUGCAGUAAACAAGAGCAGAGGCAAGAACAUGGGUUGUAUCGGAAUGAUCAAUGGGUUGCUUGACUGAUGGAGUGGUAGUGGGAUACUGCCCUUCAGUUGGAUACUCAUGAAUAUCCUCGGAGGCAGAACCUACCACGAAGAACACAUCGGAACACAAUCAACACAUGAUGAUAUGCAACAAUAUGAUGCAUGCUAUGACAUGGCAAUAUGAAUGUGUCUUGGCCUAAUGCAAGCUAAAAUAGAAAGGGAUGAACUCAUUUGAAUCAAAGAUUCAAAUAUUAGCUCAUUAAACAUGGCCUUAGUAGUGCAUUUCCUUAUUCUGCUUAAACAGCAAGGUAAACUUGUUUUUUCAUGCUUGAAACCAUUACAGAUGGAUAUAUUGAAUUUUUCUGAUAAUUUUUCAUAUAUAAAUUAUUUCAUUUGGAGUUACGGUUGAAUUUCUAUGAUUUUUAGAAGUUUCAAACAUUUUCUGGAAUUUCUUGAAUAAAAAUAAAUCCAGAAAAUGCAUUACUGCGUCAGCAUUGCAUCAUGCUGACCUCCGCAGGUCAAAGGCACCAGCCUAGGUCAAACCUGACUGGUGGGCCCCUUCUGUCAGUCUCUCAGUUAAAUAACAGGAUUAGAUUAACACUAAUUAGCUGUCAGUGGGGCCUGGGCCCACAUGUCACUGACUGAUUAAAAUAAAAUUAGUUAAAACUAAUCCUAGAUUAGUUAGCAAACCGGCCCCACCUGUCAUAGACUUAGGGGGGGUCUACCUGGGCCCACCCAGGGUCAAACUGGGUCAAACUCGCCGGCGCAGCUCGGAAAACGCCUACAGGGCACGAGCGAGGCCGUUCUUGGGCUCAUUGGAGAGCUCUUGCAGUCGCGCAUCUAGUGGCGGUGGUGGCCGGAGACGACGACGGCGAGCUCCAAGGCGGCGGCCGGAGUUCGGCCAUGUGCGGGGUGUCGGCUGUGGCGUGCAAACGUGGAAACUGAGGCACUAGCGAGGCACUACGCGAUGCGGCAAGCACGUUGCAUAGCACGGGAUAAUCAAAUGGUUGCCGGAGCGGCACCGGUGACAAGCUCGAGCGGAGACGAGCUUCGGCCAUGGUGGAACUAUGGCCUAGAGGGUGCAAACGCGUGGAAAAGAAGAGGGGAAAGGUGGCGGAGCUCACAGGGAGGUCGAUGAGCAGCUCAGUGGGCUCGGGGGCGACAGAAGUGAGGCGAAUCGAUGAGCAGCGUCCGGCGGGUACCGAGGUUGAAGACGAUCCGAUGGCGGCGAUGCAGGGCCUCCGGCGAUGCGUGGCUCGGUGGGAAGGGCGAGGGGGUGACGGAGGGCGCGACUACGGCGGUGAGACGGCGACGGGUGCGUCGGCCAUCGCGGGAGAGGGAGAGGGAGAUGAGUGGGAGAGUGAGAGAGGAUGAGAGGGGGACGUGGGGGUCGCGUGGCAUUCCCUGGACGUCUCCCGGCAUCGGCGGAAGCAGGAGGUGGCCGGCGUGUGGCCGCGGGCGCCGGCCACGCGCUCUGCGUCCUUCUGGCGCGAGGAGGACGACGACUGGCAGCGCCAGUAGGCUGGGCCGAGCCAGGUGGGCUGGCCAGCACAGGUAAGGCUCAGGUGGGCUUCUCCCUCUUUUUUUUAAUUUGUUUCUGUUUUCUAUUUAACUGUAAAUGUUGGGCUUUAUUUAAAAUACUAAAACAUUUCCAAAAAUCCUGAAAAUAAUUGUGGGCUCUGUUUGGAUUAUUUCCAAUAGCAAACAUUUAUUUGCAGAAUUAUUUGAGCAUUUAAAUGCCCAAAUUCAAAUACUUAUGAUUUAAAUCAAUGACCUUCUGUUGACCUAGAAAAGUUGUGCACCAAUUUUGCCAGAGGUUCUAACCCAAGACAAAGAGGGUGAACUUUUUAGAAGGGCAUUUCAGGUUCAUUGAAAAUAAUUUUAGUAAUCCCUAGUUGUUUCCAGGGGGGUGUUGGGGGUUUCUGCCUUCCCCAAUUCAAAUUUAAGAGGAAUUUAAACAUGAUGCACAUUCUAAUGCUUGAACUAGCUAGGGUGUGACAACUCACCCCCACUCAAAAGAAUCUCGUCCCGAGAUUUAGGAUCCUCUGGAAAGAAGGUGGGGUACUCGAGUCGAAGACGAUCCUCCCUUUCCCAAGUGGCUUCUUUCUCGGAAUGGUGUGUCCAUUGAACCUUGAGAAACUUGAUAUUAUGACGUCGAGUGGUACACUCGGCUUGAUCAAGGAUACGAACGGGAUAUUCCCGAUAAGAGAGGUUAUCUUGUAGAUCAAGCAUUUCGUGGUCCACUCCACGGAUAGGAUCCGCGAAGCAACGCCUGAGUUGUGAAACGUGGAAGACAUCAUGAACUCUGGAAAGAUGCGGAGGUAGUUCCAAUUGGUAGGCAACUUCUCCUCGUUUGGCAAGAAUGCGAAAGGGUCCAAUGUAACGAGGAGCCAAUUUGCCUUUGAUACCGAAAUGAUGGGUUCCUUUUAAUGGGGUAACCCGAAGGUAAGCCUUCUCGUCGAUUCAUAAGUCAUAGGCUUAUGUUUACGAUCAUAUUGACUCUUUUGACGAGAUUGGGCUGUUUUCAAUUUCUCACGAAUAACGCGAACCUGCUCUUCCGCUUCCUGAAUCAUAUCCGGGCCAAAGAGUUGUCUUUCCCCGGUUUCUGACCAGUUAAGAGGCGUUCGACAUUUUCGUCCAUAGAGAACUUCGAAAGGAGCUUUGCCCAAGCUAGCUUGAUAACUAUUGUUAUAAGCAAACUAUGCGAAUGGGAAGCAUUUCUCCCAACUCAUUCCGAAUGAGAUAACAGAAGCUCGGAGCAUAUCUUCUAGAAUUUGAUUGACUCGCUCUACUUGACCACUUGAUUGAGGAUGGAAGGCGGUACUAAAAGAGAGACGAGUUCCCAUAGCAUUUUGGAAACUUUCCCAAAAUCGAGAGGUGAAGAGACUCCCACGGUCUGAGUUAAUUUCCAAUGGGACACCAUGGAGAGACACUAUUCGGGAGAUGUAUAAAUCGGCUAGCUGGCUAGCAGUGAUACUCGCACGAACAGGUAGGAAAUGGGCUACUUUGGAAAGACGGUCGAUCACGACGAAGAUGGCAUUAUUCCCUCUCUUGUUCCUGGGAAACCCAGUAAUGAAAUCCAUACUGAUUUUAUCCCAUUUCCAUUCAGGAAUAGCCAAAGGUUGAAGGGUGCCAGCAGGCCGUUGAUGCCCUGCUUUAACACGAUGACAGACGUCGCAGCUAGCAAUGUAUCGAGCGAUUUCUCUCUUCAUCCUAGUACAUCAAAACCUCUGGCGUAGGUCUUGAUACAUUUUAUUGCUACCGGGAUGAAUGGUGAGAGGGGAUUCAUGAGCUUCCUUAAGGAUCAAUUGGCGUAGAUGUUGUUUCUUGGGAACCACCAAACGGUUCUCAAAGAAGACAGCACCCCGCUUAUCCAUGGAAAAACAUUUAGCAACUCCGCUAGCAAUGUUUUCCUUAAUCCGGGAUAUGCCCUUAUCAUACCGCUGGGCAGUUAUGAUCUGAUCCAUAAGGUUAGGUUUCGCCACCAGGGUGGAUAGGAAUCCUCGAGGAACAAUGUGAAGAUUAAGCUUACGGAAUUCCUCAUGGAGAAGUGGUUGACUUUGUUGUAACAUCAGGUUGUUACAAUAGGAUUUACGGCGUAGUGCAGCAGCCAUGACAUUGGCUUUGCCCGGUGUGUAGGUUAUUCCUAAGUCGUAAUCCGAGAUCAACUCAACCCAACGUCUUUGCCUGAGAUUCAAAUCUGGUUGGGUGAAGAUAUAUUUCAAGCUUUGGUGAUCGGUGAAGAUCUCGCAACGAUUAAGUGCAUGGACUACAGCUGCCAGCUCUAGAUCAUGUGUGGGAUAAUUUUCCUCAUGUGGGUGUAAUUGCCGUGAAGCGUAGGCAAUUACCUGACGAUCUUGCAUGAGUAUGCAACCUAGUCCUUGUCGCGAGGCGUCACAAUAGAUAAUAAAGUCCUUGGAUAAAUCAGGUGGUACCAGUACGGGAGCAGAUGUCAGGCGUCUUUUCAGUUCCUAAAAGCUGAACUCGCACUGUGGAGUCUACUCGAACUUUUUAUCUUUCUUGAGGAGUUUAGUUAGAGGUUUAGCAACCUUGGAGAAAUUCUCGACGAAGCGGCGGCAAUAGCUCGCUAAGCCAAGGAAGCUCCAAACUUGCUUGACCGUCUCAGGUGGAGUCUAAUCAAGGACGGCUUGAACUCGCUCGGGAUUGACGGCAAUACCCUUACCAGAGAUUACAUGGCCUAGAUAGGUUACUUCUGGCAACCAAAAUUCACACUUGGAGAAUUUGGCAUAAAGGCGAUGCUCUCGAAGUUUCAUCAAUACCAGCCUUAGAUGUUCGGCAUGUUCCUCUUCAUUCUUGGAGUAGAUUAGUAUGUCAUUGAGGUAUACUACGAUGAAUUUAUCCAAGUACUCCAUGAAAACCGAGUUCAUUAGCCGGGAGAAGGUAGCCGGGGCAUUGGUUAAACCGAAGGACAUAACGGUGUACUCGUAUUGGCCAUAACGAGUAACAAAGGCCGUUUUGGGAAUGUCCCCGUUUCUGAUUUAGAUUUGAUGGUAGCCCAACCUCAAAUCCAUCUUGGAAAAGACUGAGGAUCCAGCAAACUAAUCAUACAGAUCAUUGAUCCUGGGAAGUGGGUAUUUGUUCUUGAUGGUGACCAAGUUGAUAGGUCGGUAAUCCACAACCAUUCGAUCUGUUCCAUCCUUCUUGACGAAGAGGACGGGGCAAGCCCAAGGAGAGGAACUAGGACGGAUGAAACCCUUUUUCAAGGACUCAUCGAGUUGGUUCUCAAGCUCGGCUAGUUCUAAGGGUGCCAUCUUGUAGGGUCUUCUAGAAAUUAGAAUGGUUCCUGGAACAAGGUCUAUCACAAACUCGACAUCCCUGUCAGGUGGAACACCUGGCAGUUCUUCUGGAAAGGCAUCCGGAAAGUCUCGGACUACCGGAACAUCCUCAAGGUCUGGAAGGGGGUUGGCAUUUAGGGAGUAAAGUUGGCACUUGGCCACUCGAGUUAAGACAUUAACUGUCUUGCCCGAUGGGUGAGUAAGUUGAACGGUUCUAGUGGCACAGUCAAUCUUAGCAUAAUGAGCUGACAUCCAGUCCAUACCUAAGAUGAUGUUUAUGUCCGAGGACUUGAGAGCUAUUAAGGAUGCAAGGAAGACAAGUCUAUCGACAAGAAUUUCGUUCCCAUGGCUUACUCUAGAAGUUUGCCAUCUAGAGCCAGGGGUUUGAAUUUCCAUGGUAGAGGGCAUGUCACAGAAUGUCGUGUUGUGCAAUCGAGCAUAGUUCUCGGAUAUGAAUGAAUGAUAUGCUCCAGUAUCGAAAAGAACAGAUGCCGGAUGGCAGUUAACAAGGAGCGUACCAAGGACGACGUUGGGAUCCUCAUGAGCCUCCUCGGCUGAAACAUAGUUGACAUGGCCACGUGCAGUGGUGGCUGGCUUAGCGUAGAAUGUUUUUCCCGCGGGCUUACCACGGCCAACGGACUUUCCAGUUUGAUUGGGGUUGUUGUUCUGGGGACACUCUCGGCUAUAGUGACCCGGCUCUCCACACUUAAAGCAUGUCACCACAUUGGGGCGUGGAGCAGCAUUAGCAGCGGGGCCACCAUAGGGCUUGGGCGGUGCAAAUUGCUGGUUGGGACGUGGUGCCUCAAAGGAUGGCCUCGGGAUGAACCUGGGUGGCAGUGCCGUGCUUGGAAUCCACACCCGGCGCUUCUGAGCUCCAGAGCCGAUGAAGAGCCAAAAUCACGGGAGUGCUUGCGUGAAGUGUCAUAAUCAGUCUGGCCUUUCUCAGCACUGAUGGCUUUAUGGACCAACUUCUAAAAGGAGGUGCACUUGUGCAGACGAAGACCACGGUGAAGCUCAGGGCUAAGUCCCUUGCGGAACCUUGCCUGCUUCUUAGCAUCAGUAGAUACCUCUUCAGGGGCAUAACGUGCCAGAUUCCCAAAUUCACGACUGUAAGCAUCCACAGUCAGUCUUCCUUGGGUGAAGUUGCAGAACUCCUCCCUCUUGCGAUCCAUGAGACCUUCCGGAAUGUGAUGCUCACGGAAAGCCUCACUGAAUUCAGCCCAAGUAGUGAUUUGGCCGACCGGGCGCAUAGCUUCGAAGUUUUCCCACCAAAGGCUAGCAGGGCCUUUGAGGUGAUAGGCAGCAUAAGUAACCUUGUCGGCUUUGGCUACGUUGGCAGAACGUAGCUUGUGGGUGAUGCUGUGAAGCCAGUCAUCCACGUCGAGGGGCUCGACGGAAUGGUUAAACUUUGGUGGGUACAUCUUGAUAAAGUCAUUGAUUGACACCAACUCAUUUCGCGGGUGGCGUGCAGUGUUCUGCUCAAUCCGCUCCAGCAGGCGGUUGGUCUCACGCUUCUUUCUUUCUGCCUCCAGCAUUACUUCGGCCAGAGAAGGCGGGUGAGGCAGAUUUUCACCUCUAGCAGCACUGGCUUCCCCCUGCUCCGGGGCAACAGGGUUGCUGCGAGUAUUGACCAUCCUAGGAGAAAACAAGACAACGGUUUAGACAAGGAUGGCUCAAACUGAGCAAGGAUGUGCAGAAUGUAAUGGAUAACACGGAACACAGAGAUGUUCAUCCGUAUGUCAUGGUAAUAUAAAACUGCCAUAUAUAUACCAACGGUCAUACACAUCACACAUAGUUUAGUACAAGCCCAGGCUACAGUACAACUAUGAUGAAAGACGUUACAUCUCAUCGGAGGCAUUCCAAGCUCCUAUACAUUAUUGUCUACACCUUCGGAAUUGAUUACACGCAAAGUCAUAUUCCAAAAGUCACGCAGGACAGUGGAGAUACAACUACUACAAUACUAGUGGUACUACUACUAACUCAGACAGCUCCGUACUAGUCCUCAUAGAAGUCACCUCCAUAGCCUGGAAGUUCAACGUGACCAUCCGGGAACAGACGGUCCUGAGGAGCCUGUGGACCAUAGGGGCUUGGAUGGGGUCUUGGACCAACAAACGGUGGCCUGCGGGGACCACAGGGUGGGGUGAUGCCUCCCACAUCACGCCAAUCCACCACGUCUGGCAAAGCAGACCUCACAGGAUACAAAUCCCUUGUAUCCAUACAUCCAGCUUGCACCACAGGUGCAAACCGAGUCAAUGUGGCCCAAUGAUCAGCACGGGUAUUAAAAAGCUCCAGCCUCAAGGCCUGAUUCUCUCGGUCCUUAUAUUCGAGCAUCUCGGCAGUGGUACGAGUUAAUGAAUCCUCCUGAGUGGAGUCAGCAUAGAUAGCCUGAAGAUACCCUUGCGCUCCCGGAAGUGAAGCUAGCAUGUAUCGGAAGUCGGUGUUCCGAAGCAGGCCAGUCCGGACUCGCAUGAUUGUCAUCAUGGAAUAGGCAGCAUCCUGCACAGCCAUCUCAACAGUAACCCCGAGUCCAUAGGAACAGUGAAGGGGCUCGGUAGAUCCAGGAUAAGAAGGAAAUAUCUUGACGGUGCAGAAAUACUGGCUUUGAUUAAAGUCUCAGAAUUGCUCUUCGACGGUGUAUUCGGGAUACCAACGGUAACCCGUCUCGAUCAUGACCCGGACUAACAUAGCAGUAUGACCGGGCACGUCGAGCCACCGGGUCAGGCGAACCACUUUGUUUUGAGCACGGUUGGGCAUCUGAAAGCACAACCACAAUGCAAAGACAUCAGAAUUUCUAGGGAAAAUUGGACAGCAUAACAGCUGUAAAUGCUCAGAAAAAGAUUUGAGACAUCCACAACAGUUCGCAAUACCACUCAACAACAUCAUAUCAAGGUUCUGAUCCAAAUAGCAGCAUACUAAAAAUAGUAGAAACUGAACUGGGGCUUGUAACAACAAUCCUAUAAGCUACUACGGAUUAGUAACACGUGAACCUGAUAGAAGAAGAGAGACUAGUCCUUAACCCACAUUGAAUGAAAAGGGAAUGACUCAGAUAAGAGGCAUAGGGUAAAGGAGUAAAAGAGCCUUACGUUCCCUCCCACAAUCAAUUCCCCUACAUAUAACUAAAGCAUUUCCAGACUCGACAUCGACCAGUUUGGCUCAACGAACCUACAGGCAGUCCGGCACUGAUGCCAACGCUGUCAGGACCCCGAUUCCAAGACACAUCGAUCUAGCUGGUAACACCUCAUAUCACUUUGCGGCCUCACGCACGAUAUUCCACGGGUGUCGCCUUACCAUGGCCCGGGACCGUUUGCGCCUUUUGGCUCACGUAUAUGAUAGUGUCGCUAGCAUCCAUAUGAUAGAGAACCCGGGCCGACAUGGCUAGUCGUGAACCCAAAGAGGCACAGACCUAUGGAGACAGGCAUACAUGAAUCACAUCGAGCAUGUCGGUCAUCAGCGAGUGAUUCCGGGCUGUAGCACUGGGCUAACAGGACUCCGGGGAACCCGGGCUGUAGCAGGCUAGGCAGGACUCCGGAAGUCACCGCGUAACAUUUCCCCGAAGGGACAGACAUAGGAAUGAAGUGAAUCACAUGCCGGCAAGUCAAGUGUCCUGAGCUGUAGUGCUGGGCUAGCAGGACUCUGGUGAACCGGGCUGUAGCGGACUACUAUGGCUCAAGGAACACUAGACUACAUUUCCCCAUAAGAAAGGCUGCCAAGGAUAAACAACUAGAUUGCCGGAUCCCACUCAUACCAAGCAUUUCAAUCAUACACGCAAUAUGUCCGAUAUGAGUACAUACAACAUGGCAUCACAACAAAACUCUACAACUCAAGUACUUUAUUUAAAGGCUCUAGAGAGCCAUACAUAACAGGUUCAUACAGAUAGGGGUCACAUGACCCGACACUCAAGUCAUACAAUCAUACAAGCACAUGCGGAAGCAACCGGUCUGAGUACAGACACUAGAAAGAAAGAAGGCUCCUCGAGGCCUGUCUAUCUACAUAGGGCCCUCCAUGGCCAGGAUCACCACCUGGGUGGCUACUUACUCGUCGACGUCAAGGUCUACAUAGAACCCAUCGGAGGGGGCGGUGUUGUCGUCUGAAAACAGUAAUUAAGCAAACAUGAGUACAAAGGUACUCAGCAAGUCUUACAACAGAACCUAGUAUACAUGCUUAUACUCAAGAAGGUGGUGGGGAUAUUGCAGCAAGCCAGCUUUGACUCUUGGCUAAACUAUCCUACGGAACUUCUCUAGUAAAAUAGUUUUCGCACACGAGUCCACUACUCGCCAACACAAUACUCCACAGGGGAUCCUCCCUCGUCAUCCUAUGAGAGGGCCAUCCUCGGUACUCACACUUAUCUUGAGUAUUUUAGUAGUAUCCAUUUACUUGUCUAUGAACUGUAUAGGAAACCAAGUAGUCAUACACGCUAUUCGGAUAGUUUUAUACCCUGCAGGGGUGUACUUCGUCAUACACGCUUUCACCACUUAUCGCCGUUUACAUGACAUGUACUCGGCAACCUUCAAGCGGAAGCCCAGCGAGGGUGUCGGCCACGGCCUACCUAAACACUUAAGUCUCUAGUCCAGGUUUAUCGCCUAUCCAGGUUCCAUCCACAGGGAGUCCGGCCGAGGUUUCCACAUACGGCCCCGAACGAAGUGAACAUGGUUUCGAGACGCCAAACGGGCGCCCGGCAUACCCGGCCACGGUGUAUCUACCGCAACAUAGCCCACCCCUAGGGUCAGCGCUAUGCACGGCCGCCAACACAUAACCUACAAACACCAGAAACUAUUUGCAACUCCUGGACAGAGUACAAGGGUGAUUAAGAAGUCGAGAUGGUCAAUUAAGGAUCCCAAUGCAUGGUAGUAGUGAAUCUUAAAUCGCACAUACAGAUCUCAGUUCUUAGGGACGGUCUCAAUGAAACAACCCACCAUGUACUCCUACAUGGCCUCUCAUCGAUAUCUUUACCAAAACAUGUUCAACACAUUCCUCAUAUUACCGACAUAAUCAUAUCACCCUAGCCCAUCACCCAGAUGAACCAGACCUGACACAACUCUAAGCAUAGCAGGCAUAGCAAGGUAGGAAUUAUAUACAUGGCUCAAUCAACUCCUACACAUGCUAGUGGGUUUCAUCUAGUUACUGUGGCAAUGACAGGUCAUGCAGAGGAUAAGGGUUCAACUACUGUAGCACACAGCAGUUUGAAUCACGUUGUCUUAAUGCAGUAAACAAGAGCACAGGCGAGAACAUGGGUUGUAUCGGAAUGAUCAAUGGGUUGCUUGCUUGAUGGAGUGGUAGUGGAAUACUGCCCUUCAGUGGGAUACUCGUGAAUAUCCUCGGAGCCAGAACCUACCACGAAGAACACAUCGGAACACAAUCAACACAUGACGAUAUGCAACAAUAUGAUGCAUGCUAUGACGUAUCUUGGCCUAAUGCAAGCUAAAAUAGAAAGGGAUGAACUCAUUUGAAUCAAAAAUUCAAAUAUUAGCUCAUUAAACAUGACCUUAGUAGUGCAUUUCCUUAUUCUGCUUAAACAGCAAGGUAAACUUGUUUUGUCAUGCAUGAAACCAUUACAGAUGGAUAGAUUGAAUUUUUCUGAUAAUUUUUCAUAUAUAAAUUAUUUCAUUUGGAGUUACGGUUGAAUCUCUAUGAUUUUUAGAAGUUUUAAACAUUUUCUGGAAAUUACUGAAUAAAAAUAAAUCCAAAAAAUGCAUUACGGCGUCAGCAUUGUGUCAUGCUGACCUCAGCAGGUCAAAGGCGCCAGCCCAGGUCAAACCUGACUGGUGGGCCCCUUCUGUCAGUCUCUCAGUUAAAUAACAGGAUUAGAUUAACACUAAUUAACUGUCAGUGGGGCCUGGGCCCACAUGUCAGUGACUGAUUAAAAUAAAAUUAGUUAAAACUAAUCCUAGAUUAGUUAGCAGACCGGCCCCACCUGUCAUAGACUCAGGGGGGUCUACCUGGGCCCACCCAGGGUCAAACUGGGUCAAACUCGCCGGCGUUGAGCCGCCGGCGAGACCCGAGACAGUGGCGCAGCUCGGAAAACGCCUACAGGGCACGAGCGAGGCCGUUCUUGGGCUCGUUGGAGAGCUCUUGCAGUCGCGCAUCUAGUGCUGGUGGUGGCCGGGCCUACGGUGGCCGGAGACGACGACGGCGAGCUCCAAGGCGGCGGCCGGAGUUCGGCCAUGUGCGGGGUGUGGGCUGCGGCGUGCAAACGUGGAAACUGAGGCGCUAGCGAGGCACUACGUGAUGCGGCAAGCACGUUGCGUAGCACGGGAUGACCAAAUGGUCGCCGGAGCGGCGCUGACGACAAGCUCGAGCGGAGACGAGCUUCGGCCAUGGUGAAACUAUGGCCUAGAGGGUGCAAACGCGUGGAAAAGAAGAGGGGAAAGGUGGCGGAGCUCACAGGGAGGUCGAUGAGCAGCUCAGUGGGCUCGGGGCGACCGGAGUGAGGCGAAUCGACGAGCGGCGUCCGGCGGGUACCGAGGUUGAAGACAAUCCGAUGGCGGCGAUGCAGGGCCUUCGGCGAUGCGUGGCUCGGUGGGGAGGGCGAGGGCGUUACGGCGGAGCUUCUGGACAGGUCAGAGAGGCGAGGUGGUGAUGGAGGGCGCGACUAUGAUGGUGAGACGGCGAUUAAAAAGAAAGAUCUGGUUCACUCGUACGUGAAAAAAGUAGCAAGCGCUCGAUGCCUUCCUUUGCAUCGAUGCCAGACGCGGUGCUGGGAAUCGACAAGAUAACCGCCAAUCUACCACGAUUAAAUUCCUAGCGCCUCCUUCUAGCGCCUCCCACUGAAAAUGCCCUAAAGGUUUUGGAGGGAUUUUUUUACUGUGUCCUACUUCACGAAUCACGAGGCAAAUCAAGUAGCCGGCAUGGCCUGGCCGGUGAGUGCCAUUGCACUUACUUGCCCCAGCAAUUUUCCGCGUGCAUUGUAGAAUUCUUUCUCCGAGUCCUGUGAAUUAAAGAUGGUGCAGACAAAAAUAUAUCCUAUAUGCGUACAUGUGCAUGAUCAGAACAUGUUUUUACGUGCGUCUACUAUAAAUCAUGACCAUUUUUAACACAAAUCAUGACCAUUCAUGAUUAGUGAAUCAUACUGUCUUAACUUAUGUGAAAUCAUGUGGAGUAAUAUAAUAUAAUAUAAUAAAUAGAUAGAUCCAUGUUGUAUUAUUUUUUGUUUACAAAAAAUAUCUGUCAUUACACAUUUUGAUUUAUGCAUUUGUUUACAAAAAAAACAGUAACAUUUCAUGGUGGAAAGUUUGUAUUGUUUCAUACUGAACACCAAUGUUUUCCUGUAAAAGAAAAUAAUGCCUACGCAUAUGCUUUUAUAUUAUUAUUAUUCUUUCAAACUUAUUCAUACAGUAUUUUUGAUUGUGCAACCAUAAUUUUUAUUGUCUCUCUCGUUCCACUACAUGCUCUUACUCAAUGAUUUUUUUAUAACGGGUGUUUUUAUUAACUCAAAAUAUAGUAUCAAGCGGAUACAAAACAUAAUGAGCCACACCUGGUCUCUGCAUAACUAAGAUGCACACAGCCAAAAGCAGAUGUCUGACAAAAAUAAGAUAAGAAAAUCGACAUAUCGACAACAGUGAGUCAUAUAGUCCCGACACUAUGCCCCCGUUGAAGGACGGGGUGGAGCGAUCUGGAGAUUAUGCUGCCCUCCAUGUUGAGUAAAUACCUCCCUGGCCACUUGUUCCAAACGCAUAGACGCCGCCACGAAUAAUGGUCGGUACUCUGUUCAGUGUAGCAUACACCAUGUAGGAAGUGAGUGCUCACUCCUAGUUACUAAAUUAUGUACACACUAGUAGAAAAAGGGCCAUUUGUCCCGGUUCGUAAGGCCCAUUUGUCCCAAUUGGGGAACCGGGACUAAAGGGUCGGUACUAAAGCCCUACACCUUUAGUCCCGGUUCUUACACCAACCGAGACAGAUGGGGCUCCACGUGGCCGCUACAGCUUGCCGUGGCAGGGGGGCCUUUUGUCCCGGUUGGUAGCACCAACCGGGACCAAUAAGCUACCACGCGUCCGCAUUUGAGGGGCUAGGGUUUUUGUUUUUUUUCUGAAGGGGGGGGGGUGGGUUUGUAUGGUUAAUUUUGGGGGGUUUCACAUAUUGUGUUAGGUAGCUAAUUAAUUAAUAGAGAGAAGUGUCCUCACUUAUCUCCGUGCUUGGUCGACGCUACGUACUAUACGUAUAGAGAGGCCCUCAACACGCUAGCCAGUAAGCAAAUGAAGUAAACCAUUAAGUACAGAAGUUCGUCAUGAACAUAUGCAUACAAACAUAAGUGAUAUCGACCUCUCCUUCUCCGAGAGAUAGGUCGAACAACAAGUUUCCGUAUAUCUAUCCGGCGCUACUAGCUACAUAUAUACAAUAUUAAGAUCUCUUACAAUAUAAUCCCCUAAUUAUAUAUGAACUCAGCUUCCAGAUGGUAUUCUCCGGCUUUAUUGAUGGCGUGGUCAAGAAAGAUUCCCUCCAAUUCCUCUUGAAUUGCUUUGAUGCGAUCUUGUGGUAGGAGUUCAUCUCGCAUCUGCCACAUCUAAUUUGAAGAAGGGGGUCAAUCACCAGUAGAAUAACAACCAUUUGUCCUGGUUCAUAAGGUUAAUUUGUCCCGGUUGGGGAACCGAGACUAAAGGGUCUUUACUAAAGCCCUACACCUUUAGUCCUGGUUCUUACACCAACUGGGACAGAUGGGCCUCCAUGUGGCUGCUGCGGCGAGCCCAGGCCGGAGGUCCUUUGGUCCCGGUUAGUGGCACUGAUACGUCUCCAACGUAUCUAUAAUUUUUGAUUGCUCCAUGCUAUUAUGUUAUCUAUUUUGGAUGUUAAUGGCUUUAUUUUACACCUUUAUAUCAUUUUUGGGACUAACCUACUAAUCGGAGGCCCAACCCAAAUUGUUGUUUUCUACCUAUUUUAGGUUUUCGAAGAAAAGGAAUAUCAAACGGAGUCCAAACGGAAUGAAACCUUCGAGAACGUGAUUUUCUCAAUGAACAUGAUUCAGGAGAAUUGGAGUGUGCUCCAAGAAACAAGGGAGGAAGGCACGAGGCAGGGGGCGCGCCUACCCCCUUGGGCGCGCCCUCCACCCUCGUGGGCCCUCCGCUGCUCCACCGACGUACUUCUUCCUCCUAUAUAUAUCCACGUACCCCCAAACAUCCAGGAGCACCACGAAAACCUAAUUCCACCGCUGCAACCUUCUGUACCCGAGAGAUCCCAUCUUGGGGCCUUUUCCGGAGGUCCACCGGAGGGGGCAUCGAUCAUGGAGGGCCUCUACAUCAACUCCAUGGCCUCUCCGGUGAUGUGUGAGUAGUUUACUUCAGACCUAGGGGUCUAUAGUUAUUAGCUAGAUGGCUUCUUCUUCUCUCUUUGGAUCUCAAUACAAAGUUCUCCUCGAUUUUCUUGGAGAUCUAUUUGAUGUAACCUUCUUUUGCGGUGUGUUUGUCGAGAUCCGAUGAAUUGUGGGUUUGUGAUCCAGAUUAUCUAUGAACAAUAUUUGAUUCUCCUAUGAAUUCUAGUAUGUAUGAUUGGUUUAUCUUUGCAAGUCUCUUCGAAUUAUCAGUUUGGUUUGGCCUACUAGAUUGAUUUCUUGCAAUGGGAGAAGUGCUUAGCUUUGGGUUCAAUCUUGCAGUGUUUGAUCCCAGUGACAGAAAGGGAACCGAUACGUAUUGUAUUGUUGCCAUCGAGGAUAAAAAGAUGGGGUUUAUAUCAUAUCGCAUGAGUUUAUCCCUCUACAUCAUGUCAUCUUCCUUAAAGCAUUACUAUGUUCUCUUGAACUUAAUACUCUAGAUGCAUGCUGGAUAGCGGUCCAUGUGUCGAGUAAUAGUAGUAGAUGCAGAAUCGUUUCGGUCUACUUGUCUCGGACGUGAUGCCUAUAUACAUGAUCAUACCUAGAUAUUCUCAUAACUAUGUUCAAUUCUGUACAAUAUGGUGCACGGGGUUACAUCGGCCUGCAAAGACAUUUCUGCGAUGUGAGACAUCCGAAAAGCAACGAAAACGGGAGAUUAUACAUUUAUUGAAGAGGGCAGGUGUGACAGAUACCGUGAGGGCGUCGAGCUCAGCCAAAGACGAUGGACAGCUGAGCACGGCCUGUGUCAGAGCCGGUGCGGGAGCAGGUGCAGGUGCAGGUGCUGGUGCAACGCUAGUCGAGCUGCUCCUGAAGAAGUCAACAAUGGGAAAGUCCGCUGCAUUUUUUCUGCAUUUUGCGUGCUCCAAUUGAAAAUGGCUGGAACCAAGACAGUAGACAUAUCUGCAACCACCUGUUUUCCGGCAGCUACCGCUGUCGCGACUGUCUCAGAUGAUUUCUUCUCAACCGCAAUCUCAACCUUCUUGUCGAUGUUUUAUUCGGUUAACCUCCAUCUUUCCUUUCUCUCCUCCGUGGUCUCACGGUAGUACUUCUUCCACGUGGCCCCGUCUCCGACACCGUGAACGCGUCCAUACGACGACCGAGUCUCCACGGGGAGUCCUUUCAAUAUGUUCAAUGCCCGGUUGAAUGGAGUGUCCCACUUGGGCCUUGCCAAUGCCUCAGACGGCGAGUCGCUUUCGGCCGCAAUCUUAUGCUGCUCUCUCUACAAAAGGAACACGGAUCAUUUACAAAUAUGACUAAACGUGCAGUCGAACUGAUCAGAAACUAAAAUUACCAGCAGUCUCAUGAACUCCGUCGUGAUCGGGUCCGUCUUGAAAACCUUCUUGACUGAGUCCCAAUGGUGUCGUGCCCUGAGGACGUCAUGCUCCUACGGGACGGUGAAGUCCGCCAAGGGGUCUGGGAUGCCAGAUUUUCGCGUUUCGUGUCCUCCUUGGCCCAUAUGGACCUCUUCCUGCCGUAACCACUGCUUCCGAGGUGGUGGCGCCCCAUGUUCCUUUGUGGAAGCCCCUUCAUGUACUUCGACUUUGUUUUGGCAGCUUCGGCCUCGCAAGCCGCCUUGAAUAUUUCAAAGUGUUCUCUAGUGAUUGUCAGAUUAUCCUUUACAAUCUCGGAGUAGGGUUGAUACGUCUCCAACGUAUCUAUUAUUUUUGAUUGCUCCAUGCUAUAUUAUCUACUGUUUUGGACAUUAUUGGGCUUUAUUAUCUACUUUUAUAUUAUUUUUGGGACUAACCUAUUAACCGGAGGCCCAGCCUAGAAUUGUUGUUUUUUGACUGUUUUAGGGUUUCGAAGAAAAGGAAUAUCAAACGGAGUCCAAACGGAAUGAAACCUUCGGGAACGUGAUUUUCUGAAUGAACAAGACCCUGGAGACUUGGACCCUACGUCAAGACACAAAAGAGGAGGACACGAGGUAGGGGGCGCGCCUAACCCCCCCCCCCCCUCGAGGCACGCCCUCCACCCUCGUGGGGCCCCUGUUGCUCCACCGACGUACUCCUUCCUCCUAUAUAUACCUACGUACUUCCAAACGAUCAGAUACGGAGCCAAAACCCUAAUUCCACUGCCGCAACUUUCUGUAUCCACGAGAUCCCAUUUGGUGCCUGUUCCGGAGCUCCGCCGGAGGGGGCAUCGAUCACGGAGGGCUUCUACAUCAACACCAUAGCCUCUCCGAUGAAGUGUGAGUAGUUCACCUCAGACGUACCGGUCCAUAUUUAUUACCUAGAUGGCUUCUUCUCUCUUUUUGGAUCUCAAUACAAUGUUCUCCCCCUCUCUUGUGGAGAACUAUUCGAUGUAAUCUUGUUUUUGCAGUGUGUUUAUUGAGAUUGAUGAAUUGUGGGUUUAUGAUCAAGUCUAUGUAUGAAUAAUAUUUGAAUCUUCUCUAAAUUCUUUUAUGUAUGAUUGUUUAUCUUUGCAAGUCUCUUCGAAUUAUCAGUUUGGUUUGGCCUACUAGAUUGAUCUUUCUUACAAUGGGAGAAGUGCUUAGCUUUGGGUUCAAUCUUGCGGUGUCCUUUCCCAAUGACAGUAGGGGCAGCAAGGCAUGUAUUGUAUUGUUGCCAUCGAGGACAACAAGAUGGGGUUUUCAUCAUAUUGCAUGAGUCUAUCCCUCUACAUCAUGUCAUCUUGCUUAAGGCGUUACUCUGUUUUUAACUUAAUACUCUAGAUGCAUGCUGGAUAGCGGUCGAUGAGUGAAACCUAUGGCCCCCGGGUCUAUCUUUAUCAUAUUAAUCUCCUACUACUUAGUUAUUUCCUUUGCUUUUUCCUUUGCCUUUAUUUUACUUUUGAUCUUUAUCACAAAAAUACCAAACAUAUUAUCUUUAUCAUAUCUAUCAGAUCUCACUCUCGUAAGUGGCUGUGUAGGGAUUGACAACCCCUAUUCGCGUUGGUUGCGAGGAUUUAUUUGUUUUGUGCAAGUACGAGAGACUCGCGCGUAGCCUCCUACUGGAUUGAUACCUUGGUUCUCAAAAACUGAGGGAAAUACUUACACUACUUUGCUGCAUCAUCCUUCCUCUUCGCGGAAAACCAACGUAGUGCUCAAGAGCUGGCAAUAAGGAUUUCUGGCGCCGUUGCCGGGGAGGUCUAAGCAAAAGUCAACAUACCAAGUACCCAUCACAUACCCUUAUCUCCUGCAUUACAUUAUUUUCCAUUUGCCUCUCGUUUUCCUCUCCCCCACUUCACCCUUGCCGUUUUAUUCGCCCUCUCUCUCUCUCUCUAUCCUCCCUCUCUUUCUCUAUUUGCCUCUUUUUUCCCACUUGCUUUCUGUUUGCUUGUGUGUUAGUUGCUUGCUUGUCACGAUGGCUCAAGAUAAUACUAAAUUACGUGACUUCACCAAUACCAACAACAAUGAUUUUAUUAACACUCCGAUUGCUCCUCUUACCGAUGCUGAAUCUUGAGAAAUUAAUACUGCUUUGCUGAAUCUUGUCAUGAAAGAUCUGUUUUUCGGCCUUCCUAGUGAAGAUGCCGCUACCCACCUAAAUAGAUUCGUUGAUUUGUGUGACAUGCAAAAGAAGAAAGGUGUGGAUAAUGAUAUUGUUAAAUUGAAGCUAUUUCCUUUUUCGCUUAGAGAUCGUGCUAAAGCUUGGUUUUCGUCUUUGCCUAAAAAUACUAUUGAUUCAUGGAAUAAGUGCAAAGAUGCUUUUAUCUCUAAGUAUUUUCCUCCUGCUAAGAUCAUCUCUCUUAGAAACGAUAUUAUGAAUUUUAAGCAACUUGAUCAUGAACAUGUUGCACAAGCUUGGGAGAGAAUGAAACUAAUGAUACGUAAUUGCCCUGCCCAUGGUUUAAAUUUGUGGAUGAUUAUACCAAAUUUUUAUGCCGGAUUGAACUUUGCUUCUAGAAAUCUUUUAGAUUAGGCCGCGGGAGGCACUUUUAUGGAAAUCACUUUAGGAGAAGCUACUAAACUCCUAGAUAAUAUUAUGGUUAAUUAUUCUCAACGGCAUACCGAAAGAUCUACUAAUAAAAACGUGCAUGCGAUAGAAGAAAUUAAUGUUUCGAGUGGAAAGAUGGAUGAACUUCUGAAAUUAUUUGCUAAUAAGAGUAUUUCUUCUGAUCCUAAUGAUAUGCCCUUGUCUACUUUGAUUGAGAAUAAUAAUUAAUCUAUGGAUGUGGAUUUUGUUGGUAGGAACAAUUUUGGUAACAACGCGUACAGAGGAAAUUUCAACCCUAGGCCUUAUCCUAGUAAUCUCUCUAAUAAUUAUGGUAAUUCCUACAACAAUUCUUAUGGAAAUUAUAAUAAGAUGCCCUCUGAUUUUGGAUCUAAUAUUAGAGAAUUUAUUACUUUCCAAAAGAAUUUCAAUGCUUUGAUUGAAGAAAAAUUGCUUAAGAUUGAUGAUUUGGCUAGGAACGUUGAUAGAAUUACUCUUGAUGUUGAUUCUUUGAAACUUAGAUCUAUUCCACCUAAGCAUGAUGUCAAUGAGUCUCUCAAAGCCAUGAGAAUUUCCAUUGAUGAGUGCAAAGAAAGAACCACUAGGAUGCGUGUUAAGAAAGAUGCCUUUAUAAGAGCGUGUUCUUCUAAUUCCUAUGAAAAUAAUGAUGAAGAUCAAAAAGUUAUUGAUGUCCUCCCUAUUAAAUCUUUGUUUUGCAAUAUGAAUCUUGAUAAUCAUGGGACUGAAUAUGAUCCACCUUUACCUAGAAGGCGUUCCAAUAAUUCAGAAUUUGUUGAUCUUGAUGCUAAAAUUGAUAAAGGUGGGAUUGAAGAAAUUAAAACCCUAGAUGUUGCUAAACCCACUAUUAUGGAUUUCAAGGAACUUAACUAUGAAAACUGCCCUUUGAUUGAUUGUAUAUCCUUGUUACAAUCCGUGCUAAAUUCUCCUCAUGCUUAUAGUCAAAAUAAAGCAUUUACUAAACAUAUUGUUGAUGCCUUGAUGCAAUCUUAUGAAGAAAAACUUGAAUUGGAAGUUUCUAUCCCUAUAAAGCUUUAUGAUGAGUGGGAACCAACUAUUAAAAUUAAAAUUAAAUAUCAUGAAUGCUAUGCUUUAUGUGAUUUGUGUGCUAGUGUUUCCACGAUUCCAUAGACUUUGUGUGAUUUGUUAGGUUUCCGUGAUUUUGAUGAUUGCUCUUUAAACUUGCACCUUGCGGAUUCCACUAUUAAGAAACCUAUGGGAAGAAUUAAUGAUGUUCUUAUUGUUGCAAAUAGCAAUUAUGUGCCCGUAGAUUUUAUUGUUCUUGACAUAGAUUGCAAUCUUUCAUGUCCUAUUAUUCUUGGUAGACCUUUCCUUAGAACGACUGGUGCAAUUAUUGAUAUGAAGGAAGGAAAUAUUAGAUUCCAAUUUCCAUUAAGGAAAGGCAUGGAACACUUUCCUAGAAAGUAAAUUAAAUUACCUUAUGAAUCUAUUAUGAUAGCCACUUAUGGAUUGCCUACCAAAGAUGGCAAUACCUAGAUCUAUCCUUGCUUGUUAUGCCUAGCUAGGGGCGUUAAACGAUAGCGCUUGUUGGGAGGCAACCCAAUUUUAUUUUUAUUCCUUGAUUUUUUCUCCUGUUUAGUAAUAAAUAAUUUAUAUAGCCUCUGUUUUGGUUCUGUUCUUUGUGUUUAAUUAGUGUUUGUGCCAAGUAGAACCGUUAGGAAGACUUGGGGAAAGUCUUGUUACACUUGCUGUAAAAAACUGAAACUUCAGCGCUCACGAGAACUGCUGCCAUUUUUAUUUGGAAAGUGCUAUGUAGUUAAUUAUUUUUCAGAUGAUUAACAGAUAAAUUCCUCACGUCCAGAAAUUUAUUUUAGAAUUUUUGGGGUUCCAGCUCUUGAGCUAGCUACAGAGUACUACAGGCUGUUCUGUUUUUGAAAGAUUCUGUUUUUCGUGUGUUGUUUGCUUAUUUUGAUGAACCUAUGGCUAGUAAAAUAGUUUAUAUACCAUAGAGAAAUUGGAAUACAGUAGGUAUAACACCAAUAUAAAUAAAUAAUGAGUUCAUUACAGUACCUUGAAGUGGUCUUUUAUUUUCUUUCGCUAACGGAGCUCAUGAGAUUUUCUACUUUAAGUUUUGUGUUGUGAAGUUUUCAAGUUUUGGGUAAAGAUUUGAUGGAUUAUGGAACAAGGAGUGACAAGAGCCUAAGCUUGGGGGUUCCCAUGGCACCCCCAAGAUAAUCUAAGUACACCUAAAAACCAAAGCUUGGGGAUGCGCCGGAAGUCAUCCCCUCUUUCAUCUACUUCUAUCGGUAACUUUACUUGGAGCUAUAUUUUUAUUCGCCACAUGAUAUGUGUUUUGCUUGGAGCGUCUUGUAUUAUUUGAGUCUUUAUUUGUUAGUUUACCACAAUCAUCCUUGCUGUACACACCUUUUGAGAGAGCCAUACAUGAUUUGGAAUUUGUUAGAAUACUCUAUGUGCUUCGCUUAUAUCUUUUGAGUUAUAUAGUUUUGCUCUAGUACUUCACUUAUAUCUUUUAGAGCACGGUGGUGGAUUUGUUUUAUAGAAACAAUUGAUCUCUCAUGCUCCACUUAGAUUAUUUUGAGAUUCUUAAUAGCAUGUUAAUUUGCUUAAAAUCCUAAUAUGCUAGGUAUUCAAAGUUAGUAAAAUUUUCUUAAGAGUGUUUUGAAUACUAAGAGAAGUUUGAUGCUUGAUGAUUGUUUUGAGAUAUGGAGGUAAUAAUAUCAAAGUCGUUCUCGUUGACUAGUUGUGAAAUUGAGAAAUACUUGUGUUGAAGUUUGCAUGUCCCGUAGCACGCACGUAUGGUAAACGUUGUGUAACAAAUUUGAAACAUGAGGUGUUAUUUGAUUGUCUUCCUUGUGAGUGGCGGUCGGGGACGAGCGAUGGUCUUUUCCUACCAAUCGAUCCCCCUAGGAGCAUGCGAAUAGUACCAAGGUUUUUGAUGACUUGUAGAUUUUUGCAGUAAGUAUGUGAGUUCUUUAUGACUAAUGUUGAGUCCAUGAAUUAUACGCACUCUCACCCUUCCAUCCUUGCUAGCCUCUUCGGUACCGUGCAUUGCCCUUUCCCACAUUGAGAGUUGGAGCAAACUUCGCCAGUGCAUCCAAACCCCGUGCUAUGAUACGCUCAUUCACACAUAAACCUCCUUAUAUCUUCCUCAAAACAGCCACCAUACCUACCUAUUAUGGCAUUUCCAUAGCCAUUCCGACAUAUAUUGCCAUGCAACUUUCCACCAUUCCGUUCAUCAUGACACAUUCAUCAUUGUCAUAUUGCGUAGCAUAAUCAUGUAGUUGACAUAGUAUUUGUGGCAAGGCCACCGUUCAUAAUUCAUUCAUACAUGUCACUCUUGGUCCAUUGCAUGUCCCGGUACACCGCCGGAGGCAUUCAUAUAGAGCCAUACUUUGUUCUAGUAUCGAGUAGUAAUUAUUGAGUCGUAAAUAAAUAGAAGUGUGAUGAUCAUCAUUAAUAGAGCAUGGUCCCAAAAAGAAAAAAAAGGAAGGGCCAAAAAAAGGCCAAAUAAAAAAAUAUAAAAAAGGGGGCAAUGCUACUAUCCUUUUUUUCCAAACUUGUGCUUCCAAGUAGCACCGUAAUCUUCAAGAUAGAGAGUCUCUUGAUUUGUCACUUUCAUAUACUAGUGGGAAUUUUUCAUUAUAGAACUUGGCUUGUAUAUUCCAACAAUGGGCGUCCCCAAGUUCCCUAGGUCUUCGUGAGCAAGCAAGUUGGAUGCACACCCACUUAGUUUCUUUUGUUGAGCUUUCAUACAUUUAUAGCUCUAGUGCAUCCGUUGCAUGGCAAUUCCUACUCCUUGCAUUAACAUCAAUCAAUGGGCAUCUCCAUAGCCCAUUGAUUAGCCUCGUUGAUGUGAGACUUUCUCCUUUUUGUCUUCUCCACAUAACCCCACUCAUUAGAUUCUAUUCCACCCAUAGUGUUAUGUCCAUGGCUUGCAAUCAUAUAUUGCGUGAAAGUUUAUAGGUUUGAGAUCACUAAAGUAUGAAACAAUUGCUUGGCUUGUCAUCGGGGUUGUGCAUGAUGAGAGCAUACUUGUGUGACGAAAAUGAAGCAUGACUAAACUAUAUGAUUUUGUAGGGGUGAACUUUCUUUGGCCAUGUUAUUUUGAGAAGACACAAUUGCUCAGUUAGUAUGCUUAAAGUAUUAUUAUUUUAUGUCAAUAUGAACUUUUGUCUUGAAUGUUUCAGAUCCGAAUAUUCAUACCACAAUUAAGAAGAAUUACAUUAAAAUCAUGCCAAGUAGCACUCCACAUCAAAAAUUCUGUUUUUAUCAUUUACCUACUCGAGGACGAGCCGGAAUUAAGCUUGGGGAUGCUUGAUACAUCUCCAACGUAUCUAUAAUUUUUGAUUGCUCCAUGCUAUAUUAUCUACUGUUUUGGACAAUAUUGGGCUUUAUUAUCCACUUGUAUAUUAUUUUUGGGACUAACCUAUUAACCGGAGGCCCAGCCCAGAAUUGUUGUUUUUUGCCUGUUUUAGGGUUUCGAAGAAAAGGAAUAUCAAACGGAGUCCAAACGGAAUGAAACCUUCGGGAACGUGAUUUUCUCAACGAACAAGAUCUAGGAGACUUGGACCCUCCAUCAAGACAUAAAAGAGGAGGCCACGAGGUAGGGGGCGUNNNNNNNNNNNNNNNNNNNNNNNNNNNNNNNNNNNNNNNNNNNNNNNNNNNNNNNNNNNNNNNNNNNNNNNNNNNNNNNNNNNNNNNNNNNNNNNNNNNNNNNNNNNNNNNNNNNNNNNNNNNNNNNNNNNNNNNNNNNNNNNNNNNNNNNNNNNNNNNNNNNNNNNNNNNNNNNNNNNNNNNNNNNNNNNNNNNNNNNNNNNNNNNNNNNNNNNNNNNNNNNNNNNNNNNNNNNNNNNNNNNNNNNNNNNNNNNNNNNNNNNNNNNNNNNNNNNNNNNNNNNNNNNNNNNNNNNNNNNNNNNNNNNNNNNNNNNNNNNNNNNNNNNUGGGCCCCCCUGUUGCUCCACCGACGUACUCCUUCCUCCUAUAUAUACCUACUAUUGGGGAACGUAGCAGAAUUUUAAAAUUUUCUACGCAUACCAAGAUCAAUCUAUGGAGUCAUAUAGCAACGAGGGAGAGAGGAGUGCAUCUACAUACCCUUGUAGAUCGCGCGCGGAAGCGUUCAAGAGAACGGGGUUGAUGGAGUCGUACUCGUCGUGAUCCAAAUCACCGAUGACCAAGUGCCGAAUGGACAGCACCUCCGCGUACAACACACGUACGGUUGGGAAGACGUCUCCUCCUUCUUGAUCCAGCAAGGGGGAAGGAGAGGUUGAUGAAGAUCCAGCAGCACGACGGCGUGGUGGUGGAUGCAGCAGGAUCCCGGCAGGGCUUCGCCAAGCGCAAGCGGGGAGGAGAGGUGUUACGGAAGGAGAGGGAGGCGCCAAGAGCAAGGGUGCGGCUGCCCUCCCUCCCCCCCCUCUUUAUAUAGGGGCCUUGGGGGGGCGCCGGCCCUAGGAGAUGGAUCUCCAAGGGGGGCGAAGGCCAAGGGGUGGCUUCCCCCCCAAGCCAAGUGGGGGGCGCCCCCACCCCUAGGGUUUCCCAACCCUAGGCGCAUGGGAGGCCCAAGGGGGGCGCACCAGCCCACUAGGGGCUGGUUCUGCUCCCAAUUCAGCCCAUGGGGCCCUCCGGGAUGGGUGGCCCCACCCGGUGGACCCCCGGGACCCUUCCGGUGGUCCUGGUACAAUACCGGUGACCCCCGAAACCUUCCCGAUGGCCGAAAUUGUACUUCCUAUAUAUAAAUCUUUACCUCCGAACCAUUCCGGAACUCCUCGUGACGUACGGGAUCUCAUCCGGUACUCCGAACAUAUCCUUGGUUACUACAUACUAAUAUCUCUACAACCCUAGCGUCACCGAACCUUAAGUGUGUAGACCCUACGGGUUCGGGAGACAUGCAGACAUGACAGAGACGCCUCUCCGGUCAAUAACCAACAGCGGGAUCUGGAUACCCAUGUUGGCUCCCACGUGCUCCACGAUGAUCUCAUCGGAUGAACCACGAUGUCGAGGAUUCAAUCAAUCUGUGUAGAAUUCCCUUUGUCAAUCGGUACGUUACUUGCCCGAGACUCGAUCGUCGGUAUCCCAAUACCUCGUUCAAUCUCGUUACCAGCAAGUCACUUUACUCGUGCCGUAAUGCAUGAUCCCAUGAUCAACCACUUGGUCACAAUGAGCUCAUUAUGAUCAUGCAUUACCGAGUGGGCCCAGAGAUACCUCUCCGUCAUACGGAGUGACAAAUCCCAGUCUCGAUUCGUGCCAACCCAACAGACACUUUCGGAGAUACCUGUAAUGUACCUUUAUAGUCACCCAGUUACGUUGUGACGUUUGGCACACCCAAGGCACUCCUACGGUAUCCGGGAGUUGCCCAAUCUCAUGGUCUAAGGAAAUGAUACUUGACAUUCGGAAAAGCUACAGCAAACGAACUACACGAUCUUUGAGCUAUGCUUAGGAUUGGGUCUUGUCCAUCACAUCAUUCUCCUAAUGAUGUGAACCCGUUAUCAAUGACAUCCAAUGUCCAUAGUCAGGAAACCAUGACUAUCUUUUGAUCAACGAGCUAGUCAACUAGAGGCUCACUAGGGACGUGUUGUCGUCUAUGUAUUCACACAUGUAUUACGAUUUCCGGAUAACACAAUUAUAGCAUGAAAAAUAGACAAUUAUCAUGAACAAAGAAAUAUAAUAAUAACCAUUUUAUUAUUGCCUCUAGGGCAUAUUUCCAACAGUCUCCCACUUGCACUAGCGUCAGUAGUCUAGUUACAUUUUGAUGAAUCCAACACCCAUGAAGUUCUGGAGUUGAUCAUGUUUUGCUCUAGGGAGAGGUUUAGUCAAUGGAUCUGCCACAUUCAGGUCCGUAUGUACUUUACAAAUCUCUAUGUAUCCAUUUUGAACACUUUCAUGAAUGGAGUUGAAGUGACGCUUGAUAUGCCUGGUCUUCCUGUGAAAUCUGGGCUCCUUGGCAAGUGCAAUAGCUCCAGUGUUGUCACAGAAUAGAGUCAUCGGGCCCGGUGCAUUGGGUGUGACUCCUAGGUCGGUAAUGAACUCCUUCACCCAGAUUGCUUCUUGUGCUGCCUCCGAGGCUGCCAUGUACUCUGCUUCACAUGUAGAUCCCGCCACAACGCUUUGCUUGCAACUCCACCAGCUUACUGCCCCACCAUUCAAAAUAUACACGUAUCCGGUUUCCGACUUAGAGUCAUCCAGAUCUGUGUCGAAGCUAGCAUCAACGUAACCCUUUACGACGAGCUCUUCGUCACCUCCAUAAACGAGAAACAUAUCCUUAGUCCUUUUUAGGUACUUGAGGAUAUUCUUGACUGCUGUCUAGUGUUCCAUGCCGGGAUUACUUUGGUACCUUCCUACCAAACUUACGGCAAGGUUUUCAUCAGGUCUGGUACACAGCAUAGCAUACAUGAUAGACCCUAUGGCCGAGGCAUAGGGGAUGACACUCAUCUUUUCUCUAUCUUCUGUCGUGGUCGUGCAUUGAGCCUCGCUCAAUCUCGUACCUUGCAAUACAGGCAAGAACCCUUCUUUUACUGAUCCAUUUUGAACUUCUUCAAUAUCUUAUCAAGGUAUGUACUCUGUGAAAGACCAAUGAGGCGUCUCGAUCUAUCUCUAUAGAUCUUGAUGCCUAAUAUAUAAGCAGCUUCUCCAAGAUCCUUCAUUGAAAAACACGUGUUCAAGUAGGCCUUUAUGCUUUCCAAGAAUUCUAUAUCAUUUCCCAUCAACAAUAUGUCAUCCACAUCCAAUAUGAGAAAUGCUACAAAGCUCCCACUCACUUUCUUGUAAAUGCAGACUUCUCCAUAAGUAUGCGUAAACCCAAACGCUUUGAUCAUCUCAUCAAAACGAAUGUUCCAUCUCCGAGAUGCUUGCACCAGCCCAUAAAUCGAAUGUUGGAGCUUGUACACCUUGUCAGCAUUCUUAGGAUCGACAAAACCUUCCGGCUGCAUCAUAUACAAUUCUUCCUUAAGGAAACCAUUAAGGAAUGUUGUUUUGACGUCCAUUUGCCAUAUUCAUAAUCAUAGAAUGCGGCAAUUGCUAACAUCGUAGUCAACCCCUUGAACUUGCCGAUAACCCUUAGCGACAAGCCGAGCUUUAUAGAUGGUCACAUUACCAUCCGCGUCUGUCUUCUUCUUAAAGAUCCAUUUAUUUUCUAUGGCUCGCCGAUCAUCGGGCAAGUCAGUCAAAGUCCAUACUUUGUUUUCAUACAUGGAUCUUAUCUCGGAUUUCAUGGCUUCCAGCCAUUUGUUGGAAUUCAGGCCCGCCAUCGCUUCUUCAUAGUUCGAAGUUCACCGUUGUCUAACAACAUGAUUUCCAAGACAGGGUUGCCGUACCACUCUGGUGCGGGACGUGUCCCCGUGGACCUACGAAGUUCAGUAGCAACUUGAUCUGAAGUUUCAUGAUCAUCAUCAUCAAUUUCCUCUCUAGUCGUUGCAGGCACCUUAGGAACAUUUUCUUGAGCUGCGCCACUUACCGGUUCAAGAGGUAAUAAUACUUCAUCAAGUUCUACUUUCCUCCCACUUAUUUCUUUCGAGAGAAACUCUUUCUCUAGAAAGGACCCAUUCUUGGCAACAAAGAUCUUGCCUUCGGAUCUGAGGUAGAAGGUAUACCCAAUAGUUUCUUUAGGGUAUCCUAUGAAGACGCAUUUUUCCAAUUUGGGUUCGAGCUUUUCAGGUUGAAGUUUCCUUACAUAAGCAUCGCAUCCCCAAACUUUUAGAAAUGACAUCUUAGGUGUCUUCCCAAACCAUAAUUCAUACGGUGUCAUCUCAACGGAUUUCGACGGAGCCCUAUUUAAAGUGAAUGCGGCAGUCUCUAAAGCAUAGCCCCAAAAUGACAGCGGUAAAUCGGUAAGAGACAUCAUAGAUCGCACCAUAUCUAAUAGAGUGCGAUUAUGACAUUCCGACACACCAUUACGCUGAGGUGUUCCAGGCGGCGUGAGUUGUGAAACUAUUCCACAUUUUCUUAAGUGUGUGCCAAAUUCGUGACUCAAGUAUUCUCCCCCACGAUCUGAUCGCAAGAACUUGAUUUGCCUGUCACGUUGAUUCUCAACCUCACUUUGAAAUUCCUUGAACUUUUCAAAGGUCUCAGACUUGUGUUUCAUUAAGUAGACAUACCCAUAUCUACUCAAGUCAUCAGUGAGGGUGAGAACAUAACGAUAGCCACCGCGCCUCAACACUCAUUGGACCGCACACAUCAGUAUGUAUGAUUUCCAAUAAGUUGGUUACUCGCUCCAUUGUUCCUGAGAACGGAGUCUUGGUCAUUUUACCCAUGAGGCAUGGUUCGCACGUGUCAAAUGAUUCGUAAUCAAGAGACUUUAAAAGUCUAUCUGCAUGGAGCUUCUUCAUGCGUUUGACACCUAUGUGACCAAGGCGGCAAUGCCACAAGUAUGUGGGACUAUCAUUAUCAACCUUACAUCUUUUGGUAUUCACACUAUGAAUAUGUGUAACAUUAUGCUCGAGAUUCAUUAAGAAUAAACCAUUCACCAAUGGAGCAUGACCAUAAAACAUAUCUCUCAUAUAAAUAGAACAACCAUUAUUCUCGGAUUUAAAUGAGUAGCCAUCUCAAAUUAACCGAGAUCCUGAUACAAUGUUCAUGCUCAAAGCUGGCAGUAAAUAACAAUUAUUGAGGUUUAAAACUAAUCCCAUAGGCAAAUGUAGAGGCAGCGUGCCGACGGCGAUCACAUCAACCUUGGAACCAUUCCCGACGCACAUCGUCACCUCGUCCUUCGCCAGUCUCCGUUUAAUCCGCAGCUCCUGCUUUGAGUUACAAAUGUGAGCAACUGCACCGGUAUCAAAUACCCAGGAGCUACUACGAGUACUGGUAAGGUACACAUCAAUUACAGGUAUAUCACAUAUACCUUUAGUGUUGCCGGCCUUCUUGUCCGCUAAGUAUUUGGGGCAGUUCCGCUUCCAGUGACUACUUCCCUUGCAAUAAAAACACUCAGUCUCGAGCUUGGAUCCAUUCUUUGGCUUCUUCCCGGAAACUUGCUUAGCGGGCGCGGCAACUCCCUUGCCGUCCUUCUUGAAUUCUUCUUACCCUUGCCUUUCUUGAACUUAGUGGUUUUAUUCACCAUCAACACUUGAUGUUCCUUUUUGAUUUCCACCUCUGCUGAUUUCAGCAUUGAAUAUACCUCAGGAAUGGUCUUUUCCAUCCCCUGCAUAUUGAAGUUGAUCACAAAGCUCUUGUAGCUCGGUGGAAGCGACUGAAGGAUUCUGUCAAUGACCGCGUCAUUCGGGAGGUUAACUCCCAGCUGAGUCAAGCGGUUAUGCAACCCAGACAUUUUGAUUAUGUGCUCACUGACAGAACUAUUUUCCUCCAUCUUAUAGCUGAAGAACUUGUCGGAGACUUCAUAUCUCUCGACCCGGGCAUGAGCUUGAAAAACCAUUUUCAGCUCUUCGAACAUCUCAUAUGCUCCAUGUCUCUCAAAAUGCUUUUGGAGCCCCGGUUCUAAGCUGUAAAGCAUGCCGCACUGAACGAGGGAGUAAUCAUCAGCACGUAACUGCCAAGCGUUGAUAAUGUCUUGGUUCUCUGGGACAGGUGCGUGACCUAACGGUGCUUCUAGGACAUAAUAUUUCUUGGCAGCUACGAGGAUGAUCCUCAGGUUCCGGACCCAGUCCGUAUAGUUGCUGCCAUCGUCUUUCAGCUUGGUUUUCUCUAGGAACGCGUUGAAAUUGAGGACAACGUGGGCCAUUUGAUCUACAAGACAUAUUGUAAAGAUUUUAGACUAAGUUCAUGAUAAUUAAGUUCAUCUAAUCAAAUUAUACAAUGAACUCCCACUCAGAUAGACAUCCCUCCAGUCAUCUAAGUGAAACAUGAUCCAAGUUAACUAGGCUGUGUCGGAUCAUCACGUGAAACGGACUAGUCAACAUCGGUGAACAUCUUCAUGUUGAUCGUAUCUUCUAUACGACUCAUGCUCGACCUUUCGGUCUUCUGUGUUCCGAGGCCAUGUCUGUACAUGCUAGGCUCGUCAACUAAACCUAAGUGUAUUGCGUGUGUAAAUCUGGCUUACACCCGUUGUAUUCGAACGUUAGAAUCUAUCACACUCGAUCAUCACGUGGUGCUUCGAAACAACGAACCUUCGCAACGGUGCACAGUUAGGGGGAACACUUUCUUGAAAUUAUUUCGAGGGAUCAUCUUAUUUAAGCUACCGUCGUUCUAAGCAAAUAAGAUGUAAAACAUGAUAAACAUCACAUGCAAUCAAAUAGUGACAUGAUAUGGCCAAUAUCAUUUGCUCCUUUUGAUCUCCAUCUUUGGGGCUCCAUGAUCAUCGUUGUCACCAGCAUGACACCAUGAUCUCCAUCAUCAUGUCUUCUUGAAGUUGUCUCGUCAUCUAUUACUUCUACUACUAUGGCUAAUGCUUUAGCAAUAAAGUAAAGUAAUUACAUGACGUUUAUGUUGACACGCAGGUCAUAAAAAAAUAAAGACAACUCCUAUGGCUCCUGCCGGUUGUCAUACUCAUCGACAUGCAAGUCGUGAUUCCUAUUACAAGAACAUGAUCAAUCUCAUACAUCACAUAUAUCAUUCAUCACAUCCUUUUGGCCAUAUCACAUCAGACGGCACAUGCUGCAAAAACAAGUUAGACGUCCUCUAAUUGUUGUUGCAAGUUUUUACAUGGCUGCUAUAGGUUUCUAGCAAGAACGUGUCUUACCUACGCCAAAACCACAACGUGAUAUGCCAAUUUCUAUUUACCCUUCAUAAGGACCCUUUUCAUCGAAUCCGAUCUAACUAAAGUGGGAGAGAUAGACACCCGCCAGCCACCUUAUGCAAGUAAUGCAUGUCAAUCGGUGGAACCAGUCUCACGUAAGCGUACGUGUAAGGUCGGUCCGGGCCGCUUCAUCCCACGAUGCCGCCGAAUCAAGAUAAGACUAGUAACGGCAAGCAAAGUGACAAUAUCCACGCCCACAACUGCUUUGUGUUCUACUCGUGCAUAGAAACUACGCAUAGACCUGGCUCAUGAUGCCACUAUUGGGGAAUGUAGCAGAAUUUUAAAAUUUUCUACGCAUCACCAAGAUCAAUCUAUGGAGUUAUCUAGCAAUGAGGAAGAGAGGAGUGCAUCUACAUACCCUUGUAGAUCGCGCGCGGAAGCGUUCAAGAGAACGGGGUUGAUGGAGUCGUACUCGUCGUGAUCCAAAUCACCGAUGACCAAGUGCCGAACGGACAGCACCUCCGCGUUCAACACACGUCCGGUUGGGAAGACGUCUCCUCCUUCUUGAUCCAGCAAGGGGGAAGGAGAGGUUGAUGAAGAUCCAGCAGCACGACGGCGUGGUGGUGGAUGCAACAGGAUCCCGGCAGGGCUUCGCCAAGCGCAAGCGGGGAGGAGAGGUGUUACGGAGGGAGAGAGAGGCGCCAAGAGCAAGGGUGCGGCUGCCUUCCCUCCCCCCUCUUUAUAUAGGGGCCAUGGCGGGCGCCGGCCCUAGGAGAUGGAUCUCCAAGGGGGGCGAAGGCCAAGGGGUGGCUCCCCCCCCCAAGCCAAGUGGGGGGCGCCCCCACCCCUAGGGUUUCCCAACCCUAGGCGCAGGGGAGGCCCAAGGGGGCGCACCAGCCCACUAGGGGCUGGUUCCCCUCCCAAUUCAGCCCAUGGGGCCCUCCGGGAUGGGUGGCCCCACCCGGUGGACCCCCGGGACCCUUCCGGUGGUCCCGAUACAAUACCGGUUACCCCCGAAACCUUCCCGAUGGCCGAAACUGUACUUCCUAUAUAUAAAUCUUUACCUCCAAACCAUUUCAGAACUCCUCGUGACGCCCGGGAUCUCAUCCGGGACUCCGAACAACUUUCGGCUUACUACAUACUAAUAUCUAUACAACCCUAGCGUCACCGAACCUUAAGUGUGUAGACCCUACGGGUUUCGGAGACAUGCAGACAUGACUGAGACGCCUCUCCAGUCAAUAACCAACAGCGGGAUCUGGAUACCCAUGUUGGCUCCCACAUGCUCCACGAUGAUCUCAUCGGAUGAACCACGAUGUCGAGCAUUCAAUCAAUCUGUAUACAAUUCCCUUUAUCAAUCAGUACGUUACUUGCCCGAGACUCGAUCGUCAGUAUCCCAAUACCUUGUUCAAUCUCGUUACCGGCAAGUCACUUUACUCAUACCAUAAUGCAUGAUCCCGUGAUCAACCACUUGGUCACAUUGAGCUCAUUAUGAUGAUGCAUUACCGAGUGGGCCCAGAGAUACCUCUUCAUCACGCGGAGUGACAAAUCCCAGUCUCGAUUCAUGCCAACCCAAUAGACACUUUCGGAGAUACCUGUAAUGUACCUUUAUAGUCACCCAGUUACGUUGUGACGUUUGGCACACCCAAGGCACUCCUACGGUAUCCGGGAGUUUCACAAUCUCAUGGUCUAAGGAAAUGAUACUUGACAUUCGGAAAAGCUACAGCAGAUGAACUACACGACCUUUGAGCUAUGCUUAGGAUUGGGUCUUGUCCAUCACAUCAUUCUCCUAAUGAUGUGAUCCCAUUAUCAAUGACAUCCAAUGUCCAUAGUCAGGAAACCAUGACUAUCUUUUGAUCAACAAGCUAGUCAACUAGAGGCUCACUAGGGACGUGUUGUGGUCUAUGUAUUCACACAUGUAUUACGAUUUCCGGAUAACACAAUUAUAGCAUGAACAAUAGACAAUUAUCAUGAACAAAGAAAUAUAAUAAUAACCAUUUUAUUAUUGCCUCUAGGGCAUAUUUCCAACACCUACGUACCCCCAAACGAUCAUAUACGGAGCCAAAACCCUAAUUCCACCGCCGCAACUUUCUGUAUCCACGAGAUCCCAUCUUGGGGCCUGUUCCGGAGCUCCGCCAGAGGGGGCAUCGAUCACGGAGGGCUUCUACAUCAACACCAUAGCCUCUCUGAUGAAGUGUGAGUAGUUCACCUCAGACCUACGGUUCCAUAGUUAUUAGCUAGAUGGCUUCUUCUCUCUUUUUGGAUCUCAAUACAAUGUUCUCCCCAUCUCUUGUGGAGAACUAUUCGAUGUAAUCUUCUUUUUGCGGUGUGUUUGUUGAGACCGAUGAAUUGUGGGUUUAUGAUCAAGUCUAUCUAUGAAUAAUAUUUGAAUCUUCUCUGAAUUGUUUUAUGUAUGAUAGGUUAUCUUUGCAAGUCUCUUCGAAUUAUCAGUUUGGUUUGGCCUACUAGAUUGAUCUUUCUUGCAAUGGGAGAAGUGCUUAGCUUUGGGUUCAAUCUUGCGGUGUCCUUUCCCAGUGACAGUAGGGGCAGCAAGGCACGUAUUAUAUUGUUGCCAUCGAGGACAACAAGAUGGAGUUUUCAUCAUAUUGCAUGAGUCUAUCCCUCUACAUCAUGUCAUCUUGCUUAAGGCGUUAAUCUGUUUUUAACUUAAUACUCUAGAUGCUUGCUGGAUAGCGAUCGAUUAGUGGAGUAAUAGUAGUAGAUGCAGGCAGGAGUCGGUCUACUUGUCUCGGACGUGAUGCCUAUAUACAUGAUCAUACCUAGAUAUUCUCAUAACUAUGCUCAAUUCUGUCAAUUGCUCAACAAUAAUUUGUUCACCCACCGUAGAAUAUUUAUGCUCUCGAGAGAAGCCACUAGUGAAACCUAUGGCCCCGGGUCUAUCUUUAUCAUAUUAAUCUCCUACUACUUAGUUAUUUCCUUUGCUUUUUACUUUGCCUUUAUUUUACUUUGCAUCUUUAUCACAAAAAUACGAAAAAAAUUAUCUUUAUCAUAUCUAUCAAAUCUCACUCUCGUAAGUGGCCGUGUAGGAAUUGACAACCCCUAUUCGCGUUGGUUGCGAGGAUUUAUUUGUUUUGUGCAGGUACGAGGGACUCGCGCGUAGCCUCCUACUGGAUUGAUACCUUGGUUCUCAAAACCUGAGGGAAAUACUUACGCUACUUUGCUGCAUCAUCCCUUCCUCUUCGGGGAAAACCAAGGCAGUGCUCAAGAGGUAGCAAGGGUUCCUUUUUGUCGACGAUCCGAUGUUUCAACCCUGUUUUCCAGGUGGCCAACGCGUCGCUAAACUUGGUGACGGCGUGUUUGUUUAUCUUCUUCAUUGCCAGGUCCUUAUCUGGAUCUUUAUUAUCCUUUUCACUGCGGUCUGGGAACAAGAUUAUCUGGUGCAGUUUCUUAAGGAGGGAGGGCCUCAUAUUAUCUAUCUUCUGUAGUUUCCCAUCGUUGAUCGUGGCAGUUGUCCGUACGAUGCAACCUAUUUGAUUGCCGUAGCACGAUCGCGCUUCCUCGGGCGCUAUUGUCUCAAAAAUACCGCCGUCCAUCUCCGUGACCGCCAGUCUACUACUCAUGAGCUGGUUUGGGCGCUGUGGCCUCUUUGCUUUCGGUUCUAGACCAGCUCCGCUAGUCUCGGCGCCUGUCUCAGUUUCAUCAUCGGUCCGCAUGUCGGUAUCAGUCCCCGAUGCGACACCACAGUUGCUGCAACAUGGGUAAGGGAGACCACGUCAGUGGUGGGGGGUCUGAAAAUCAGAACACACUUUCGCGCGUCGCGGGCCGCCUCUCAGACAGCUACUGGGGAGGCGGUGGAGUACCUGGGUGCGCGGCGAAUCCCCGGGAACUCGGUGACCAACUUCCUUCCCGUGUGGCGCAUGGAGACGACGGCGACCCCGGCGAAGAGCAGCUUAGCCGCGAGCUGCACAGCCUCGUCCACCUCCUAAGUUGGGACCUCCGCGCGAGCGUUGCGGGGCCGCCACUCGGAUGGCUUCUGGAAGGCGGUUGUACAUGGGCACAUGGUGAAUCCCGGCGAGAGCUGGCCAUUGGCGCGCGCAAGUAGACGACGAUGUCCUCGAAGAAGAGCAGCCCGGCCAGCUCGCCUCACUAUCCUUUGAUUAGAAAUGAAAGAUUGGGAAGAAGCAGACUUGAGCCUGCAGGGAAAGGAUAAGGUGACGAUGCAGUCUCCACUCGUUCGGGGCGACACUCGUACUGAAUGUAUGAGAAACGUGACGUGGCAGAGACCCCAAGAUACUCCCUCCAUUUAUUUUUAGUCUGCAUAUAAAGUUUGGUCAAAGUCAAGAUUUGUAAAUUUUAACUAACUUUAUAAUAAAAAAAUAUCAACAUUCACAAUAUGAAAUCAAUAUUACCAGAUGCGUCAUGAAAUGUAUUUCCAUACUAUAUAGUUUUGGUAUUGUAGAUGUUCAUAUUUUUUUAUAUAUAUGGGAAGUAGAGGCACUCUUCUAUAUAAUGAAGUUUAUAAUAUAUGUGCUUAUAUUGUACUAUAAUUGUUUGAAUAACUUAGCAUAUAUUCAGAUGUAUGAUAUCUGUAAUUUAAACGCUUGAAUUUUACAUAUGAAUAUUUAUUAAUAAAUAUGUACCCCUAUAAUAGCUAGGCCGUGCAGUUGCACGGGUAGAUGACUAGUGAUUACAAUCUUGCUUGUGUGCAAGUCAAGCUUAUCUAGUUUACACGUAACAACUUAUAGAACAUUACAAAAUUUAUGCUUGCUAAUAACUUCUAGAACACUACAACACUUGACAUGUAAAAGGAAUUUGAUGAGUCAUGGCCUACUAAAGCAAGUUACAUUACUAGUCUUAUCUAUCUUAACAGACCACACAAGAUUACAAACUAUGUACCGUGACAGCCAUGCUUAUCUAGUUUAUGCGUAACAAUUUGCAGAAAAUUACAAACUUAGUUUCAGAAAGAUAGGCAAUCUAGAUUAGUGUUUGAGCUGUAAAGUGAAUAAGAUGAGUCAUGCAUGUCAUCACACCUUUUUGGUGGUGGAAUGAUAGUGCAACAACAAGGAACUUUAAUGACCAGUCCAAGAAUACACUUGUAAGUAGUGCCACCAAACAGAACAUACCAAAUGAUGAUUUUGAGAAGCAUCCAAGCACUUUCCACACAAACAAAUGCCAAUUGUGAAAGAGAUCAUUCCAUGGCAGCUAUAAAUAGCCCCAUAGCAUGACGAUCAUCCUUCCUCAUCCAUCAUUCUCAUAAGUAGAGCACAUCAUUUAAGCCAAGCAAGUUGUGGUCAAUACAAAUCCACCAUGAAGACCUUUCUCAUCCUUGCCCUCCUUGCUAUCGUGGCGACCACCGCCACAACUGCAGUUAGAGUUCCAGUGCCACAAUUGCAGCCACAAAAUCCAUCUCAGCAACAGCCACAGGAGCAAGUUCCAGUGGUACAACAACAACAAUUUCUAGGGCAGCAACAACCAUUUCCACCACAACAACCAUAUCCACAGCCGCAACCAUUUCCAUCACAACAACCAUAUCUGCAGCUGCAACCAUUUCCGCAGCCGCAACUACCAUAUUCGCAGCCACAACCAUUUCAACCACAACAACCAUAUCCACAACCGCAACCACAGUAUUCGCAACCACAACAACCAAUUUCACAGCAGCAGCAGCAGCAGCAGCAGCAGCAACAACAACAACAACAACAACAACAACAACAACAACCACAACAAAUCCUUCAACAAAUUUUGCAACAACAACUGAUUCCAUGCAUGGAUGUUGUAUUGCAGCAACACAACAUAGCGCAAGGAAGAUCACAAGUUUUGCAACAAAGUACUUACCAGCUGUUGCAAGAAUUGUGUUGUCAGCACCUAUGGCAGAUCCCUGAGCAGUCGCAGUGCCAGGCCAUCCACAAUGUUGUUCAUGCUAUUAUUCUGCAUCAACAACAAAAACAACAACAACAACAACAACAACAACAACCAUCGAGUCAGGUCUCCUUCCAACAGCCUCAGCAACAAUAUCCAUUAGGCCAGGGCUCCUUCCGGCCAUCUCAGCAAAACCCACAGGCCCAGGGCUCUGUCCAGCCUCAACAACUGCCCCAGUUCGAGGAAAUAAGGAACCUAGCGCUACAGACACUACCUGCAAUUUGCAAUGUCUACAUCCCUCCAUAUUGCACCAUCGCGCCAUUUGGCAUCUUCGGUACUAACUGAGAAGAAAAUAACUCUAGUACUAGAUAUAUGAAACACCGUUUUCUCAGUCCAUGGUUUGGUCGUUGUAGCGGUGAAAAAAUAAUGUGGCAUGCACUAUCAUGUAAGAACCCAAACUAUACUAGUUCAAACUUGGGAAUAAAAGACAAACACAGGUCUUGUCUACAUAUUUAUGUCGCAUCUAUUUAUAUAUUAAAAGUAAUAUAAGGUGAACCAGGAGCAAGGUAAAUAUGCUAGAAAAUUGCACGUUAAUUAGAAAUUACUAGCCCUCAAUCCGGUAAAUCUUAACAAAUAGAAUUAUCUUGACCGUUAGAUUUAUGUAACAUAUAUAAUUCUCUGGGCCUCCAACGACUGUACGUGACACAUCUGAACGCACAUAUGUUAAAGAAAAUAUAUUUGGUAAAUGGUGGGCCUCUUUAAAAAGAGAACUCACGUACAUGCACCAACUAAGAAAAACACAUACAUGUAAACGGGAAAAGGGCUCCACCCCGUUGAAAAAAUAUACAUCUGGAGGCCACUUUGUUUCCUCAUAAAAAAAAACUUACGUUAAAAAGAUUGCAUGCAUCCCAGGGAAAAUAGUCAAGAAGAAGUCGGACUCUUCCUUACAAAAACAAGGAACGUGUUAAGUUGACUUCAAAGAAAAAAGGAACAUGUUAAGUUAAAAAAAACAAGAAACCUGUUAAGUUAGAAAAAAACAAGGAACGUGUUGUCCUAGGAAAGAUAUGUGUCAAAUCUUACAAAAAAAAGAAUACACACACGUACGUUCAUGCACUUGGAAAAUAGAAAAAAAAAGGAACAUCACGUAUGUAUACACUUCGGAAACUCAUUACAUGACCAUGUCUGAUAUACUCCUCUAAUGCUUAAUAUUAGUGCCUAAUAAUUUAUAUUUAAAAUUUAAUUUACUGAUCAAAUAUCCCCACUGUUUAAAUUUUAAUUUGGCACAUUGUUUGGCUAUAGUAUGAACCUAAAUUUCCUCUUAUUAUUAUAUAUCAUGAUAAUAAUCCAAAGGCGACUAAUCUGCGCCGGCGCACCGGCGCAAUCAAUUCGGCCCGACACAGCGCGGCCGUUUGAUUAAAUUGCAUUUAACCGUCAGAUCUAGAAUCAUUUUAUUUCCAAUUAAACGGAUUCAACCAAACAGCAGAGGGGAAAACAAAGCAGCACCGCCGCCAACACUAGUCAUGGACGACCGAUGUAGCAAAACCUUGAAGAACCGCCGCCGGUCGCCACCCUCGCCGCUGGUCGCCGCCCUCGCCGCCUGCGUUUCUCAUCGGCUUCAUGCAUGCAACAACAUGCACUCGUGAUUGCAGGCUUGCAGCUCCGGCUCCGGGGGACAUGGCCGCAUCUCCGGUAGCGCCGGCCGCCAGCCGCAGCACCUGUCGUUGUGGUCACGCUGUACCUCGCCGUGUGCCCUCCCAAGGCUCUUGCUGGUUCCAACAAAAAACGAUACCUAUUGUAGCAAAAAAGUUUAUCGCUUCCAGCAAAAAAGCUUACCGCUAUAGCCCGCCAUCAUCAUUGUAGCAAAAAUGUUAACUCGAUGUAGCUUCUGUGGUUGCCGACUGCGGCCAAAAAUGACGUGGUUGUAGCAAAACACAAAAGAAAAACGCCGGCCGUCCGCUGUGUAUGGUGGUAACAAACCCUAUAGCCGGUGGUAGCGAAAAACUUCACUGUUUGCAGCAAAAAAAUGUUGUCGCCCGUCGUCGAGGUUGCAUCAUCUUCAUGAAUUAUGUCGCAAAAAAACGUUGUCGCCGGUAGUAGCAAAUGAAGCCGCCGGUAGUAACAAAACAAGACACUGGUUCCAGCCAAAAAAAUCAGCGACAGAACCUUUUGUUGGUUCCAACAAAAAAACUUGUCGGUUGUAACAUCCCUCGCCGCCGGAUGUAGCAUCUCCCAGGGCUAGUUGCAACACUCCAUAAAAAAAGUUGUCUAUGAGCGCAUCCAUGGCAACUGCUGCACCGUCAGCAACGAGGGGAAGAGGAGGCAAUGAAAAUCGUUCGAGUCGUAGCUCCACUGGACACGGCUGCAGCAUGGGGAGUCCAAAAAUCUGUCACAAGCAAGAUGCGCCUCGCCAUCCUCCUGCGCAGGAGAGAGAAGAAAAAGGAAUAAGAGGAAGAAGAAACGAAACGGGAGAAAGAAAAAAAGAAACGAUUGGUUGUGGGCUCAGGCAAUUAGUCAAAUGAGGGGCACGCGGGGCCGUAGGAUACAGCGCAAUCGAACGAAGUGCGCGCGUCCGGCCGAAGACUCAGCUGGACUGCCGGUCCAGCUGGAAAUGUUUCCCUAAUACAAAGGCUUUUCUGAAUGACAAGUCGUCUGAGUUAUCGGCUAACUAGAAAAAAGAUAAAUAUGCUAGAUAAUUCCAUAAUAAUUAGAAAUAUCUAGCCUUUAAUUAUGUAAAUCAGAAAAUCACAACCGUUGGAUUUACUUUAAAGGUAAAUUUCUCUAAAUUCCCACCAUUGCCAGUAUGUAGAAACAUGUGCUGCUUCAAUUCUCCCUUAAUCACCAAUCAAUCAACAACUGAAAACAUACCUCAGUUAAAAAAACUGAACAAAAAAAAGAAAAAAAGAAGAAAGGACAAGAUACACGCAUGUACACGACAGCCUUGGCUUGAAACACAUCAGUAGAUCAAGUGUCCGCCUCCCUUACACAGAAUAAAUUCUAGGGAAGAAAAUAAUAGUGCAACCUAACCUUAUACGUACUAUUCUAUCCUCACGUCCCAUGAGGUUUACUAGCCUACUGCCGCCGCAUCAUGCCAUCCUCUCCUUUCAGCUCCCUCCUUGCGGCGCCACUACUCGCCUAGGGAUAUUGCUGCUCAGACCGUGGAGCUUAACCUGCUUCUUCUUCAGCAAAUAUGGAACUGCUUUAGGAUCCUUCUGACAUCAGCGCGUAUGGGCCUCAUUAUACUGCAGCUCCUGGACCUCCUACAAUUGGUUGGCUAUGGCCAGUUGAUCGAUGUGCUGAAGUCCAGGUCUGUUUGCUGGCACAUAUGCUUUGGAAAUAGGCCACUAUGUUUGUACUUCGAAAUUGUUUCUGUAUUCUUCAGUGGUACAUCCUUUUAAGCGCCAGUUUUUUAUGUUAAUUCAUGCUGACAACACUUAACCUAGCCUUUCAUGUUCACGUACUAAAUACAGGAGCAAGUAAAAACAACAGACCACCUAAUUGCUCUGCAAGUUCUACAUAGGAAAAUUUGUCAUGUUCUACGAUCGCACCAUCCCACCCUUCUCUCUUGGUAUGGGCGCCAAUUGAGGGAUUGAUAAAACUGAAACGAAGACGUCACAGGGCUGGAAGUACCGCUAGCCUGGUUCGCACUGCAACCUACCCAACGCCAUCAGAAACUAGCAACUGAGUCAGGUGUUGAUCGAUUCUCUCAAAUUGCUCUCAUGUAAGUACUACCCCUUGCAUGUGCGUACAUACCUUUGUUGCAUUCUCAAACAGAUAGAACAUGUAUGAUCGGUGCAUGGCUAUUUUUCAUCACAUGACAUCCAGAUAACAAGCAUGAAAGGACUACAUUGGAGAUCAAAAAAUAUUGGUUCCUGGCUAGAGUACCACUACCUAUGGACUUGUCUCCAUAGAAUUUGUUCCCAAGAUGUUAUUUUAAUUAACCUCUUUAGCUUUCUUCCGUUGCAAACGGUGAUGUGCAUCAUGGUAUAUACGUGACCAUCUUGCACAUGUAUACACAAGAGGCUCAGACGGAGGUGCUGGAUUCUGGACGAGGGAAUAUGAAGCAGGAGUGAGCGAAGAGUAAAUAAUGGUGGGAGUACCGAUUGGUGUUAUGAAGAAAAAUGCCAUCCAAAGAUUGAUUAGUGUCAUGGAAGAUUAAUUUCUGAAUGCGAAUAUAUAUGUUACAUUGGUUUGGAUCUUUUUGAGAUAAUUGCACCUAAAUUAGGUUCUUUCUUAUUUCAUAUGUAUACCUUAUUUCAGUAAAAGUUCACAACGAACUUAGUAGGACAAAUAUAAUUUUGUUUGUUCUUUCUGUUGUCCGCCACCAAAGCUCAGUUUGAACUCUCUAGAAAUGGACAAUGAUUUAUGCAUUCUAUAUCUUCUUGAUUGAUUAGCCAUGACAAGGAAAUAAAAGGAUUGACUGAUAUAGCAUAACUUUGGAACGAUCUGUUCGUAGAGGUUACUACAAAUUAGAGUAGUGUCUGUUGGAAUUUUGCUAGUAGGCCUUUGGCCCAAAGCCCAACUAAAAUUCUGAAAUUCUCUUCGCUCAUUCAUGCACACAUGUGAGUGGAGUGAGUGAGACUAAAGUUUAGAGAGAGUUGCACCUCUUUAUAAGGUGAGCUCUUCUACCACUUGUAUGAGCAUGAGAAGAGGAGACCUAUACACGCGCUCCUCCUCCUCGCUCACCACGUCUCGUCACGCCGCGCCGCGCCGCGGAUUGCGGGAUUGAGCCGAGCCGAGGACGUUGUCUAUAUUUUUGCUGUUUGGGAAAAAUUAAUAAGUCAUUAAUUAAUAAUUAAUGGAUGCGUUAAUUACUGAACCAUUUUCGAUUCUUUUGGAUCGUGACGACUCGGACGUGGGGUUUACUCCCACGAUCUACCCGGCCCACACUAUAUAGUCAGGCAGACGUCUACCCUAGCCGCCGCCACUUCGUAUGGUUUCUCACCACCGUUACAGAUCGUUGCGCCGCCAAGCAAGUUUUCUCCAUUCCUCCUGUCGGCAUGCACUGGGAGAAGGGACAGCAGGCCUCCGGAACCCCGCCUCUCGUGAUCCUGUACGGGAGAGGGGCGAUCAGAUUUUUGGGGAGCGCACUCGCACGACUGCUGGCAGCGACGACUUCGCAAACGACGACUUCUUCCCCGACCUCGGCAACCUCAUCCUCGACUUCUGCACCGUAUGUUAUUCUAUCCUUCUUGUUCGAGAUCGUGGUAGAAUUCAGAUUUCUAGCAUGUUCCCUAGAUGUGAUUUGUUCAUCUACUAUUCUAAUUCGCAUGAUUAGUUUAAUCUUUGCUAUUGCUGUCAUGAUCUAUUUCCUAUUUAUUCGGAUUAAAUCUCGUAGUAAUUUGCUCAUUUUUCCAACAGUGCCAUCUAAUAGAUGAUGUAAAUCUCCUCAAGUUUGACGUUGUUGAGCUAAUUUACAAAAAAAACCUCAUCAUUAUUGGAUGUCCUUAACAGCUCAAGAACAAGUUGGGGUCGAAAUAAUGGAUUUUACACUUUUACAUUAAAGGUUUAGCUAAAGCAAGCAGGUGUUUUUAAACCUGAAUUUUUUUCCUCCUGAAUUUCUUUGUAUUUUCUUAUUGACACUAUUUAUACAAUCAUCUGACAAAGAUUAGCUAAAGCUGUUUGUAGAUACGUUCAAACCUGAAAAGCUUCUUUGGUUAUCCUUUUAAUAGUUCUACGUUUAUUUUCUCAUAGGUCUUAAUUCUUAUGUAAUACCAAGAUGCAUUGUGGUAGUGUACAUGUGUUAAAUUCAGGUUGUUAUUCACAAUUUGCGACAAAAUUUAGCUCACGCUACAUUUAAAUAUGUUGAAAUGUGAAAGCUCUUUUUCUUCUCCUUUCUACACCUUGCAUCGGAUUGCAUCCCUUUAGUUAUCCAACAUUUUGUACAACAUGUAGAGAUUAGGAAGUUCAUCAUAGUUUGUCUAUUUCCGUGCUAAUAAAUGUAUGAAAUCUGCAUUUCCAAGCUACUAGGACAAGUAAAAAAUAAUAAUUUUACUAUAGGAUUCAAAAACAGCAGUUCUGAAGUGCACUUUAUUUAUUUGUGAAAGUGAUCACAUUUUGUUUCAUUUUUCUAUAGACAAAUCUACUAAUACAUACUCACGAUAAAACUAUAAAAGUUCUAGUCCGCACAUUGGGCGGGCCACCCGGCUAGUUAGUCUAAAGAUAACAAAAUGAGUCUGGAAUUUGAAUUAAAUUGAAGUAUUUUCUUGGACUAUCCACAUCCUUGGCUUGCCCCUGAUCAAUUAUUUCCAGAGAAGCAUUCAAUUCAUCAAUCAAUUACAUUGAUUUUAGUGGCUGGUACUUCUCCUCGACAUCAGUAUAUUCACCGUGGCCACUCCAAAUCGGCAAGAAUGAGGUACCAGUGCUCUGGAGCAGUGCAAGCUAAUUGCUUCUCAUGUGAAGGGGUGCGGGCGCGGGAGAGGUAUUUCUGGUGGGCCAAGGGAUAAGAAGCGACCGUGGCAGCGGUACAGACGCCCGCAAAGCCCCAUAAUUUGUUUUUGGUUUACAGGAAAAAUGCACAUCCAUACCGGCCUGGGGAAUAUAGCACUGUAUUGCAUGGAAAACCAUGUCCGGAUGGUUGUGAGCGGUUUGAGGGUUAGCUUUUGUAACGCCCGGUUAGUUAUGCUAUAGCAAUUCCCUGCUAAUGAUGUCACGUCACCACGAUUACUGUUGUUAACCUCACAAUGAUUCAAUCCCGUUCAAAUUCAAAUUUGAAAUAAAGGUAAACAUCAAAAGUUUUCAAACAUUAAAACUAAAAUCUUUGAGAGGUGACAAAUAAUGCAUAAGUAAUUAUGGUGAAGAAACCACACUUUAAUCAAAUGUUUAAAUACUCUAAAAUGAAAAAAAAACAGUGACUUAAACUAUUAUUUAAAUGCUUUUAAAAUAGUAAAAAUCUUCUAACUAAAUUAUUUGGGUACCAAACUUUUGGUGGCAGUGGUAUAUUUAGUAGAACUAAUUUAGAUGCUAAUUAUAUAAUUUACAAAAUUAGAGUAAAUUGAAAAAUAGGAUAAAACGGAAAAAGGAAAGACAAAACAAAUAAAAGCAAAAGGGGGCAACCCCUCGCUGGGCCUCGGCCUAGCUGGCCACUAGACUAGCUAGGCUGGCCCCGCCGCCUCCCUUAACCCCCCACUCCCCAUCGAACCCAAGCCCGAUCGCCCCAUUUCCCACACACCCCCUCGCUAGUCUCCCCACCUCUUGAUCCCAUCUGGAUCGGGGAGGGUAUUGCCCCCAUCAACCCCGUUGCCGUCGCCGGAUCGCCCGCCGACGUCGGCAGGCCUCCUCCCCGUCGCCCGUCUCCGGCUCACCUCCCCUCUCGCUCCUCUUCCCCGACCCGAUCUGGAUCGUGAACGAGCAAUGAGCUCGAAGCCCCCCUUCACCAGCGCCAUCACCGUGCGCCACCACCACCACCUGAAGACCUCACCGUCGCUGAACCUUGCGUCGCCUCCUUGUAUCCCUCCCCUACUCGCAUCCUCAAGCCAGGCCGAGCCCCUUCUCGGCAACGCUGUGAGACGCCCCCGUUUCCCUCCUCUUUCCACCGCGUUCACCGCGCCGCCCGCCGUGCCCCUCGCCGUGCAUGAGCCCACCACCGCACCAGCCCCCGCUCCGCGCACGACCCUACCCGCGCCCGCGCCAUGAUCCCCUUUUCCGCCCUACCUUCACGCGCUCGCCGCGAUCCCCAUGCUCCCCCGCGCCCUCUUUCGGGGGCGCCGACUGCCCCUGUCCCGGUGCUCGCCGCCGUGCCUCGCCACCGCUCUACUGCUACGUUACUACUGCGCUGCGGCCGCCGCCUCUUCCCGCUGCUCCGCUAGCGCCGAAGCUCCCGGUUGGCUCCACCACUGCUCACGUUAAACCGCCGGCCUAAAUGGCCUAACCCUCGGCUAAUGAACCCCCACUAACCCACUGACACCGGGACCCACAUUCCCUAAUUAACCAUUUAAUAAAUUAACAUUAGUGUAUGACAUGUGCGUCCCCUGUUAAUUAAUAAUUUUACUGCUAGUUUUAUUAGUUUCUGUUUUUCUGCAUAUUUCUUUUGUAUUUGAACAGGCUUUAUACAAUAAUAUUUAGCGUAUCAUACACAUACAAAUGUAAUCAUAGCAUAUACAUACAAAUAGUCUCAUCAAAUCAUGUCAUCAUCAUAAUCAUCAUCCAUCACAAAGUGGUCUCUGGUCAUCAUCUCGAAAAUAGCGAUACAAGUCUCGAUUACUUGCAACUACAUCGUCAUCCAUCUAAACAAUGAUAUACACGAGAAGAGCUCUCACUAUGAGUGAGAGCGGAACUAUGCAGUACAUGAGUUUGUAUCCCUCUCUCGCAUUAGCGUGAACCUAAACUAACGACUGGCUGUUGCUCGGAAACCGGAAACCGGUACACCUGGGCCUGACACUCCGGCCACUCAUCGUAUACUCCUGGCGUAGCACUUCUUCGCCAUCGAUGAUCUAUGCACCUGCAUCGUCACAUGAGUCGAUGAUAUGCAACAUAUAUAGUUGAGCAACAGAAAGAGACAGACUUGGCAAAAAUAGAAGCAACAUAUCACAAGUAUAAAUAACAAAGUUAAUGUUUUGCAGGAUUACAACUCAACCCAUUGCAGAUUAGAAAACAAGCCCGUAUGAAUGCACAGGCUGACGACUAGUCUAUCUAUACCUAUACCUAUACCUAUACCUAUACCUACCUAUACUAAUUACAGACUCCCAAGGAAUUCCCACGUUAAUUAGUAAUUAGGAGUCGUUAAUCUUGUGGGACCAAAUUAUUACGACAGUCCACGAUCUCUUUUCUCUCUGUGUAAAAAAAGGUCCACGAUCUCUUUUCUCGGUUGUAAAAGAUAAAGGCAACUCAGGUCCACGAUCUCUUUUCACGGUUGUGAAAGAUAAAGACAACUCCCGUCUUCUUCUAAUCUAUAGUUCUAUACCUCCACGACCCCUUUCUCUCCCCAUUUAAAAGGAACAAGCUGAACCAAUAUCUAAGCAUGCAAUUGGUUCCUGUGCGGUCUUGACCUUCCAUCCGUCCACUGCUCGAUCGGCCCUCCCUCAACUACAAGCUGACAAGCCACCAUCGCCAUCCAGCGGCACGCCACCGUUCAUGCAUGUGUUUUUGCCCUUCAAUCUGAAGGAGAUGCGUUGGCUACUCAAGUAACUCUGUUUGUUUUGUUCAAACCAAUUUCGUUAAUUCGGUUCUUUGAUUAUCUAAUUGACAUGGCCUGUGAGUUUUGUGCUAGUGAUACAGGGCCUGUCUACUAGAUUCUCUCCUUGCAACUUCUAUUGUUGUCUCGAUUUGGUGUGGUCAAGAUCCUUGCCCCACCACAAGCAGCACCUUUGCACCAUCGGGGAAAUCUGUCAUAGCAAACAGAGGUAUGUAACAUGCUUUGGUGUUUUCCUCUUUCGUUUAGAUCACUAGAGUUGCUCAACCACACCAUUCAUUGAUUAGUAGUUGGCCUGAGAAGUUGCUCGGUCACCUGCAGCGUCUGAUCCCCUUCUUGACCCUCUCCUUCUGGUCAUUAUCCACCGGCAGGUCAAUGCAAAACGGAUCGUUCGUUGCCGCCACCUUGCGGAGACCGAUGUUUGGCUGCCCUCCUGCCAUCCUGGCACUCUGGUACCGGUCACUGUGCCGUUGUUCUAGAAGAACUAUGUCACACGAAGCGAGAUAUCUUCUUACUAAUCUGGAACAUAAGUGUUUCUUCUUACUAGGAUUCGCUCACCGGUGCAUUCAUCUCUUUUUGGAAAAUACGGCCUUCAUAUUUCACACGCCUAUACAUGGGUGCUGUCCCAACAAUAAUCCAUCUAAUCCAUGAUGCACAUUCAUGAAGACUGAUGUGACUGAAUUAAUAUAUCAAUCUGGUGCUUCCGGAUCAGCACUUGAAGAAGCAACCCCUUUAGUUCAUAAAUUUAUCAUACGAAAGUCAGGGGAAAAAUCAACUAAGUCAUGUGUGCUUUUCUAAUUAAUUACUAUACACUAAUUCCAUUUUUUUCAGUAGCAGGCUAGGAUACGUGGAUUGUGGCAGCACAGAAGUAAACCGAUGAGCUACAUUGGCCGUUCACCAGUCAUCGGAUCAGAAGCCAUGUCGACCAGAGGGACGGAACAGUUCUAUAUUAGGCGAUGGAUACAUGUGGAAGCAACUAAGCAUAUGUGGAUGCAUGUGAUCGCAUAGGUAAGGCCAUAGCUGUUCAAGCCCUACAGGAUCUUUAUUGCUGGUUUUAAUUAUGAGUUUACAACACCAUCUAUACAUACUACUUAUCCAUUUAUUUCCUUACCUUCUUUGUUUCUUUCUCUCCUUGAUCCCCUGUCAAAAGGGCAUCAACAUCCAUAUGCGCAACGGCACACGCAACAAACUAUGACUUCGGUUGCACGUCCAAUGGCAACCACAGUACAUGAUGAUAUCAUGUUUGCUGCAAGACGAAGUACAAGUUCAUAAUUUGGUCUUUUGCAUGGUCCCUUAGUAAAUUAUAUUUGUCCACAUACACCACAUACAUAAAAACAGGUAGAAGCGGUUGCAUGAUGAAAAUGUCCUCUCAAUAUGCAUGCCUAUGAAUACUAUCACCAGAAAGCCAAGGACUAACAAUUAUUCAGGGGUCAAGAUUGAAGACAGACGUCCAAGAUUGGCAGUCGGCCGGCCUAAGAGGGGCAAAACCGUUGUACAUUAUAUUGUAUGGACCUAGCAAGAUCCUAAAGAUAAGUGAUAAUGGAGAUCAUGGGGGCCACCCUUAUAACCAUAUGUCCAAAUGUUCUUAUUUGUUUAUUUUUCUUUUCUCUUUUCGGAAGAAUCCAUCCUGCCUCUAUGGUCAUCCUGACCACUUCGUAUUGUUAUCUAAUCUCCUCCCUUAAUUAAUAUAAAGAAUUACCGCAGCUGAAUUCACUAAAAAAAGUAUUCAGUUUAUUUUAAUUUAUUCAACUAUUAUGGCAUAUCAAUUGGAUUGCAAGUUCUUGGCGGUUGCAUUUGAAUCAUAUUUGAUGUGCACAAAGGCUUCAGUGUCAAGGUGGUCGGACGAGUAUUUAUGUCCAUUAUAUAUGUGUUAGCUUGAGAUCAUCAGGCACCUGUUAUGCAUCUGUCCAGUUAAAAGGAUGUUCAGACUCAGGCUUGCCCUACCAUAUAUGGCUGUGACACUCUGAACCAAGCAAGUUGGUCAUAUGUGUCGAGCACUAUUAACUCUUUGGAAGAGGAUCCACCAAGUACAGGAAACAAAUCAAAUAUCUUCUUAACCUUAUCACCAGAAAAAUUAGCAAGAGAUGAAUAGUAACAUUUUAAAGAAGAAAGAUAUGUUUGAAAAGGGAUAUAUAUUAUGGCGACGAUUAGAAGAGCCCUUGACGAAUGGUGCCUAGCCUGCGAAAGUUUCUUAUGAAUAUAGUCAACACUCUAUAUCAACUGUUGUAAGAUUUUAGAAAUAUUUUUGGGGACAUAUGAUACAUGUCUAUUAUACAUAUGAUUCAACAGAAGUUUGAUUGAAUACAUAUUUAAAACGUGACUGACUUCUAUAUGGACGGAGUAUUUCACAAAGGACUCACUGCCAACUGUGUGAAUAUUCCAAGAUAGUUAGUGCACAUAAAUGUUCAAAUCCAUAGCCUGCAUAAAUAUACAAAAGCAAUGUGUUAGACCACUACACAUGCUUCUGAAAGGAGGCAAAAAAAUGUAUGCUUGAUUGAUGACCGUUCAUGCAUGAAAUUAAUUUCUGAUUUCUAAUUAUUUUGGUCAUAUAAUGGAAAUAGAGACAUUAUAAAGAUCCAACAGCAUGCUAUCACACACGUGUGAACACAGACACACACAAAUAACAUUUGCCGAGCACUCACAAAUAAAAGGUGUGGCUACUCUUGGGUGUUCUACAGCUGGCUUAAAAAAACACGUAUGAAACAUGAUCCCCAAAAAUCUGAAAUUCGCAACAUAUGAAAAUCCACCCUCAAACAUAUUUCUGGUGUCUCAAUUCUUUUAGUUUCAGAUGGUAUGUCCAGCCAAAGUAGUUGUACACAUACAUUACUAUGUUCUAUUAUUUGAGAUUCUAAGACAACAUUUAGUAACUAGCCCGUGCGAUGCACGGGUUCACGACUAGUAUAUAUAAAGCUUAAUGGUGCCUAAGAAAGCUCGCACAAUUUUACAGUGGCUGUGGAGAUGUGUUGCCAAACUGAGACAUAAGAUUUUCGUUUGGCAUCCAGAGUUGCAGACCGCUUGUGUUAUCCUUAAUCCAUGGCCACUCUAAUUUUUCCGGCUGGGCCUUCCCUGUGGUACGGCAGCAAGGCUUGCGUGUGUAUAUGUUUCCUUUAACUACCACUAGCACAUAUGCCCGUGCGUGCGUUGCAAGGGGAGAGAUAAUGGCGUAUCCACCAAUAUAUCUAGCAGCAUGACCCAACAACAUCCGAAUGAUGUCACCCGACGACGGCAGGAAGGCACACACAGAGGUCUAGUAAAAACUCAACAAUUGUACGGGCAUGGUUAAUUCGCGUGAAUUCAAGGGUGUGAGAUUAGUUAGUGUUGGUCCCACAAUUGAAUUCGGGGGCUGAUUAGUUAGUGUGGGCCCACCCUUGAAUUCACCGGGGGAGACAAAAUAAUUAGGGUGAGGAGAGAUUUACGGGGCUUGGUCCCCAGAUGCGUUGCGGCAGUCAUUAUUCGAGCAUUGCAAUGCUCGCACGUGAGGAGCUCUUUUUCCAAUUGUAUAUUGAGAAGCAUUGCUACAGAUACAAUGUUUUUGAUACGUUUUUGUACGAUGAUCCUGAUCUUAAAGGGCCUUCUAAUUUUUAAAUCUUAAAGGCAUUAUUUGUAAGUUGUCGUGAAAAAAAUCUCGCUAAAAGGGUUAUGUUAGACCAUCUUCAGUACAUUAGAAAUAACGAAUUAUAAUUCCUUGGCAUUUGAACAAACAAUCCCUACUUAUUUACACAUACAAUACUUUUGGUAUGAUUUUGAAAUCUUGAAGGCAUUAUUUGUAAGUUGAAGCAAUUUUGAAAUCUCACUAAAAGGUCUGUUAGACCAUCUAUAGCUUUAGAAAUAACUAAUUAUAAUUUUGCAAAAAAAAGAAAUAACUAAUUAUAAUUCCUUAAGCAUCUGACCGAAACGACCCCGAUUUAUUGUCUGGGUAGUAAUUCCUUUGCAACAUUAUUCUCUCCUUUCUUGAAGGAACUCUUGCCUGGGUAGUAAUUCCUUUGCCCACGUAUUUGCAAGGUUAUUCUCUCCUUCAUUUUUACAGGAGCUCUCCUUCCUUAUACUAAUUGGUCAUUAUCCUCUCCUUCCUUUUUCUUUUUGCCAAACUCUCUUUCCAUAUUUAUGCCGCUAACCACGCCACUCUUUUUCCUUAUUUAUGCCCUUUGAUCACGCCACACAUCUCAUGAAAUCUAAGCCAUAUAUAUCACCCAUCUUUUUUCCUUAUUCCGGUGCUUUCCUCACAAACAGUAGUUCUCUAGGAUGCUUAACGAUUUUGAAACAGAAACAUAUAUAAAUCGGUAGAACGGGUUGUAAAGCAGCGAGGUGGUACUAAUUUAUAAAGAAACAAACCUUUUCUUUUUGUGUAAUGAUGCCUUGGUUCGGCUGGUUGCGUUGGGAAAAGGACCGGCGAAGUGGGCGAACCAAAAACGGAUAAAAUUACGGUGGUAAGAAGCGAUAGCCCUUUUAUUAGUAGGUAUGAGGAUGUCUAGGAUGUCUAGGAUGAGGAUUUACUGCACACAAGUGCGGGGGCACUCAGGUCCUGAUGCCGCCUUUUUAUUUUGGCUUCCGAUUUUCAAACUUCUAUAUCUUUUAAACAAAAAAUUCAAUUUAAGUUACGUUUUCAUAUUCGUGCUUCUCGCGGCCAGCGCUUUCAAAUAAGAUCCAUUUUGCAUACAUUUUGGUGGCUUUUGGAAACGGGCGAAUAGCUCCUAUGCGACGUUGUUGGUGUGUAUUGUCUCUCAUGCGACGUUGUUGGCUGUAAUAGCUCUCAUGCGACAUCUGCGUUGGAAAAAAUAGCUCCCAUGCGACACACCAUUUACGCGGCUAGUUGGCUGUUAGUUAGGCUGAGGUUUGGUUAGGACACUGGGGGUUAUGUGCUCUGACUGGUGGGGUCCACCUAUGGUCACGUAGACAAGAGUCAACCGUCCACGACUCGACCUGGGACUGUGUGACCGUGCUCGACUCACCCGUGCUGGACUGAGUGAGCGGUGCCGCCGUAAGCAUCUUCUCCGACAGCGGUUUCUUCUCCGCGGUGGUGGAGCGCAUUUCUCGGCAGCGGCAGAGCUAUUGCGAGGUGAGCCCGAAACCCUAGUCCCACUCCCCAGAAUUUUGGGGGAUCUGUGGCCUCAUGCUGCCCUCUGUUUCUUGGCGAUUUAGAAUCGGGCUCCAUUGGAUCCGGGGGUUGUUUCUUCUCCGUGGCCCGGUGGUGGAGCGCCUAUCUCUGUAGCGGCUAUUGCGAGUGAGUAUUUUCCAAACACUACUCGCAUUCCACUAAAUUUUGGAUAAAUCUGUGGCCUCAUGCUGCCCCUAUUUCUUGGCGUUUUAGAAUCUCGAUUGGAUAGGAGAUGGAGCGAGGGCUGGAUGAGAUGGAGCGAGGAGACAGUGCUUCAAAUCGGUAAUGCCACACUCUUUUCUUGGCGAUUUAGAAUCGAACUCGAUUUGGUAGUGACUGCCGCCGCUGCCUGCCAUUGACAAAACAGGGGAGGUUCAAGUUCUGCCACCACAUUCACAAUUAUAGUGGAAUUUUUUCCCUGUAAAGCCAAGCUCAGUGAUGGCAGUGUCCAAGACAUUGAUAGAGAUACCACCGUGAGGUUCGAUGUCGAAUUUGCAGAUGUUGAUCCCCAGGAAUUGGAGAGCAUGAAGGAGAAGGCCGUGGGCAAUUUGGUGGAGAGAAUUGGGGAGAAUAUUGUUUGGGGUCCAGAACAAGAGGUAUGUCUGCAACGUUUCGAUAACUAUAAUGGUGAAUAUGUGAGAAUUGAAGAUGGAGAAUCCAUGGUUGCUGAAAUUGAUCAGCAAGAAGGGUGGGCAACUAAACAAGUAACAUUUUAUGCAGAGCUAAUUGAUCUACAAACUCAUUCCAGAGUUGGUUAUGUGCAAUCAAAGAGGGCUGCACAGAUGGAAGAUGAUGAGUGGGUUUCACAAAAGAAGAUGUUGGCAUUGUUGACUGAACCGACUGUAGUAGCUGAAGAUACAGGGAUUGAUGCAGAUGGAGAGGAGGGAACCCAUGGUGCUAGGAAGAUUGUUGUUGACUGGAAUGUAGUAGAGUUGAAUGAAAAAACAGAUUUGGUCAUUACACCAAUAUCUGACAUUGAUAUGGCCGAAAUGUUUGGCAUUCAAGUUGAUGACAAAGAUAAGGAGAAGGAUGACAGUUCUUUGCCUGCUGAAGGAACAUAGGCCCUAGAAAUGCAAAUGAGGAUGAAGAACAGCUGAUGAGAGAGGCUGCAGAUGAUGUGGAUGAUGCAGAUGAUAAUGAGUUGGUUUGUUUGUAUGACAAAGAGAACCCAGUUAUUGAGGUGGGAAAGUUGUGGCCAAGCAUGAAGGAGUUUAGGAUGUCUUUCAGGACCUAUGCAGUGAAAAAGAGUUUGAUGCCAAGACUAUGUGGACUGAUUGAAAGAAAUUUUAUGCUCGGUGCAAAGGUUAUGAUGGUGGUGGCAAUCCUUGCAAAUGGUACUUGUCUGCCAGACUACAACCUGAUUGAAGUACAGUAAGGGUAAAUCAAAUACCACACCAGCAUACAUGUAUGACCACUUCACAGAGAGUUUCAAAGAUGACAUCACAGCUUUGGGUUACAGAGAAGAUUACUCCUAUUUUAGCCAAGACUCCAAACACUACUGCAAAGAGGCUUAAAGUUGACUUGGAGAAGCUGUACCCCAUCCAGCUGCAAUAUACCACAGUGUGGAAAGCAAAACAAAGGGCCAUGAAAUCAUUGUAUGGUGACUGGGCAAAUACAUUUAGGAUGUUGUAUAGUUUUAAAGCAGAGGUGGAGAAGAGGUCACCUGGGAGUGUGGUGGAGAUAGAUACAGAGGUAACAGAGGAUGUCAUGGUUUUAUUCAGCAAGUUUUUUAUGUGUUUGAAGCCAUGCAUAGAUGGAUUCAAAGCAGGUUGUCGUCCAUAUUUGAGCAUAGACUCAUCUUUUUUGACUGGAAAGUGGAAUGGUCAGUUGGCUGCAUGCAAUGCUCUAGAUGGACGCAACUGGAUGUUCCCAAUUGCAAUAGGAAUGUUUCAAUCAGAGACAGAGGCAUCAUGGAUAUGGUUCAUGAUGCAACUGAAAAGAUGUAUAGGGCCAGUUUCUCCUUUAGCCAUCCACACAGAUGCAUGUAAAGGGUUCGAAAAUGCAGUAAAAAAUGUUGUCCCCCAUGCUGAGCAGAGGGAGUGCUUUGGACAUAUGUGGAUGAAUCUGAUAAAAAAAUUAGAGGAGAUGAAUUUGGGCGCAUGUGGCCAGCAGCAAGAUCCUACACCAGACAGACACAUUCCUAUCACCUUGGUAAGAUAUUGGCAUCAUGUAGUGAUAAUGAAUUUGCUUCAUGGUUGAACACCCGCCAUUCUCUGUUGUGGUAUAGAUCAGGUUUUAAUACUGCCAUAAAAUGUGAUAAUAUCAAUAACAACUUGGCAGAAAGUUUUAACAACAAAGUGAAGGAUUUGAAAGACUUGCCUGUGCAUGACAUGGUGGACCAAAUAAGGAUCAUGAUCAUGCGUUUGUGGGAGUUGAGAGGAAAAAUUGCUAAUAUUUUGGAAGGGGACAAGCUUCCAGCAGUGGUACAAUAGGUGGUCAACAGGAGUAGAAAUCUUUCACAUCUAUCUGUUGAGAAAUCUUCCUUGUGGGGUGCUGAAGUUAGAGAUACAAAGAGUGGCAAGAGGCAUGUGGUAAAUACUGAGUUGCAUGAGUGUACUUGCCGAGAGUGGCAACACACUGGAAAACCAUGUGAGCAUGCCAUACUUUUUUUGGCAUCUAAACCCAGGUUAAAUAUGCACCCAUAUUUGCAUGAGUAUUAUUCAGUACAAAAAUUCAAAGCUGCAUAUGCAAGUCCAAUUCCUGCACUGACUGACCAAUCUCAGUGGCCUGAGGUGGAAAUAGAAUUUACCUUGUGUCCCCUGUCACUAGAAGAAAGGCUGGGAGGCCUAAACAGAGCAGAUUCAAAGCUUGGUUUGAGAAAGGUGGUUGUAGUAAGAAGGGGAAAAAAGAAAAGAAAAAGAAUGAUAAGCCCAAAAGGGCUCAAAAAGGUAAGAAAAAUAGGUGCAAGUUGUGUGAGGUACUUGGGCACAGAAUUGGUUCAUCCAAGUGCAUCUAUACUCCUCAGAGGACAAAGUAUGUUCAUGUUACUGUUUUUACAAGUUUUUGAUUUUGUUACUUGUUCUAGUAUCUAACCAAGUCAAAUGCUUUAUUUUUUAGGAGGAAGCGUGCAGAAAAAGCCCCACCUCUUGUUGUUGAACAAUGCUGGCCAGUGAAAAAAGCAAGACUCAAUGGCUAUAUAGAAGGAAGAGCACUAAGCAGAUAAUGUUUGGUGACAAAGAUAUGGAGCUAACUGAAACUGUUACUGCUGAACAUGAGCUAAGUGUUUCUGUUUUGGACGAUGUGAUGCAUACUGAAUCUGUUUUGCAGACGCUAGGGCAAUCUGAAACUGUUGCAGAUGAAGCAACGGUUGUGCUGCCAUGCGAAUCUGCUUUGACAACUGUGUUGCCAUGUUUGGAGGUUGUGCUGCCAAGUGUUGAGUUGCAAACUGAAGUAGUUGAACAAUUUGUGCCAUCUACUCAAUCUGCAGAAGUGCAAACUGAAGAAGUGCAAACUGAAGAAGUGGGACAUGGUCAGGUGAAAAAGUUGAGGGGGCCUAGUGGAGUUUGCAAGGGGCCAAAAAGCAAGAGCAUCAACAUCAACAAACUAUGCGCCGUGGAACCAAACGAUGGAAAAAAGCAGAAGAAAUCGAGUGGUAGAAAGAAGCAAAAGAAAUAGAGUCGAAAUCAUUCAAAUUUGAUGUGAAAACUUAAGUUUGUUGUCAUUUGAUGUGAAAACUUAUGUUCUUUCAUGUGAAAACUUAUGUGCUAUGAUGUUGAUUUGACUUGAAAUAAAAUUCAAAUUUGAACCGACAUUCAAAUUUGAACCUAUCUCCAAAUUUUUUUGAGUUCAUUUGUUUGUUCUGUGAUGUUGCAUCGUUUUAUGUACUACUAUGCACUUUGUGAAGUCCAACUCAUAGUCACUGAAAAUGCUGUACAAACAGGCUCCAAAGUAAGGGAAAACGGCCCCAUUUCUAAGCAAGUUUUUUUCGAUCUUCUCAAAAUCACCCAAAAAAGAUUUUCUUAGCUUAUAUUAUACCUAUAUAGGAUCAAUACAAAGUCUCACCUUUUUUGAAUAAGUAUUCAUAUUAUUUAAUUUAUUUUUGAAAAAACACCCUUUAAUACAAAGUCAGCAAUAAAACAAGUUUAAAAAUUUUAAAUGCAAAAAUAACUUCAGAUCCUCCUUAGUCACUCUAAAAUGAAGCUAAGGUGAUGUUUUUUGAUUUUUUUGCAUUUUCAAAACCUCAAACCCUCUUCUCACUCCUUUGAACUCUAUGCAACCUCAGUCGAGAUAGUCCAAUUUGUGAAGGUUUUUUCAUGCAAAGAUCAUUAGAUCAAGUUUAUCAUUUUAUAUCAUAACUAUGUAACAUAAAAAGGCUAUAUGCGCAGGUUUUUCAUUUUUUAGAUUUUUUUGAAUUAGUUAUACACAUUUGAAUGUUCGGUCAAACCUUUCAAAACCCCGUUGACUGCCUCAAAACCCCAUGUAACCCUAGCGCCAAACGUCCACCGUCGAUCUAACCCUAACGCCAAACUGCGGCCGUCGGAUGGGACUUCUAGAAGGAUUCCGCGGGGGCGAUCCAUGGGCUCCAAUCUGAUUGGCCAUUGUUUUUUCUCUCUGACGAACAGAUAACGUUGAGCGGGGGAGCAUCUAAGUGACCGUUGGGCCGAGUGGAUUGGGCCUGGCAAAGCCUGGCGUGCGUGCACACGGCUGUUGAGAGGGGGGAUGGGCUGCAUGCGAGCGGGUCAAUGACAUGUGGGCCAUCCUUGUCCCAUGCAUGCCAUGCAACGUCGCAGCCUAGCUAUUCUUUGCUCGUGAAAGCCUAGCCAUUUGCAUGCGGGCUUGCAUGCACGCAUCGACGCAGAGUACGGCAAGGGUGCAGCGUAUAGGUACGUCGCAUCUAAGCUAUUUUAACAAAUGCAUGUUUGAACGAGAUGGACGCGUCGGUGGUGCAGCUCCUUUUUCAGUGUCACGCGCGGAUGAACGGGCCUGUUUCCCAUGCGGCAUCACCGCCGAUGCAAGUGCCCGUGCCUCUUUGGAUGCUCUGGCCGCCGUUUUUUGAAUUAAUGCCCGCAAUUACUUAUGCCAUGCGAACGGAGAAGAGAAAAAGAUCGAGAAGGGGCACCGUGUACACAUUGACCAUGGUUGCAAUGCGGCUAUAAAAGGGCACCAUUUCCUCAUCCUCUCACACUCAUCUCUCAAGCCUCCUCCCCUUCUUCUUUUCGAGCCAAAUCCACCACUCGAGCCACCAUGCAGUUCAACGGCCCUACCUACCGUCGCCCUUGCACCGUGCCGGAGAGGCAGUACCCAGCCGGAGUCGUCGUGGAGAACAGCCUGAGGGUGUGGGCCAUCUCUAGGUGGAGGGGCCCUAGAGAGUUGGCUCGCUUCUUCCUCCAAGCUGGCUACCGCCACCUCCCUCCGGGCACUCCGCCCAUGUUCCACCUCCACGAGCAGUACGAUGGCAAUGCCGGCCCCGACGGCUUCGUCAUCGGCCUCUAUGUCACCUUCACCAACCCCUACGACGCUCACCACCUCCCCGGGGAGGUGUUCUGGUGUGGAUGCGAGUUUAUCGCGUUCACGACCUACAACAUCUUCACCAACUUCCACCACAUCUUCCCUCACCACAACGGCAUGCACACCCUCCCCUAUCAGAUGCCGGAGGACGACGAGUGAGGGGCCCAAGGAGGAGGGUCCAAGGAGUGGCAAGGAGGAGGGGCCAAGGAGUUGUUCAAGCGGCGAGUCUUCUAUCUAUCUAGUUUGGGGCUCUAGUUUGUGUUUGUGUUGGUUCGGGCGUGUGUGCCCGUGUCUUUUAUAUAUCUAGUUUUAAUUAUUUUACUUUCAUGUUUUAUGAACUAUAUGUAGUGGGGGGAUGCCCCUCUAUAAGUUUUAUCUAUCUAUGCUACUAGGGUACCCGAUGCCCCUCUAUCUAUCUAUAUGUUUUUUCGGUCCUAAAGUUUCUCCAUUGCAUUUUAUUUAUGUGGCCAUGUGUACUAAAAAACAAUUGAUCUGGUAUCUAAAAUGUACGUUACCAAGAAAUUGACAAUAAAGAUUAUAUACUGUACUACAUAAUCAUACAGUUGGUAUACAAUGCAUUUGAAGACAAUGGGCAAGAAAAAUGCUAAUUAUCUGGUGCUGGUGACAUGCGUAAGUGUUGUCUGAUGUUUAAAUCAUGCUUGCUAUGUCAUUUUUUGCUGCCAAACAUGGCAUUAGCGAGAAAGGUCAUUUGGGCACUGAAUGUAUUAAAGUAUACACCAUAUAUAAAAAUGUCUAGCCAAAAGAUUUGGGUGUACAACUGUACACCAAUGACCAAGUAUGGAUCCGCCCCUGGUUGUAAGGGGAUGCCCCUCUAUGUUGUAAGGAGAUGCUACUAGGGGCACACUAGAUGUCUUCUUUUUUUGAGAGAGGCACAACCUUUUUCGGUUGAAACACACGAGUAAAAACUUUGAAAACACCAUAGCACAAGUAAAAAAAUAUAUUAAGAAAUGGUGCUUGGUUGAAAUAAACUAGAACCAAACAAUUGCAACUUUCUUGGUUCACAAAGACUGCUCAAAUAAUUAUCUCAAAUAGCUUAUGCAUAAAAAUAUCUCAAAUAAUUAUUAGAUGAGUUAUCUCAAAAAAGGUGACUGCAGGAAACUUAAAAUUUGUGAAAUGAUCUAAAGCCGAAAAGAUAUAUCGAUGAAUUAUCUCAAAUAGCUUAUGCAUAAAAAUAUCUCAAAUAAUUAUUAGAUGAGUUAUCUCAAAAAAGGUGACUGCAGGAAACUUAAAAUUUGUGAAAUGAUCUAAAGCCGAAAAGAUAUAUCGAUGUCAAUGACCGUGUGCACUUUUUUUGCACUCCUUUUAUCAAUGGGCCUGGAUAUGUUCUAUUCGGCCCUGCCUAACUUCUAUAUGGGCCUGGCCUUUUCGGGCAACUAUGGACGAACCUUUUUUUUCCUUUUCUCCCUCUACCACUGAAACUGAAACUGAUGACGAACUGAAGAACUAAAAAACGGGGCCGAAACAGAGUGGAGAGGACAUGCUGAAUUCGUACAACGCAACACUUUUAUUCAAAUAUACAUAUCAUUAGGAUUACAAAUGAUGCCCAAUCUAUUCACUUACGACUAAUUAUCAUCACAUAAACAAAUGCGAGAGCAAUUACACAAACAUAAAAAAGUCCGGCCAUCAGCCCCAUCAAAUUGCCCUGCUUCUGCAAUUUGAUGAGUUUCUUCAUCUGCUUGUUUAGCUUCUUCAGCUCUGCCGUCACUACUGCAUCCCCCACAGUAGCCCCAAUGGAAUGGGCACAUCCAGGGGCCCCAGAUCCAGAAGCGCCCGAUCCAAACUUGCCCAACUUCUCCACCUCCAGCGGUAAAUCGAGCUCCCCUGAUGCACCCUCCAGUUGAAUCCGCUCUAUGUACUCAUUUAGCCACUCAAAAUGGGUGCAUUGCUUCAAUUUCUGAAAUUGGAAAGAUGAACCCUAAAUCCCAAAUCCGAUGAAAAAUGGGGAAAAAUUGUGAUAUGAAAUUGGGAUACAAAAACCAAAAUUGGCAUAUUGAGAAGUAAAAUCUCACCUUUCCCUGCUCUGGUUUGCUCUCGCAUUUCACGAAUUCCCGCCCAAGGUUGCCAUUCUUGUCGGUCGUUGUGACUAGCCGCUUCAGGGGUGUGAUACGUGGGCCUGCAGGGCACCUUGUCAUGGGCACUGCGCCAUAGCGCGGCCAUGAGCGGCGGGAGGCUGAAGCGGAGCUCGACAUUGCUAGGUCGCGGCCCGGAACGGCGUUGCUGCGCGUCGUCGCCGGAGAAGAAGAACAACAACGGUCGGGGAGGGGGGGUGGGGGCGGGGGCGAGGAUGGGCCACGGCUCGGGCCACGGCUCGGUGUCCUCUUGUACCAAUGCUGACCUGGAUAAGUUAGUGGGUCCCACGCAGUGGGUCCCGCUCACCUGACCAAUGCUGAGUUGGAUAAGUUAGUGGGUCCCGCGCUGUGGGUCCCGCUCACCUGAUUCGAGUUUUAAACAUGUGUCUUUGGAUUAGACAGCAGUGUCGCAUGGGAGCUAUUUUUUCCUAUGCAGAUGUCGCAUGAGAGCUAUUACAACCAACAACGUCGCAUGAGAGACAAUACACACCAACGAUGUCGCAUAGGAGCUAUUCGCCCUUUGGAAACAUUGCUAAGUUUCAUUGUUUGAAACUUAGUACGAGCGACCGAUAAAAUUUAAUUAUUUUGUGUCUACGACCAACAGGAGAAAUUGCUUAAAAUUACAUCUUUGAAACUGGUCAUUUUUUGAUGCAAAAAUGUAAGUUUCAUCAUUGAAACUUAAGGGCAUGUCCAAUGCUGGAUGCUUAUCCAGGCGCUUAUCGUGUGGAAAAAAAAAAUGCCACGAAGUUAGCUCUCGCUUGUCCAACAGCCAAUGCUAACAACGGGCGCUAACCACGGCUGGAGCUAUAGAUUAGAAAGAAAGAUCUGGUUCACUUGUACGUGAAAAAAGGAGCAAGCGCUCGAUGCCUUGCUUUGCAUCGAUGCCAGACUGAGGUGCUGGGAAUCGACAAGAUAACCGCCAAUCUACCAGGAUUAAAUUCCUAGCGCCUUCUUCUAGCGCCUCCCACUGAAAAUGCCCUAAAGGUUUUUGAGGGAUUUUUUUACUGUGUCCUACUUCACGUAUCACGAGGCAAAUCAAGUAGGCGGCAUGGCCUGGCCGGUGAGUGCCAUUGCACUUACUUGCCCCAGCGAUUUUCCGCCUGCAUUGUAGAAUUCUUUCUCCGAGUCCUGUGAAUUAAAGAUGGUGCAGACAAAAGUAUAUCCUAUAUGCGUACAUGUGCAUGAUCAGAACAUGUUUUUACGUGCGUCUACUAUAAAUCAUGACCAUUUUUAACACAAAUCAUGACCAUUCAUGAUUAGUGAAUCAUACUGUCUUAACUUAUGUGAAAUCAUGUGGAGUAAUAUAAUAUAAUAUAAUAGAUAGAUAGAUCCAUGUUGUAUCAUUACACAUUUUGAUUUAUGCAUUUGUUUACAAAAAAAACAGUAAAAUUUCAUGGUGAAAAGUUUGUAUUGUUUCAUACUGAACACCAAUGUUUUCCCGUAAAAGAAAAUAAUGCCUACGCAUAUGCUUUUAUAUUAUUAUUAUUCUUUCAAACUUAUUCAUAUAGUAUUUUUGAUUGUGCAACCAUAAUUUUUAUUAUCUCUCUUGUUCCACUACAUGCUCUUACUCAAUGAUUUUUUUAUAAUGGGUGUUUUUAUUAACUCAAAAUAUAGCAUCAAGCGGAUACAAAACAUAACGAGCCACGUCCGGUCUCUGCAUAACUAAGAUGCACACAGCCAAAAGCAGAAGUCUGACAAAAAUAAGAUAAGAAAAUCAACAUAUCGACAACAGUGAGUCAUAUAGUUCCGACACUAUGCCUCUGUUGAAGGACGGGGUGGAGCGAUCUGGAGAUUAUGCUUCCCUCCAUUUUGAGUAAAUACCUCCCUGGCCACUUGUUCCAACCGCAUAGACGCCGCCACGAAUAAUGGUUGGUACUCUGUUCGGUGUAGCAUACACCAUGUAGGAAGUGAGUGCUCACUCCUAGUUACUAAAUUAUGUACACACUAGUAGAAAAAGGGCCAUUUGUCCCGGUUCGUAAGGCCCAUUUGUCUCAGUUAGGGAACCGGGACUAAAGGGUCGGUACUAAAGCCCUACACCUUUAGUCCCGGUUCUUACACCAACCGAGACAGAUGGGGCUCCACGUGGCCGCUGCGGCUUGCCAUGGCAGGGGGGCCUUUUGUCCCGGUUGGUAGCACCAACCGGGACCAAUAAGCUACCACGCGUCAGCAUUUGAGGGGCUUGGGUUUUUGUUUUUUUCUGAAGGGGGGGAGGGGGGUUGGGGGUUUUGGGGGGUUUUGUAUGGUUAAUUUUGGGGGGUUUCAUAUAUAGUGUUAGGUAGUAAUUAAUUAAUAGAGAGAAGUGUCCUCUCUUAUCUCCGUGCUUGGUCGACGCUACGUACUAUACGUAUAGAGAGGCCCUCGACACGCUUGCCAGUAAGCAAAUGAAGGAAACCAUUAAGUACAGAAGUUCGUCAUGAACAUAUGCAUACAAACAUAAGUGAUAUCGACCUCUCCUUCUCCGAGAGAUAGGUCGAAGAACAAGUUUCCGUAUAUCUAUCCGGCGCUACUAGCUACAUAUAUACAAUAUUAAGAUCUCUUACAAUAUAAUCCCCUAAUUAUAUAUGAACUCAGCUUCCAGAUGGUAUUCUCCGGCUUUAUUGAUGACGUGGUCAAGAAAGAAUCCCUCCAAUUCCUCUUGAAUUGCUUUGAUGCGAUCUUGUGGUAGGAGUUCAUCCUGCAUCUGCCACAUCUAAUUUGAAGAAGGGGGUCAAUCACUAGUGGAAUAACAGCCAUUUGUCUAGGUUCGUAAGGCUCAUUUGUCCCGGUUGGGGAACCGAGACUAAAGGGUCGUUACUAAAGCCCUACACCUUUAGUCCCGGUUGUCGGUGUCAAAACCGGCGGAUCUCGGGUAGUGGGUCCUGAAUUGUGCGUCUAGGCCGGAUGGUAACAGGAGGCAGGGAACACGAUGUUUUACCCAGGUUCGGGCCCUCUUGAUGGAGGUAAAACCCUACGUCCUGCUUGAUUAAUAUUGAUGAUAUGGGUAGUACAAGAGUAGAUCUACCACGAGAUCAAGGAGGCUAAACCCUAGAAGCUAGCCUAUGGCAUGAUUGUUGUGUAUGGAGUUGAUUGCCUACGGACUACAACCCUCCGGUUUAUAUAGACACCGGAUAGGGUUAGGGUUACAUAGAGUCGUUUACAAUGGUAGGAGAUCUUGAAUAUCCGCAUCACCAAUCUUGCCUUCCACGCCAAGGAAAGUCCCAUCCGGACACAGGACGAAGUCUUAAAUCUUGUAUCUUCAUAGUCCAGGAGUCCGGCUGGACGUAUAGUCCGGCUACCCGAACACCCCCUAAUCCAGGACUCCCUCACCGGUUCUUACACCAACUGGGAGAGAUGGGCCUCCACGUGGCCGCUGCGGCGAGCCCAGGUAGGAGGUCCUUUGGUCCCCGUUAGUGACACUAAUACGUCUCCAACGUAUCUAUAAUUUUUGAUUGCUCCAUGCUAUUAUGUUAUCCAUUUUGGAUGUUAAUGGGCUUUAUUUUACACCUUUAUAUCAUUUUUGGGACUAACCUACUAAUCGGAGGCCUAGCCCAAAUUGCUAUUUUUUGCCUAUUUUAGGUUUUUGAAGAAGAGGAAUAUCAAACGGAGUCCAAACGGAAUGAAACCUUCGGGAACGUGAUUUUCUCAACGAACAUGAUCCAGGAGACUUGGAGUGUGCGCCAAGAAAUAAGGGAGGAAGGCACGAGGCAGGGGGGCGCGCCUACCCCCCUUGAGCAUGCCCUCCACCCUCGUGGGCCCUCCACUGCUCCACCGACGUACUUCUUCCUCCUAUAUAUAUCCACGUACCCCCCAAACAACCAGGAGCACCACGAAAACCUAAUUCCACCACCGCAACCUUCUGUACCCGAGAGAUCCCAUCUUGGGGCCUUUUCCGGAGGGGGCAUCGAUCACGGAGGGCCUCUACAUCAACUGCAUGGCCUCUCCGAUGAUGUGUAAGUAGUUUACUUCAGACCUACGGGUCCAUAGUUAUUAGCUAGAUGGCUUCUUCUCUCUCUCUUUGGAUCUUAAUACAAAGUUCUGCUCGAUUUUCUUGGAGAUCUAUUCGAUGUAAUCUUCUUUUGUGGUGUGUUUGUCGAGAUCCGAUGAAUUGUAGGUUUAUGAUCCAGAUUAUCUAUGGACAAUAUUUGAUUCUCCUCUGAAUUCUUUUAUGUAUGAUUCGUUUAUCUUUGCAAGUCUCUUCGAAUUAUCAGUUUGGUUUGGCCUACUAAAUUGAUCUUUCUUGCAAUGGGAGAAGUGCUUAGCUUUGGGUUCAAUCUUGCGGUGUUCGAUCCCAGUGACUGAAAGGGAAGCGAUAUGUAUUGUAUUGUUGCCAUCGAGGAUAAAAAGAUGGGGUUUAUAUCAUAUUGCAUGAGUUUAUCCCUCUACAUCAUGUCAUCUUCCUUAAAGCAUUACUCUGUUCUCUUGAACUUAAUACUCAAGAUGCAUGCUGGAUAGCGGUCGAUGUGUGGAGUAAUAGUAGUAGAUGCAGAAUCGUUUCGGUCUACUUGUCUGGGACCUGAUGCCUAUAUACAUGAGCAUACCUAUAUAUUCUCAUAACUAUGCUCAAUUCUAUCAAUUGCUCGACAGCAAUUCGUUUACCCACCGUAAUACUUAUGCUCUUGAGAGAAGCCACUACUGAAACCUAUGGCCUCGGGGUCUAUCUUCUAUCAUAUUAAUCCUCCAAUACUUAGUUAUUUAUAUUUCUAUCUAUUUUACUUUCCAUCUUUUAUUUCUCUUUAUCAUAAAAAUACCAAAAAUCUUAUCUUAUCAUAUCUAUCAGAUCUCACUGUUGUAAGUGACCGUGAAGGGAUUGACAACCCCUUUAUCGCGUUGGUUGCGAUGUUCUUAUUUGUUUGUGUAGGUUCGUGGGACUUGAGCGUGAUCUCCUACUGGAUUGAUACCUUGGUUCUCAAAAACUAAGGGAAAUACUUACGCUAAUUUACUUCAUCACUCUUUCCUCUUCAAGGGAAAACCAACGCAAUGCUCAAGAGGUAGUGUCGGUGUCAAAACCGGCGGAUCUCGGGUAGUGGGUCCCGAACUGUGCGUCUAGGCCGGAUGGUAACAGGUGGCAGGGAACACGAUGUUUUACCCAGGUUCGGGCCCUCUUCAUGGAGGUAAAACCCUACGUCCUACUUGAUUAAUAUUGAUGAUAUGGGUAGUACAAGGGUAGAUCUACCACAAGAUCAAGGAGGCUAAACCCUAGAAGCUAGCCUAUGGUAUGAUUGUUGUAUAUGGAGUUGAUUGCCUACGGACUACAACCCUCCGGUUUAUAUAGACACCGGAUAGGGUUAGGGUUACAUAGAGUCGGUUACAAUGGUAGGAGAUCUUGAAUAUCCGCAUCGCCAAGCUUGCCUUCCACACCAAGGAAAGUCCCGUCCGGACACGGAACGAAGUCUUCAAUCUUGUAUCUUCAGAGCCCAGGAGUCCGGCUGAAGGUAUAGUCCGGCUAUCCGAACACCCCCUAAUCCAGGACUCCCUCAGUAGCCCCUGAACCAGGCUUCAAUGACGACGAGUCCAGCGCGCAAAUUGUCUUCGGCAUUGCAAGGCGGGUUCCUCCUCCAAGUCCUUCAUAGAAGAUUGUAAGCACCAAGAGUAGUGUCCGGCUCUGCAAAAUAAGCUUCCACAUAUCGCCAUAGAGAGAAUAAUAUUAACACAAAUCAAAUCUGCUGACGUAUUCCGCAGUGCGUCAUCACACUACAGCCAAGUCCUUCACUCGAAUCGUUUUCACUUUUCCACCUCAGCGUGUUUUGCGAGGCGGUUUCCUUGGCACGUCUUGUCAAAGCAGAGAUCGUGUCCCCCUUGUUUACGGGAUUCUCGUUAAUACGGACGUGGGUAACCCAACCGCGCCACUUAUCACGGCGCUUGGGAGGCAAGCGAGUUUUACUAGGCUGGUGGGGACGCAUAGUCGCAUCCGCCCAUAUAAGGGGAUAAGGAUCCACCUUUUUACCUACGCCUUCUUCCUCCUUUGCCUAGCCAUCUUCUGCGCACCCGAGCUCUAGCGCCCCAGCCCGCGCUUCCUACCUCAACCCUCUCCAACAAUGUUCGGAGCGGGAGGCAAGUGGAUGGUCUCCUCCGUCACGGAGGGCCAUGUCAAAAGGUUAAGGAAGGCCGGAUACUUGUCCAAAGACAUCGCGCACCGGCUUCCUGAGGAGGGGCAGCUUCUCCCCACCCCAAGGCCCCAUGAGAGGGUAGUAUUUCUUCCCCACUGCCUCCGCGGACUGGGUUUUCCUCUCCACCCAUUUGUCCGCGGGCUCAUGUUCUACUAUGGCCUAGAUUUCCACGAUCUGGCCCCGUACUUCAUCCUCAAUAUCUCGGCGUUUAUCAUCGUGUGCGAGGCUUUCCUCUGCAUUCGCCCCCAUUUCGGCCUCUGGCUCACGACCUUCAACGUCAAGCCAAAGGUGGUGCGCGGUAACCAGGCGGAGUGCGGAGGUGCCAUGGCGGGCAAAAUUGCCAACGUCCUAUGGCUCGAGGGCUCCUUUGUGGAGACCUUGAAGGGGUGGCAGUCAGGGUGGUUUUACAUCACCGAGCCACGCGAUCCGAAGUGGAUCGCAGCCCCUGAAUUCCGAUCCGGACCCCCUACGCGGCUCAUGUCCUGGAAGGAGACGAGCUUGUCGUGGGGCGACGAAGGAGAGUUGACCAGACUGCAAAAAUGCAUCCAGUCCCUGGUGAACAAGCAGCUCAAGCUUGUCAACGUAAUCUAGGUCAUGCUCGUCCGCCGGAUUCUUCCGUGUCAAGAACGGGACUUCAAUUUGUGGGAGUUCAACCCGGCGCAACACCGAACUCUGAGAAGGCUCUUCAACACGACGUACGAAGAUGUCUGGAGGGGGCUAACCAAAGGCGCCGAGACUCCCACAUCCGCCUCCGAAGACCGCGGAUUCAGCUCGCAGCGUCCUGCUGGCGAGGUAAGAUAUUUCCAUCUUUUACAGGAUGUUAAGCUUUUUCAUAGUUGACUCUAUGCGGGAUCAAAACUCCCUCACCUUUGACAGGAUUGGCGGGAGAAGUCCGGACAGAUUAAAUGCCCGGCUCCCUUGCCCGAAGACCUAGCCCCUGCUCUCCUAGAGAAGCUGCUGGUUUCGGCACCUUAUGUGGUGCCGGAGAAGAGGGCCAAGAAGAAGAAGGCCACGGGGACUCGAAAGAGUUCCUGGCAUAUGGUGGUGUCGGACUCGUCGUCCGACCAGUCCGAGACGCACUCCUCCCGUGAAGACGAGGAGGAAGAGUGUCGGACUCGUCGUCCGACGAGUCCGAGACGCACUCCUCCCGUGAAGAGGAGUGGCCGGACUACGUCCCCGACGCCGACGAGGACGAAGAGGAGUGGCCAGACAGGGCCAAGCAUCCGGCGAGAUCGUAAGUGUUCGGAUACCAGAGUAACUCGUGAUAUUCCUUUUGUUGCACAGCUUUCCCUAAUGUCGGAUAUAAUCAUGCAGUCCGCCCAAGGAUGGGCUCGACGAGUCGUCGAGCGGCUCCCUGGAUUCAUCGGACGUGAAUUCAGUUCCGCCUACUGCUUCCCCCUGUGCUGCAGAUGACGCCGAAGUGGCGUCGCGACAAGCUCCGGGACGAGAGGAGGUGGUCCAGGAGGAGUCGCGAGGUGACCUCCCGGACUCCAGGAGUGAAGGGGACAAGACCCCCCUGGGAUCCAAGUUCGGCUUUAAGCCGGACACUGAGAUGGAAUCAUCAACAGUUCCGGACUGCGGUAGGCGAACUCCUACCAGGAGGAGCAAGCCUACUGAGCCGGCAUCCUCCGUCCAGCCGGAGGCGCCGGACAAUCUGCUGGAGGAGCUUAAGGGCGCCUCCACCGACGAGGAGCACCGUGCCGUCAUGAGUACGGUGAUCCAGAAGGUUCGGUCCGCCAAAAGCGGACUGACUGAAGCUUGUGCUGGCCUUCUAACAGGCUUCGAGGUAAGUAAAAAUAUGUAAAAAUAUUACCGUAUAGACAGUAGCCCCUGAUGCUCUGUUUGGCGUUUGUAAAGAAAAGCCAAAUAGAGGAUCUAUUAAAUAUCGCAGGAGUCUAACUAAAAAGGAGUCAAUAUAUGUAUGCAGGCUUCGCUGCUGGCCACCGCCGCACUGACUGCGGAGGUGGGUGCCCUGAAGGAGGGCCUCCAGCGGACCGAGCAAGAGCUCGGCCUUGCCAAACGGCAGCUCGAGGAAAAAGAAUGUAAGAGAUACCUUACAGAAAAAGUGCCUAUAAAAAGGCUUGAUUGCAAAAAGAGUAGCAGGAUUGUACUGCUUAUUGUAGGGGCCACGACUGAGGUGGCGACCUUUAAGCAGGUGUUGUCUGAGGCCGAAAAGAAAACGGCCGCGGAGCGCACCGAGCGAGACAGACUUGGGGCUCAGGUCAGCGAGGUGCAGCAAGAGCUUCAGGCUCUCAUGAAAAAACAUGAGAGUUUGAAGCUGGAGUCGAAGGCGCAAGCAUCCGAGCUUGCAACGGCCCUAGAGGCUGCCAAGUCUACCAAGGCCGAUGCCCUAAAGACCCUCCAAGAGUUGGAGGAGAUGAGGAAGAUAGCAACGGGUAAGGCAUUCUUUAUGCAAAGCAGAAAUAUAAAAGUGAACUACCUGUUACUUACCCGAAUCCGAAGCUCUCCAGGGGCAUUCGCAGAUCUUCCCUGCAGCGUAUCCGAUGCCGCCGCAUUAUACCAAGCUGAAGAGGGUAGCUCGACGGAGAAGGUGUUCUGGUUUCAGUAUUCUGAGGCCGGACACCCUGUGCCCUUGAGCAACCAGCUGAAACAGCUGGUUGAGCUCCACAAGGCGGCCAAGCAGGCCAUGAAGGGCUUCAUAGUUCGGCUGUGGCCUGGAGAGGCCCUACCUGGGAGCUAUCUCGGGCUGGUGCGGCGGCUGGUGGAGGCCUGUCCGAGGCUUGAGGUCAUCAAGUGCUCCGUCUGCAUCGAUGGUGCCCGUCGGGCCCUUGCCCGUGCAAAGGUGCACUGGGGUAAGCUGGACGGUGAGAAGCUUGUGAAGGACGGGCUGCCGCCGGGGAAGGAGCAUCGCAAGCCCGAGAACUACUACAAGGAUGUUCUUGCAGGUGCCCGCCUUAUGGCGGAUCAAUGUACCAAGGAUGUGAUAUUUGAAUGAACUCGCUCGUGUUUAUCUUGUGCGCUGAAAACUUGUUCAUAUGUGCUAAGCAAUGCUUAUUGAAUUUAAAAUAUUACUUUCUGUGCGGCCAUUUAUCAAAAAUUGAGAGAUGGCCAGUCGUCGGCUUCUGCCCCCGUGCCACUAGUGCUGGGGUGUUCGGGAUAAACCUGAGCGCUCUUUUUCCCAUAGUUGGGUCCUUCGAGGGAGGCGCUCAGCACAACGAACCAGGCAAUCGGACUAUAAUGCUUGAACACUCUCACUUAGCCAUAGAGCUCUAUAAUUUUAAAUUUCGGUGAAGCCCGUAGUUCGGAAGACCGAGUUCGGGGCGCUAUCCACGCCUUGGCCGGACAAAGCCGGCUCCUCGCUCGAAGCGGCAUAAGCCUUUAGGGACUCGAAAAACCUCUCGAACAGCGAUCGGUCUCUCGCCACAUCAUGACAGUCAGUUUUAGCUUUCUCCACUCAGGUGCUUAACCCAGGUGAACCGGGGCACAAUCGCAGUGGUUCUCCUAGUGCUACCUUAGCCGAUAGAGCGGAACGUAAGGCACCAAAACAUAGGAGCCACGCAAACCCAACUAUUGACCCAAAUCAUGAUUCGGAGCCGAUGCAUAUAGUGCUAUAAGUUCGGGGUGCCGCACUUGUGAAAGUGUACGGACUUCUCACACCAUUAUGAGCGGUACUGAAGCCCCUGGCAUGUUUGCCAUACCAUGGUGUACGGGUGCAAUCAUGUCAUUUAAUAAACAUAAAUGUGAAAAGAAGAUAAUGCAAAAAAUAGACUAGAAGCUAAGCAUUGUUUAUAGAGAGGCUAUUUAUCAAAGCCGAACGAUACAAAUAGUGCGGUAAGCAAAAGAUAUUGGACUAUUCAGUAUGUCCUGACCAGGGGCAGGCCGCGGAAUUGUAUUUAAAACAGGUAUACCGCUCGUAACAGAGACCACCUGGGAGUUCCAUAAUGCGUCAUGGCUUGUCUGCCUCCCUGGAUCUUGCAUCGUUUGUGCGGCAGUCGAAUUGCCGAACAGGUCGUCCGAAGUAUGGAGUCCUGAAAGAAGAAAAAAUUAAAAAAAGAAUCCGGCAGCCCCUAGUACGUAUUAAGCCGUAUUUUGGGCGUGUUGUUAUUGUGCCCCUUCCCCUGUGCCCAUGGUAUUUCAAGGGCGUAGUUAUGUACGUGAGGUACUGGUUUCGCUAUGUUGCGAAAGCUGGGGUUGGGGCCGCAUUGCUACGCUUGCUUAGAGUGUGCCAGGCAGUGUCUGGCUUUUUAAUGGCCGGACUGGAGAAUUGCCUGAGAAGGCUACUUUGUACCUCCGCUGCGAGAGCCGCCGUAUGCUCCUCCAUAUGGAGGGAGCGUUCGGUGUUUCCGUUGAACGUAAUUACUCCUUGAGGGCCUGGCAUCUUGAGCUUGAGAUAUGCGUAGUGCAGCACCGUGUUGAUCUUUGCGAAUGCGGUUCGUCCGAGCAGGGCAUGAUAGCCACUGCGAAACGGUACUAUAUCGAAGAUUAACUCUUCGCUUCGGAAAUUGUCCGGGGAUCGGAAGACCACAUCAAGUGUUACUGAGCAUGUACUGUUGGCUUCUACACCUGGUAUAACGCCUUUAAAGGUCGUUCUUGUGGGCUUAAUCCUUGAGGGAUCUAUGCCCAUUUUCUGCACUGUAUCCUGAUAAAGCAGGUUCAGGCUACUGCCGCCGUCCAUGAGGACUCUUGUGAGAUGAAAUCCGUCGAUGAUCGGGUCGAGAACCAAUGCGGCGAAGCCGCCAUGACGGAUGCUAGUGGGAUGGUCCCUUCGAUCGAAAGUGAUCGGGCAGGAGGGCCAUGGGUUGAACUUUGGGGCGACUGGCUCCAUCGCAUAUACGUCCCGUAGCGCAUGCUUCCGCUCCCGCAUGGGAAUGUGGGUUGCGUAUAUCAUGUUCACCGUCCACACUUGUGGGGGAAAGCCCUUCUGUCCAUUGUUGUUCGGCGGCUUGGGCUCCUCGUCGUCGCUGUGCAGCCCCUUGUCUCUGUUUUCGGCCCUUAACUUGCCUGCCUGCUUGAACACCCAACAAUCCCUGUUAGUGUGAUUGGCUAGCCUUUCGGGGGUGCCAUGUAUCUGGCACAAGCGAUCGAGUAUUCGGUCCAAACUGGACGGGCCCUGAGUAUUCUUUUUGAAUGGCAUUUUCCGCUGACCGGAUUUAUAGCCUUUGAAUCCGGCAUUGACUGCCGUGUCUUCAUUGCUGUCGCUGCUAACGCGGCGUUUUUGCUUAUUCCGAUGUGUCCUACCACUUUUGUCCUUGGUAUCCGAAUUACCAGGGUGCUUUGAUAAGUUGUUACUGCGAGCUAGCCAGCUGUCUUCUCCCGCGCAAAAGCGGGUCAUGAGUGUCGUGAGGGCUGCCAUGGAUUUCGGCUUUUCCUGUCCCAGGUGCCAGGCAAGCCACUCGUCGCAGAUGUUGUGCUUCAAGGCUGCCAGGGCCUCUGCGUCCGGACAGUCGACUAUCUGGUUUUUCUUUGUUAGGAACCGUGUCCAAAAUUGUCUGGCCGAUUCCUCUGGCUGCUGAAUUAUGUGGCUUAAGUCGUCGGCAUCCGGUGGUCACACGUAAGUGCCCUGGAAGUUGUCGAGGAAUGCGGCUUCCAGGUCCUCCCAAGAACCGAUUGAGUCUGCUGGCAAGCUGUUAAGCCAAUGCCGGGCCGGUCCUUUAAGUUUGAGCGGGAGGUAUUUGAUGGCGUGUAGAUCAUCGCCGCGUGCCAUGUGGAUGUGAAGGAGACAAUCCUCGAUCCAUACCGCCGGAUCUGUUGUGCCAUCGUAUGAUUCGAUGUUUAUGGGUUUGUAGCCCUCUGGGAUUUUAUGAUCCAUUACUUCAUUCGUGAAGCAUAGCGGGUGUGUGGCGCCUCUGUAUUGGGCUAUAUCACGACGUAGCUCGGAAGAGCUAUGUCUGUUGUGUUCGGCCCGGCCGGAUUUGUUGUAUCCAGAGUGAAGAUCAUUUUCCCGUGCCUUAGUUGAGAGGUGUCGGGGCAUGGCUUGGGUGGAGGGCCGAGACGCCUCUCUGUCGCGGCCGCGAGGUGGCCGGUCUGCCAUGUCAUGCGCUGGUGAUGUAGGUGCUUCCUCCUCUGAUCGGGGUAGCGGCCUAUGCUUCGGGUAACUCUUGGAGGGGCGUUCGAGUUCAUACUCUUCGGCCGCAAGGACUUCAGUCCAUCUGUCAGCUAGCAAAUCUUGGGCAGCUCUAAGUUGUUGCUGCUUUUUCUUGAGGCUGCUUGCCAUGGCUAAAAGCCUGCGUUUAAAAAGCUCUUGUUCGGCGGGGUCUGAUGGUAUGACGAAUUCGUCGUCAUUGAGGCUUGCCUCGUCUUCGGAGGGAGGCGUAUAGUUAUCAUCCUCGACCUUUCCGUCUGCCGCUCUCUCAUCAGGGCUGGCUUCUCCAUCUUCCUGUGCCGAAUCUUGCUGAGGUGGGUGUUCUUCGGCGCUAUCCGGGGUAGUAUUAUCUCUCAUGUCGGAAUCACCGUUUUUGCUUUGGCGGGAUUUAGAGCGGCGCCGCUGGUGCCGGCGCUUUGGCUGUUUCUUGGGGGCGUCAUCCCCCACUGUUCCAUCGCCAUCUCCAUCUUUUGGAGUAUCCACCAUAUAUAUGUCAUAUGAUAAGGUGGCCUUCCAGCGCCCUACAGGUGCUGGUUCCUGUUCGUCUCCUACAUUGUCGUCCAUGCCGUCGAUGUCUUUGGAGCUGAAGUCAACCAUGUAGGUUAGACCGUCGAUAAUGGCUACAAAGUGGGUGGUGGGUGGGCUUUGAAUUUCCUCAUCGUAUGUAUCCCACCCUCGCUGACCGUAGUCCGGCCAGGGCUCUCCUGAUAAAGAGAGAGACUUAAGAGAAUUCAGGAUGUCGCCAAAAGGCGAAUGCUGAAAGAUGUCUGUAGCGGUGAACUCCAUUAUCGGCACCCAAUCGGAUUCGAUUGGCAGGGGCGCGGGGGGUUCGGAGUCCGGGGAGGAGUCCGGAUCCUCGGAGUCACGGGUCGUGCAGAGUGCGGGGCUAGCGUUCGGCUCGAUCGCUUUCGGGAUCGCAGCCCCCGAGGUGACGUCCAACCGCUCAUCCUCGAUUGGCGCAAUAGGUUCCGAGUUAGGGGUCGGAACCGAUGCGUGUGCGGCCUCCAGGACACUGGCCGGGGGCAGAGCUAGAUCAUGCCCCUCGGGAUAGUGCGGCGUGCUUGGCCGUGGCUCGAGCCCGUCGAAGAUCAAGUCUCCGUGGAUGUCAGCCGUGUAGUUUAAGCUUCCAAACCUGACUUGAUGGCCAGGGGCGUAGCUUUCGAUCUGCUACAGGUGGCCGAGCGAAUUGGCUCAUAGAGCGAUGCCGCCGAAGACGAAGAUCUGUCCGGGGAGAAAAGUCUCACCCUGGACCGCAUCGUUGUUGAUGAUCAAAGGAGCCAUCGGGCCUAAAGGCGACGAGACAGAGGAACUCUCAAUGAAAGCACCAAUGUCAGUGUCAAAACCGGUGGAUCUCGAGUAGUGGGUCCCGAACUGUGCGUCUAGGCCGGAUGGUAAUAGGAGGCAGGGAACACGAUGUUUUAUCCAGGUUCGGGCCCUCUUGAUGGAGGUAAAACCCUACGUCCUGCUUGAUUAAUAUUGAUGAUAUGGGUAGUACAAGAGUAGAUCUACCACGAGAUCAAGGAGGCUAAACCCUAGAAGCUAGCCUAUGGUAUGAUUGUUGUAUAUGGAGUUGAUUGCCUACGGACAACAACCCUCCGGUUUAUAUAGACACCGGAUAGGGUUAGGGUUACAUAGAGUCGGUUACAAUGGUAGGAUAUCUUGAAUAUCCACAUCGCCAAGCUUGCCUUCCACGCCAAGGAAAGUCCCGUCCGGACACGGGAUGAAGUCUUCAAUCUUGUAUCUUCAUAGCCCAGGAGUCCGGCUGAAGGUAUAGUCCGGCUACCUGAACACCCCCUAAUCCAGGACUCCCUCAGGUAGCAAGAUGGAUUUCUGGCGCCAUUGCCGGGGAGAUUCGCGCCAAGUCAAGACAUACCAAGUACCCAUCACAAACCCUUAUCCCUCGCAUUACAUUAUUUUCCAUUUGCCUCUUGUUUUCCUCUCCCCCACUUCACCCUUGCCAUUUUAUGCGCCCUCUCUUUUUCCGUUCCCCUCUUUUCCACUUGCUUUGUCGUUAUGGCUAGUCCUUUAUCUACUCCUUUGUCUCCCGAGAAUGAAGUUCUUAAUUUUAAACAAAGGGAGGGAGAAAAUCUAAAAGAUGCUUGGUACAGAAUUUGCAACACACAAAUUAGAUCUACUAGGAAACAAUCUACUUUUGUUCUUCUUCACGAUUUUUAUGUAGGCAUCACACCUUGGAAUAGAUAUAUUCUUGAUGCCAUUACCGGAGGGAAUUUCUUGGGUAGCCAUACUUUUGAUUCUUAUAAUGCUAUGAUAGAUCUGUUUGGCCCACCACCUCUUUUGGUUAAUGGAACUAUUUUAACUUUGGAACAUGUGAUGCAAUGGCUUGAAAUUAGUGAAAAUAAAGUUGCCACCAUAGAGUUAAUUGAAAAUUUGGAUAGAAAGAUCCAUAACCAAAUUACCCAAUACGGAUCUAAGUUAGGAGUUGCUCUUAAAAGUUUUAAAGAAAAGGGACCUAUGGUUAAUGAAAAGAUAGAAAAGGAUUCCACUAGAAUUGAUAAAAUUGAGGAUAUUAUUACCAACCUUGGGUCUUCCUUUUCUUCUAUUAUAAAUACUCCGCCUAAUGCUAAGAUUGCCAAACUAAUGUAUGUUACAAAAAAUAAGGGUGAAACUUCUAAUAAGGAAAAUGCGGAUCUCAAAUCCAUAAGUGUUCACCCCAAUUUUCUCACUAUCCUUAAGGAACCUUUUGCUACAAAUGAUUUUCUUGAUUUCAUACCUAGGAGUUUGAUAAUUAAUAAAAACAAAGAAACUCCUAAAAGUUAUUGGUGUGUUAUUGAAGAAUCACCUUCCAAAGACGGCAAUACCUAGGUCUAUCUUCGCUUUUAUGCCUAGCUAGGGGCGUUAAACGAUAGCGCUUGUUGGGAGGCAACCCAGUUUUACUUUUAUUCCUUGAUGUUUGCUCCUAUUUAGUAAUAAAUAAUUUAUGUAGCCUAUGUUUUGGUUGUGUUUUUUGUGUUUAAUUUGUGUUUGUGCCAUGUAGAACCAUUGGGUAGACUUGGGGAAAGUCUUUUUGAUCUUGCUGUAAAAAACAGAAACGUUAGCGCUCACGAGAAUCGCUGACAUUUUUAUUUGGAAAGUGAUAUUUAGAUAAUUCUUUUUGCGGAUGAUUAAUAGAUAAAUUCCUCACGUCCAGCAAUUUAUUUUAUAAUUUUUGGGGUUACAGAAGUUCGCGUUAGGUACAGAUUACUACAGACUGUUCUGUUUUUGACAGAUUCUGUUUUUCGUGUAUUGUUUGCUUAUUUUGAUGAAUCUAUGGCUAGUCAAAGAGGUUAUAAACCGUAGAGAAGUUGGAAUACAGUAGGUUUAACACCAAUAUAAAUCAAGAUUGAGUUCAUAACAGUACCUUGAAGUGGUGUUUUGUUUUCUUUCGCUAACGGAGCUCACGAGAUUUUCUGUUUGAGUUUUUUGUUGUGAAGUUUUCAAGUUUUGGGUAAAGAUUUGAUGGAUUAUGGAACAAGGAGUGGCAAGAGCCUAAGCUUGGGGAUUCCCAUGGCACACCAAGGUAAAAUUAAAGGACACCAAAAAGCCUAAGCUUGGGGAUGCCCCGAAAGGCAUCCCCUCUUUCGUCUUCGUCUAUUGGUAACUUUACUUGGAGCUAUAUUUUUAUUCACCACAUGAUAUGUGUUUUGCUUGGAGCGUCUUGUAUGAUUUGAUUAUUUGAUUUUUAGUUUACCAAAAUCAUCCUUGCUGUACACACCUUUUGAGAGAGACUCACAUGAUUGGGAAUUUAUGAGAAUACUCUAUGUGCUUCACUUAUAUCUUUUGAGCUAUAUGGUUUUUGUUCUAGUUCUUCGCUUAUAUAUUUUAGAGAAUGGCGGUGGUUUUAUUUUAUAGAAAUAAUUGUUCUCUCAUGCUUCACUUAUAUUAUUUUGAUAGUCCUUUAGAACAACAUGGCAAUAAUAAAACUGUCAUACAAGUGCAUUGAAUACUAUGAGAAGUUUGAUACUUGAUAAUUGUUUUGAGAUAUGGAGAUGGUGAUAUUAGAGUCAUGCUAGUUGUGUAGUUGUGAAUUUGAGAAAUACUUGUGUUGAAGUUUGUGAUUCCCGUAGCAUGCACGUAUGGUGAACCGUUAUGUGACGAAGUCAGAUCAUGAUUUAUUUGUUGAUUGUCUUCCUUAUGAGUGGCGGUCGGGGAUGAGCAAUGGUCUUUUACUACCAAUCUAUCUCCCUAGGAGCAUGGGCAUAAUACUUUGCUUUGAUAACUUAUAGAUUUUUGCAAUAAGUAUGUGAGUUCUUUCUGAGCAAUGUUGAGUCCAUGGAUCAUACGCACUCUCACCCUUCCACCAUUGCUAGCCUCUCUAAUACCGUGCACUUCUCGCCGAUAUCAUACACCCACCAUAUACCAUCCUCAAAACAGCCACCAUACCUACCUAUUAUCACUAGUGCAGAACCGGGCAAUAGCACCGGUUCGUAAGGCCCUUUAGUGCCGGUUUAGGAACCGGCACUAUUAUUUCGGCACUAAACCCCCCCCCCUUUAGUACCGGUUCAGCACGAACCGGUGCUAAAGGGGUACCACGUGGCACGAGCCAGCUCCGGGGGCCGGGAGCCCUUUAGUACCGGUUGGUAAAACCAACCGGUACUAAAUGGUUGUGGGUUUUUGUUUUAUUUUGUAUUUUUCAAUUAAAUUUGUGUUAUCAAUUUAAAUUAGGAUUGUUUUACGUUAUAAUGAGUUGUAGUCGUCAUCAUCAUCAUCAUCAUCGCAUAUUAAUAAAUAAAUAAACUCUAGCUAGCUAAAAAUCAUCGUGGUCGUCUAAUUACCACUAUUUAAUCAUCAUAGUCAUUACCGCUAGCUAUGUAAUCAUCAUCAACGUUGGCUAGCUUAAAGAGGAAACAUUCACUUUGUAACAGAAGCAAAGAGAUAUCAUCAAGUUCAACAUAAUCAUCACCAACAUCGAAGUUCAGGACACGGAUCCAUGAGACGAGUACUAAUUAAGAGCAUGAAGUAGUAGCUACUGAUCCUGCUUCUCCCUCUCAGGUAGAAUAGCACAGAACAUGUAUAGCUCUCCUGAUUCAUCAUACUGAAGCAUGCAGAUGAAUCUGUCUCCUAAUCUUGGGUUGCGCUUCUCCUUACUGCCCCCUAGUACUUCUCUGCGAUCGUUAACAAUUUUGCUCCAAUCUUUCACUAUUAAGCAUUCUUCGCUUUUAGAAAUCCUGAAUGCACUCAUGUGCAAUGUAGGAAAUCUUGGUCGUAAGCUAACCAUUGACAUGCGACCUUUUGUCUCGAUCCACUAAGGCACAACUGUCAUCGGAAGUCCCUGUUGAACAACAUCGUAUAGUAAUUAAUAUACUAAGCAAUGAAAGUUUAGCUUUAAAAAUAAUGUACGCAAAAGAUGCACUAAUUAAGGACAAAUAUUUAAAAUCUUACCAUCUUUUGAUUAUAGAUGUGACCGUAGUUCAAGGCGAUCACCAUUGGUCGCACGUUUUGAGUACUAACAUUUCUAAGUUUAGAAAAAAAAUUGUCUUGACAGUAUUAAGAUCCUCAAGCCAUGAAACACAAUGACUUAUUUCCUCGCAGUUUAGUUGAGCCCCGAGGUAGUAGUAGGUCCUGUCUACCAAGCGCCGGACAUGUUUGCUUGAACCGAAAUAAGCUGACAAUACACAUCAGUUGUCAACUAUUUUUGAAUAAACUGUACGAAAGACAUAAACGUAUAUAUGCAUGCAUGGUUGAGAAAAACUCACCAAAUGGUAGAACUGGAGGCGUUUGCACAUCGACCCAGAUGUCUAUAUUACCUUCAAUAUCAUCUUCCGGACGAAUAUCAAAGGUGAUAACCAUAUCAGGCUCAAAUGCAUAAGCCUUGCAUAGUGCUUGCCAAGUUUUGCAUUCAAAAUGGGUGUAUGUGCCUCCAUUAUAUAAUUUGACGUUGAAAGUAUACCCAUGCUCCGUCUUCAAGUAAACUCUCUUUACCUCCAUAUCAUCUAUAGCACUAAAACCUAUCUUAUAUAAUACAAAAAUUCUUGUAUGGCAGGGGAUGCGCUAGUAGAAUAGUGAAAAUUUAAAAUUAUAAGUUGAAGCAAAUGAAGCAUAAGUUUUGCAUUCAAAUAAUAAUUGACAAAGUGGCUUACUGUAUCAACUUCAAAUGUCUCAUCCAGCUUGAUGUUGAAGCGCCUACCAUCAACAAGGAAAUUUUGGUCGCACAGGCCGCGCUGGUCUUCACAGUGUUCGCACAUAAUAAAAUCUUUUUAGUUGUCAGAUGACAUUUCCUAUGUUCAUAUAGGUGAAACAUUAAACACCUAUAUCUAGCCAAAUAUAUAUUCAUCUAACAUUUGACAUUAAUAUAUCUAACUAUAUAUUCAAUUGACAUUACUAUAUAUUUAACUUUUCUAUCUAAUUCAUCUAACAUUCGACAUUAAUCUAACAUUUAUAUAAACUCAAAAUAUAUAAAAAAUUAAAUAAACAGAAAAACUCAUUAACAAAUAAUAUUUUAAUUAGAUCAUCAAAUCUCAUAUACCUAAAUUUUCUUACUAAAAAUAAACUAGUUAUAUUAAUUAUUCAACUAGUUCUAAUCUNNNNNNNNNNNNNNNNNNNNNNNNNNNNNNNNNNNNNNNNNNNNNNNNNNNNNNNNNNNNNNNNNNNNNNNNNNNNNNNNNNNNNNNNNNNNNNNNNNNNNNNNNNNNNNNNNNNNNNNNNNNNNNNNNNNNNNNNNNNNNNNNNNNNNNNNNNNNNNNNNNNNNNNNNNNNNNNNNNNNNNNNNNNNNNNNNNNNNNNNNNNNNNNNNNNNNNNNNNNNNNNNNNNNNNNNNNNNNNNNNNNNNNNNNNNNNNNNNNNNNNNNNNNNNNNNNNNNNNNNNNNNNNNNNNNNNNNNNNNNNNNNNNNNNNNNNNNNNNNNNNNNNNNNNNNNNNNNNNNNNNNNNNNNNNNNNNNNNNNNNNNNNNNNNNNNNNNNNNNNNNNNNNNNNNNNNNNNNNNNNNNNNNNNNNNNNNNNNNNNNNNNNNNNNNNNNNNNNNNNNNNNNNNNNNNNNNNNNNNNNNNNNNNNNNNNNNNNNNNNNNNNNNNNNNNNNNNNNNNNNNNNNNNNNNNNNNNNNNNNNNNNNNNNNNNNNNNNNNNNNNNNNNNNNNNNNNNNNNNNNNNNNNNNNNNNNNNNNNNNNNNNNNNNNNNNNNNNNNNNNNNNNNNNNNNNNNNNNNNNNNNNNNNNNNNNNNNNNNNNNNNNNNNNNNNNNNNNNNNNNNNNNNNNNNNNNNNNNNNNNNNNNNNNNNNNNNNNNNNNNNNNNNNNNNNNNNNNNNNNNNNNNNNNNNNNNNNNNNNNNNNNNNNNNNNNNNNNNNNNNNNNNNNNNNNNNNNNNNNNNNNNNNNNNNNNNNNNNNNNNNNNNNNNNNNNNNNNNNNNNNNNNNNNNNNNNNNNNNNNNNNNNNNNNNNNNNNNNNNNNNNNNNNNNNNNNNNNNNNNNNNNNNNNNNNNNNNNNNNNNNNNNNNNNNNNNNNNNCGGCGGCGGGGACAGCGACGAUGACGACGGACGACGGUACGGGCGACGGGCGGCGACGACGGGAUCGAGCGGUCCGCGCGGCGGAGGUGGGAGACGAAGUGGGGAGUUGAAACUGAAAUUUUCGUAAGUGCUAUAUAUAUAUAUAUAUAUAUAUAUAUAUAUAUAUAUAUAUAUAUAUAUAUAUGAUUGGCCUUUAGUACCGAAUCGUGGCUCCAACCGGUACUAAAGGCCUAUUUUCGCCAGGCCAAGCGGCGGGAAACGAAGGCUUUUAGUACCGGUUGGAGCCACCAACCGGUACUAAAGGGGGGCCUUUAGUACCGGUUGGAGCCACCAACCGGUACUAAAGGCCUUGCGCUGCCACCCCAAAAUUUAGUCCCACCUCGCCCGGCGAAGGGCAGCCGCACUGGUUUAUAAACCUAGCCGCGGCUACCUCUUCGAACUCCUCUAUAUAGCAGCCUUCUGGGCCUAAUUAAUUAGGGCGCGCUGCCAUGUGAGUCUGCUGGCCCUUCUGGGCCUGCAUUUGCACACCCUAGGUCUGGUAGACCCACAGGGCAGUGCGCCAACAAAUUUUUUAUAUAGUUUUAUCUUUUCUGCAUUACUUAUUUUCUUUUAUUUAUUUUUGAGUAGUUUUUUAUAUAGUUUUUGUUUUCUGCAUUAUUUAUUUUCUUCUAUUUAUUUUUGAGUAAUUUUUUUGUAUAGUUUUUUUAUUUUCUGCAUUACUUAUUUUUGCAUAGUCCGAAACCCUGAUACUCGGAAAGAGUUUGUCCAGUUUGUACACGAAGUGCGUCCAGUUUUUGCCGUGACCCUCUCUACUCUUUCGCGCAUGCUAUGCGGGUGAUACGAUGAUACCAUGCCAAGUUUCAACAUUUUCAGGAUUCAUUUUGUAGUGAUUUUCAAUUUCACGGUCAUUUAGCUCUCUAAACAAUUAGGUAAAUGACUGAAAAACAACAAAUGAUGUCAGAACAUGUUGAAAAUUGAUGACGUCGCUUUAAAUGCUGCAUACUGAACACAAAAGAAGUCCGGAGUACAAAUAAGUUUAAAAAACAUUGAAGUGGCCAUGUAACAGAUGAGUUCUCGUCCGAAACCCUGAUACUCGGAAAGAGUAUGUCCAUUUUGUACACGAAGUGCGUCCAGUUUUUGCCGUGACCCUCUCUACUCUUUCGCGCAUGCUAUGCGGGUGAUAUGAUGAUACCAUGCCAAGUUUCAGCAUUUUCAGGAUUCAUUUUGUAGUGAUUUUCAAUUUCACGGUCAUUUAGCUCUCUAAACAAUUAGGUAAAUGACCGAAAAACAACAAAUGAUGUCAGAAUAGACUGCACUGCACAUAGCUCAGUGUAGACUACACUGCACAUAGCUCAGUGCAAUCUAUGUUAUUCCGCAAGGCUUGAAGCUAAUCAACAUGUAGAUGAGCAUUGCAAUUCUUCGUCAUUGUCUGUGCACUCACGGCUUAUAAACCGCUCAUACUGCCUCUCUCUUGGCGAGGUGGGACUAAAAACAACUUGCCAUAACCUCAUCAAUUUCCUCUUGAAGCUUGUCCUUGCCUUUUUGCUUGUAUUCUUGUGGUGGAAGAUCAUCUUGAGCUUGUGUCCCCUUGAAGGAAGUAGGAUACUUCUCUUGUUGAGGAACAAACUUUGUCUUGGGGUAUUGAUCUUCUUCCCACUCAACUCCAUUGGCAUUGAACUUUCGUUCAAAACCAACACCUUGAUUCUUCCAGUGCCUUCCUUGCUUGCGCACAAUUUCCUCGAAUUGCUUACUCCCGGCAAGGCUUUUGUACAUUCCUUUCUCUAUAAUUCCCUUCAAUAAGCUAUUUUCUUGCUCAAGUGUAACUUGGCUAAGAGAAUCAUUAGUGGAAUCAAGAGAACUACUAGAAGCAACAAUGUUAGAUCUUAUGUCACAAAAAAGAAGUCGUAUCAAACCUUUUAUGUCGGAUCUAGAACAAACCAAUCGGUAUCGCCAUCAUACAGCCCUACCGUGGCUUGUGAUGCAUAUAUAUAUGCAUAUCAAAUGCACGGUUGGGCGUAUGAUGGCGAAUCCGAAUGAUUUGUAUUCAGUCGAUGAACUGGUAGAUGUAUGCAGUCGAUGAACUGGUAGAUGUAUGUAGUCGAUGAACUGAAAGACUUAUGCAGGGAAGGCGAGAGAUGGGCUAUAUAUAGGGUCGUCUGGCUCACAAAGUGAUUGUGGUAGUUUCGAUCCAACGACUCACAUGAGCUAGGAAGAAGCACACCCUUGAUCCAACGACUCGCAAGAGCUAUAAAGAAACACACGAUCCAUGUGAUUCUUCCUGAUUGGUGGGAUGCACAUUAGUAUCGGUUUGUGCCAUGAACUGGUGCUAAAGAUUGGCAAUGAACCGGUACUAAUGGUAGCAGCCCGCCUAGCCGUUGGAAUCGGCACUAAUGGUCACAUUUGUGCCGGCUCAAAUUCAAACCGGCACUAUAAUGUGCUUCACAUUUGACUGUUUUUCUACUAGUCAAUAGAGUUUGCCAAACUUGAGUUUCCCAAGUCACUUACACAAAAAGCUAUGAUUCAUGGUUGUCAAAUCCAUAAUUUACAAACCACAACAACCUUGAGGCAUAACAAGCUUUAAAUGCUGCAUACUGAACACAAAAGAAGUCCAGAGUUUAAAUAAGUUAUUAAAAAUAAAAAAGAGGUGCAAUGCUGGUUAAUUUGCUUCAAGCUAUUCGGAAUAGUGUAGAUUGCACUAAGCCACUGCACAUAGCUCAGUGCAAUCUAUGCUAUUCCGCAAGGCUUGAAGCUAAUCAACAUGUAGGUGAGCAUUGCAACUCUUCGUCAUUGUCUGUGCACUCACGGCUUAUAAACCGCUCAUACUACCUCUCUCUUGGCGAGGUGGGACUAAAAACAUCUUGCCAUAACCUCAUUAGUACUGGUUCAUGGUACGAACCGGCACUAAAUGGUGAUGGUGGGGCCAUAGCCUGACCGCAGGCUGACACAGCCUCUUUAGUACCGGUUCGUGGCAUGAACCGGUACUAAAGGUUCGCCACGAACCGGUACUAUUGAUCGCCGCCACGAACCGGCACUAAUGUACACAUUAGUGCCGGCUCUAAUUCAAACCGGCACUAAUGUGCUUCACAUUUGACCCUUUUUCUACUAGUGUAUGGCAUUUCCAUAGCCAUUCCGAGAUAUAUUGCCAUGCAACUUUCCAUCGUUCCAUUAUUAUGACACACUUCAUCAUUGUCAUAUUUGCUUGCAUGAUCAUGUAGUUGGCAUCGUAUUUGUGCAAAGCCACCAUUCAUAAUUCUUCAUACAUGUCACUCUUGAUUCACUGCAUAUCCCGGUACACCGCCGGAGGCAUUCACAUAGAGUCAUAUUUUGUUCUAAGUAUCGAGUUGUAAUUCUUGAGUUGUAAGUAAAUAAAAGUGUGAUGAUCAUCAUUAUUAGAGAAUUGUCCCAAGUGAGGAAAGGAUGGAGACUAUGAUUCCACAACAAGUCGGCAUGAGACUCCGGACGAAAAUAAAAAAAGAGGGAAAAAAGAGAAAGGCCAUAAAAAAGAAGGCCCAAAAAAUGAGAGAAAAAGAGAGAAGGGGCAAUGUUACUAUCCUUUUUCCACACUUGUGCUUCAAAGUAGCACCAUCAUCUUCAUGAUAGAGAGUCUCCUAUGAUAUCACUUUCAUAUACUAGUGGGAAUUUUUCAUUAUAGAACUUGGCUUGUAUAUUCCAAUGAUGGGCUUCCUCAAAUUGCCCUAGGUCUUCGUGAGCAAGCAAGUUGGAUGCACACCCACUUAGUUUCUUUUGUUGAGCUUUCAUACACUUAUAGCUCUAGUGCAUCCGUUGCAUGGCAAUCCCUACUCAAUCACAUUGAUAUCUAUUAAUGGGCAUCUCCAUAGCCCGUUGAUACGCCUGUUCUGGAGCUCCGCCAGAGGGGGCAUCGAUCACGGAGGGCUUCUACAUCAACAGCAUAGCCUCUCCGAUGAAGUGUGAGUAGUUGACCUCAGACCUACGGGUCCAUAGUUAUUACCUAGAUGGCUUCUUCUCUCUUUUUGGAUCUCAAUACAAUGUUCUCCCCCUCUCUUGUGGAGAACUAUUCGAUGUAAUCUUCUUUUUGCGGUGUGUUUAUUGAGAUCGAUGAAUUGUGGGUUUAUGAUCAAGUCUAUCUAUGAAUAAUAUUUGAAUCUUCUCUGAAUUCUUUUAUGUAUGAUUGUUUAUCUUUGCAAGUCUCCUCGAAUUAUCAGUUUGGUUUGGCCUACUAGAUUGAUCUUUCUUACAAUGGGAGAAGUGCUUAGCUUUGGGUUCAAUCUUGCGGUGUCCUUUCCCAGUGACAGCAGGGGCAGCAAGGCAUGUAUUGUAUUGUUGCUAUCGAGGACAACAAGAUGAGGUUUUCAUCAUAUUGCAUGAGUCUAUCCCUCUACAUCAUGUCAUCUAGCUUAAGGCGUUACUCUGUUUUUAACUUAAUACUCUAGAUGCAUGCUGGAUAGCGGUCGAUGAGUGGAGUAAUAGUAGUAGAUGCAGGCAGGAGUCGGUCUACUUGUCUCGGACGUGAUGCCUAUAUACAUGAUCAUACCUAGAUAUUCUCAUAAAUAUGCUCAAUUAUGUCAAUUGCUCAACAGUAAUUUGUUCACCCACCAUAGAAUUAUUAUGCUCUCGAGAGAAUCUACUAGUGAAACCUAUGGCCCCCGGGUCUAUCUUUAUCAUAUUAAUCUCCUACUACUUAGUUAUUUCCUUUGCUUUUUCCUUUGCCUUUAUUUUACUUUUCAUCUUUAUCACAAAAAUACCAAACAUAUUAUCUUUAUCAUAUCUAUCAGAUCUCACUCUCAUAAGUGGCCGUGUAGGGAUUGACAACCCCUAUUCGCGUUGGUUGCGAGGAUUUAUUUGUUUUGUGCAAGUACGAGGGACUCGCGCGUAGCCUCCUACUGGAUUGAUACCCUUGGUUCUCAAACUGAGGGAAAUACUUACGCUACUUUGCUACAUCAUCCCUUCCUCUUCGGGGAAAACCAACGCAGUGCUCAAGAGGUAGCAAGAAGGAUUUCUGGUGCCAAUGCCGGGGAGGUCUACGCAAAAGUCAACAUACCAAGUACCCGUCACAUACCCUUAUCUCCCGCAUUACAUUAUUUGCCAUUUGCCUCUCGUUUUCACCUCCCCCACUUCACCCUUGCCAUUUUAUUCGCCCUCUCUCUCUCUCUAUCCUCCCUCUCUUUCUCUAUUUGCCUCUUUUUUCCCGCUUGCUUUCUGUUUGCUUGUGUGUUAGUUGCUUGCUUGUCACGAUGGCUCAAGAUAAUACUAAAUUAUGUGACUUCACCAAUACCAACAACAAUCAUUUUAUUAGCACUCCGAUUGCUCCUCUUACCGAUGCUGAAUCUUGUGAAAUUAAUACUGCUUUGCUGAAUCUUGUCAUGAAAGAUCUGUUUUCCGGCCUUCCUAGUGAACAUGCCGGUACCCACCUAAAUAGAUUCAUUGAUUUGUGUGACAUGCAAAAAAAAGAAAGGUGUGGAUAAUGAUAUUGUUAAAUUGAAGCUAUUUCCUUUUUUGCUUAGAGAUCGUGCUAAAGCUUGGUUUUCGUCUUUGCCUAAAAAUAGUAUUGAUUCAUGGAAUAAGUGCAAAGAUGCUAUUAUCUCUAAGUAUUUUCCUCCUACUAAGAUCAUCUCUCUUAGAAACAAUAUUAUGAAUUUUAAGCAACUUGAUCAUGAACAUGUUGCACAAGCUUGGGAGAGAAUGAAACUAAUGGUACGUAAUUGCCCUGCCCAUGAUUUAAAUUUGUGGAUGAUUAUACAAAAAUGUUAUGCCGGAUUGAAUUUUGCUUCUAGAAAUCUUUUAGAUUCGGCCGCGGGAGGCACUUUUAUGGAAAUCACUUUAGAAGAAUCUACUAAACUCCUAGAUAAUAUUAUGGUUAAUUAUGCUCAACGGCAUAGUAAAAUAUCUAAUAAUAAAAAGGUGCAUGCGAUACAAGAAAUUAAUGUUUUGAGUGGAAAGAUGGAUGAACUUCUGAAAUUAUUUGCUAAUAAGAGUGUUUCUUCUGAUCCUAAUGAUAUACCCUUGUCUACUUUGAUUGAGAAUAGUAAUGAAUCUAUGGAUGUGGAUUUUGUUGGUAGGAACAAUUUUGGUAACAACGCGUAUAGAGGAAAUUUCAACCCUAGGCCUUAUCCUAGUAAUCUCUCUAAUAAUUAUGGUAAUUCCUACAACAAUUCUUAUGGAAAUUAUAAUAAGAUGCCCUCUAAUUUUGAAUCUAAUAUUAAAGAAUUUAUUACUUUGCAAAAGAAUUUCAAUACCUUGAUUGAAGAAGAACCGCUAGGAUGCGUGCUAAGAAAGAUGCCUUUAUAAGAGCGUGUUCUUCUAGUUCCUAUGAAAAUAAUGAUGAAGAUCUAAAAGUUAUUGAUGUGUUCCCUAUUAAAUCUUUGUUUUUCAACAUGGAUCUUGAUAAUGAUGGGAUUGAAUAUGAUCCACCUUUACCUAUAAGGCGUUCCAAGAAUUCAGAAUUUGUUGAUCUUGAUGCUAAAAUUGAUAAAGGUGGGAUUGAAGAAAUUAAAACCCUAGAUGUUGCUAAACCCACUAUUAUGGAUUUCAAGGAAUUUAACUAUGAAAAUUGCUCUUUUAUUGAUUGUAUAUCCUUUUUACAAUCCGUGCUAAAUUCUCCUCAUGCUUAUAGUCAAAAUAAAGCGUUUACUAAACAUAUCGUUGAUGCCUUGAUGCAAUCUUAUGAAGAAAAACUUGAAUUGGAAGUUUCUAUCCCUAGAAAGCUUUAUGAUGAGUGGGAACCAACUAUUAAAAUUAAAAUUAAAUAUCAUUAAUGCUAUGCUUUAUGUGAUUUGGGUGCUAGUGUUUCCACGAUUUCAAAGACUUUGUGUGAUUUGUUAGGUUUCCGUGAUUUUGAUGAUUGCUCUUUAAACUUGCGCCUUGUGGAUUCCACUAUUAAGAAACCUAUGGGAAGAAUUAAUGAUGUUCUUAUUGAUGCAAAUAGGAAUUAUGUGCCUGUAGAUUUUAUUGUUCUUGACAUAGAUUGCAAUCUUUCAUGUCCUAUUAUUCUUGGUAGACCUUUCCUUAGAACGAUUGGUGCAAUUAUUGAUAUGAAGGAAGGAAAUAUUAGAUUCCAAUUUCCAUUAAGGAAAGUCAUGGAACACUUUACUAGAAAGUAAAUUAAAUUACCUUAUGAAUCUAUUAUGAUAGCCACUUAUGGAUUGCCUACCAAAGAUGGCAAUACCUAGAUCUAUCCUUGCUUGUUAUGCCUAGCUAGGGGCGUUAAACGAUAGCGCUUGUUGGGAGGCAACGCAAUUUUGUUUUUAUUCCUUGAUUUUUGCUCCUGUUUAGUAAUAAAUAAUUUAUCUAGCCUCUGUUUUGGUUGUGUCCUUUGUGUUUAAUUAGUGUUGGUGCCAAGUAGAACCGUUAGGAAGACUUGGGGAAAGUCUUGUUACACUUGCUGUAAAAAACAGAAACUUCAGCGCUCACGAGAACUACUGCCAUUUUUAUUUGGAAAGUUCUAUUUAGUUAAUUAUUUCUGCAGAUGAUUAAUAGAUAAAUUCCUCACGUCCAGAAAUUUAUUUUAGAAUUUUUGGGGUUCCAGCUCUUGAGCUAGGUACAGAUUACUACAGACUGUUCUGUUUUUGAAAGAUUUUGUUUUUCAUGUGUUGUUUGCUUAUUUUGAUGAACCUAUGGCUAGUAAAAUAGUUGAUAGACCAUAGAUAAGUUGGAAUACAGUAGGUAUAACACCAAUAUAAAUAAAUAAUGAGUUCAUUAUAGUACCUUGAAGUGGUCUUUUAUUUUCUUUCGCUAACGGAGCUCACGAGAUUUUCUACUUUAAGUUUUGUGUUGUGAAGUUUUCGAGUUUUGGGUAAAGAUUUGAUGGUUUAUGGAACAAGGAGUGACAAGAGCCUAAGCUUGGGGAUGCCCAUGGCACCCCCAAGAUAAUCUAAGUACACCUAAAAGCCAAAGCUUGGGGAUGCCCCGGAAGUCAUCCCCUCUUUCGUCUACUUCUAUCGGUAACUUUACUUGGAGCUAUAUUUUUAUUCGCCACAUGAUAUGUGUUUUGCUUGGAGCAUCUUGUAUUAUUUGACUCUUUAUUUGUUAGUUUACCACAAUCAUCCUUCCUGUACACACCUUUUUUAGAAUACUCUAUGUGCUUCGCUUAUAUCUUUUGAGUUAUAUAGUUUUGCUCUAGUACUUCACUUAUAUCUUUUAGAGCACGGUGGUGGAUUUGUUUUAUAAAAACUAUUGAUCUCUCAUGCUUCACUUAGAUUAUUUUGAGAUGCUUAAUAGCAUGGUAAUUUGCUUAAAAUCCUAAUAUGCUAGGUAUUCAAAGUUAGUAUAAUUUUCUUAAGAGUGUUUUGAAUACUAAGAGAAGUUUGAUGCUUGAUGAUUGUUUUGAGAUAUGGAGGUAAUAAUAUCAAAGUCGUGCUAGUUGAGUAGUUGUGAAAUUGAGAAAUACUUGUGUUGAAAUUUGCAUGUCCCGUAGCAUGCACAUAUGGUAAACGUUGUGUAACAAAUUUGAAACAUCAGGUGUUAUUUGAUUGUCUUCCUUAUGAGUGGCGGUCGGGGACGAGCGAUGGUCUUUUCCUACCAAUCUAUCCCCCUAGGAGCAUGCGCGUAGUACCGAGGUUUUUGAUCACUUGUAGAUUUUUGCAAUAAGUAUGUGAGUUCUUUAUGACUAAUGUUGAGUCCAUGAAUUAUACGCACUCUCACCCUUCCAUCCUUGCUAGCCUCUUCGGUACCGUGCAUUGCCCUUUCCCACAUUGAGUGUUGGAGCAAACUUCGCCGGUGCAUCCAAACCCCGUGAUAUGAUACGCUCUUUCACACAUAAACCUCCUUAUAUCUUCCUCAAAACAGCCACCAUACCUACCUAUUAUGGCAUUUCCAUAGCCAUUCCGACAUAUAUUGCCAUGCAACUUUCCACCAUUCCGUUCAUCAUGACACAUUCAUCAUUGUCAUAUUGCUUAGCAUAAUCAUGUUGUUGACAUAGUAUUUGUGGCAAGGCCACUGUUCAUAAUUCUUUCAUACAUGUCACUCUUGGUCCAUUGCAUAUCCCGGUACACCGCUGGAGGCAUUCAUAUAGAGUCAUACUUUGUUCUAGUAUCGAGUAGUAAUUAUUGAGUUGUAAAUAAAUAGAAGUGUGAUGAUCAUCAUUAAUAGAGCAUGGUCCCAAAGAGAGAAAAAAGGAAGGGCCAAAAAAGGCCAAAUAAAAAAUAUAAAAAAGGGGGGCAAUGCUACUAUCCUUUUUUCCACACUUGUGAUUCAAAGUAGCACUGUAAUCUUCAUGAUAGAGAGUAUCUUGAUUUGUCACUUUCAUAUACUAGUGGGAAUUUUUCAUUAUAGAACUUGGCUUGUAUAUUCCAACAAUGGGCCUCCUUAAGUGCCCUAGGUCUUCGUGAGCAAGCAAGUUGGAUGCACACCCACUUAGUUUCUUUUGUUGAGCUUUCAUACAUUUAUAGCUCUAGUGCAUCCGUUGCAUGGCAAUCCCUACUCCUUGCAUUAACAUCAAUCGAUGGGCAUCUCCAUAGCCCAUUGAUUAGCCUCGUUGAUGUGAGACUUUCUCCUUUUUGUCUUCUCCACAUAACUCCACUCAUUAUAUUCUAUUCCACCCAUAGUGUUAUGUCCAUGGCUUGCAAUCAUAUAUUGCGUGGAAGUUUAUAGGUUUGAGAUCACUAAAGUAUGAAACAAUUGCUUAGCUUGUCAUCGGGGUUGUGCAUGAUGAGAGCGUUGUUGUGUGACAAAAAUGAAGCAUGACUAAACUAUAUGAUUUUGUAGGGAUGAACUUUCUUUGGCCAUGUUAUUUUGAGAAGACAUAAUUGCUCAGUUAGUAUGCUUGAAGUAUUAUUAUUUUUAUGUCAAUAUGAACUUUUGUCUUGAAUCUUUCGGAUCUGAAUAUUCAUAUCACAAUUAAGAAGAAUUACAUUAAAAUCAUGCUAAGUAGCACUCUGCAUCAAAAAUUCUGUUUUUAUCAUUUACCUACUCGAGGACGAGCAGGAAUUAAGCUUGGGGAUGCUUGAUACGUCUCCAACGUAUCUAUAAUUUUUGAUUGCUCCAUGCUAUAUUAUCUACUGUUUUGGACAAUAUUGGGCUUUAUUAUCCACUUUUAUAUUAUUUUUGGGACUAACCUAUUAACCGGAGGCCCAGCCCAGGAUUGCUGUUUUUUGCCUAUUUUAGGGUUUCGAAGAAAAGGAAUAUCAAACGGAGUCCAAACGGAAUGAAACCUUCGGGAACGUGAUUUUCUCAACGAACAAGACCCAGGAGACUUGGACCCUCCGUCAAGACACAAAAGAGGAGGCCACGAGGUAGGGGGCGUGCCUACCCCCCGGGCGCGCCCUCCACCCUCGUGGGCCCCCUGUUGCUCCACCGACGUACUCCUUCCUCCUAUAUAUACCUACGUACCCCCAAAUGAUCAUAUACGGAGCCAAAACCCUAAUUACACCGCCGCAACAUUUUGUAUCCACGAGAUCCCAUCUUGGCGCCUGUUCCGGAGCUCCGCCGGAGGGGGCAUCGAUCAUGGAGGGCUUCUACAUCAACACCAUAGCCUCUCCGAUGAAGUGUGAGUAGUUGACCUCAGACCUACGGGUCCAUAGUUAUUACCUAGAUGGCUUCUUCUCUCUUUUUGGAUCUCAAUACAAUGUGCUCCCCCUCUCUUGUGGAGAACUAUUCGAUGUAAUCUUCUUUUUGUGGUGUGUUUGUUGAGACCGAUGAAUUUUGGGUUUAUGAUCAAGUCUAUCUAUGAAUAAUAUUUGAAUCUUCUCUGAAUUCUUUUAUGUAUGAUUGGUUAUCUUUGCAAGUCUCUUCGAAUUACCCGUUUGGUUUGGCCUACUAGAUUGAUCUUUCUUGCAAUGGGAGAAGUGCUUAGCUUUGGGUUCAAUCUUGCGGUGUCCUUUCCCAGUGACAGUAGGGGCAGCAAGGUACGUAUUGUAUUGUUGCCAUCGAGGACAACAAGAUGGGGUUUUCAUCAUAUUUUAUGAGUCUAUCCCUCUACAUCAUGUCAUCUUACUUAAGGCAUUAAUCUGUUUUUAACUUAAUACUCUAGAUGCAUGCUGGAUAGCGGUCGAUGAGUGGAGUAAUAGUAGUAGAUGCAGGCAGGAGUCGGUCUACUUGUCUCGGACGUGAUGCCUAUAUACAUGAUCAUACCUAGAUAAUCUCAUAACUAUGCUCAGUUCUGUCAAUUGCUCAAUAGUAAUUUGUUCACCCACCGUAGAAUACUUAUGCUCUUGAGAGAAGCCACUAGUGAAACCUAUGGCCCCCGGGUCUAUCUUUAUCAUAUUAAUCUCCUACUACUUAGUUAUUUCCUUUGCUUUUUUACUUUGCCUUUAUUUUACUUUGCAUCUUUAUCACAAAAAUAAAAAUAUCUUUAUCAUAUCUAUCAAAUCUCACUCUCGUAAGUGGCCGUGUAGGGAUUGACAACCCCUAUUCACGUUGGUUGCGAGGAUUUAUUUGUUUUGUGCAGGUACGAGGGACUGGCGCAUAGCCUCCUACUGGAUUGAUACCUUGGUUCUCAAAACCUAAGGGAAAUACUUACGCUACAUUGCUGCAUCAUCCCUCACUCUUCGGGGAAAACCAACGCAGUGCGCAAGAGGUAGCAAGGGUUCCUUUUUGUCGACGAUCUGAUGUUUCAACCUUGUUUUCCAGGCGGCCAACGCAUCGCUCAACUUGGUCAUGGCGUGUUUGUUUAUCUUCGUCAUUGCCAGGUCCUUAUCUGGAUCUUUAUUAUCCUUUUCAUUACGGUCCGGGAACAAGAAUAUCUGGUGCAGCUUCUUUAGGAGGGAGGGCCUCUGGUGCAGCUUCUAUAGUUUCCCAUCGUUGAUCAUGGCAGUUGUCCGUACAAUGCAACCUAUUUGAUUGCCGUAGCACGAUUGCGCUUCCUCGGGUGCUAUUGUCUCAAAAAUACCGUCGUCCAUCUCCGUGACCACCAGUCUAGUACUCAUGAGCUGGUUUAGGCGUCGUGGCCUCUUUGCUUUCGGUUCUAGACUAACUCCGCUAGUCUCGGCGCUGGUCUCAGUCUCAUCGCCGGUCUGCAUGUCGGUAUCAGUCCCUGAUGCGACAACACAGUCGCUGCAACAUGGGUAAGGGAGACCACAUCAGUGCUGGGGGGUCCGAAAAUCGGGACACACUUUCGCGCGUCGCGGGCCGCCUCUCAGACAGCUACUGGGGAGGCGGCGGAGUACCUGGGUGCGCCGCGAAUCCCCGGGAACUCGGUGACCAACUUCCUUCCCGUGUGGCGCAUGGAGACGACAGCGACCCCGGCGAAGAGUAGCUUAGCCGCGAGCUGCACAGCCUCGUCCACCUCCUAAGUUGGGACCUCCGCGCAAGCGUUGCGGGGCCGCCGCUCGGGUGGCUUCUGGAAGGCGGUUGUACAUGGGCACAGGGUGAAUCCCGACUAGAGCUGGCCAUUGGCGCGCGCAAGUAGACGACGACGUCCCCGACGAAGAGCUGCCCGGCCAGCUCGCCUCACUCUCCUUUGAUUAGAAAUGAAAGAUUGGGAAGAAGCAGACUUGAGCCUGCAGAGAAAGGAUAAGGUGACGAUGCAGUCUCCACUCGUUCGGGGCGACACGCGUACUGAAUGUAUGAGAAACGUGACGUGGCAGAGACCCCAAGAUACUCCCUCCAUUUAUUUUUAGUCUGCAUAUAAAGUUUGGUCAAAGUCAAGAUUUGUAAAUUUUAACUAACUUUAUAAUAAAAAAAUAUCAAUAUUCACAAUAUGAAAUCAAUAUUACCAGAUGCGUCAUGAAAUGUAUUUCCAUACUAUAAAGUUUUGGUAUUGUAGAGGCACUCUUCCAUAUAAUGAAGUUUAUAAUAUAUGUGCUUAUAUUGUACUACAAUUGUUUGAAUAGCUUAGCAUAUGUUCAGAUGUAUGAUAUCUGUAAUUUAAGCGCUUGAAUUUUACAUAUAAAUAUUUAUUAAUAAAUAUGUACCCCUAUAAUAGCUAGGCCGUGCAGUUGCACGGGUAGAUGACUAGUGAUUACAAUCUUGUUUGUGUGCAAGUCAAGCUUAUCUAGUUUACACGUAACAACUUGUAGAACAUUACAAAAUUUAUGCUUGCUAAUAACUUCUAGAACACUACAACACUUGACAUGUAAAAGGAAUUUGACGAGUCAUGGCCUACUAAAGCAAGUUACAUUACUAGUCUUAUCUAUCUUAACAGACCACACAAGAUUACAAACUAAGUACCGUGACAGCCAUACUUAUCUAGUUUAUGCGUAACAAUUUGCAGAAAAUUAGAAACUUAGUUUCAGAAAAAUACGCAAUCUAGAUUAGUGUUUGAGCUGUAAAGUGAAUAAGAUGAGUCAUGCAUGUUAUCACACCUUUUUGGUGGUGGAAUGAUAGUGCAACAACAAGGAACUUUAAUGACCAGUCCAAGAAUACACUUGUAAGUAGUGCCACCAAACAGAACAUUCCAAAUGAUGAUUUUUAGAAGCAUCCAAGCACUUUCCACACAAACAAAUGCCAAUUGUGAAAGAGAUCAUUCCAUGGCAGCUAUAAAUAGCCCCAUAGCAUGACGAUCAUCCUUCCUCAUCCAUCAUUCUCAUUAGUAGAGCGCAUCAUUUAAGCCAAGCAAGCUGUGGUCAAUACAAAUCCACCAUGAAGACCUUUCUCAUCCUUGCCCUCCUUGCUAUCGUGGCGACCACCGCCACAACUGCAGUUAGAGUUCCAGUGCCACAAUUGCAGCCACAAAAUCCAUCUCAGCAACAGCCACAAGAGCAAGUUCCAUUGGUACAACAACAACAAUUUCUAGGGCAGCAACAACCAUUUCCACCACAACAACCAUAUCCACAGCCGCAACCAUUUCCAUCACAACAACCAUAUCUGCAGCUGCAACCAUUUCCGCAGCCGCAACUACCAUAUUCGCAGCCACAACCAUUUCGACCACAACAACCAUAUCCACAACCGCAACCACAGUAUUCGCAACCACAAGAACCAAUUUCACAGCAGCAGCAACAACAACAACAACAACAACAAAUCCUUCAACAAAUUUUGCAACAACAACUGAUUCCAUGCAUGGAUGUUGUAUUGCAGCAACACAACAUAGCGCAUGGAAGAUCACAAGUUUUGCAACAAAGUACUUACCAGCUAUUGCAAGAAUUGUGUUGUCAGCACCUAUGGCAGAUCCCUGAGCAGUCGCAGUGCCAGGCCAUCCAAAAUGUUGUUCAUGCUAUUAUUCUGCAUCAACAACAAAAACAACAACAACAACCAUCGAGCCAGGUCUCCUUCCAACAGCCUCUGCAACAAUAUCCAUUAGGCCAGGGCUCCUUCCGGCCAUCUCAGCAAAACCCACAGGACCAGGGCUCUGUCCAGCCUCAACAACUGCCCCAGUUCGAGGAAAUAAGGAACCUAGCGCUACAGACGCUACCUGCAAUGUGCAAUGUCUACAUCCCUCCAUAUUGCACCAUCGCGCCAUUUGGCAUCUUCGGUACUAACUGAGAAGAAAAUAACUCUAGUACUAGAUAUAUGAAACACCGUUUUCUCAGUCCAUGGUUUGGUCAUUGUAGCGUUGAAAAAAUAAUGUGACAUGCA